This 310721-nucleotide long non-coding RNA is filed under the name Gossypium barbadense (sea-island cotton). Its description in RNAcentral is "long non-coding RNA (GBAR_LNC021286)". The stretch from base 123548 to 123622 matches the Rfam family "tRNA". The record is from RNAcentral. Lineage: Eukaryota; Viridiplantae; Streptophyta; Magnoliopsida; Malvales; Malvaceae.
CCGGGCCGGGCUCAGGCAAAAAAUGUGGUGCCCGAUGCGCAGCCCGUUUUCUAAGCGGGCCUCUUUUUUGUCCAAAACCAUAAUUUGGGCCUAUAUUUUUACCCGAACCCUCCCAUAUUUAGGGUGGGCCGUCGACCCAGCCCAUGGACACCUCUAAUCAAAAUACACAAUUUGCUCGUUAGUUGAAAUAUGAGAAUUCUCAAUUAAACACAAAAUUAUAAAAAUAACAUGCAAUCCAAUAAAAAAAAACAAUUUUUUAGUCAUUAAAAUUAGGAAAUAGAGAAGAUAAGAAAGAAAUACCUAUUAUUUAAAUGCCAUCCCUUGAUGUUAGCCACUUCAGUCAAAGCAUUUCGCCACUUUUGGAUCUUGUCUUUAUCUUCCUUGUAUCUUUCUUCGUGUUUGGCAAAGGCUUCUUCAACUUUUUCUUUUUGUUUUCUUAAAUCGGAUGGAUCAACAUGGUAGAAAAUUGGAAAUACUUUAUGACCCUUGUCAUUUUUUUGUUUAACAAUCUCCGCAAGCUCCUCCAAGCACCAACCUGAAAAGGCAUAUGUCUCGGAAAAAACGAUUACCGAGCACCAUGAUUGCUGAAUUGCGUUGAAGAGUUCCGGUGCGAUCUCUUCACCAGUUUCCAACUUUGGAUCAUCUCUAAAAGUGACGAUCCCAGUUCUAUUUAGAGCAUCGUAGAGAUGAUCCGUAAAAUUCUUGCGAGUAUCUUCACCUCUAAAACUCAAGAACACAUCGUAUUUCUUUCUAGAAAUGGAUGAGGAAGUCGAAAGUAACGACGACAUGAGGAUGUAUGAGAAGAAAACUAUGUGGAUGUAGUGUUCAAAAUCAGUCGCUCAAUACCUCCGAAACAAUAAGUAUAUGAGCAUGAGGGGAGAAAAACAGAUGAAAUUUCGAGGGAAGAACAAAGGGAGUAGGUGAAUCUAUCAGUAUAAUAAUAUCUAUGAAACGGAGUAGGUGUGGAAAUUCGGGGUCAUAGAUGCUCUUUCCGGGAAGACUCCAAGAAGGUGAGAGUUCACAAAAUGCAGCCUACAAUUUUUCUGAAAAUUAAAUUCAUUAAUUUAUUCAGAACCAUAUAAUUGAGGCGAAAGAAAAUAAUAAAUAUUCAUAGUAGAUGAAUAGUAAAUUCUAUCACAAUAAAGGCUUUAGCCUUAACAUCAAUAGAAUCAUGGCACGUUAACAAUUAGUUUUGUCACAACUCAAGUACGACAUAUAUGAAGUAAUUUUAAAUACUAAAUACGAUAAAAAAAUCAAGCUCGGAUGGUCCAAAGUGAUGAGCAAAAAUUGACAAAAGAAUCGAGCAUUCACCAAACUAGAGAGGACGACAAUAAAAUCAUCUCUAAAACCACUUGUAAAACUAAUAUUAUAUGCAUAAACACACCUAUUAAAUAAUUGAAAAAAAUAUAAAACUUAACAACACGAAAAUAGAUCUUACAAUUGUUAUCAAGUAACGUGUUGGACGGUUUGUGUUUUACUUGUUUUUUUAUAUUAUCAUACCUACUUUAUAAUCAGUAGCUUAUGUUACAUAUGUGAUUUUACACAUUUAAUAUUUGAUUAAUUUUUUAAAAUAUUAGACUUUUAAUUGAAGUAAUUAGUAUAAAAUAAUAUUUUUAUUUGAAUUAUUGAAUAUAUGUAAAAUAUAUUAAUUUAUUAAUUCAAACAAAUAUUAUAAUAGAAAAUUUUUAAAUAAUAAUUAAAUCAUUUUUAACAUAUUCAAUAUAUAAUAUAGUUUUCAUUUAUGUAGCUAAUGCAAUGUAAUAUUACUCAAAAUAAAAACUACUUAACAUAUUUGUCAGCAACCUCUUGGCCUAUUUACAAAAGCUUGGUUUUGUAGGUACAAGAGUUUAGGUUCACUCUUAAGCAACCCCAUUUUCCUCCCUCAAAUAUAUAUAAAAAAACUGAGCACAAUAAACUCUAAUAAUAAUUAAGUGAUAAUUAUAAUGAUAAUUUUAAAUUUAGUAAUAUAUAAAAAUAAAUAUUUUUUUCAAACUCGUUGUUAUAUAUAUAUAUAUAAUAUAUUACAAAUUAAAUAUUAAAAUUGUGUUUUACGUGUCAUAGCAUUUCACCACCAUUUGAUCUUAUCUUUUACCUUCCUUGUACCUUUCUUCGUGUUUGGUGAAGGCUUCUUCAACUUUUUCUUUGUUAAAAUUAAAAUUCCUAUUAAAUUAUAAUUUAUUUUUUAAAUAUGAAUUUAGUAAUAUAAAGAAAAAAUAGAGGUUAUUUUCAAAAUUAUUUUCAAACUCCUUGUUAUAUAUAUAUAUAUACAAAUUACGCACUCAUCUUCCUUUCUAAUAAAUUAACAAGUGCCAAAUUAUUCAACUCCGCUUGAUUAGUGCUGUUCAAAUCUGCUUUAACUUUACCUCCAUAAUACGCGGAGACCACGAAAAGCACUCAUCCUUAAUACCAUAGUUCCCACGACGCCACUAUUGAAAACAAAGGCAUUUCUAUUAGUCAAAAGUCUCCAGCAGGCCAUAGCAAAAAGAUUACCCCAUUCACAGAAAAAGCUGCUUGAGUUUCGGAGAAAUUCACCGUUCUCCCAUUUCCUAGAUCCCAAUAGACACCAUCCACUACAUCUUCCCAAAUAUUGGACAAAGCCCUCCAGAAAAAAGUUUCUAUCUUUUCUUGAUUUGUUCAACAUUCAUUAAAAUAGUUUCCAAGGCUCUUUACCCAGUGCCUUAACAAAUUUGCAUUGGCUGAAAAUUUUCAACUUCGGUGGCAACAACUUCAAUAGAGAAAUUCCAUCAUGGUUUAGUCACUUUGCUGAGUUUCGAGUCUACAGUUGCACAUUAACAAUUUCAGUGGCAUUAAAAAAUAUAUAAACCAACACUUUAGUUUUAGCUCAUUCAUACAUCUCACAAAGAAAUUAAGGAUGAGGAGAUAUCUAACUCUAUUAUUCGCCAACUAUGGGAUUGUGGAGGUGACUAUGAGUUUUUGACGCCAAUUAAGAGUUGCAUUGAAAAUCUUACAUUUUUUAGGAAUAUUAUUAAAGCAGGUUAUUCCAAUUAGCUUAUCUAAGAAGUUGGCAUAAUUGACUUCAAUUAAUUGGUAGAUGGCUCAAUUGCCAUAAAUAAGAAUGAACAAAAAAAACAAUAACCAUGAAUUGCUUACAUUUGAGGUUGUUAUCAUCGAGAUACUAAGUGUUGAGCAUAGUUAAAAUUUCGAUUUCUGUAGGUAUAUAUACUUCCCUCUAAAUUGUUGAUAUACAAGGAUAAAAGCUUCAACUUUUUGCACUUGAAUAAGCUAUUAGGAAUUCUAUUGGAAAUUUGAUUCUCACUCAAUUUUAACUUUUCUAGUUUUGACAAAUUUCCCAAAAUAGAUGGAUAAGACCAGUGAAGUUGUUAAUGUGCAACUAUAAGACUUGAAGUUCAGCGAUGUGACCAAACCACAAUGGAAUUUCUCCAUUGAAGUUGUUGUCCCCAAACUUCAAAAAUUUCAGUACUCGAUACAAAUUUGUUAACGCAAUAGGUAAAGAACUAUGGGAACUGUUUUCAUGAAUUUAGAGCCACGCAAGGAAAGAUAGAUUUUCCAAUUGAGAUGAAAUGGUGCCUGCGAUAUUCAUGCUUGAUAAAUUUAGAUUGGUCACUUUGCUGAGUUUCGAGUCUUACAGUUGCACAUUAACAAUUUCAGUGGCACUAAAAAAUAUAUAAACCAACACUUUAGUUUUAGCUCAUUCAUACAUCUCACAAAGAAAUUAAGGAUGAGGAGAUAUCUAACUCUAUUAUUCGCCAACUAUAGGAUUGUGGAGCUGACUAUGAGUUUUUGACACCAAUUAAGAGUUGCAUUGAAAAUCUUACAUUUUUUAGGAAUAUUAUUAAAGCAGGUUAUUCCAAUUAGCUUAUCUAAGAAGUUGGCUUAAUUGACAUCAAUUAAUUGGUAGAUGGCUCAAUUGUCAUAAAUAAAAAAAUAUAUAUUUACUCUAACUUUGCUAGAACUGAACAUAAUGGUUAUUGUUUUAAAGUCAUGCUUCAAUAUUUAAACAAUUAUUCAUAGAAAUUGAACAAGAAUGAACGAAUAAAACAAGAACCAUGAAUUGCUUACAUUUGAGGUUGUUAUCAUCGAGAUACCAAGUGUUGAGCAUAGUUAAAAUUUCGAUUUCUGUAGGUAUAUAUAUUUCCCUCUAAAUUGUUGAUAUACAAGGUUAAAAACUUCAACGUUUUGCACUUGAAUAAGCUAUUUGGAAUUCUAUUGGAAAUUUGAUUCUCACUCAAUUUUAACUUUUCUAGUUUUGACAAAUUUCCCAAAAUAGAUGGAUAAGACCAGUGAAGUUGUUAAUGUGCAACUAUAAGACUUGAAGUUCAGCGAUGUGAUCAAACCACAAUGGAAUUUCUCCAUUGAAGUCGUUGUCCCCAAACUUCAAAAAUUUCAGUCGAUACAAAUUUGUUAAUGCAAUAGGUAAAGAACUAUGGGAACUUUUUGCUGUACUAGCAAUACUUUUCUAAGUGAGUGGACUUUUUGCUGUGAGUGCAUGGUGGAAACUUCCUUUUAGUAGCAUCAUUUUUUCCUUUUUCUUUCUUUUCUGACCAAGACCUUUUGCCAUUGUUUCUUGUGCUCGAGUUUGAGCUUUCUCUACUUCUAGCUUGAAAGGCUCCUUCAGAAUGCUCCUCUAUUUUGUUUGCUCUUCUUUACUCUUGUGCAUAGAGAGAAUUUGUCAGCUCUGUCAAGGGUAUAGCUGAUAGGUCCCUAGAGUCCUCCAAAGAAGAGAUUUUUGACUCAUACUUCUCUGGAAGAGUUGUAAUGACUUUUUCAACUAUCCUUUUGUCACUAAACUCAUCCUGAAGAAGCCUUAUGUUGUUGGCUGUAGCCAUAAUCCUGUCAGCAUACUACUUAAUGGUUUCAAACUCUUUCAUCUUCAGAUUCUCGAAGUCUCUCCUUAGGUUUAUCAAUUGCUGCUACUUGGUCUUGUUUGACCCUUGAAACUCUUCCUUGAGUUUGUCCCAGUCCUGUUUUAGAGUGUCACAAGCCAUUAUCCUUGUGAAGAUCACAUCUGAAACUUUAUUUUGUUGGAACAAUGGCAGCAGCAAACAUCAAACCAAGUUACAACACAGUGUUUGCAAGACUGAAGCAAGAAGAAUCGAAGCAAAGAAAGAGCAAAGCAAAGCAAAAAUUUGAUCAAAAUUGAAUACUCAGCAAAUUUGUAACUGAACAUUCCAUAUUUUUCAUUCAAAUUUGAAAUAUAAAAGAGUUACAAUGUACAUUGACAGUUACCUAAUGUAUUUAACUGCCCCAACUAAUACAAACCUAAUCACUAGCCAAAAAUAAUCAAAUAUAGCUGACCAAUCAGCCAUUACAUCAAAAGAUCUUAUCACUAACUUAAGUUUAACUAGUAUUACAAACAAACUAAAAUUGAACUGAACCAAAUUACAUCAAAACAAAACAGCAAAGUUGGUUGCUUCAUUCGGUUCAAAAACCAUUCGUGCGCACCAAGCAAAAUGAGCUGAGCUCGAUAGCUGCUGGUCUCGACAGUAGCAAGCUUCUGGCUCCAUGUUGCAUUGCAGUCCAGCUUUCAACACUCCUCCUUGGACUGUAUGCAACACAUUCCAAUUGCACUUCUCAAAGAUUCAAAUCGAGCAGCCCCGAAGGGCUUGGUCAUUAUGUCAGCCAAUUGUGCUCCUGAGCUGCAAUGCACAAGGCUGACUUCUUUUGCUUGUUCAGCCUCUCUAACAAAAUGCAGUUUGAUUUUAAAAUGCUUAGUCUUACCAUGGAACACAGGGUUCUUGGCUAUUGCAACUGCAGACUGAUUAUCCACCCAAAUUUUAGUUGCUUCAUCUUGAGUUUCAUUAAGGUCGUAAAGCAGCUUCCUUAGCCAAAUGGCCUGAUUAACUGCUCCUGCUGCAGCAAUGUACUCUACUUCAGCUGUGGACUGAGCAACAGUUUGUUGCUUCUUUGAACUCCAGCAAAACAUGCCCGAUCCAAGUGUGAAGAAGUAUCCAGAGGUACUCUUCAUGUCAUCGAGAGAUCCUGCCCAGUCACUAUCAGAGUAGCCUUUUAGUUUCAGUUGGUUCUGACUUUCAAACAUUACACCAAAACUAGUAGUGCCCUUGAUGUAUCUAAGGAUCCUCUUUGCUGCCUUCAAAUGUGCCUCAUUGCAACAAUGCAUAAAUCUCGAUAACAGGCUGACACCAAACAUGAUGUCUGGCCUUGUUGCUGUUAGAUACAACAGAUAACCAACUAGGCUUCGAUAGUGCCUCUCAUCAACCCUCUACUGAUCACCACUGCUAGUCAGCUUUUCUCCUUGAGCCACAGGUGUGCUGACUGCUUUACAGUUAUGCAUGCAAAAUUUGUCUAGGAUCUUCAAAGCAAAUGAGUGUUGGCUGAUGAAGAUACCUCAAUCAGACUGGUGCACUUCCAUGCCAAGGAAGUAAGUCAUGAUCCCUAAAUCUGUCAUCUCAAACACUUGCUGCAUUUGGACCUUGAACUGAUCAAUGAGCUCAAUUUUGCUCCCUGUCACAAGCAAAUCAUCCACAUACAAGGAGACAAUCAGCAAGGUUUCAUGUUCUGACCUUUUAACAUACAGAGUAGGCUCACUAAGGCUCUUUACAAAUCCAAGUUUGGUCAGGUAAGCAUCAACUCUGUCAUACCAGGCCCUUGGUGCCUGUUUCAGGCCAUAGAGGGCCUUUCUCAACUUAUACACUUUGUCUUCAUGUCCAACAACUUCAAAACCUUCAGGUUGCUCGAUGAAGAUCUCCUUCUUGAGAAAACCAUUCAGGAAUGCUGAUUUGACAUCCAAUUGGUGAACUCUCCACUGCUUCUGAGCUGCUAAAGCAAACAGCAGCUUAAUUGUAUCCAGUCUUGCCACUGGAGCAAAAGUUUCUAGGUAGUCAACACCAUACUGCUGACUGUAGCCCUUCACCACAAGCCUGGCCUUGUGCUUGUUCAGUGAGCCAUCAGCAUUGUACUUGGCCCGGUACACCCAUUUAACUCCUAUGACCCUCUUAUGUUCUGGUCUCCUCACCAACUCCCAAGUCUGAUUUUUGUUGAUCAUUUCCAACUCAACUUCCAUAGCUUUCAUCCAGCUUCUGUUCUUAGCAGCCUCUUCAAAGUCUGAGGGCUCAAUCACAGCAACAUUGCACCUCUGAUAGACAUCAGCCAAAGUUCUGGUGCCCCUCACUGGUAUAUCAUCGACAGUAUCAUUACUUGGUCUUUCUUCUGCAGGUUCAGCAACCAAGUCUAACUGGUCCAAUUCAGACAAGUCAGCCUCAACACCAUUCCAAUUCCACAUCUUUUCCUCAUCAAACUUUACAUCCCUGCUGACUAAAACCUUCUUUGCUGUAGGAUCAUACACUCUAUAGCCCUUCUUGUUGCUGCUGUAGCCAACAAAGAUUCCUGGAGUUGCUCUGCUCUCAAGCUUGGUCCUUUUCUCUACUGGAAUAAGUGCAUAACAUACACAGCCAAACACUUUUAAGUGUGUUACCACAGGUUUGACUCCAUGCCAAGCCUCAAAAGGAGUCUUAUCCUUGACUGCUCUAGUUGGCAGUCUGUUGAGCAGAUACACUGAGGUGUUGACUGCCUCAGCCCAAAACUGACUUGGAAGCUUGCCUUGAAACAAGAGGCACCUGGCCAUGUUCAGUACAGUCCUAUUCUUUCUCUCACAGACUCCAUUCUGUUGAGGAGUAUAGAUUGUUGUGAGCUGAUGGUGAAUCCCAGCACUGUCACAAAGCUUCUGAAAUCUCUCAGACACAUAUUCAGAGCCAUUAUCAGUCCUCAAGGCUCUAAUUUUGCAGCCUGACUGAUUUUCAGCAUAAGCCUUGAAUUUGCAGAAGGCUUCAAACACUUCUGACUUUUGCUACAAGAAGUAGACCCAGCACAACCUUGUUAAAUCAUCUAUAAACAGGGCAAAGUACCUGUUCUCACUGAUUGAAGGUGUUCUCAUAGGGCCACAAACAUCAGAGUGCACCAAUUCGAGCUUGUUUUAAGCUCUCCAAGCACUGUCAGCAGGAAAAGACAGUCUAGCCUGCUUACCAAGCUGACAAACCUCACAAACAUUCCCACUAACUUCAAUUUUUGAAAUGUCAUCAACCAAAUUCAGCCUAUGUAACAGAUCGAUGGAUCUAAAAUUUGCAUGGCCUAAUCUCCUAUGCCACAAGUCAGUGCUUUCAACAAGGCUGGUGUAUGCCUUUCUUUCUAUUUGGCUAACAUCCAGCAUGAAGCACCUAUCAGUCAUAGAGACUGUGACUAACUCCAGACCAUUCAUGUCUUGAACAAUACAGCAACCAUCCUUAAAAACCAAUGUAUAGCCCUUUUCAACUAAUUGGCCUACACUAAGCAAAUUCUGGUCUAAGUCAGGUACAAAAAACACAUCUGAGAUCAGCUUGUUACCUGAACCACUGCUAAUCAACACACUGCCCUUGCCUUUAGCCUCAAUCAGCCUACCAUCUCCAAUUCUAAUCCUCGAGUAGAAGCUUCUGUCUAGGCCUUUGAACAGCUUCUCAUCUGCUGCCAUAUGGUGUGAGCAGCCACUGUCUAGUAGCCAAUCAUUGCUGGCCUUGGUUGUGCCAACAAAACAAGUUGCUGUGAACACUUGCUCCUCCUGAGCUUGAAUGUCCUCAGCAGGUCUAGCUUGUUGCAGAGCAGCCUCCCUUGGUUUGCCCUUGCACACCUUCUCCACAUGGCCAAACUGCUUGCAUUUUCUACACUGAAUAUCUGGCCUAAACCAGCAAUACUUUUCUGAAUGUGUUGUCUUCUUGCAAUGAACACAUGGUGGGAACACCCUUUUUGCUUCAUCUCUUCCUGACUUGACCCUUCUAUUGUGCCAAGGCUUCUUGCCUUUUGCACUCACACUCGAGCCUUCACUGGCUUUAGCCUGGAAAGCAGCUUCAGGAUUCUCCUCCUGCCUAUUUGCCCUCCUUUGCUCAAGUUCAUACAGGGAGUUUAUCAGCUCAGACAAUGAAAUGGCUGAUAAGUCCCUCGAGUCCUCAAGUGAAGAGAUUUUAGACUCAAAUUUCUCAGGGAGAGUUGUAAUAACCUUUUCAACAACUCUGCUCUCUGUGAAGUCCACUCCCAGGAGCCUAAUGCUGUUGACAAUGGCCAUUAUCCUGUCUGAGUACUGCUUGAUGGUCUCAGACUCCUUCAUCCUCAAAUUUUCAAAGUCUCUCCUGAGGUUGAUCACUUGCUGUUGCCUUGUCUUAUCAAUCCCCAUGAACUCCUCCUUCAGCUUCUCCCAAGCCUGCUUUGGUGAGUCACAGGCCAUGAUGCGAGUAAAUAUCACAUCAGAGACUCCAUUUUGCAAGCAGGCCAUAGCCUUAUGCUUCUUGGCUCGCUCCUCAGUAUGUUGCCUCAUCUGUGCAAUGGUGGGAUUGGCUCUCAAUGGAGGUGGUUCAGCAUCAUUCUCGAUCACACUCCAAAGAUCAUGUGCCUGGAGAUAAGUCUUCAUUUUAACUAUCCAAAUGUGAUAGUUUUCUCCAGUGAACACUGGUGGAGGUGGUGGAGUGAAACUCAUUCUGCUAAACUGAUUUUAAGUGCUUCAAUCUUACCAAAUUUUGAACUUGCUGUUGGUUUUAAUUCGAACACAACAGAUUGCAUACAAAGGCCCCUCAAAGACUCGGGCUCAUGAUACCAUUUGUUGGAACAAUGGCAGCAGCAAACAUCAAACCAAGUUACAACACAGUGUUUGCAAGACUGAAGCAAGAAGAAUCGAAGCAAAGAAAGAGCAAAGCAAAGCAAAAAUUUGAUCAAAAUUGAAUACUCAGCAAAUUUGUAACUGAACAUUCCAUAUUUUUCAUUCAAAUUUGAAAUAUAAAAGAGUUACAAUGUACAUUGAUAGUUACCUAAUGUAUUUAACUGCCCCAACUAAUACAAACCUAAUCACUAGCCAAAAAUAAUCAAAUAUAGCUGACCAAUCAGCCAUUACAUCAAAAGAUCUUAUCACUAACUUAAGUUUAACUAGUAUUACAAACAAACUAAAAUUGAACUGAACCAAAUUACAUCAAAACAAAACAGCAAAGUUGGUUGCUUCAUUCGGUUCAAAAACCAUUCGUGCGCACCAAGCAAAAUGAGCUGAGCUCGAUAGCUGCUGGUCUCGACAGUAGCAAGCUUCUGGCUCCAUGUUGCAUUGCAGUCCAGCUUUCAACAUAUUUUGAAGGCAUGACAUAGCUUUAUACUUUUUGGCACAGUCCUUAUUGUGCUGCCUAAUUUGAGCUAUGAUUGGAUUAGCUCUCAAAGGUGGUGGCUCUGUGUCAGCUAGAACAACACUCCACAAAUCAUGAGCCUACAAAUAUGUCUUCAUUUUCACAACCUAAAUGUUGUAGUUUUCACCAGCAAAGACAAGUGGUGGUAGUGGUGAGAAACUCGUUCUUCUACAGCAACUGAAACAAGCUAACAAAAAUAGCUUCUAUUUCUUUUCUUUCAAGCACGAGUCACUCAAGGAAUAGCUUACAACAAAAGGCCCUAAAAGAUGAUAGGCUCUUGAUACCAUAGGCUCUUGAUACCAUUUUUUGAGUUAAAAUCAUUAAAUAAGAAUCAAAACAAAGAAUUUGUGUUUGAAAGAUGAAAAAUAGAAGCAAAAACCAUAUGUUGGAUUGAGAGAAGAAGAUGACUUAUCUCAUUACUUGAAUAAGUAACAUGACAUAUACAUAAAUAGUUCUAUUACAUUGGAAGAAAAUAAGCAUUGUUUGUGUAAGUAACCAAGCUGUAAAAUCAACUUAAUGAUAACCUAAAACCUACUAAAUCUGCCAAGUACAUGGCUGAACCUCAGCAAAACAAAAAGUUACAAUCAUAUCAAACAUAAGUCACAUGUUACAAAAGUUCAAUGACCGAAAUACACCAUGGACAUUUGCAUGCUGUAUACAUGCUGCUGCAUCGUUGCCAACUUUCAACAAUAUCCGUGGUUCUGUAACUAAAACCAUGAAAAGAAAGAGAGAGAUAAAUCAACCUUAAUAUUGUUUUCAGCAAUGUUAUUGCACCAAUGUUCUCUUCCAAUCUGCGGCUGUUACUGGCCAUAAAGUAAGCCCAAUUAUGUUUCCAAUCUGUUGUCAUCCUUGUUAGAAGCACAUUUAACGAUUUAAGCUCACUGCAAUUUGACAUUCCAAGAUAUUGAAGAUUAGAAAGAUGAGUAAGAGACGCAGGUAGCUCGUGAAAUUGUUACCACUAAGAACAAGAUAUCUCAAUGAGGAUAGACCAGAAAUAUCAAUAGGAAUAUCUCUUUCACCAUAUUGCACAGGUUGCAAUUUGACAACUUAUCGUCAAGCUUGGAGAGUUGAGUAAGAGAUGUUAGUAUGUUGUUGAAAUUGUUACCGCUAAGAUCAAGAUCUGUCAAAAGAGGAUAGGCAAGAAAUAGUACUAGGAAUAUCUCCUUCACCAAGAUUGCAAUCCCUUAGUUUCAAGUUUGUUAAUGAACUCAAACAGGAUAAUGAGGGUCGCAUAGGAGCUGUGGAAUUCAUCCUUCCUCUUUGGCUUACCUUGAAAAGAGAAAUGUGAUUUCUUUUUAACUUAGACGGACCCUUGCAUCUAUCAAAAGAAAAAACUUUAAGAUUUUUCAAUUGAGAAAUGAAGGAUGAUGGUUCUUUUAUGGUUGUUUCACUCAAGUCAAGCUUUUCCAAAGAUUCCGUCUGCUACAAAUUCUCUGGCAAAUAUUCAACUUUAUAACAACCAAAAAGAUCAAGAGUUUUUAGAUGUUCCAUUUUCCCAUAAAUCUCUGGAACCCUGGCAAGAUUUGAGCAACCUGAAAAAAAUUAAAGUUUCAAGGGAUUCCACUCCAAUUUUUGUUGGAAGACUCCUAAGACUUUUGCAGUUUCUUAAAUCUAAAAGUUUAAGUCUCUUAAGCAGUCCAAGUGACGGAUGGACAUCUACUAAUCUGGUACAACCUUCCAUAAUCAGAACUUUGAGAUAUGCGGCUGUUAUUAAUGGUAGUAGCAUUUUAAUUAUUUUAAUAUACUUUUACUUUUAGAAAUUUUGUCCCAUUCUUUUAUUUCAUGUCAUUUUUGAAAAAGAGUUUGAAUAAUAGGUUUGGAGUAGUAAAAAUGGCUCGUUUAAUAUUAUAAUAAUAUUUGUUACAUGUCAAAUCAGUUUCAUGUCAUUUGUUUUCUAAUUAUUAUUAUUAUUAUUUGAAACAUUAUUAUACGUUCCUAUAAUAUUUGUUCUUUUUGAUAGAAUGUCUAGAACUAUCUAUAGUCCCUCCCUCACCCUUAAAUAGGAGGAUAAUGCGCUUCAGCGUACUCAAACCCACGUCUUCCUGCACUAGCAACAAUACUGAUGCCAAUCGAGUUAGGACUCAAACCCACGUGUUCUUAAACGACUAGGUUUGACGACCCUAGGAAGUUAUCAUAGGCUAGACGAGGUCAGGAGAUAAACGGGUAUUAACCAAUCGAUUAAUUAGUUAGAGGUUGGGACGUAAUAAUUGACUAUCAGUAGCUAAUCUAUCCUCAAACCCUAAUCCGAAGUUUCGUACAAAUCUUGAAGCAAGUUAAUCUUCCUGAUUGAUUUAUUAAUUUUAGUGGAUUGUUAUUUUUCUUAUUUAAAUUCUCUCAUUAAUCUAUUUUAUGAUUUAUUGUAAUAUAGAGAUUAAUUACUACUUCUUAGACUUAUUAUUGUAAAAAGGUUUCCGUAGAUUUAUUCCAUCCUCUGUUAGGUACGAUCUUCGGAAUACUUCCAAAUAUUUUGUAAUACUAACUAUAUUACACUUUGACCCGUGCACUUGCAAACACCGCUAUUCUAAAUUCUUAUAUAUUUUUGGUGUAUUAUUUUAAUAUAAACAAUAACCCCUUUACCACUCCGUUGGCCCACUUUAGCUACAGACCCCUGCUUCAAACGAAUUGGGUCAGUGGUCACACCUUCCCCACUACCUCCAGCCUCAACGAAGACACCCUUUCCUUUUUUAUUAGCUUCCAGAAUUAUCUCCCUUAUUUCCUCCCAUCAUUCCCCAAUAUCAUUGACAGAAUCAAGAACUUUAAAUCUAGAAUCCCCAAUCAAAACCCCCGAAUUAGCGUUGCCUGCCUUCCAAGGAUCCCUAAAAUUAGGCCUUAACUUUCUCUCCACAAGCAUCCUUGAUCCGUAGACUGGUGACUCCUCUGGUCUAUCAUCUUCCACCAUCACCGCCAUAUCCGCCAUAGAGUGUUUCGCAUAAGCCCUGGAAGCCCCCUUGUUCUUGUUGGAGUUGGAAUCCUCAAUUGUAAAAGUCGCUGUAUCAAAUAUUUCGACCAUUAAUCAAACAAUAACAGAAACUUAACUAAAUAGGAGAAAAAAUCAAUUUGUACGAAAGGGCUAGUGAAGUAGUUUACACAAUUAUUGCUUCUUCCCUGAUCGGCCCGUUAUAAAAUUCAAAAAGUUUUGAAUCCUUUUAGGUGCGGCCCUUCUUCCUCUGUUUCCACGUCGAUAUCACGUUUUCGUUUUACAAGGGAAGUGCUGCCUGCGGAUCCAUCGUUUUCAGUAGAGUGAUGAUGGAUAUGUUCCAAGUUUGGAGAAGAUUGAAUGGUAUGGCACUGCAGCUCUUUUAUUUCUUCCAAAUCUUUCUCAUACAUUAUUCUAACACCACACUUCUUCACCUUAACAGAAGGAUACCUUUUUGGAGAAGAUUGGAAAGACAUCUCAAGCGAUAAAUCCUUGGCUUCACAUUUAUCCUUUAAUGAUAAUGGCGAGAAAUAUCGAAGAAAAAGGUGGUCCUUCUUUAUGCGUCGUCCACAAAAAUUAAGGAAACUGGAAUCGACCAUUCGACUAUUUUUAACUUGAAAAACAGAUCCAUUACUACUAGAUUGUCCAGAAUAUCUAGAAUGGAUAUAAGUUGGACCACCGAUAACCUUUAUCUCGGAACCAUCAUCAUCACCGAAAAUGCAGCAGAAAGCAACUCCAAUACAUUGACUGUCAUUCUGAAUAUUGAGAGGCAAAGGUAUUUCGAUUACAGAGCCGCCUCUCUGUUGGCUGAACCAUUCUGGGAUUUCAUUUCCAGGUAUAACAGCAUCAAAUCUUUUUCUUGAAUUCGCAAAUGCCUGCAAAUUAAAACAUCAGUCGUUCUUGAAUUUGCAAAAUAAAAUAUCGGUGGUUCUGUAACUAAAACCAUGAAAAAGAAGAGAGAGAUCAAUCAACCUUAAUAUGUGUUUUCAGCAAUGUUAUUGCGCUCAUGUUCUCAGCCAAUCUGUAGCUGUUAAUGGCUAAAAAGUAAGACCAAUUAUGUUUCCAAUCACUUGUCUUCCUUUUUAGAACCACAGGCAACGAUUCAAGCUCUCUGCAAUUACACACUCCAAGAUAUUGAAGAUUGGAAAGACGAGCAAGAGACGCAGCUAUGCUGGUGAAAUUGUUACUAUUAAGAUAAAGAACUUUCAAUGAGGAUAGACCAGAAAUAUCACUAGGAAUAUCUUCUACACCCAUAUUGCACAGGCCGCAACUUGACAAACUAAGUUCUUCAAGCUUGGAGAGUCCAGUAAGAGAUGCCGGUAUUCUUAUUGAAAUUGUUACCGUUAAGCUCAAGAUAUGUCAAAGAGGAUAGACAAGAAAUAGCACUAGAAAUAUCUCCUUCACCAAGAUUGCAGUCCCUUAGUUUCAACCUUGUUAAUGAACUCAAACCGGAUAAUGAAGGUAGCAUUGAAGCUAUGGAAUUCAUCCUUCCUCUUUGGCUUACCUUGAAAAGAGAAAGGAGAUUUCUUUUUAACUUACACGGACCCUUGCAUCCACCGAAAUAUAGAACUUUAAGAUUUUUCAAUUGAGAAAUGAAGGAUGGUGGUUCUUUUAUGGCUGUUUUACUCAAGUCAAGCUCUUCCAAAGAUUCUGCUUGAUGUAAACUCUCUGGCAAAUAUUCAACUUUAUAACAAUCAGAAAGAUCAAGAGCUUUUAGAUGUUCCAUUUUCCCAUCAAUCUCUGGAAACCUUGCAAGAUUUGAGCAACCCGAAAGAAUUAAAGUUUCAAGGGAUUCCAUUCCAAUUUUGGUUGGAAGACUCCUAAGACUUUUGCAAUCUCUUAUAUUCAAAAGUUUAAGUCUCUUAAGCACUCCAAGUGAUGGAUGAACAUCUACUAAUAUAGUACAACCUUCCAUAAUUAAAACUUCGAGAUAUGGGGCUGUUGUGAAGUUUGGCGUCUUGAUGAGAUUUUGGGACCCUUUAAGGCUGAUUAUUUUCAACUUAUACAAGGGCUGUCGAAAACAAUAAUAGAGUAGAGAGAAAGGAGAAAACAACAUAAUAAACCUUAUUAUUAUUAUUAUUAUUAUUAUUAUUAUUAUUAUCAUCUUGUUCAAAUUUUAACCGUUUGUAAUAUUAAAAAAAAUUAAUUGUUUAUAUUAAAAUAAGCUAAAACAUAAGGAUUAGAUGAAUUUAAUUCUUACUCUAUUUCCCUUCCACAGUUGUUCAAUGCGACUAUAUGGUAAGAGAAGUACGACAAGGUUGUCCGGUUGAAAGCUUGAAGGCAAUGAUCUUAAAGGAUAUUCUGUCCAAUCUAAAAAUCGUAGCUCAUCAGAAAGAUAUUUGAGAUCAUCACAAUUUGAUACGCAAAGCACUCUGAGCAAUCUCAAUCUUUUCAUCUUCGAGAAGACAUCGUCACUCAAAUUGAGCAUCUUGCUUGAUUCCCUAAAAACCAAGGCAAACAAAAAAUGAGCAUUAAAAUAUACAAGAACAUUCAAUACCUAAAAGCUAUGUUUCUCCAAUACUAUAUUUUAAGGACUUUUAUCGAUCCGAUACUUAUAUCUAACAUGUGUCCAAAUAUAAGCAUUGAUAUAUGAUCCUUCAAGAACUCUUUAAAUACAUGAAAAGGCCUUUUAAAAAAAUCACACAUACCCAAUUUAGACAUAUAUAUAUCUAUAAACACUCACUUUUGACUUCGAAUUACUUAAAGCUUUAGAAACUAGAAAUAAAUCUUGAUUUAUAUUAGUGCAAUGAUAAUGCGUAAUUAUUUAUUGAACGAAUUAUUAUUUUGCUGAACAAUCAGCUUCCUGUAUUCAAGGAGUUUUACAAGUCUAACUGACUCUUGUAACUGCUAACUGCUUACAACAACCUGCUAACAACUAACAACAAUAGUUAACUGCUAUUAUCACUUUACUUUAUAACUCAACAGGGUGCGAUCUCUUCGCCAGCCUCCAGCUUUGGAUCAUCCCUGAAGGUGACGAUCCCACUACUCUGUAGAGCAUCAUAAAGAUGACCCGUGAAGUUCUUGCGAGUAUCUUCACCUCUAAAACUCAAGAAAACAUCAUAUUUCUUUCUAGAAAUGGGCGAAGAAGUCGAAAGUAACGACAACAUGAGGAUGUAUGAAAGGAGAAGGAUAUCUCUAUCUGGUGUUCAAAAUCAGAAAAUAGAUCGCCCGAUACUCGCAAAGAAACUAGAAAAAGUAAGUAUAUAAGCAUAUGGGCGGAGAUUAGAGGUCAAAAUGAGUGAUGGAUGUUCUUUCCAAGAAGAAUCCAAGAAGGUGAGACUGGGCACAGUGGAGGUCAUUAAAAAUGUUGGACGGUUUGUAUUUUACGUAUUUAAUAAUUAUAGAGUAGAUAAGAUUAUGCCAAUAAUCAUUAGAAUAUAUCUUUAAUAAUUAUCCUUCGUUAUGGGCUGGUUAAAAAGUUUACCAAACAACCAACUACUCGCGUUGGCACGUGGAAAACUUCUAUCUCUAAAGACACAUCCAUUUGGGCUGGUUUAGAUUAUUUUUGGUUGGGGAUUAACCUGAUUAAGUAACGAACAAAUAAAAAUAGCGAAAAAAUUAAGAAAUUGAACACACAAAUUUAACAUGAAAAAACUCUCCGAAGAGGAUAAAAAACCACAGGCAAAGAUAAUUUUACUAUAAUGGCAAAAGAACGAAGAGUACACAAUAUGAAGAUAAAAAUUAAACCCCGAAAACAAAGAGCCCUCAAAACAUAAACACAAUUUUUCAAAAGUGCUCGAAGUUCUAAUUUCUAGAAGUUCUAAUCUCUAGAAGUUCUAAACACAAAAUUCGUAUAUGAUAUAAUAAUAAAAUAAUUUAGACUAAUCAGAGUUUGAUUGAAACAAAUAAACAGAGUUUAAUUGAAAGAUUAUUUCUCAAAUUUGACUGAAAUAUGAGUCAUACUCAACAAAUCUCCACCUUGACUCGUAUUUUCACAAUGCCACCUUUAUCAAAGCCUGCUACGAGCUUAUCUUGAACUAUACAGGGAAUUAAUUGAGUUGAAUUUGUGUUUAGAAGCUGGAAUACUUCUAGACUUCGACUUGUACACUACCAAAUCAAAACUAACCUGAGUCUAAUUUUCACAAACACAGUGUUCUAACUUUUCAAAAUCUACAUCUAAAAGAGAACCUCUGUUCGAAACAAGUUAACUUUGACUCCAUAAUAGACGAGGGACGUCCGAUUUCACCAAUCACUGUAGAACCUUCAAAACAAUAAAGACUACCGGUCCUUUUACCAUUUAACAAAACAAGAGCCCCACGAGACACCUUAAUGCCGCUCGACUUGAUGUUGAUUCUGCAACUUUUCGAGUCUAAAUUACUUAAGGAGAUGAGAUUCUUUCGUAAAUCAGGUACAUACUUGACAUCUGAGAGUGUCUUAAUCGCCCCAUCGUGCAUCCUAAUUUUAAUGGUACCAAUACCAAUUACCUUACUAGAUGAAUCGUUUCUCAUGCGCUCACCUCCACCUUCAACCGAACUAUAUAUGGAGAACCAUUCUCUGUUGGGACACAUGUGGAAAGAACAUCCCGAAUUUAGGAUCCACUCAGACAUAAGCUUAGAACUAUCGCUUGUUGACACUAAUAAAAAAUCAUCACCGCUAUUGUCAGCCAAAUUAUCACGAGCUACAUCUUCUUCGUUGCUCUCAAUAACCCUUUUAUUUCGCAGUUUAUAACAAUCUGCUUUGACGUGACAUAACUUUUUACAAUAGCGACAUCUUUUGUCUCACUUCUUUGAUGUUACCAAAACAGAAGCUUGUCUAUUUUCCUUGAUAUUCAAACCAAACUCAUUGUCGAGUUUAUAUUUGCUUAAUAAAUGACCCUUUACAUCCUCGAAUGAGAGAUUAUCUCUCCCAUAAAUCAUGGUUUCCCUAAAAGACUGGUAUAAAGUGAGUAAAGAGCACAACAAUAGCAUAGUCUGAUCCUCAUUGUCGAUCUGAACCUCAACGCUAUUUAAAUAAUUUAAAAGAUUAAUGAAUUGACUGAUGUGAUCUCUAAGAAGCUCACAUUUGUUCAUGCAAAACGUAAAUAGAUGUUGUUUCAAUACUAAACGGUUAGCCAAAGACUUAGUCGCUCGCAUAAAGAGUUUCUAACCUUUUCCACAAGGCAGAUGGGGUCUUCUCCAUUAAUACCUCCUAUAAUACUCUAUUCGCGAGGCACAAUUAGAUCGCUGAUAAGGCCUUUUCAUCAAGCUCUUCCCAUUCUGACUGAUCUAGAUUCUCGGGCCUUUUCCCGGUAACAACCUUUUUCAGGCCUGUUUGAACUAGAAUUGUCAUCAUCCGAACUUGCCACAUAUUGAAAUUUUUGACACCAUUGAAUUUCUCAAUGUCAAACCUUGUUGUUGUCAUCUCUGAACGAGCUGAUAUGCGAAAAUCGAACUAGCUCUUAUACCAUUUGUUGUGGAUCAACUUGAUUAAGCAACGGACAAGUAAAAAUAACAAAAUAAAUUCAAAAAUUGAACACACAAAUUUAACGUGGAAAAACCCCUCCGAAGAGGAUAAAAAACCAUAGGCAAAGAUAAUUUUACUAUAAUGGCAAAAGAACGAAGAGUACAAAAUAUGGAGACGAAAACCAAAACCCGAAAAUAAAGAACCCUCAAAACCUGAACACAAAAUUCUCCAAAAGUGUUAUGAGUUCUAAUCUCUAAUGGGUGUAUUUUCUAAAGUUUUAAAAGAGUCUAUUUAUAGGUUAAAGUCGUAGGUCAAAUAAUAAUAAAAUAAUCUAAACUAACUAAUUUUUUAAAUUUAACUGAAAUAUGAGUCAUGCUCAACAUUUUUGAAAUAUGUGAUUUUUUUAGGUUGGAAGAUGAGAUUAGUGUAAAAAUUUAAAUACAAUAAUUUUUGAGUCCUUUAAAAUAUAUAAAUUUUGAUUCGAUGCAUCUAUAUAAAUAAAACUUUGAUUGUAGUUCAAAACAAAAUGUGAAUACAUAUAUUACCUAGAGUCAAUAUAGUCUUUUAAAGAUGUCACCCAUCCACCCACUAAGUAAUAAUUAAAUAAAAAGUUACUAAUUUUAUAUUAAAAACUUAGUUAUUUUAUAAAUUUUCUGCAGUUUUCAAUGUAAUUUUCUGGAUGAUAAUGAAUAGCAGCACAUGAUGCUAUGAAUAAAGAAGAACAAGUUGGGCAGAAUUUUCAAUUGAAUUUAUUAUAUUAUAUAUAUUUUUAGAGUAAAAGUGGGAUUGGCCAAGAAUCGAAUUUAAUUUUAGUGCUAAUUGAAAAUUCAAUUACAAGUUUUUAUUUCUCCAUAUAUAGUUUAAAUUACUCUUUUAUUACUAUAGUCUUAUAAUUAAUUAUUAAUGAUGUCGAUGUAGGUUAUUAAUGGUAGUAGCAUUUUACUUAUUUUAAUAUAUUUUUAUUUUUAGAAAUUUUAUCCUAUUCUUUUGUUUCAUGUCAUGUUCGAAAAAGAGUUUGAAUGGUAGGGUUGGAGUAGUACAAAAUGGCUCAUUUAAUAGUACAAUAAUAUUUGUUACAUGUCAAAUCGGUUUCAUGUCGCGUUAAUAUCUAGAAUUUGAUUUCUAAUAUAUAUUUUAUUAUUAUCAUUAUUAUUUGAAACCUUAUUAUAAGUUGUUAUCAUAUUCGUUCUUUUUGAUACAAUGUUAAGAACUAUUCAUAUAGUCCCUUCCCCACCCUUAAAUAGAAGGACAAUGCGCUUCAAUAUACUUAAACCCACGUCCUUCUGCGCUAGCAACAAUGCCGAUUCCAAUCAAGUUAGGACUCAAAUCCAGGUGUUCUUAAACAAUUAGGUUUGACGACUCUAAGAAGUUAUCAUAGGUUAGACGAGGUCGGGAGAUAAAUGAGUAUCAAUCAAUCGAUUAAUUAGUUAGAGGCCGGGAGGUAAUAAUUGACCAAUCAGUAGCUAAUUCAACUUAAAACCCUAAUUUGAAGUUUGUUACAAAUCUUGAAGUGAGUUAAUCUUCUUGAUUGAUUUAUUAAUUUUAGUCGAUUAUUAUUUUUCUUAUUUCAAUUCUCUCAUUAAUCUAUUUUAUGGUUUAUAGUAAUAUAGAGAUUAAUUAUUACUAAACUUAUUAUUGUAAAAAGAUUUAUUCCAUCCUCUCUUGGGUAUGCUUCUCAUAAUACUUCCAAGUAUUUUGUUACAAUUUGACCUGUUCACUUGCUAACAUUACCAUUCUAAAUUCUUGUAUAUUUUUGGUGUAUUAUUUUACUAUAAACAAAUAUAACUUGUUUAUAAACGGCCACCCGCUUCCCCUUUACCACUACCUUGGCCCACUUUAGCUACAGACCCCUGCUUCAAACGAAUUGGGUCAAUGGUCCGACCUUCCCCAGUACCUUUGGGAUUGGGAUGCCCAUUCAAUGGACUAAGAAAGCAGAAAAGUUUUAUCAUAUCAUUUUUUAUUUAUUAAAUGUGUGGUAUUUAUAUCAAGCAUGAUUCAAGUAUUCUACUUUUAAUUUCAAAAUGCAUUCUGCCUUCUUUGAUUUACUACUCUCUAUAUCAAUUUCGUGUUGGUAUUAUGAACACCAAUAUAUUUCUCGUUCCAUCACAUCAAUCAAUGUUCCCAAUAUAAUGAAUCUAUUUGUACCAUCAAACAAUCACAAAAAAACUUCACUAAAUAGGAGAAAAACCUAUUUGUACGAAAGCGCUGGUGAAGUAGUUUACACAAUUACUGCUUCUUCCCUGAUCGGCCGGUUAUAAAAUUGAAAAUGUUUUGCAUCCGUUUAGGCUUCGGCCCUUCUUCCUCUGUUUCCUCGUCGAUAUCACGUUUUCGUUUUACAAAGGAAGUGCUGCCUGCGGAUCCAUCGUUUUCAGUAGAGUGAUGAUGGAUAUGUUCAAAGUUUGGAGAAGAUUGAGUGGUAUGGCACUGCAUCUCUUUUGUAUCUUCCAAAUCUUUCUCAUACAUUAUUCUAACACCACACUUCUUCACAUUAACAGAAGGAUACCUUUUUGCAGAUUGGAAAGACAUCUCAAGCGAUAAAUUCUUGGUUUCCCAAUUAUCCUUUAAGGAUAAUGGAUAAAAUACUUCACGCGAGAAAUAACGAAGUAAAAGGUGGUCCUUCGUUAUGGGACGUCGAUCAAAAUCAAUGAAAUUGAAAUCGACCCUUCGACUAUUUUUAACUUGACAAACAGAUCCAUCACUACUAGAUUGUCCAGAAUAUGUAGAAUGGAUGUAAGCUGGACCACCGAUAACCUUUAUCUCGGAACCAUCAUCAUCGCCAAAAAUGCAGCAGAAAGCAACUCCAAUCCAUUGGCUGUCAUUCUGAAUAUUGAAAGGCAAAGGUAUUUCAAUUACAGAGCCGCCUCUCUGUUGGCUGAACCAUUCUGGGAUUUCAUUUCCAGGCAUAACAACAUCAAGUCUUUUUCUUGAAUUCUCAAAUGCCUGCAAAUUAAAACAUCAGUCGUUCUUGAAUUUGCAAAAUAAAAUAUCGGUGGUUCUGUAAAUAAAACCAUGAAAAAAAAGGAGAGAUCAAUUAACCUUAAUAUGUGUUUUCAGCAAUGUUAUUGCACUCAUGUUCUCAGCCAAUCUGUAGCUGUUAAUGGCUAUAAAGUAAGACCGAUUAUGUUUCCAAUCACUUGUCUUCCUUGCUAGAAGCACAGGCAACGAUUCAAGCUCACUGCAAUUACACAGUCCUAGCCUUUGAAGAUUGGAAAGACGAGCAAGAGACGCACCUAUGCUGGUGAAAUUGUUACCAUGAAGAUCAAGAACUCUCAAUGAGGAUAGACCAGAAAUAUCACUAGGAAUAUCUCCUUCACCCAUAUUGCGCAGGCCGCACCUUGACAAACUAAGUUCUUCAAGCUUGGAGAGUCCAGUAAGAGAUACCGGUAUUCUGUUGAAAUUGUUAACGCUAAGAUCAAGAAAUGCCAAAGAGGAUACACCAGAAAUAGCACUAGGAAUAUCUCCUUCACCAAGAUUGCAGCCCCUUAGUUUCAACCUUGUUAAUGACCUCAAACCGGAUAAUGAAGGUAGCAUUGGAGCUAUGAAAUUCAUCCUUGCUCUUUGGCUUACCUUGAAAAGAGAAAGGAGAUUUCUUUUCAACUUAUACGGACCCUUGCAUCCAUCGAAAGACAAAACUUUAAGGUUUUUCAAUUGAGAAAUGAAGGAUGGUGGUUCUUUUAUGGCUGUUUCACUCAAGUCAAGCUUUUCCAAAGAUUCUGCUUGAUGCAAAUUCUCUGGCAAAUAUUCAACUUUAUAACAACCAGAAAGAUCAAGAGUUUUUAGAUGUUCCAUUUUCCCAUCAAUCUCUGGAAACCUUGCAAGAUUUGAGCAACCCGAAAGAAUUAAAGUUUCAAGGAAUUCCAUUUCAAUUUUGGUUGGAAGUCUCCUAAGACUUUUGCAAUUUCUUAAAUUCAAAAGUUUCAGUCUCUUAAGCACUCCAAGUGAUGGAUGAACAUCUACUAAUCUGGUACAAUCUUCCAUAAUCAACACUUCGAGAUAUGGGGCUGUUGUGAAGUCUGGUGUCUUGAUGAGGUUUUGGGACCCUUUAAGGCUGAUUAUUUUCAACUUAUACAAAGGCUGUCCAAAACAAUAACAGAUUAGAGAGAAAAGAGAAAACAUAAUAAACCUCAUUAUUAUUAUCUUAUUCAAAUUUUAACAGUUUAUAAUAUUAAAAAAAUUAAUAGUUUAUAAUAAAAUAAGCUAAAACACAAGGAUUAGAUGAAUUUAAUUCUUACUCUAUUUCCCUUCCAUAGUUGUUCAAUGCGACUAUAUGGUAAGAGAAGUAUGACAAGGUUGUCUAGUUGAAAGCUUGAAGGCAAUGAUUUUAAAGGAUAUCCUGUCCAAUCUAAAAACCGUAGCUCAUUGGAAAGAUAUUUGAGAUCAUUACAAUUUGAGAGGCAAAGCACUCUCAGCAAUCUUAAUUUUUUCAUCUUCAAGAAGACAUUGACACUCAAAUUGAGCAUCUUGCUUGAUUCUCUACAAAACCACGGGCAAACAAAAAAUAAGCAUUAAAAUAUACAAAAACAUUCAAUACCUAAAAGCUAUGUUUCUCCAAUAAUACUAUUUUUUAGGAUUUUCAUCCCUUACUUAUACCUAACAUGUGUCCAAAUAUGAGCAUUGAUAUAUGAUCCCUCAAGAACUCUUUAAAUAUAUAUGAAAAAACUUCUUAAAAAAUCACACAUACCCAUUUUAGACAUAUAUCCCAUUUGACUUCGAAUUACCUAAGUUUUAAAAACUAGAAUUAAAAUCUUGAUUUAUGUUGGUGCAAUGAUAAUGCAUAAUUUUAUUUAUUAUUACUGAACGAAACAAUAACACAUCAUUAAAAAUUUAAUUGGUUUUAUUUUGAAAAUUUUUUGAUGACAUAUUAAUUGGAUACUUUUACCAAAAAAACCAAUAACAAUAUUAAUAAUACACAUCAUAAAUGUGUAUGUAUGUUUUCUUACCUUUGAUUGUCAAUGAUCAUGCUUUCAAUCAUUUCUGUAACCUAAAAAAGCAAGAAUAGAGAAUAAAUAACCUUUUGAUCGAAAUAGAGUAAAUAGAUCAUUUUAAAUAAGGUAAAACAUUUCCGAUGAGAGAGAUUCAAUUAAAUUAAAUACUUAUUUAUACAAAUCCUUAUUAACAGUAAUCAUCAACAAAAGGCAUUUAUGUCAAUGCUACUCAACUUCAAAUUUUUUAUGGACUGCUAUAUUAAUCAAUUGGACUAAGCCUUACUCAAUUUUAUUUCAGAAAUAAAGUAAAAUAUUUUCGAAUGAGAGUAAUUCAAUAAAAUUAAAAACUUUAUUACAAAUCAUUAUUAAUAUUUAUAAUUAACAAAAAUGGAAAUUAUUUUAAAGCCACUCAAUGUCAGUUAAGGAUCGAUAUGUAAAUUAAUUAGGCUAAAUUUUAGAUUUACAUCAUAUAUUGAUAAAAAGAAAAUUUUGUAUUUAAUUUUUGUUGAAUGAUUUACCGUGUUUUUUGUUAGGACAUGAUGGACAUCCCUUUCUUUCCACAAUCUACAACGUUUUCCAGGUUCAUCAACGCAUUUUUCUUCAACAAUUUUUCUUCCCAUUUCUUGCAACAAGGCAUGCAUCUUCAAACGUUUGUUGUCAUCACUAACUUUUAUCAAAGAUUUCUUAAUGAGAAUAUCGAUUCCAAUAUCUGGAAAAAACUCACAACCAUCCAAUACUUUCGUUAUAAAAUCUCUCUUCUCACCAUUGAAAAAGCAUGCUAUAUCUAGAAAUAUAUUCUUCUCCUUUUCUUCCAAUCCAUCAAAGCUAAUUCUUAGCGUGUUAAGAAUUUCUUUGUUAGAAUCUUCUUCAAGUCUUUCGAUUGCACUUCUCCAUUGAACUAUAUCUCUAUCGCACAAAAAUGAACCCAAAACUUCAAGAGCUAAGGGGAGACCACCAGCAUAACAUACAACAAGUUCAGAAAGCUCAAUGAAAUCAUCUUUUGGAACUGUAUCACUAUGAAAAGCUUUCAAAUUGAAAAGUCUAAGUGCAUCGUCUGGAUCCAAUGUUUUAGGCUUAUACACACCAUCGACUCCGUAAGAUCGGAGUAAAUGUUCAUCUCUUGUUGUUACAAUGAUUCGACUCCCUAAACCAAACCAAUCACGCCUUCCAACCAAGCAUUUCAAGUGCUGUACAUUAUCAACAUCAUCAAGAACAACAAGAACCUUUUCACUGCACAACCUGCGGCUAAUUAUGGCAUUCCCUUCAUGAACAUUGAAAAAAUUGAAGCAUUUAUUUGGCAAGAUUUGAGAAAGAAGUUGUUUCUGUAAAGAAACAAGUCCACAUUUGUUUGAAACUUCUCGAAUAUCAGCAAGAAAGCUUUUGCCUUCAAAAUGAGGUGACAUUUGAGUGUAAACAACCCUUGCAAUAGUUGAUUUACCGAUGCCACCCAUUCCGCAAAUUCCUAUAAUGCGGACAUCAUCUUCCCCAAUGUUUAUUUUCGAAUACAACUCCUUCAAAGGUAAGCUAAUUCCAACCAAUUCAUCAUGAACAAUUGGAUAUGUCUCACAUAAUUUGGCUGAUAUCUUCCUAACAAUGUCUCCGAUAAACUCUGAUUCAUUCCUACAACGAAAUAAAAAAAUGUUUCUAUCUUUCAAAUGCUCUUUGUCAUUUGUAGUUCAAUGAAUCAUGAAAUAUAAUAUAGUUGGAAGCAAAGAAAAAGCAAGAAUAAGACAGUAAGAUAUAUUAUGGCAUCAAAAAACACAACUUUCUCGUUAGAAUUCUUAAUUAAACACAAAAUUAUAAAAAAUUACAUGCAAUCUAGAAAAAAACAAUUUUUUAGUCAUUAAAAUUAGGAAAUAGAGAAGAAAUGAAAGAAUUACCCAUUAUGUAAAUGCCAUCCUUUGAUCUUAGCUACUUCAGUCAAAGCAUUUCGCCACUUUUCGAUCUUGUCUUUAUCUUCCUUGUACCUCUCUUCAUGUUUGGCAAAGGCUGCUUCUACUUUUUCUUUUUGGUUUCUUAAAUCGGAUGGAUCCACAUGGUAGAAAAUUGGAAAUACUUUAUGUCCAUUAGCAUUUUUUUGUUGAACAAUCUCAGCAAGCUCCUCCAAGCACCAUCCUGAAAAGGCAUAGGUUUUUGAAAAAAUAAUUACCGAGCACCAUGAUUGCUGAAUUGCUUUGGAGAGUUCGGGGGCGAUCUCUUCGCCAGCCUCCAGCUUUGGAUCAUCGCUGAAGGUGACGAUCCCACUACUCUUUAGAGCAUCAUAAAGAUGAGCCGUGAAGUUCUUGCGAGUAUCUUCACCUCUAAAACUCAAGAAAACAUCAUAUUUCUUUCUUGAAAUGGGCGAAGAAGUCGAAGGUAACGACAACAUAAGGAUGUAUGAAAGGAGAAGGAUACCUCUAUCUGGUGUUCAAAAUGAGAAAAUAGAUCUCCCGAUCCUCGCAAAGAAACUAGAAAAAGUAAGUAUAUGAGCAUAGGGGUGGAAAUUAGGGGGUCAAAGAUGAGUGAUGUAUGUUCUUUCCAAUAAGAAUCCAAGAAGGUGAGAGUUGGCAAAGUGGAGGCUGUUAAAAAUGUUGGACGGUUUGUAUUUUUCGUAUUUAAUAAUUAUAGAGUAGAUAAGAUUAUGACAAUAAUCAUUAGAAUAUAUCUUUAAUAAUUAUUCUUCGUUAUGGGCUGGUUUAAAAGUUGACCAAACAACCAACUACUCGCAGGACACGUGGAAAACUUCUAUCUCGAAAGACAGAUCCAUUUCAGCUGCUUAAGAUUAUUUUUGGUUAGAGCCGACCCGAAUAACACAACGUGGAAAAACUCUCCGAAAAGGAUAAAAAAUCACAAGUAAUGAUAAUUUUAUUAUAAUGGCAAAAGAAUUAAUGGUACAAAAGAUGAAGAUAAAAAUUAAACCCCGAAAACAAAGAACUCUCAAAAUAUAAACACAAAAUUCUCUAAAAGUGUUAUAAAUUCUAAUCUCUAAUAGGUGUAUUUUCUAAUACUGUAAAAAAAUUCUAUUGAUAGGCUAAAUUCGUAUGUGAAAUAAUAAUAAAAUAAUCUAGACUAAUCAGAUUUUGAUUGAAACAAAUAAAUAGAGUUUAAUUGGAAGAUUAUUUAUCAAAUUUGACUGAAAUAUGAGUCAUACUCAACAAAUCUCCACAUUGACUGGUAUUUCCACAACGCCACCUUUGCCAAAGCCUACCAAGAGCCUAUCUUGAACUAUGUAGUGAAUUAAUUGAGUUGAAUUUGUGUUUAGAAGCUGGAAUGUUUCUAGACUUCAACUUGUGCAUUGCCAAAUCAAAACUAACCCGGGUCUGAUUUUCACAAACACAAUGCUCUAACUUUUUAAAACCGACAUCUAAAAGAGAACCUCCGCUCCAAACGAGUUAACUUUGACUCCGUAAUAGAUGAGGGACGUCCGAUUUCACUAAUCACUGUAUAACCUUUAAAAAAAUAAAGACUGUCGGUCCUUUUACCUUUUAACAAAAUGAGAGUCCCACAAGACACCUUAAUGUCGCCAGACUUGAUGUUGAUUCUGUAACUUUUCGAGUCUAAAUUACUUAAGCAGAUGAGAUUCUUUCGUAAAUCAGGUACAUACCUGACAUCUUAGAAUGCCCUAAUCGUCUCAUCGUGCAUCCUAAUUUUAUAGUACCAAUACCAAUUACCUUACCAGAUGAAUCAUUUCCCAUACGCUUAGCUCCACCUUCAACCGAAUUGUAUGUGGAGAACCAUUCUUUACUGGGACACAUGUGGAAAGAACAUCCCAAAUCUCGGAUCCACUUGGACAUAAGCUUAGAACUACCGCUUGUUAACACUAAUAAAAAAUCAUCACUGCUUUUGUCGGCCAAAUUAGCACGAGCUACACCUUCCUCAUUGCUCUCAAUAGCCUUUUUAAUUCGCAGUUUAUAACAAUUUGCUUUGACGUGACCUAACUUAUAACAAUAGCGAAAUCUUUUGUCUCACUUCUUUGAUGUUACCAAAAUAGAAGCUAGCCUAUUUUCCUUGCUAUCCAAACCAAACUCAUUGUUGAGUUUAUCUUUGCUUAACAAAUGACCUUUCACGUCCUCCGAUGAGAGAUUAUCUCUCCUAUAAGUCAUAGUUUCCCUGAAAGACUUGUAUAAAGGGAGUAAAGAGCACAAAGAUAAUAUAGUCUGCUCCUCAUCAUCAAUUUGAACCGCAACGUUAUUUAAAUCAUUUAAAAGAGUAAUGAAUUGACUGAUGUGAUAUCUAAGAAGCUCACAUUUGUUCAUGCGAAAUGUAAAUAGUUGUUGCUUUGGAGAGUUCGGGUGCGAUCUCUUCGCCAGCCUCCAGCUUUGGAUCAUCCCUGAAGGUGAUGAUCCCACUACUCUGUAGAGCAUCAUAAAGAUGACCCGUGAAGUUCUUGCGAGUAUCUUCACCUCUAAAACUCAAGAAAACAUCAUAUUUCUUUCUAGAAAUGGGCGAAGAAGUCGAAGGUAACGACAGCAUGAGGAUGUAUGAAAGGAGAAGGAUAUCUCUAUCUGGUGUUCAAAAUCAGAAAAUAGAUCGCCCGAUCCUUGCAAAGUAUAUGGGCAUAGGGGCGGAAAUUAGGGGUCAAAGAUGAGUGAUGGAUGUUCUUUCCAAUUCAAGAAGGUGAGACUUGGAACAGUGGAGGAUAUUAAAAAUGCUGGACGGUUUGUAUUUUACGUAUUUAAUAAGAUUUUGACAAUAAUCAUUAGAAUAUGUCUUUAAUAAUUAUCCUUCGUUAUGGGCUGCUUAAAAAGUUUAUAUGGUAAUUAUUAUAAUGCAACGAUUAAAGAAAGAAAGAAAAGUUUGUGCAGAAUUUUCAAAUUUGGAUGGCGCUGGAAUUAUAAGUUGCAAUGAAUAAAAGAAAGAAAAAGUUGUGCAGAACUUUCACCAUAUUCACUAAAUGAUACAGCUUGCCCCACCUUUUCUUUUCAAAUAUUUAUUUAUUUUUGGUGACGGGGUUCAUGCUUUUAAUUUGUUUAUUACUAUGAUUAUGAAUCAAACUUUUUUUUUAAUAUUUGUGGUGUUUUAUAAGUUGUUACAGGGAGAUGUUUUAUUGGGAUAAAUUACAUUAAAGAUCACUAAAUUAUUAAUAAGUUUAUAUUUUGGUCAUUGAAUUUUAAAAAGUUAUUAAAUAAUCGCUAAAUUAUUUAAACUUUUUUAUUUAAGUCACUGAAUUAUCCAAAAAAUUUUAUUAAAAUUAGUUAUUUGUUACAUUUUUUAUUUUUCUUUUAAAUAUACAUAUAUUUAUUAGGAAAGGGUCAAAGGUUUUGAUUUGUUUAUUAUUAGGGAUAAAUGUCAAAUUUAUAUAUGAACUUUGGUUCAAAGUGCAAUUUGAUACAUGCAUGAAUUUUGACUUGGUGCAAUUAUCCACAUGAAAUUUAAAUUGUGGUUCAUAUAUAUACAUGAAAUUUAAUUUUGAUUCAAUUGUACGCAUUUAAAGAAAUGAAUACAUAUAAUUAUUUUCACAUUGAAUAAAAGUUCAUGUCUUCUGUUAUUAUCAUGGGUGAUACAUGGAUUUAAAGGAGCUCAUGUGUUCAUAGUGAUGAACUAUUAUUGAGUGUUGAUUUUCACUUACCGUAGUUAAAGUGAGUUGGGAGAGAGUUUACUUAAUUGUAUAAUAGUGAGGUUGCACCAAGUUAGGCUUGAAUAAUUUUAUUGUAUUGUGAAGUUUAUAGUGGAUUCAUCUGACAGAUGUAGGACGAGUUUCAAACUACACAAUCAUCUUGGUUGUGCUCUUUAUUUUGCUUGUUGCAUGUGUCAACUCAAAAAUUAAUUUUUGUUUUUCAAAAAAUUUAAACUUAUAAUUAUAUCAAUAGUCUCCAUUAAAAUUUAUCUAUCAAAUUAAAUAAACAACUCAAAAAUUAACUUGUCUGCACAUAAUUAUAGAUAUUAAACUUUUUUAACUUUUUGAAUUUUUAAUGAUUUUUGUCUCCAUUAUUGUAAAAAUUUAAAUUAAUUCCCAAAUAUGUAAUGCUUGUGAUUAUUUUUGGUUGGGAUCGACCCGAUUAAGCAACGAACAAGUAAAAAUAACGGAAGAAAUUGAGAAAUUAAACACACAAAUUUAACAUGAAAAAACUCUCUGAAGAAGAUAAAAAAAUUACAGGCAAAGAUAAUUUUAUUAUAAUGGCCAAAGAAAGAAAAUUACAAAAGAUGGAGAUAAAAAAAACAAAUAAUUUUACUAUAUUUAGAGUAUAAAUACACAAGGUUGAAAUGAAGCAAUGGUGGAGUAGGAAGGCAGUGUUAUUAAAUACUAAAUAAUUGUUUUGUGAAAAUGGGAUAUUUUUACUUUUUUAUCCAUUACAUAUCACUGUUCCUGUCUUCCUUUCCAUGUUUUUGUAAAAACCAGAUUCCCACCAUUCUUUUCUCUUUGGUAAAUGUUGAUUGCUGAGAGGACAAUCUUUUUGCACAUUCCCGAACUCUAUGGACAUGAUUUUUUGCAUCUCAAUCAAAGGUUUGAAAAUCCCAUUCAAAGCUGCAAAGUUGAAAUUAUGUUUAGGAUUUUAUUUUACUUCCGAAUGGUAUCCAAGUAUUGAACUUUCAUGUUCGUAUUAUGGACACGAAUAGUCCAUCACAUCAAUCAAUGUUGCGGAUAUAAAGAAUACUUAAUUAUGGUAAAUAAGAAUCUAUUUGUACAAUUAAACAAAAACAGGGAAAAAGAGAAACUUAAUUAAAUAGGAGAAAAUAUCUUGAAAAGGCUAGUCAAGUAGUUUACCACAAUUACUGCUUCUUCUCUGAACGACCCAUUAUAAAAUUGAAUUUUGUUUUCAUCUGUUUAGGUCCUCUGUGUCCUCGUGGAUAUUACGUUUUCGUUUUACAGGGGAAGUGCUACCUGCGGAUCCAUCCUUGUCAGUAGAGUGAUGAUGGAUGUGCUCAAAGUUUAGAGAAGAUUGAGUGGUAUGUCACUGCAAAUCUUUCUCAUAGAUUAUUCUAACACCACACUUCUUCACCUUGAAAGAAGGAAAACCAUCUGCGCCUUUGAAAGACAUCUCAAGCUUAUCGCAUUCAUGAUCAGAGCAAUCCAUUGUCCAUGCAUAUUGUAAUUCACGAGAGAAAUAACGAAGAAAAAGGUGGUUGUUCGUUAUGGGCUGCUCCUAUUCCCCGCCUAAACCAAUGAAACUGGGAUCGACCGUUCGAGGAUGUUUAACUUGAAAAACAGAUCCAUUAUGACUAGAUUAUCGGGAAUUUCUAUAAUGGAUAUAAGUUAUACUACCGAUAACCCUUUCAUCGGAAAAUGCAGCAGAAAGCAACUCCAAUCCAAUUUGUUUGGUAUAUGUGAAACGUUUUGUGAGUUUGUUUUUUAAAAUAAAGGUAAAUUUUAACAAUUAUUUUUUAAUCAUUAUUAGUAAUAUAAUUGAAAUCACAUGCAAUAUAUGUAACAUUAGAAAGUAGUGAUUAUGAAAAAUUGGAAUGUGCAAUACUCUUGAUGUGUUUAGAAAAGGUUAUAGUUAUAGAAAAAAUUAUAUAACCAUCAUGGCAUUGGUUGAAUUUGUUAACUUAAAUGUUUUAGAAAUCCAAUGUUUUAGAUUUUAAUCUCAAUUUUUUAUGAAAAGAUAAAAAAAAAUUACUAUAAUAAUAUUUGUUACUUUUAAAAGUAGUAAGUUUUUUAGUCAUUUUUUAAAUAAGUUAAUAUCUAAUUGACUUAUGACUGAUAAAUAAAGUAUAAUAUAAAGUAUGUUUGGUUAAAAAUAAAAUUAGAUGAAAAUGAUAUAUAUUUAAAUAUAGAAUAAAUUAAAUUUUAUAUAAUGUAAGUUAUUAAUAUAGUAAAAUUGGAAAUAAUUUAAAGAUAAUUAUUAUAUUAGAAAAUAUAGGCAUUAAAGUUGAGGCAUUUUAAGAAAUUUACCAAAUUUUAUAUAAUGUAAAUCAUAAAAACUGUUCCUUAAUACCACCGCGCACGAUUAGCGCUGUUGGAACCGUUAGUCCCCUGCUUUAACUUUACCUCCAUAACAUGCCGAGACCAUGAAAGGCACUCAUUCCUUAAUACCAUAUAUAGUUCCUGCAACGCCACUACUGAUAACAAAGGCAUUUCUAUUUUACCAAAGUUUCUAGCAGCCAUAGCAAAAAGAGUACCCCAAUCAGUUCCUUCCACAGAAAAAGUUCUUUGAGGUCCGGCGAAACUCACUGCCCUCCCAUUUCCUAGCGCCCAGUACAUCUUCCCAAAUAUUGGACAAAGCCCUCCAGAGAAGCAAGCAAUUAGAAGGAUGGAUUGAAGCCGACCAUCUACUUAUUACCCCAUACUUGUUUCCAAGGACUUCAACCCAUAGCACAUUCACGUAAGAAAUGACAUUAAAAGCUACCUUAAUCAUGCAAGCUUUAUUGUGGUCUCGUACUUUCCUCAACCUAACUCCACCAUUCUUCAAAGGCAUACAAAAUUUAUACCAGCUCACUAAUGUUGGUUUCCGAUUGCCAAAUGUUGACCCCAAAUGAAUCCUCGAACCAGCUUCUCAUUUUUGUUGCAAUUGUUUAAGUGAUCACCUAAAACAAGACCGUACAAAGAUUGAUCGAUCUAAAAUGAGAUUGUCAUUCCGGUCUUGCCACCUUGGGAACCAACACAAUAAGAGUUUGAUUCAAAAUAGAGGCAAACAUUUGAUAAUUUCAUUUUAUUAACAAUCAUAAUUGUGCAUCAAUUAUGAAAGAAGUCAGAAGAAAAUUGUGCACUAAUCAAAUGCAAUUUUCUUCACUUUUAUCGCGUCUUUGAGUUGGAGGAAAAGAUGGGCAAUUGAGAGACACUUGAAAAGUUUAAUGAUGAAUUGAAAUGAAUUCACUAUUAUGUCAUGUCAACACUGUUAAAUUAAUAGUUCAACCAGCAUUUUGCUUUAAAAAAUUCAUAAUUUGACUCAAUAAAAUGUUGAGAGCCAAAUUACUUAAAAGAAAUGAAUAUAGGUCAACUUGUCAAAUUUUGCGUUAAAAAACCUUUAUUAUUAUUAUUAUCCUUAUGCCUAAUUUUAAAGGUUUUAUUUACAUUACGACUAAAUUACUAUUUGAAUUUACAUUUUAAAAACAACGUUCAUUUCAAUAUACAUAAUUUACAUUACAUUACAUGAUAAAAACAACUAAUUAUAUUUUGCUAAUUCCCUAAAUUCGUCCGAGCCUAUAAUUGCUAAGGUGUCCCCUUCCAUUCCAACUUGAUGACUUUUGUUGGUCCCUCACUUGCAUGAUCCUUUGAGCAGACUUUCAUGCUUCUCUUGGUCUAGGGGACAAACAUAAAAACACCAUCAUUAUUUUUGUUGCAUUGAGAUCAUCUAUAUUAACUUACCUCAAAUUCAAAAAUUUUUGUUGAUAUCACAUAAAUACAAUCAUUGAAAAUCUUACUCAUAUCGACCAAAAAUUAUAUUUUUAUUUCUCUAAACAAUAACAGUAGACAAUAACAAAAAUGAAAUUAUAGAAUUUUGAAAAAAAAAUUGGAUAUGAAAAUGUCUCUCACACGGAAAAGAUUUUCCAAAUAAUUAAAAGAGCGUACUUUAUUUUUAUAUUUAAACAAGUGUUAAAAAUAAAUGUCUAAACUUAAAUACUUUGUAAAAAAUAUAAAUUGAAGAGUUGGAAUAAUAUUAUUUAUAUUUGAAGCUAGACCUGUCCAUGGGCCGGGCGGCCCGGCCCGGCCCGACGGCCCGCCUGAAAUAUGGGAGGGUUCGGGUAAAAAUAUAGGCCCGAAAUAUGGGCUUGGGCAAAAAAACGAGGCCCGUUUAAAAAAUGUGCCGGGCUCGGGCUCAACUUUUUUGGCCCGGGCCCGGGCCCGGCCCGGCCCGAAUAUAAUAAAUAUAUAUUUUUUAUUUUUAUUUUUUAAUUUUUAAUUUUAAAAUACUUUUAAAAUAUUUUUAUUUUUAUUUUUUAUUUUUAAAAUAUUUUUUUUGUAUUUAUUAAAAAUCGGGCCGGGCCGGGCUCGGGCUUACUCUUUUUUUACCGGGCCGGGCUUGGGCAAAAUUUCAGGCCCAUAUUUCGGGCCGGGCCCGGGCCUAAGAGUCGGGCCAAAAUUUUUUUCCGGGCCCGGCCCAUGGACAGCUCUAUUUGAAGCCAUGAAAUUUAAAUGGUACUUUUGUUAGAAGGAAUUAAACCUAUUUAAGUACUAUUAAGGAAUUAUAUUUAAUCUUCCAAAUUUAUAAAAACAAUUUUGACUGAUUAAAUUGAACACAUAAGUUGGUCUCAAGUAAAAAUAAAAUAGUUUUUAACUUAGCCGAAAUUAUGAUCUAAUCCUCAUUAAAGGAUUUUCACCUUAGUAUUACCUAUAUCGUUGCUUAACUAUCUAUUUUUCUCCACAUUUCUAUCUCAAUUGAUUAUAUUUAUUUCAACCUAAAAAUAAAAUAUAGAUGUAAGUGAAUAUAUAUAAUGAGAAUAAAAUUUUAAUAAAUAUCAAAAUGUACACAUUUCAAUUAUGCAAAAAGGAAUGAAUUAAGUGAAUAAAAUUUUAAUUGGUAUUUUUUUAAAAUUUUAGUAUAUAAUAAAAUGAUCAUAUCUCAUAUGCAAAUAAGUUUAGAAUGAUUACUUUCUGUUUGUUUGCCAGUAAAAUGUUUUCCGUAAAAUGAUUUAUUGAAAAUAUUUUCUAGUGUUUGGAUGAAUCUGUGUAAAAUAUUUUCUGCUGUUUGACAGAUUUCUUAAAAAUAUUUUCCAAAAAAGUUGUUUUUACAUAUAUUAAUAUAUAUUAAUAAAAUUUUAUCUUUUAAAUUAUUUUUACAUAUAUUGCAAUGAUUUAUUUAUAAUUAAAUAAAUCAAAUUAAAUAUAUAAUAAUACUCAAUUAUUAAAAUAUAAAAGCAUUGCAAACUACUUUCGAAAUUUACUAAUUAGUAGUGAAUCUAAUUGUAGUGAUCUUCUGAUGAAAUUACGCUCAGCAUAAAAGCAAUUUUUUUGUUGUCUUACAAACAACACAAAUAGCAUCAUUAUCAAAUUUCAGCCACUCUCAAGUAUAACCAAUUCCUUAGCCAACCAAUCUACAUUGUAACACAAAGCUAAAUCCUAUAAAAUUUAUCCCAAUGCACACAUUUACAGACAUAAAUAUGUAUAUAUGUAUGCAUUCAACAAAUACAUAACCAUAUGCAUGCAAUCAGCUAUGUUCUUUGAAAGCUACUACUAGAUCAAGCAUUGCCCCAAUACUAUAGGCUGCCAUCCAAUAGAGAGGAAAAAAAUACAAGCGAAGAACCCAGCUUUUUACUUAGACAUAUGGCGAAACGUGCUCACGUAACUGCUAAGAAAAAAUCACUCAUGGCCCAAAAAAGAAUUUCAUAGAACUGAUAGUAAAAUCAAAAUGAAUGAUACAUACAAUCAAAAUUUUCAACUGACAUCUAUUGAUUUAAUACAACUAGGUAAAGAGGCAGACAACCAUAUGAUAUCUAUGAAGCAAAUGAACUAACAAUAUACUAGAAAUAUCAGCAAAUGCAAUCAACAAAGGCAACAGGCUCCAUUGAAGUCCCCAAUUUAAAUCUAUUGAUUUAAUACGUGCUCUCAUUGAAGUCCCCACCUCUAGGAAUAUGUUUCUGCCAGAAGCCAGUCAAUUAAGCAAAUUAAAUCAAUAAAAAUUCAAGAAAUAUAAACCCAUACCCAGAUAAACUACUGCAUUUACCUUACGGUGUUUGCCUAUUAUGUUGCCAUGAUUUCCAAUUAUAACAGCAGUAUUCCAGAGAGUCUCUCCAUGAUUUAUAUUCCUCUCAACCAUUGAGCUUAUAAUGACCAUGUUAUACUUGAGUGCAGAUUCCUGAAGAAAUUGUGUAGAUUCCCCGUUAACAGGUUCUGCAAAUUCACACCACCUCUUUUCUCGUGUACAGAAGGCAAAUGGCAUCAUCCAUGCUUCCUAAACUUGCAUCAUAGACUCAUUAAUUUGCAUUUUCAGAAUAUUAUGCAUCAACCAAUAAAAUUGACCAUACCUGCAAGCAUAUUAUGUUGACUCCUGAAGUACCGGCAGCAUCAAUUAUUGGUCCCAAUUUCUCAAAUAUAGCUUUCUUUCUGGUCUGAAAAGGGAGCAGUGGUUGGGAGAGCAAUGGAGUUCUGAAUAAGACCGACCCUUACCGGGGUUCUCUUAACAACUCUUUGUCAGCAGAAAAUUUGAAAGCCUGGAAUAAUUUGAAAUGGAAAAGCACAUAUAACUGCCUUCUACAAUAUACUUGUAUUGAAAUGACAAAAAUCUACAUAGAUAAUAACUACAAGUAUGCAGGUCAGGUCGGUGAGAGAAUAAUUUUGUAAUGAGAAAAGGGAUGUUUUUCAACCACUUAGAUAAGAGUGGAUUGAAUGAAAAUCAACAUAUUUCAAGGAGAUCCUGGUAGUACUAAAAUUAUACAUUAGAACUAUUAUAACCAAAUGUUCAAAUGUAUGAACUAGAAACUGAAAAAGGGGGAAAAUGGAGGAAGAAAAAUAUUCCAUACAAAUAUCAGAACAUAUGACAUAGAUUAACUAACCCUGCCUAAAGAUUAACAUAAUCUUCAGUUGCAGUCAAAAUGCAUGGUAGUGCCUUGUAUAUCUAAAGUGUCCAAAACAUUUAUUGUUCCUUCACUUUGAUUGUUUUAUAAGAGUAUUACGAUUUCAGCCAGGCCAACCUUGUGGUUGUUGUUUUCCAAUAUUGACGAGCUAAGAUGAUGGAUCUCUCUAUCAACAAAUCGUUAUAAUGCAGUAAUGUUGGAUAAAUAAAUAGGCACCUGAAGAUCAAACUCAUGUUUUGAAGAGAGGGCUUUAGCUGAUUCAGGUGGAACAAUAGUUUCAAGUGUUGUUCCGCAAUUCAGCCCCAGAAGCAACCGGCUGACUUCCUGUUAAUAAACCAUAACAAAAUUCCAAAAGAUUGUUACUUUCACCAGCAAUAAGAUCAGUAGAUUUUGACUUUUAAUAGGCAAAACAUGUUACUUGUUAAUGAGAUAAACUGUUUACAAAUUCUAGGAUCGACUGCAAUGAUCAUUUCAGUGGCAAAAACUGACCAAAAAGACAAUAACCAAUCGAUUCAUAAUAGACAAUUUGAAAUGGGGUUUCCAUUUUCAUGAUCAAAUUUUCUUUUACAAUAUAUAUAUAUAUAAGCAAGAAAAAUAACAGGAAAGAUUAGAAUUUUUUGCUCAGUGCAUGGCCAGAUUAAGAAAAACAAAAUUACCCAAUUAAAUCAACAAAGUGAAGACAGAGAAAUUACAACCCGGAAAGCGGGAAAAAAUAAAAAGAAAAGACCUGGUAGAGUUGAGGCUUGAGAUAUGCGUUCAAGAGGUGGUGAAGCGAAUUAUACCCACAAAUUGAUCCAUCUUUGAAACUUUGCUUUUCUUCCGUGCUUCCAUUUUCUUUCCCAAUUCCAUCAGUUUUCUCCAUUUUCUGAUUCCCUCAAUUAUUGCUCCGAAAUCAAAACACAGAAAAAAGGUUGAUGAACGCCGGUGUCUGGUGUUGAGAAUCGGUGUUGGCUGAUGGCAAGCAGAAGAUCAGGUGUCAAGGAUAGGGGAAGGGGAAGGGGAAGGGGAAGGGGAAGGGGAAGGGGAAGGGAAAGGGAAAGGGAAGAUCAGUGUCUAAUUUUACUGAAAAUGUCUUACCGAAUUAGAAACGGUAAGACAUUUUAAAAAAUUAAGGCUCUUUUUCCCGUGUUUGUAAUUGGUUUUAGCUGAGGAAAAUAUUUUCAGCCAAACAAACACUGGAAAAGGCUGAAAACCUUUUCAGGAAAAUGUUUUACUACAAUCAAAUGGAAAAUGAAAUAAAAGAUGUAAACAAGGUAGAUGAGUAAAAAAAUUUAGUAGGACAAGGUUGGUUAAGUAAUUUACCAAGUUAAUGCGUCUUCCCAUAUUGGCCAAUUAUAAAAAAUUGAAAAAAAGUUGCAUCCGUUUUGGUUGCGGCCCUUCUUCCUCCGCUUCAUCGUAGAUAUUAGGUUUCUAUUUUAUGUGAGAAGUGCUACCUACUGAUCCAUGGUUGUGAGCAGAGUGUUGGUGGAUGUGUUCAAAAUUUGGAGAAGAUUGAGUGGUAUGGCACUGCAACUCUUUUAUCUCUUCCAAAUCUUUCUCAUACACUAUUUUAAAACCACACUUCUUCACCUUAACUCUGCGUCUCAUGAAAAACACCUCAAGCUUAUCGCAUUUUUUUUCUAAGCAAUGUGUUGUCCAUAAAUUAGUGGUUUCACAGUCGUCAUAUUUAUCCUCCAAGGAAGGAUAUAAUUUAUCACGCGACCAAUAACAAAGUAAAAGGUGAUCUUUCAUUAUUGGUUCAAUCAGCCCCCAGCCACAUCCGUUAAUCCGUCGAUAAUUUCUGCCUCGAAAAAUAGAUCCAUUACAGCAGGCUUGUUCAGAAUUUCCAUAAUAGAUAUAUGCUUCAUAACCGAUAUAUUUGUUAUCCCUUGAAGCAUCAUUACUGACAAAAAUCCAGCAGCAAGCAACUCCAAUCCAUUGACUAUCUUUCUGAAGGUUGAUAGGCAGGGGUAUGUUAAUUGAAGAGUCACUUGUUUGUUGGCUAAACCAUUCUGGGAUUUCACUUCCGGGCAUAAUAAUAUCAAACAUUUCUCUUGAAUUUGCAAAUGCCUGCAAAAUAAAACACAAGUCGUUUGGUAACUAAAACCAUAAAUUCUCAAAUAUGAGAUUUUGUAAGGGAGAAAAUGGAGAUUAAUCGACCUUAAGCUGGUUUUUCAGCAGUGUUAAUGCAUUCAUAUUCUCGGCCAAUUUGAAGCAGUUAAUCGCUGUAAAGGCACCCGAACCCAUUAAAUUGCAUACUUUACGUAGUGUUAAUGCAUUGAUAUUCUCAGCCAAUUUGAAGCAGUUAAUGGCUCUAAAGGCAGCCGAAUCCACUAAAUUGCAUACUUCAAGUGAAGAACAACCAUCUAGCCACACGUAUCCUAACCUUGUCGGUAUAUCAGGCAACGAUUUAAGCAUAUUGCAAUAUGCCAAUCCAAGAAACUGAAGCUUUGAUAGUGGAGUAAGAGAUGCAGUUAUGCUGAUGAAAUUGUUACCACUAAGAUCAAGAUAUUGCAAAGAGGAUAGACCAGAAAUAGAACUAUGAAUAUCUGCUUCAUCAAGAGUGCACAUGUUGCAAUAUGACAAGUAAAGACACUCAAGCUUCGAGAGUCCAGUAAGAGAUGCAGGUAUGCUGAUGAAAUUGUUACCACGUAGAUCGAGAUGUUUCAAAGAGGAUAGACCAGAAAUGUCACGUGGAAUAUCUACUUCACAAAGAUUGCACUCCCUUAGAUUUAGCUUGCUUAAUGAACUCAAACCUGACAACAAAGGCAACAUUGGAGCCAUGGGAGUUGUCCUUCUUCCUUGGAUUACCUUGAAAACAGAAGACAAAUUUGGUCGCAACUUUGCUUGCUGCAAAUUCUCCGAGAAAUUUUCAACUCUAUAACAACCAGAAAGCUCUAGAGUUUUUAUACGUUCCAUUUUCCCAUCAAUCUUCGGAAACCUUACAAGACUUGAGCAACCCGAAAAAAUUAAUGUUUCAAGAGAUUCCAUUCUAAUUUUUAUCGGAAGACUCCUAAGACUUUUGCAAUCUCUUAAAUUCAAAAGUUUAAGGCUCUUAAGCACUCCUAUUGAUGGAUGAAUAUCCACUAAUUUGGUACAGCCUUCCAAAAUUAAAACUUCAAGAUUUGAUGCUGUUGUGAAGUUUGGUGUCUUGAUCAGGUUUUGGCAACCUUUGAGGUUCAUUAUUUUCAACUUAUACAAGGGCUGUUGAAGACAAUAAUAAAUUAGAGAGAAAAGAGAAAGCAUAAUAAUUCUCAAUUUUGUUUUUGUAUUUUUACCUUAAUCAGAGUUUAAUAAUUUAUAUUAAAAUAAGCAAAAACACAAGGAUAAGAUGAGUUAAUUCUUACUCUAUUUCCCUUCCAUAGUAGUUUAAUGCGACUAUAUGGUAAAAGAAGUGCAACAAGGUUGUUUGGUUGGAAGCUUGAAGGUAAGCAUCUUAAAAGAUAUCCUGUCCAAUAUAAAAGCCGUAGUUCAUUAGAAAGAUAUUUGAGAUCAUCACAAUUUGUUUGGCAAAGCACUUUGAGCAGUCUCAAGUUUUUCAUCUUUGAGAAGGUAUCGGCACACAAGUUGAGCAUCUUGCUUGAUUCCCUAAUAACCAUGAGUAAAACAAAUAUGAGAUUCAGAAUAUACAAAGACAUUCAAUAUCUAAAAGCUAUGUUACAUUGAUAGAAUGAUCAAUUUCCAUUGUAAUGCAAAAAAUUGAAUCAUUCCAAAUUGGAAUGAGAAGGAAGACAAUGAGAGAGAGAGAUUUUAUUUUCAAAUGUUUUAUUUUCUUUUCUUCUCACUUUUCCCUAUACCAAGCAAUAGUGAGGAGGGAAAUAUAUUUUCCAUUCAAUUUUCCAUCUUUCCAAUCAAGUUUUCCAUCCCUUCAGUUUUCCACCCUUUUGAUUUUCUUUCCACUCUGCCAAGUAAAGUCAAAAGGUUUUUUUGUUGUUGUUUUUAAUUGAUUUUUUUACAAAAAAUAAUAACAAUAUUAAUAGUACAUAUUGAUAAAUUCAUAUGUAUGUUUUCUUACCUUUUAUUGUCGAUGAUCAUACCUUCAAUCACUUCGGUAGCCUAAAAAUAAUUAAGAAUAGACAAUAAAAAUACAAAAUAAAUAGUCUAAAUUGUACAAUAAAACUUUUGAAAUUUACAUCUAUGUUCAACAUUAUCACAAUCUUUUGGUCGAAAUAUAGGAAAUAAAAUAUUUUUGAAUGAGAGAAAUUCAAUAAAAUUAAACACUUAUAUAACAAAUCAUUAUUAAUAUUUAUAAUCAACAAAUGAAAACUAUUUUAAAGCCACUCAAUGUCAGUUAAGGAUCGAUAUGUAAAUAAAUUAGACUAAGCUUUAGAUUUACAUCAUAUAUUGAUAAAAAGAAAAUUUUGUAUAUAAUUUUUGUUGAAUGAUUUACCGUGUUUUUUGUUAGGACAUGAUGGACAUCUUUUUCUUUCCACAAUCUACAACGUUUUCCAGGUUCAUCAACACAUUUUUCUUCAACAAUUUUUCUUCCCAUUUCUUGCAACAAGGCAUGCAUACGCAAAUGUUGGUUGUCAUCACUAACUUUUAUGAGAGAUUUUUUAAUGAGAAUAUCGAUUCCAAUAUCUGGAAAAAACUCACAACCAUCCAAUACUUUCAUUACCAAAUCUCUCUUCUCACCAUUGAAGAAACACGCUAUAUCUAGAAAUAUGUUCUUCUCCUUUUCUUCCAAUCCAUCAAAGCUAAUUCUUAGCGUGUUAAGAAUUUCUUUGUUAGAAUCUUCUUUAAGUCUUUCGAUUGCGCUUCUCCAUUGAACUAUAUCUCUUUCGCACAAAAAUGAGCCCAAAACUUCAAGAGCUAAGGGGAGACCAUCAGCAUAACAUACAACAAGUUCAGAAAGCUCAAUGAAAUCAUCUUUUGGCACUGUAUCACUAUGAAAAGCAUUCAAAUUGAAAAGUCUAAGUGCAUCAUCUGGAUUCAUUGUUUUAGGCUUAUACACACCAUCGACUCCGUAAGAUCGGAGUAAAUGUUCAUCUCUUGUUGUUAUAAUGAUUCGACUCCCUAAACCAAACCAAUCACGCCUUCCAACCAAGCAUUUCAAGUGUUGUACAUUAUCAACAUCAUCAAGAACAACAAGAACCUUUUCACUACACAACCUGCGGCUAAUUAUGGCAUUCCCUUCAUGAACAUUGAAAAAAUUGAAGCAUUCAUUUGGCAAGAUUUGAGAAAGAAGUUGUUUCUGUAAAGAAACAAGUCCACAUUUGUUUGAAACUUCUCGAAUAUCAGCAAGAAAGCUUUUGCCUUCAAAAUGAGGUGACAUUUGAGUGUAAACAACCCUCGCAAGAGUUGUUUUACCGAUGCCACCCAUUCCGCAAAUUCCUAUAAUGCGGACAUCAUCUUCCCCGAUGUUUAUUUUCGAAUACAGCUCCUUCAAAGGUAAGCUAAUUCCAACCAAUUCAUCAUGAACAAUUGGAUAUGUCUCACAUAAUUUGGCUGAUAUCUUCCUAACAAUGUCUCCGAUAAACUCUGAUUCAUUCCUACAACGAAAUAAAAAAUUGUUUCUAUCUUUCAAAUGCUCUUUGUCAUUUUUAGUUCAAUGAAUCAUGAAAUAUAAUAUAGUUGGAAGCAAACAAAAAGCAAGAAUAAGACAGUAAGAUAUAUUAUGGCAUCAAAAUACACAACUUUCUCGUUAGAAUUCUUAAUUAAACACAAAAUUCUAAAAAAUUACAUGCAAUCUAGAAAAAAAAAACAAUUUUUUAGUCAUUAAAACUAGGAAAUAGAGAAGAAAUGAAAGAAUUACCCAUUAUGUAAAUGCCAUCCUUUGAUCUUAGCUACUUCAGCCAAAGCAUUUCGCCACUUUUGGAUCUUGUCUUUAUCUUCCUUGUACCUCACUUCAUGUUUGGCAAAGGCUUCUUCUACUUUUUCUUUUUGGUUUCUUAAAUCGGAUGGAUCCACUUGGUAGAAAAUUGGAAAUACUUUAUGUCCGUUAGCAUUUUUUUGUUGAACAAUUUCAGCAAGCUCCUCCAAGCACCAUCCUGAAAAGGCAUAGGUUUUUGAAAAAAUAAUUACCGAGCACCAUGAUUGCUGAAUUGCUUUGGAGAGUUCGGGUGCGAUCUCUUUGCCAGCGUCCAGCUUUGGAUCAUCCCUGAAGGUGACGAUUCCACUACUCUUUAGAGCAUCAUAAAGAUGACCCGUGAAGUUCUUGCGAGUAUCUUCACCUCUAAAACUCAAGAAAACAUCAUAUUUCUUUCUAGAAAUGGGCGAAGAAGUCGAAGGUAACGACAGCAUGAGGAUGUAUGAAAGGAGAAGGAUAUCUCUGUCUGGUGUUCAAAAUCAGAAAAUAGAUCGCCCGAUCCUCGCAAAGAAACUAGAAAAAGUAAGUAUAUGAGCAUAGGGGAGGAGAUUAGGGGUCAAAAUGAGUGAUGGAUGUUCUUUCCAAGAAGAAUCCAAGAAGGUGAAAGUGGGCACAGUGGAGGCUAUUAAAAAUGUUGGACGGUUUGUAUUUUACGUAUUUAAUAAUUAUAGAGUAGAUAAGAUUAUGACAAUAAUCAUUAAAAUAUAUCUUUAAUAAUUAUCCUUCGUUAUGGGCUGGUUAAAAAGUUUAUCAAACAACCAACUACUCGCAUCGACACGUGGAGAACUUCUAUCUCGAAAGACAGAUCCUUUUCGACUCGCUUGUCCAGAAUUUCUACAAUGGAAGCAUCAUCACUGACAAAAAUGCGACAGGAAGCAACUCCAACCCAUUGACCAUUCUGAAUAUUGAGUGGUAGAGGUAUCCUAAUUGUAGAGCCACCACUCUGUUGGCUAAACUAUUUUGGGAUUUCACUUCCAGGUAUAAUAACAUCAAACAUUUGUAUUGAAUUUGCAAAUGCCUGCAAAAUGAAACUUCAGUCGCUUGGUAAAUAAAACCACAAAUUCCCAAGUAUGAGAGGGAAAGAAAGAGAAAUUAAUUAACCUUGUGAUGUAUUUUCAAAAAUGUUAAUGCAUUGAUGUUGUCAGCCAAUCUGUAGCAGUUAAUUGCUUUAAUGGAAGCUAAAUCCAAUAAAUUUCAUACUUUUGAUGGACUUGCAACUACUUCAAGUGAAGUUCAGCCAUCUAUGCAUACUCUCUCUAUACUUGUUAGAAGCUCAGGCAAGGAUUUAAGCUCUUUGCAAUUUAUAACAUAAGAAGUUUAAGCUCUUUGAGUAAGAGACGCAAGUAUGCUGAUGAAAUUGUUACCACUAAGAUCAAGAUCUGUCAAGGAGGAUAGGCAAGAAAUAUCACUAGGAAUAUCUACUUCACGAAGAUUGCAGUUCCUUAGCUUCAACUCUCUUAAUGAACUCAAACUUGACAACGAAGGCAACAUCAGAGGCAUAGAACUUGUCCUUCCUUUUGGGUUUCCUUGAAAGGGGAAGGAAGAUUUCGUUGUAACUUUGGUGUUAAGAGCAAGUGCAAACAGAUUCAGCUUAUGACUUGUGCAACAAGCCUCGAUGCUGAAUAUAUCUUUAAUAAUGAUCCUUCGUUAUGGGCUGGUUAAAAAGUUUACCAAACAACCAACUACUCGCAUCGACACGUGGAAAACUUCUAUCUCGAAAGACAUAUCCAUUUCGACUUGCUUGUCCAGAAUUUCUACUGUUGAAGUCAGCUCCCAUGUAGCAGCAAAGGUGGCCAUGCAAGGAACGUGCUUCAGCAGCAAAUUGAUGCAGCAAGCUGAAGCUAUUCAUUUGGUUUCCUUAAUUGAAUGUUUUGUAUUUAGUUAGGAUCAAACUUAGUUGGUAGCUGCAUUUUGAUGUAAUUAGGUGCUGAAUGACAAGCUUAGGUAGAAGCUUUUUUGUUUUUCAAUCAAGUUUACCAAGUUACUAGGCAUUUUAGUGGUGUUAGGUAUGUUAGUAGGUGAUUACUUGUUUGUUUUACUUAUUGACUGAUAUAUGUAAUGGCUUAAUGCCUUGUUCAUGUGUUAAUGAAAAAUAUCAGCUCAUUUUCAUUCAAUCUCUUUCUCUCUUUUCUGUUUUCACUUGCUAGCUUCAUCUUUCUGUUUUUUAUUGCUUCCGAGUUUGCUUCUUCACCAAGCCUCGAGCCUUACUACUCAAGCAAGACUUGAAACAGCUUGCUGCUGCCUCUUGCACCAACAAUUGGUAUCGAGAGCUCUUGUCUUAGUGGACCUAUUGCUUCAAAACAAAGAACUUGAUGGCUUCUUCAGGAUUUUCACCAGCAGCCCCACCAGUCUUCAAUGGAGAAGGCUUUCACAUAUGGCUGGUCAAGAUGAAGACUUACCUACAGGCUUUUGACCUGUGGGAAGUUGUCAACACAGAUACUGAGCCAGCACCACUGAGGGCUAAUCCCACAGUAGCUCAGAUUAGGCAACAUGCUGAUGAGAGGACCAAAAGGCACAAAGCCAUGUCCUGCAUCCAGAACUGUGUGUCAGAUGUCAUCUUCACCAGAAUCAUGGCCUGUGAGACUCCAAAACAGGCCUGGGAUAAGCUUAAGGAGGAGUUUCAAGGCACUGAGAGAACAAGGCAACAGCAGCUGCUAAACUUGAGAAGGGAUUUCGAGAAUUUGAAGAUGAAGGAAGAAGAAACAGUGAAGCAGUACUCAGAUAGAAUUAUGGCAGUGGUUAACAGCAUAAGGCUCCUAGGUGAGCACUUUGAUGAGGCAAGAAUUGUGGAGAAAGUCCUCUCCACUUUGCCUGAGAGAUAUGAGGCCAAGAUAUCCUCUCUAGAGGACUCAAGAGAUCUUGCUAGCAUCUCUUUGACUGAGCUAAUCAACACCUUUUAUGCUCAGGAACAAAGAAGAGCUAGCAGAGCUGAAGAUCACCAAGAAGGUGCAUUUCAAGCCAAGGCCAGAGAAACCUCGAGCACUAAUGCUCAAAGAGGCAAAAGGCCUUGGAAAAACAGGCCUAAGCCUGAUGCUGCAAGGAGCAACGACCAGCCAUGCAGAUAUUGCAAGAAGCCUGGCCAUCCAGAAGACAGAUGCUGGUUUAGGCCAGAUGCAGUAUGCCAACACUGCAAGAAGAAGGGCCAUGUUGAAAGGGUCUGCAAAAACAGAAGUAAGCCAAGGCAGAAUCAAUUUCAGCAGUCAAAGGUUGAAGCUCGAGUAGCUGAGGACAGUAGUGACCAAGAAGAACAGGUCUUUGCUGUUUCCUGUGUAGCUUCUGAGAAGAAAUGCUCUAAAGGCUGGCUGCUGGACAGUGGUUGCACUAACCACAUGUCACCAGAUGCCUCCUUGUUUAAAACCUUGGACAGAAGUUAUAAAACCAAGGUCAAGGUUGGAAAUGGUCAGUUUAUAAGGGCUGAAGGAAGAGGAGAAGUGCUGAUAUCUACUCCCACAGGCAACAAGAUCAUUCCAAAUGUGCUGUUGGUACCACAGAUUGACAGAAACCUUCUCAGCAUAGCUCAACUGCUCGAGAAAGGUUAUUCUGUUGUGUUCAAGGAUAAACAAUGCCAUAUUACUGAUCCAAGUGGAUCAAGCCUUAUGACAGUCACAAUGACUGAUAAAUGCUUUGAGGUUCACUGGGCAAAUGACUCAAACUCAGCAUACACAGCCUCUGUUGAAGACUCCAAGCUUUGGCAUCAAAGGCUUGGACAUGCCAACUUCAGAUCAAUGGCUCGAUUGGCCAAAGAGGGCAUGGCAGAGAACUUCACCAGCUCAGUGGAGCAUGAUGAUGUGUGUGAAGUCUGCCAAAUGGGGAAACAGGCAAGACUGCCAUUUCCUACAAAUUCAGCUUGGAGAGCUACUGAAAGACUACAGCUGGUGCACUCUGAUGUAUGUGGCCCGAUGAGGACUGAAUCACUCAGCAAAAACAGGUAUUUCAUCCUCUUUAUUGAUGAUCUUACAAGGUUUUGCUGGAUUUUCUUUUUAAAACACAAGUCUGAGGUAGCUCAAGUGUUUGUGAAGUUUAAAAAUGCUGUAGAAACAGAAACAGGUUGCAAGCUGAAAUCGAUAAGGACAGACAAUGGCACUGAGUACACUUCAGCUCAGUUUCAAGCCAUUUGCAAUGAUGCUGGUAUCAAACAUCAGCUUACAAAUGUCUACACACCUCAGCAGAAUGGGGUAGCUGAAAGAAAGAAUAGAAGUCUGAUGGAUAUGGCCAGAUGUCUGCUGUUUGAGAAGAAACUGCCCAAGACCAUGUGGGCUGAGGCAGUAAGCACUGCUGUUUACCUUCAGAACAGGCUUCCCACUAAAGCUCUUGCAUCCGAGACACCUUUUGAGGCUUGGUUUGGUUUCAAGCCUUCCUUGGCACACCUGAAGGUGUUUGGUUGCCUGUGUUAUGCACAAAUACCAGCAGCAAAGAGAGACAAGCUCUCUAAAAGGGCUCAACCAGGUGUUCUAGUAGGCUACAGCUCAGUCAAAAAGGGCUACAGGGUUCUGGAUCCCUUGACAAACAAAGUCCAAGUGAGCAGAGAUGUCAUCUUUGAUGAAAAAGCCUGCUGGAAUUGGGAGAAAAAUGAGCCAGAAGCAAUUUCAGAAGACCUAGUGCCUAAUCAAGCUGAACUUGAGCAGCUAGAACCUGAAAUGGAUGUUGAUGAUGUGCCUGUGAGAGGCACAAGGCCCCUAGAAGAUAUUUAUGAAAGGGCACAGGUUGCAUUAGCAGAACCUAGCAGUUUUGAAGAGGCUGAGGCAGAUGAAGGUUGGAAACAAGCUAUGGUUGAUGAAAUCAACAUGAUUGUAAAGAAUCAGACAUGGGAGUUGGUUGAAAAGCCUGCCAACAGAAAGACUAUCGGUGUAAAAUGGGUCUAUCGAGUGAAGCACAAUGCAGAUGGAAGCUUAAACAAGCUAAAGGCCAGGCUAGUUGUAAAGGGCUUCAGUCAAAGGUAUGGUCUGGACUACAUGGAAACAUUUGCUCCAGUAGCCAGACUCGAUACAAUCAGAUUGCUGAUUGCAGUUGCUGCUCAGAACCAGUGGACAAUCCACCAGAUGGAUGUCAAGUCUGCAUUCCUCAAUGGAUUUCUUGAAGAAGAGAUAUACAUCGAGCAACCCCCAGGCUUUAUAGUGCCUGGUAAGGAACAAUUGGUGUAUAGGCUAAGAAAGGCCUUGUAUGGCCUAAAACAGGCCCCUCGAGCCUGGUAUGCUCGAAUUGACUCAUAUUUGGUCAGUUUGGGAUUUGAAAGGAGUGCUAGUGAGCCAACACUCUAUGUUAAGAAGAAUGGAGCUGAAACACAGCUUAUUGUGUCACUAUAUGUUGAUGAUCUUCUCGUGACUGGAGGAGACAAGCUUAUGAUGGUUGAUUUCAAAGCAAGAAUGAAGAAAAUGUUUGAGAUGUCAGACCUGGGAUUGAUGACAUAUUUCCUAGGAAUGGAAGUCAAUCAAAUAGAAGGAGGAAUCUUCUUGAAACAAAAGACAUUUGCCUUGAAAGUGCUGGCAAAAUUCUCAAUGGAGAAUUGUAAACCAGUGAGCACACCAAUGGCUAUUGGCAUAAAGCUAUCGAGCCAGGAGGAACAUGAAUCUGUCUGUGAAACAGAUUACAGAAGCCUUGUUGGGUGUUUAUUGUAUUUGACAGCAACAAGACCCGACAUUUUGUUUGCUGUAAGCAUGCUAUCAAGGUUCAUGCACUGCUGUAACCAGCAACAUUACAAGGCUGGAAAAAGGGUGCUAAGAUACAUUAAAGGUACCUUAAACCAUGGAAUACAGUUUAGAAAGGCUGAAGAGUUGAAACUGAUUGGCUACACUGAUAGCGAUUGGGCUGGUUCAAAGGAUGACAUGAAGAGCACUUCUGGCUAUGCUUUUACACUUGGCUCAGCUAUGAUUUGUUGGAGCUCAAGAAAACAAACAAUGGUGGCUCAAUCGACAGCAGAAGCAGAAUAUGUAGCAGCUGCCAAUGCUGUUAAUCAAGCCAUGUGGCUGAGAAAAAUUUUGAGUGACUUGAAUCUACAGCAGAAUGAAGCAACUGUGAUACAUUGUGACAACAAGUCAGCAGUUGCUAUUGCUAAAAAUCCUGUCUUUCAUGGCAGGACAAAACAUUUCAACAUCAAACUCCAUGUGAUAAGAGAAAUGGAACAAGCUCGAGAAAUUGAGCUAAUCCAUUGCAGUUCUGAAAAUCAGAUUGCCGAUAUCUUCACAAAGCCUCUUGGUGUAUCAAGAUAUCUAAGCCUGAAGAGGAAGCUAGGAGUCUGCUGCAUAGAAGCUGAGGAGGAGUGUUGAAGUCAGCUCCCAUGUAGCAGCAAAGGUGGCCAUGCAAGGAACGUGCUUCAGCAGCAAAUUGAUGCAGCAAGCUGAAGCUAUUCAUUUGGUUUCCUUAAUUGAAUGUUUUGUAUUUAGUUAGGAUCAAACUUAGUUGGUAGCUGCAUUUUGAUGUAAUUAGGUGCUGAAUGACAAGCUUAGGUAGAAGCUUUUUUGUUUUUCAAUCAAGUUUACCAAGUUACUAGGCAUUUUAGUGGUGUUAGGUAUGUUAGUAGGUGAUUACUUGUUUGUUUUACUUAUUGACUGAUAUAUGUAAUGGCUUAAUGCCUUGUUCAUGUGUUAAUGAAAAAUAUCAGCUCAUUUUCAUUCAAUCUCUUUCUCUCUUUUCUGUUUUCACUUGCUAGCUUCAUCUUUCUGUUUUUUAUUGCUUCCGAGUUUGCUUCUUCACCAAGCCUCGAGCCUUACUACUCAAGCAAGACUUGAAACAGCUUGCUGCUGCCUCUUGCACCAACAUCUACAAUGGAAGCAUCAUCACUGAUAAAAAUGCGACAGGAAGCAACUCGAACCCAUUGACCAUUCUGAAUAUUGAGUGGUAGAGGUAUCCUAAUAAUUGAGAAAACUUUUAUCUCGAAAGACACAUGCUGGUUAAGAUUAUUUUUGUUGGGAUUGAUCCGAUUAAACAACGAACAAGUAAAAAUUACGAAAAAAAUUGAAAAAUUAAAUACACAAAUUUAACGUGGAAAAACUCUCCGAUGAGGAUAAAAAAUCACAGGCAAAGAUAAUUUUACUAUAAUAGCAAAAGAGCGAAGAGUACAAAAGGUUGAGAUUAAAAUUAAACCCCGAAAAUAAAAAACCCGCAAAGCAUAAACACAAAAUUCUCCAGAAGUAUUAUGAGUUCUAAUAUUUAAUAAGUUUAUUUUCUAAUGUUGUAAAAAGUCUAUUUAUAGGUUAAAUUCGUAUGUCAAAUAAUAAUAAAAUAAUCUUGACUAAUCAGAGUUUGUUUGAAACAAAUAAACAGAAUUUAAUUGGAAGAUUAUUUAUCAAAUUUGACUGAAAUAUGAGUCAUACUCAACAAAUCUCUACAUUGACUCGUAUUUCCACUACGGCACCUUUGCCAAAGCCUGCCACGAGCCUAUCUUGAACUAUACUGGGAAUUAAUUGAGUUGAAUUUGUGUUUAGAAGCUGGAAUACUUCUAGAUUUCGACUUGUGCACUGCCAAAUCAAAACUAACCCAAGUCUGAUUUUCACAAACACAGUGGUCUAACAUUUCAAAACCUACGACAUCAAAAGAGAACCUCUGCUCCAAAUGAGUUAACUUUGACUUCGUAACGGACGAGGGAUGUCUGAUUUCACCAAUCAUUGUAGAACCUUUAAGAAUAUAAAGACUGCCGGUCCUUUUACCUUUUAACAAAAUGAGAGCCCCACUAGACAUCUUAAUGCUGCUUGACUCGAUGUUGAUUCUGCAACUUUUCGAGUCUAAAUUACUUAAGGAGAUGAGAUUCUUUAGUAAAUCAGGUACAUACCUGACAUCUAAGAGUGUCCUAAUCGUCCCAUCGUGCAUCGUAAUUUUAAUAGUACCAAUACCAAUUACCUUACUAGAUGAAUCGUUUCGCAUGCGCUCAACUCCACCUUCAACCGAGCUGUAUGUGGAGAACCAUUCUUUGUUGGGACACAUGUGGAAAGAACAUCCCAAAUCUGAGAUCCACUCGGACAUAAGCUCAGAACUAUUGUAAUACCUCUAACCCGUAUCCGUCGUCGGAUUGGGGUUACGAGGCAUUACCGAAUAAGACACGACUUUCAAACAAUUCCGGAUGCACAUAUGUCAUAUUCACAUAAAUAAAACUAAUGGCUGAUUAAAAAUUUAACAUACAUUAUUAUUCAUAAAAAUACAUACGUUUCACUUGCAUAUAAUCAUAAUUAUAUUUAAACAAACAUGCUACAAAGCCAUACAAAGAAAAUGUACAUUAAAAUAUUAAACAAAAAUUAUAAAUUAUCACAUCAAUUCAAUAAAACAAAAUCCCUGAGUAAUUUAAAAACUUCAUGCACGUUUAUUCAUAUCAAUUUAUACUCAUACAUUACUAGUUAUCAUAAACUCAAUUCGGCUAACCCAUUUAGGUAUAUAGAGUUAGGCCUAAAACAUGCAUCUUUUAAUUAAUUAACAUCCCUCAAAUUUAUCAUGUAUAUUUCUUACUAACCUUAAGCUCAAAUAAAAGAUAAUUUUACAUUAUUAUAUAAGAUCAAAACAUGUCUAUUUACCUAUUACUCCUUUAGCAUAUGACCUCAAAAUGAGCCAUUUUCAAUCAACCCUAUUUCAAAUAUCAUUAUAAAGUUAAGUAAUACAUGUUGGGGCAUUAUAACACAUUUUCGAUAGCAUAUCUAUGCUUUAUUUACAUUCAUCAAAUCACAUACUUAUUAAUAUAAUUAUGAGCACCAAAACCAAAUUGUAUAAUUACUUACAUUUUCAAUUCAAACAUAUUUUAAAUACACUACAUGUAUAUACGAUAUUUCUAAAUACUUAUUUAUUACAUAACUUAAUUAAAAUUCAUCUAACCUCCAUUAUUAAUCUUAUUGCCAAAACACAAAACUAAAUACCACUUUUUAUUUAACUUAUGUCUCAAAAAUUUAAUAUCUAGCUUUAACCAAAUAUGUCACAUUCAAGCUCUUUUGAAUAUAAUCAAUUUCAAGCAAUAAAAUUUGACACACCAAGUAUCCAUUCAAAAUCACAUAUUUUCAACUUAAACAAAACGAUCAAGGACAAACCAUUUUAAACCAAACCGAACCUAUAUAACCAAAUUAUACCCAAAUACAUUAUCAAUUCAAAUUGAAUCAAACUAAUCUAUACUUCAAAAAUUAUUAUCAACCAACUCAAUUAAUUACCAAAACCAAUCAUACCACACAACACAUAUUAUAUAUGUAUAUCAACUCAUUCACCACAUUAUCGACAAAACAUAGCUACUGUAUACUACGAAUAACUAAACCAUAGUCGAACUGAUAAAAUCAAACACAUUACACACUUCAUCAAGAGCCCACAAACUGAACCAAAUACAAAUUAUCAGAAACAAGCCAUUUUUGCAUGGCUAUGUAAAUAAAAGUCCCAAAUUUGAACAUUUCAUCUAGGCUAUACAUGCCAUAAGCUCAAAAUUUAACUUAGUAAAAUACCGAAUAAAAUAGUCGAUAGUGUGAUAGGCUUUGCUGAUGAUCCCUAAGUACGUAGUGACCACCAACAAAAAAAAUCUAUUAAACAUUGACAAUUAAAAAUACAAAGUAAGCUAACUUAGCUUAGUAAGUCUUUAGCAAAAUAUAUAUACUAUCGAAUGACAUAAUUCCUUAGAUAAUCUUAUUAAAACCUAAAAUGCAUCAUACAAACAAUAUCAAAUCAAUCAUUAAUCUCAGGACAUUUUAUCAUAACUAUUUAACAUUAUAUAAACUUUCAAACUUAAGUCUAGCAUUAGCUUAAGGCCGAAUAUAUUUAUCAAAUACAUAUACACACUUACUUACCUAAUCAUCAAAUAAGAUAUAACAGAACACAUACAUGAUUAUUAUAACCUUGCAAUCCCAUUCGAUAUUACAUUUACAUAGAACUUACUAAGCUUGAAGCCUGAUUCCGUACACCGACAUUAAGCCUGCUAGGCACAUCGCCUAUGUAUAUUCAUAUAAUUCUCUAAAAGAAAUCUAAAUAUUCUUUAUGAUUCACAUAGAUCUUUCCCCAUAAUCAUAUCUCAAGAAAAAUUGAGUUAUAUUCAAUUCUUCAUAGCAAACAUACAUUCGAAACACAUAUAUAUAAUUCAUAACAUUAAAUUCAGCUCAAAGAGCUUGAAACAUACAUUCGAACCACACACACACACACACACACACAUAUACAUAUAUUAUUCUAUUAGUUUCAACUUAUUGAAUUCAUAACUUUCUUUGGCUAACAUACACAUAAUUCAUAGAAGUAAUUUCAACCUACCGAAUUCAAUACGUACAAUCGGCUAAUAUAUAUGAAAUUCAUAAAGUUUUAUUCAGCUUAUAUAUUAUUAAUUUCAACUUAUUGAAUAUAUGAUAGAUAUAUAUAUUCUGAUUUAAUAACAUUUAUUUGCUAUUAGACUUACCUCGAACAGUAAAAAUUGGAUUAGAGAGAUUAAUCGAGGAUUUUGGUUUUUCCUCUAUCUAGCUCCGAUUUCUUUGGUUCUUGAUCUUAAAUCAAGCUUGAAUAUAGCCGAACUGAUUAAAUUCUAAAAUUACAUGUUUUAUGUAAUUAAAUUGGUUAAUUUAUGAGAAUGCACCACUAAUUUUUCUAUAUUUAUUGAAUUUUGUGCUGGAAUGCAAUUUGGGGCUAAAUAGAAGAAAAAGGAAACAAUUGGGCCAAAUUAAAGAAAGAAGCAAAGAAGGAGGGCCAAAGUAGAAUUUUUCCAAUAUUAAUUAGCUGAAAAUUUUGUUGACUUAGUGGGGGAGAUUAUUUUGGGAUAUUUUUUGUCAUGGAAUAUUUUUUUUUCCUUGAAUUUCUAGACUAGUUGGCUCUUAAAUUAGUAAAUCCUCUAGUAUAAAUAGAGCAUAUAUUGUUCAUCAAUUCAUCAGUCAAAAAAUAUUUAGCUUUUAUCUUUCAAUUCUCUCCUUUCUCACGUAGCAUUGUUUCUUUAGCUUCUUUGCCUUCAAUUUAUUCCUAGCAGCAACCAACUUUAAAUCAUUUGCAAUUUCUUUUUUUUCAAAUUCCCUUUUCAACCACCCACUUUAAUAUAUUCCAACCCCCAUACUCAAUCACAUCACUCACCUUUUCACCCAUUUACCUUAUUUAUCAAAUACCAACAUGUCCCAAACCUUAGCCAACUAAACCCAUUUUCAGCUUUAGGCCAAAAUUAGCCUCGUCAAAACCCGUGAGUUAUGAACCCGAGCCAUUUAACUCCUAAAAUUCCAGUACUUAUUACUUCUCCGGAUUAAGAGUAUGAUUUUGUCAGCUCAUAAAGUCAAAUCAUCACUAAGUCAAAAAAGACGUCAUUUGAUUUAGUGUGAUUAGAUGUACAGUUGGAAUUCCGAAAGGAACGUUUCUAAUCGGUUUUCUGUGAACACAUUGGCGUGCCAAGUGGAGAUUGCUGUUUGGUUCCGUCAAGGGAAGUAGUAAUCGGAUUUAAAUGUCCCACAUGGUUGAGGGCACUGGUUUGAGCUAGGCUCUUCUAGAACGCAAAGCUGCCGGAGUUCUAAAUCACGAACGUUUCAUGGUUGUUCGAUCGGUAAGAAUUAGUUAUUGGACGUUCCAUAACUAAUUUACACAAGGAAGAGUUGGUGUCCGAGGCGUCCUUGGUAUCUAUAACUAGCUUAUUGGAAAAGGGGAGUUCAUCCAAUUUCGAGGAUCGGUUCAAAGACGAGAAAAAUUUGCGCCUAAAGCUGAGCUCAUUCUAAUUAAUUUUUCUUAAUAUUUAUUUCACAGUUAUUAUUAUUCUAUUUUCAACUUUUACUUUUGACAUUAUUUUUCUGUUAAUUUCAGGUUUUCAAAUUUUUAUCCCCCCAAACGUCUUGGGCACAACAGUUGCCCCGACAUAAAUCUGGUCAAACGAGCAACAAUUUACAGUAAACCAGUCUCUGAGGGAUCGACCCUACUCCCUAUACUGCAUAAUUUGCAACUUAAGGCGUAGGUUUAUAUUGGUGGAUUCGACACCCAUCAUGAACCUUUGCUUGUGUUUUUCUCUUAUUCUUUUCUCUAGUUUGGGCCUAACGAAGAUGAUAACUAAUGAAUUUAAAUUGGUUUUUAGUUAACAUAUAUCAAUAUAUUAUUAAUUUACCUUAUUAACCUUUGUUUAUAAAUAUUUAUACUUUAUAAUACAAGGUCAUUCUUGACCAUUAUCACCCACUCACUUAAUAGUGGGCUUAUUACCUAUUAAGGACUCCAUGUUAAAAAGACAUUAGCAAUUUAGCACUUUACACAUUAACUAGCUAUUUUUUUAUUUUAUGUGAUUAAGCCAUUUUUCUUUAAUCGGUCAUUCAAACGAUAAAAUUAAAACACAAAAAUUUCACACAAUCAAAUUCACACAUAAUAAACACACAAAAUAAUAAUAAAAUAUUUUUUCGACUCGAAUUUGUGGUCCUAAAAUCAUUAUGUCCAAUUAGGGUCGAAAUCGGGCUGUUACAACUAUCGCUUGUUGACACUAAUAAAAAAUCAUCACCGCUUUUGUCAGCCAAAUUAGCACGAGUUACAUCUUCCUCAUUGCUCUCAAUAACCCUUUUAUUUCACAGUUUAUAACAAUCUGCUUUGACGUGACCUAACUUCUUCCAAUAGCGACAUCUUUUGUCUCGCUUCUUUGAUGUUACCAAAAUAGAAGUUUGCCUAUUUUCCUUGCUAUUCAAACCAAACUCAUUGCUGAGUUUAUCUUUGCUCAACAAAUGAUCCUUCACAUCCUCGAAUGAGAGAUUAUCUCUCCCAUAAAUCAUGGUUUCCCUGAAAGACUUGUAUAAAGGGAGUAAAGAGCACAACAAUAGCAUAGUCUGAUCCUCAUUGUCGAUCUGAACCUCAACGUUAUUUAAAUCAUUUAAAAGAGUAAUGAAUUGACUGAUGUGAUCUCUAAGAAGCUCAUAUUUGUUCAUACAAAACGUAAAUAGACAUUGUUUUAAUACUAAACGGUUAGCCAAAGGCUUAGUCGCAUAAAGAGUUUCUAACAUUUUCCACAAGGUAGAGGAGGUAUUCUCCAUCAAUACCUCCUACAAUACCAUAUUCGUGAGGCACAAUUGGAUCGCAGAUAAGGCCUUUUCAUCAAGCUCUUAUCAUUCUGAUUGAUCUAGAUUCUCAAGCAUUUUCCAGAUAACAACCUUUUUUCAGGCCGGUCUGAACUAGAAUUGUCAUCAUCCGAACUUGCUAUAGAUUGAAAUUUUUGAUGCCAUCGAAUUUUUCAAUAUCAAACCUUGUUGCUGCCAUCUCUAAAUGAGUUGAUCUGCGAAAAUCGAACUAGCUCUUAUACCAUUUGUUGUGGAUCAACCCGAUUAAGUAACGAACAAGUAAAAAUAGCAAAAUAAAAUCAGAUAUUGAACACACAAAUUUAACUUGGAUUGUGGUUCAAAACGAAAUGUUAAUACAUACAUUACCUGUAGAGUCAAUGUAGUCUUUAAAGAUGUCACCCACCUACCCACUAAGUAAUAAUUGAAUAAAAAGUUACUAAUUUUAUAUUAAAAACUUAGUUAAGGGACGGCUUUUCUUUAUAAAUUUUCUGGAUGAUAACGAAUGGCAGCACAUGACGCUAUGAAUAAAGAAGAACAAGUUGGACAGAAUUUUCAAUUGAAUUUAUUAUAUUAAAUAUUUUUUAGGGUAAAAGUGGGAUUGGCCAAGAAUCGAAUUUAAUUUUAGUGCUAAUUGAAAAUUCAAUCACAAGUUUUUAUUUCUCCAUAUAGAGUUUAAAUUACUCUUUUAUUACUAUACUCUUAUUAUUAAUUAUUAAUAAUGUUGAUGUAGAUUAGCGUCUUCAUAUUUGUUAUUAAUGGUAGUAGCAUUUUAAUUAUUUUAAUAUACUUUUAUUUUUAGAAAUUUUGUCCCGUUCUUUUGUUUCAUGUCAUUUUCGAAAAAGAGUUUGAAUAAUAGGGUUGGAGUAGUAAAAAAUGGUUCGUUUAAUAUUGCAAUAAUAUUUGUUGCAUGUCAAAUCGGUUUCAUGUCGUGUUAAUAUUUGGAAUUUGAUAUCUAAUCUUUUUUUUUUGAAAUCUUAUUAUACGUUGUUAUCAUAUUCGUUCUUUUUGAUACAAUGCUAAGAACUAUCCAUAGUCCCUCCCCCACCCUUAAAUAGGAGGAUAAUAUGCUUCAGUGUACUUAAACCCACGUCUUUUUGCUCUAGCAACAAUGCCGAUGCCAAUCGAGUUAGGACUCAAAUCCACGUAUUCUUAAACAACUAGGUUUGACGACCCUAGGAAGUUAUUAUAGGCUAGACGAGGUCGGGAGAUAAACGAGUAUCAAUCAAUCGAUUAAUUAAUUAGAGACCAGGAGGUAAUAAUUGACUAACCAGUAGCUAAUUCAACCUAAACCCUAAUUUGAAGUUUGUUACAAAUCUUGAAGUGAGUUAAUCUUCCUGAUUGAUUUAUUAAUUUUAGUCGAUUAUUAUUUUUCUUAUUUCAAUUCUCUCAUUAAUCUAUUUUAUAGUUUAUAGUAAUAUAGAGAUUAAUUAUUACUACUUAGACUUAUUAUUGUAAAAAGCUUUUCGUAGAUUUAUUCCAUCCUCUAUUGGGUACGUUUCUCGUAAUACUUCGAAGUAUUUUAUUGUACUAACUAUAUUACAAUUUGACCUAUGCGCUUGCGCACACUGUCAUUCUAAAUUCUUAUAUAUUUUUGGUGUAUUAUUUUACUAUAAACAAUAACUUGUUUAUAGACGGUCACCCGCUUCCCCUUUACCACUCCCUUUGCCCACUUUAGCUACAGGCCCCUGCUUCAAACAAAUUGGGUCAAUGGUCCGACCUUCCCCAGUACCUUUGGGAUUGGGAUGCCCAUUCAAUGCACUAAGAAAGCAGAAAAGUUUUAUCAUAUCAUUUUUUAUUUAUUAAAUGUGUGGUAUUUAUAUCAAGGAUGAUUCAAGUAUUCUACUUUUAAUUUCAAAAUGCAUUUUGCCUUCUUUGAUUUACUACUCUCUAUAUCAAUUUCGUGUUGGUGUUAUGAACACCCAUAUAUUUCUAGUUCCAUCUGAUGCGGUCGUUGGAAGCACCAAAAAUAUCCUAUCCCUAAUAAAUAAUGAAAAGAAUAGUAAAAGGGAAGUAGGGUCAAAUCCUCAGGGACUGGACUUGCAAAAUAUCUUGUUCCGUGAUAUCCCAGGCAGAGUCUUGCCCAAGACAACCUGCGUUCCUGAAAAAAAUAAAAACAAUAGCAGAAUUAAAUUGUUGGAUCUAGAAACGAAAAAUAAAAUAAAAACAGAAUUAAGAAUAUUGAAUUGAAAAUUAGAGAAAUUAAAAAUAAAGUUAAGAGAAAGAAAAUUCUUAUGGGAAAUUCCAACCUCCAGUUGUCUCGUUCCGCCUUGGGUUCAAUCCUCAACUUUUAGAUAAUCCUUCCCAAACCAAAUAAGCCAGUUAUAGUGGAAGAGGACGCCUACAACCACCAGCUCCAAUGAUUUAGACUACGAUUUGGUGGAACCUGACUCUAGCUAACAAUCGCUUCUGUGGGAUCAUCUUAUGCUAGAUCAACGCUUCUCAAUGGCGAAUCCCACGCCAUUUUGUCUCUUGGGCUCGCCAACCUCUGACGCAGUAAGCUAACGAACCGACUGUGCAACCUUCCCAAAACAUACAAAGCGGCCGCCUUUGCAUAUGUUGAAAAACUUACUUCUUAAGGGACUUGGACGGAAGUGUCAGCCCCGUAGUGCGGAGAAACGAUGAAUACUCAGCGAGAAGGCUAAGUACGGAUUCUAAGCCUCAAGAACCUUUUUGGGGAUUUUUGACAACCUUCGGCUAGAUGGGUUUAGUGGCUCAUGGUUGUGGUAGAAAAGAAAAUAAAUAAAAUAAAAUAAAGAUUUUAUUGAAAGAAAAUAUGAAAAGAACAAAAGCCUAGACUUUUGAGGAGAGAGUGUUUACAGAAAAAGAAAAAGAUGAGAUCCCCUUUUGAGUCACUUCACCCCCUAUUUAUAGUGCUAGGGGAGAUAUUCUAAUUCUACUUAAAUUCCUAAAAGAUAAAUACAUUUAAUUGAAGAUAAAUAAAGAUAAAAUAAAAUCCUAAAAAUAAUCCUUAAUAAUUAUCUCAAUAUUAAUUAUCCUAAUAUAAUUAAAAUAGAGUUUAAUAAAAUAAAAUCUCUUCUUUUUGCAUUUCAACCCUUGUGUCCUCCAUGCUUGCACUUUUGGCACCAACUUUUCCUUGUGUCGCACAUUGACCCAUUUUAUCUCUAAAUUCACGCUUUUGGCCCUUAAUUUCACUUUUGCCUCAAAUUUAGUCCCUAUGAGAUAAAAGAUCAUAAAUAGCUCAAAUUAGCAGGAUCAUACUCAGAAUAAAUACAUAAUUAAUACGUAAAAAUACGUUAUUCUAGAGUGUUAUCAAAUCCCCCCUACUUAGCCCAUGCUUGCCCUCAAGUAUGGUUCCUAUCUACUAUGAAAGUUAGAUUCUGUCAUAAAAGAAAUACAACUCUAAAGUUUUAUAAAAAUCAGUCAAAAAUGCAUAUGAAAAAUAAAGAGAACCCUAAGCUUGCUUUAAGUAAAACAGAAAAAGUUUUUCAAUUAAUACACACAAAAAUUAGAAUCAACUUGAAUUAUUUAAUGAAAAUUAGGUAAUUUACCAAACCUACCAAGACACCCUAUUUGUUUCCUCCUUUAGUCCCCAAAUUAUUUUUUUCUUUUUUUGUUUUUUUUUUUUGUCUUUUUUUGUUAUGCUUUAGGAAUAUACUGAACCUUUUGACGCGAAGAGAGAUGAUAGCCAAGCACCCCACCCCGGUUACUCAGCCCAGCAAACUCCUAAUUUAUUAUAAUUUUUCUUAAGAACACAUCAAACCUUUUGACGCGAAGAAAGAUGACAGCCAAGCACCCCACCCCGGUUACUCAGCCCAACAUGUUCUUAAAAAUUAAUUCCGGUUAGCGGAGUUUUACCUAACACGUCACACAACCUUUUGACGCGAAAUAGGAUGACAACCCAAGCACCCUACCCCGGUUACUCAGUCAGUCACAUUUUUAAGCUGCACUCAUAACCACGGAACAUUAAAUGACAUUAAUAAUAAAUUUUUUUAUGAGGACUUUAGGGAAAAAAUAAUAAUAAUCAAGUGUCAAAAAUAAGUUUCAGUAAUUACCUUAAUAGUCAUCAACAUAUUUUAGCAUGCAAACAUAUUAAGUGUCCACUUUGUAUUUAAACUUGAUCAAUUUUACGAAAAGCAAGAUAAAGUUAACUUUAUGAAUCACAAUUAUUUUUAUUCUAAUAAAAAUAAAACAGUGGAGAUGGCAUCAAUUAUGAAAAAUUCAUAAUUUUCUCAGAAAACAAGAAUCAUGCUUGUAGGUCAAACAGUAGGCAAUUCUUGGUAAAAAUCUUGGGCAUGAAAAGAGGCAGGAGAUGGACAAAAUAAAGCCUCAAGCAGCAACACCAGCCAAAAAUAAUCACAGCAACAGCAACAAUAACCAAAAUCACAGCAGAAAAUGAUAGUAAUAACGAAGAGUAGCUCCCCCUACUGAAAGCACAUUGUCCUCAAUGUGGACGAAAAGAAAUAAAUAGGUAGAAAAGUUUAGAAAAACUCCCCGUAUGAUCACAAAUGAUGGCAAUGAGCUUGGUCAGUUGCUGGCCAAAGGUUUCAAUUCAGGCCUUAAUGCGCUUUAAGUGUUGCUUAACGGUUUGCUUCAUUUUUUUUCUAAGCAAAAGAAGAAAAAUUGAUUAAUAUCCAAAUAAGUAAUAAAUAAUAAAAUAAAGUAAUAAAUAAAGUAAAGAAAAAUAAUAAUAAAAAUUGGGUUGUCUCCCAACAAGCGCUUGUUUAACGUCGUUAGCUCGACGCCGUUAUUGGUUCUAUGGUGGUUCCAAAUGGAUUUCCUCAACUGUGUGGGCUUGAAAAUUCUCAUAAAAUGGCUUCAACCGCUGGCCAUUGACUACGAACUGCUUUCCAGAUUCUUCACUCUCUAUUUCAACUGCUCCAUGUGUGAACACUUUAGUAACAAUGAAAGGUCCUUGCCAUCGUGAUCGAAGCUUACCUGGGAAUAACUUUAACACGGAGUUAUAAAGUAAAACUUUUUGUCCUACCGAAAAAUUCUUUUGAGCAAUUCUCUUAUCGUGAAACAACUUUGUCUUAUCUUUAUAAAUGUGAGCAUUCUCGUAGGCAUCAUUACGAAUUUCUUCUAACUCUUGGAUGUCUAAUUUCCUUGCGUUUCCAAAAACAAGUCGAUACGGGGUCAUACCAAUCGGUCCCUUAUACGCAGUCCUAUAGGCCCAAAGUGCAUCAUUUAGCCGAAGGCUCCAAUCUUUUCGGUUAGGACGAACUGUUUUCUCCAAAAUAGUAUUGAUUUCCCUGUUUGAGACCUCGGCUUGACCGUUCGUUUGGGGAUGGUAAGCCGUAGCUAUACGGUGGUGGACUCCAUAUUUUGCCAACAGUGCCUCCAUGACCUUAUUACAAAAGUGGGUGCCACGAUCACUGAUUAGGGCUCGAGGUGUGCCAAACCUGGAAAAGAUAGUUUGUUUUAAAAACUCCAUAGCAGUUUUGGCAUUAUCAUUAUGAGUAGGCUUUGCUUCUAUCCACUUAGAAACAUAGUCUACUGCAAGAAUUAUGUAUACAUUGCUAAAUGAAGAAAUAAAUGGGCCCAUGAAAUCGAUACCCCAUACAUCAAAGAUUUCGCAUACAUGAAUCGGGGAAAGGGACAUUUGAUUUCGUUUAGUGAUGUUACCUGUAUGUUGGCACCUAUCGCAAGACUUACAGAAGUUAUAUGCGUCUCGAAAAAUUGUGGGCCAGUAUAGCCCACAUUCUAACACCUUAUGAGCGGUCCGCUUAGGGCCAAAGUGACCUCCGCAAGCUUCAGCAUGACAAAAAUUAAGGAUAGAAGUUACCUCAGUUUCUGGAACACAUCUUCGUAUUAUCUGGUCUGAACAGUGUUUCCACAAGUAUGGGUCAUCCUAAAUGUAAUAUCGAGUAUUGCGUCUAAGCUUGUCCCUUGCGGAACGUGCUAACUCAGUGGGUAAUAAUCCUGUGGCUAGAAAGUUUACUAUAUCUGCAUACCAUGGGAGACGUACCUCGGUCGAGAAUAGGCUCUCAUCAGGGAAUUCUUCCUUAAUUGGGAUGUCAUCAAAAGGUACUUUUAUUCUGCUUAAGUGGUCAGCCACUAAAUUCUCGCAUCCCCUUUUGUCUCGAAUCUCAAUGUCAAAUUCUUGGAGUAGCAAAAUCCACCUAAUGAGCCUCGGUUUUGCUUCUUUCUUUGCGAUCAAAUACCUGAGAGCUGCAUGAUCAGAAAAAAUAAUCACUUUAGUUCCCAAUAAAUAAGGUCAAAAUUUAUCUAAAGCAAAUACAACGGCUAAGAGUUCUUUUUCCGUAGUGGUGUAGUUGCUCUGCACAGCAUCUAGGGUUUUCGAGGCAUAACAUAUGACAUGUGGUUCUUUGUCUAUCCUUUGCCCCAACACGGCUCCUACACUGCGCUCGCUGGCGUCGCACAUAAUUUCAAAUGGGUAUUUCCAAUCUGGUGGUUGUACUAUAGGAGCGGAGACUAACUUUUGCUUGAGUGUAUCAAAUGCCUCCUUACAUUUUAGGCCAAACUCAAAUUUCUUAUUCUUCUGCAACAACUCACACAGUGGUUCAGCUACCCUCGAGAAGUUUUUUAUAAAGCGCCUGUAAAACCCUGCAUGACCAAGAAAAGAACGAAUUUCCCUCACGGUGGAGGGAUAAGGCAAAGAAUUUAUAAUAUCAAUUUUGACCUUAUCGACCUCAAUUCCUUUAGAUGAAACAACAUGACCUAGAAUUAAACCCUUGUCUACCAUAAAAUGACACUUUUCAUAAUUCAAGACAAGAUUAAAUUCUAUGCACCUACUUAAAAUUAUCGUUAGGUUUUUAAGGCAUUCAUCAAAACAAUUCCCAUAUACAGUAAAAUCAUCCAUAAAAACUUCGAUAAUUUUUUCCACAUAUUCAGAAAAUAUACUCAUCAUACAUCUUUGGAAGGUGGCUGGCGCAUUGCAAAGACCGAAUGGCAUCCUUCUAUAUGCAAAUGUACCAAAUGGGCAUGUAAAAGUGGUCUUUUCUUGGUCCUCCAGUGCGACUGGAAUUUGAAAGAAACCUGAGUAUCCAUCAAGACAACAAAAAUGAGUUUUUUCGGCUAAUCUUUCAAGCAUUUGAUCUAUAAAAGGAAGAGGGAAAUGAUCUUUUCUAGUGUAUGAAUUCAACUUCCUGUAAUCAAUGCAAACGCGUCACCCAUUUUGUACUCGGGUAGGUACCAAGUCACCUUCAGAAUUUUUUUUUACUGUCACACCCGUUUUCUUGGGCACGACCUAAACCGGACUUACCCACCUACUGUCAAAAAUAGGGUAAAUUACGUCAGCAUCUAACAGCUUGAUUAUUUCCUUUUUUACUACCUCCAUCAUAUUCGGAUUUAGCCGUCUUUGUGCCUCUCGCCUCGGCUUCGUGUCUUCCUCCAAGUAGAUCUUGUGUGUGCACGUCAAAGGGCUUAUCCCUUUUAAGUCUGCAAUGGUCCAGCCAAUCGCCUCCUUAUGAUUUUUUAGUAUAUGAACCAAACUUUCCUCUUCAUGUGUGGAGAGUUUAUUGGAGAUUAUGACUGGUAGGGUAUUACCUUUCCCCAAAAAUACAUAUUUCAGAUGCUCAGGAAGUGGUUUCAACUCCAACUCUGGUGCCUGUAUAACAGAAGGUAACAGUUUAGUAUUUAGAGAUAAUAACUCAUUAACAAAUUCAAUUUCUUUAAGUUCAGAAUUAUCUCCAUAAAUUGACUCAAAAUUCUCUUCCACCAAAGAGUCAAUUAUGUCGAUACGAUUUACGCUCAAGAUUUCGCUUGGAUGACUAAUGGCAUCGUAGACAUUAAACUUUACGAUCUCCCCAUCAAACUCCAUUGUGAGAGUUCCACUUCGAACAUCAAUUUUAGUACUAGCUGUACUAAGGAACGGUCGACCCAGCAGGAGAUCUGAAGAUCCAGGAGUGCUAUCCUCCUCCAUUUUGAUCACAUAAAAAUCUGCAGGGAAAAUAAGCUCGUUAACUUUUACCAGAACAUCCUCAAGGACUCCUUCUGGAUGAACAACAGACCUGUCCGCCAAUUGAAUGAUAACACCUGUUUUUGUCAAAAAACCUGCGUUAAGUGAUUCAUAAACAGAAUAUGGCAUUACAUUUAUAGAAGCCCCUAGAUCACACAUAGCCUUUUUAAUUCCCAGAUGGCCUAUUUUGCAUGGUAUUGCAAACAUGCCCCUAUCCUUGCAUUUUGCUGGCAUUUUCUGCUGUAACACUGCAGAUACAUUCUCAACAACAUUCACCCUUUCAUUGCCUGUUAAUUUUCGCUUGUUGGUGCAAAGCUCUUUAAGAAAUUUAGCAUACCGCGGUAUUUGCUUAAUGGCAUCCAACAACGGAAUAUUGAUCUCGACAUUCCUAAAUGUUUCGAGAAUUUCCUUGUCCUCUUUACCUCUUCGACACUGGUUGAAUCGUUCUGGAAAUGGAGGUUGAAUUUUAGGCAAUGGAGGCUUCGGUCGGACCUGUUCGACUUUUUCAGUUUUUUCUUGGGUAAGAUUCCUGUCAGGAAUCGAUUCCAGUAUUUUUCCGCUUCGUAACGUCACUGCAUUUGCAUUUUUCCUAGGGUUUGGUUCUGUUCGUGAUGGUAACUUCCCUUGAGAGGUUAAUUUCUCGAUCGAUGUGGUCAACUCUCUGAUAGACUUCUCGGUUUUCUGUUGGAACUCUUUUGUCUCUUUUUGGAAAUUAAGAGUUUACUGUUGAAAAUCAAGAACAUUAGCUGCUAACUUAUUGACCAUGGUUUCUAGAAAAUUACCUGAACCUUACGGCUGUUGCGGAAAUCGAUUUUGGUAUGUCUGGUUAUUUCGUAGAUUGGCCCCAUAACUUAAGUUAGGAUGGUCCCUCCACCCUGGGUUGUAGGUAUUAGCGUAGGGGUUGUACUGCCUUUGUAGUGGCCCAGGGAAAUUUCCAACAGCAUCUAGAUGGGCCGUGGUAUCAUCAUACAAACUGGGACAUGCAUCAGUUGUGUGAUCAGGUGUAGCACAUAUUCCGCAUAAUCGAGCUGUCUUCGCUUUUUUUGCAAUAAGAGAAUUCAUCAUAUUAGUAAGUCUAUCAACUUUAUCCUCUAAGGUUGAAUUACUUUGCUGAUGAACCCUUCUAGGGGGUUCAGUAUUGGCUCGAAACUGCUGAGAAUUUGUAGCCAUCGUGGAGAUCAAGUCUCUCGCUUGUUGGGGAGUCAUGUUGACCAAUGCUCCUCCACUAGCAGCGUCUACCAUAUUCAUCUCCAUGGGCUUCAAACCUUCGUAAAAGUAUUGGAUGAGAGAUUGCUCUGUUAUACCAUGUUGUGGGCAGCUUGCACACAACUUCUUAAAUCGCUCCCAAUAAUCGUAAAGGGACUCAGCUUCUUUUUACCUUAUUCCAACGAUCUCUCUUAUUAGCUCAGCUGCUCGAGACGCUGGAAAAAACCUGUUCAGAAACAAACGAGAUAGAUCAGCCCAAGUUGUAAUAGAUCCAGGGGGUAAAUAAAAUAACCAUUCCUUAGCGGAAUCUGCUAGGGAGAAAGGGAAAGCACGCAAUUUAAUCUGAUCCUCAGUUACCCCCUGAGGUUUCAUGCUAAGACAAACCAUAUAAAAUUCUUUCAGAUGCUUGUGGGGAUUUUCAUUUUGUAACCCACGAAAAGUUAGCAAUAACUAGAUUAAACCUGACUUCAAUUCAAAAUCAGUAUCCAUAGUAGGAUACGCGAUGCAUAAUGGCGGUUGUUCUGUUGGAGCUUCGGCCAGUUGCCGAAUUGUUUGAGCCAUUGGUUCGUGUGCUAAAUUUGGGUUUUCGUUAACCCUAGCGUUAAGCACUUCUUCUGGAGAGUCGACUUCUACCUUUUCACUUUCAAGUGUUCGAGUAGGAUUUUCGUUAACCCUAGACUCAGCUUCGUCGUCGACUUCAAUUUCUGGCAGUGGAUUACUUUGAGUUCCAACCACCGCUGACUGCUUUUUUCGUAACUUUGUCUCCUUGCGAUUGGCUCUAGCAGUCUUCUCAAUUUCUGAAUCGAACGCAAGAGUACCUGGAGCAGAUCUGGUCAUAAGAAACAAAAAACAAGAUUAGUACGUUGCCAGUCCCCGGCAACGGCGCCAAAAUUUGAUGCGGUCGUUGGAAGCACCAAAAAUAUCCUAUCCCUAAUAAAUAAUGAAAAGAAUAGUAAAAGGGAAGUAGGGUCAAAUCCUCAGGGACUGGACUUGCAAAAUAUCUUGUUCUGUGAUAUCCCAGGCAGAGUCUUGCCCAAGACAACCUGCGUUCCUGAAAAAAAUAAAAACAAUAGCAGAAUUAAAUUGUUGGAUCUAGAAACGAAAAAUAAAAUAAAAACAGAAUUAAGAAUAUUGAAUUGAAAAUUCGAGAAAUUAAAAAUAAAGUUAAGAGAAAGAAAAUUCUUAUGGGAAAUUCCAGCCUCCAGUUGUCUCGUUUCGCCUUGGGUUCAAUCCUCGGCUUUUAGAUGAUCCUUCCCAAACCAAAUAAGCCACUUAUAGUGGAAGAGGAUGCCUACGACCACCAGCUCCAAUGAUUUAGACUACGAUUUGGUGGAACCUGACUCUAGCUAACAAUCGCUUCUGUGGGAUCGUCUUAUGCUAGAUCAACGCUUCUCAAUGGCGAAUCCCACGCCAUUUUGUCUCUUGGGCUCGCCAACCUCUGACGCAGUAAGCUAACGAACCGACUGUGCAACCUUCCCAAAACAUACAAAGCGGCCGCUUUGCAUAUGUUGAAAAACUUACUUCUUAAGGGACUUGGACGGAAGCGUCAGCCCCGUAGUGCGGAGAAACGAUGAAUACUCAGCGAGAAGGCUAAGUACGGAUUCUAAGCCUCAAGAACCUUUUUGGGGAUUUUUGACAACCUUCGGCUAGAUGGGUUUAGUGGCUCAUGGUUGUGGUAGAAAAGAAAAUAAAUAAAAUAAAAUAAAGAUUUUAUUGAAAGAAAAUAUGAAAAGAACAAAAGCCUAGACUUUUGGGGAGAGAGUGUUUACAGAAAAAGAAAAAGAUGAGAUCCCCUUUUGAGUCACUUCACCCCCUAUUUAUAGUGCUAGGGGAGAUAUUCUAAUUCUACUUAAAUUCCUAAAAGAUAAAUACAUUUAAUUGAAUAUAAAUAAAGAUAAAAUAAAAUCCUAAAAAUAAUCCUUAAUAAUUAUCUCAAUAUUAAUUAUCCUAAUAUAAUUAAAAUAGAGUUUAAUAAAAUAAAAUCUCUUCUUUUUGCAUUUCAACCCUUGUGUCCUCCAUGCUUGCACUUUUGGCACCAACUUUUCCUUGUGUCGCACAUUGGCCCAUUUUAUCUCUAAAUUCACGCUUUUGGCCCUUAAUUUCACUUUUGCCUCAAAUUUAGUCCCUAUGAGAUAAAAGAUCAUAAAUAGCUCAAAUUAGCAGGAUCAUACUCAGAAUAAAUACAUAAUUAAUACAUAAAAAUACGUUAUUCUAGAGUGUUAUCACCAUCACAUCAAUCAAUGUUCCGAAUAUAAUGAAUCUAUUUGUACCAUCAAACAAUCACAAAGAAACUUAACUAAAUAGGAGAAAAAACCUAUUUGUACGAAAGGGCUAGUGAAGUAGUUUACACAAUUAUUGCUUCUUCCCUGAUCGGCCGGUUAUAAAAUUGAAAAUGUUUUGCAGCCGUUUAGGCUUCGGCCCUUCUUCCUCUGUUUCCUCGUCGAUAUCAUGUUUUCGUUUUACAAAGGAAGUGCUGCCUGCGGAUCCAUCGUUUUCAGUAGAGUGAUGAUGGAUAUGUUCAAAGUUUGGAGAAGAUUGAGUGGUAUGGCACUGCACCUCUUUUAUAUCUUCCAAAUCUUUCUCAUACAUUAUUCUAACACCACACUUCUUCACAUUAACAGAAGGAUACCUUUUUGCAGAUUGGAAGGACAUCUCAAGCGAUAAAUUCUUGGUUUCACAAUUAUCCUUUAAGGAUAAUGGAUAAAAUACUUCACGCGAGAAAUAACGAAGUAAAAGGAGGUCCUUCGUUAUGGGUCGUCGAUCAAAGUCAAUGAAAUUGAAAUCGACCCUUCGACUAUUUUUAACUUGAAAAACAGAUCCAUCACUACUAGAUUGUCCAGAAUAUGUAGAAUGGAUAUAAGCUGGACCACCGAUAACCUUUAUCUCGGAACCAUCAUCAUGGCCAAAAAUGCAGCAGACAGCAACUCCAAUCCAUUGUCUGUCAUUCUGAAUAUUGAAAGGCAAAGGUAUUUCAAUUACAGAGCCGCCUCUCUGUUGGCUGAACCAUUCUGGGAUUUCACUUCCAGGUAUAACAACAUCAAGUCUUUUUCUUGAAUUAUCAAAUGCCUGCAAAUUAAAACAUCAGUCGUUCUUGAAUUUGCAAAAUAAAAUAUCAGUGGUUCUGUAACUAAAACCAUGAAAAAAAAAGAGGGAUCAAUGAACCUUAAUAUGUGUUUUCAGCAAUGUUAUUGCACUCAUGUUCUCAGCCAAUCUCUAGCUGUUAAUGGCUAUAAAGUAAGACCGAUUAUGUUUCCAAUCACUUGUCUUCCUUGCUAGAAGCACAGGCAACGAUUCAAGCUCACUGCAAUUACACACUCCAAGCCUUUGAAGAUUGGAAAGACGAGCGAGAGACGCACCUAUGCUGGUGAAAUUGUUACCAUGAAGAUCAAGAAUUCUCAAUGAGGAUAGACCAGAAAUAUCACUAGGAAUAUCUCCUUCACCCAUAUUGCGCAGGCCGCACCUUGACAAACUAAGUUCUUCAAGCUUGGAGAGUCCAGUAAGAGAUGCCGGUAUUCUGUUGAAAUUGUUAACGCUAAGAUCAAGAAAUGCCAAAGAGGAUACACAAGAAAUAGCACUAGGAAUAUCUCCUUCACCAAGAUUGCAGCCCCUUAGUUUCAACUUUGUUAAUGACCUCAAACUGGAUAAUGAAGGUAGCAUUGGAGCUAUGAAAUUCAUCCUUCCUGUUUGGCUUACCUUGAAAAGCGAAAGGAGAUUUCUUUUCAACUUAUACGGACCCUUGCAUCCAUCAAAAGACAAAACUUUAAGAUUUUUCAAUUGAGAAAUGAAGGAUGGUGGUUCUUUUAUGGCUGUUUCACUCAAGUCAAGCUUUUCCAAAGAUUCUGCUUGAUGCAAAUUCUCUGGCAAAUAUUCAACUUUAUAACAACCAGAAAGAUCAAGAGUUUUUAGAUGUUCCAUUUUCCCAUCAAUCUCUGGAAACCUUGCAAGAUUUGAGCAACCCGAAAGAAUUAAAGUUUCAAGGGAUUCCAUUUCAAUUUUGGUUGGAAGUCUCCUAAGACUUCUGCAAUCUCUUAAAUUCAAAAGUUUCAGUCUCUUAAGCACUCCAAGUGAUGGAUGAACAUCUACUAAUCUGGUACAAUCUUGCAUAAUCAACACUUCAAGAUAUGGGGCUGUUGUGAAGUCUGGUGUCUUGAUCAGGUUUUGGGACCCUUUAAGGCUGAUUAUUUUCAACUUAUACAAGGGCUGUCCAAAACAAUAACAGAUUAGACAGAAAAGAGAAAACAUAAUAAACCUCAUUAUUAUUAUCUUAUUCAAAUUUUAACAGUUUAUAAUAUUAAAAAAAAUAGUUUAUAUUAAAAUAAGCUAAAACAUAAGGAUUAGAUAAAUUUAAUUCAACAUAAGGAUUAGAUGAAUUUAAUUCUUACUCUAUUUCCCUUCCACAGUUGUUCAAUGCGACUAUAUGGUAAGAGAAGUAUGACAAGGUUGUCCGGUUGAAAGCUCGAUGGCAGUGAUUUUAAAGGAUAUCCUGUCCAAUCUAAAAACCGUAGCUCAUUAGAAAGAUAUUUGAGAUCAUUACAAUUUGAGAGGCAAAGCACUCUCAGCAAUCUCAAUUUUUUCAUCUUCGAGAAGACAUUGGCACUCAAAUUGAGCAUCUUGCUUGAUUCCCUACAAAACCACGGGCAAACAAAAAAUAAGCAUUAAAAUAUACAAAAACAUUCAAUACCUAAAAGCUAUCUUUCUCCAAUACUAUUUUUUAAGGAUUUUCAUCCCUUAUACCUAACAUGUGUCCAAAUAUGAGCAUUUCAAGAACUCUUUAAAUAUAUGAAAAAAACUUCUUAAAAAAAUCACACAUACCCAUUUUAGACAUAUAUCCCAUUUGACUUCGAAUUACCUAAGUUUUAAAUACUAGAAUUAAAAUCUUCAUUUAUAUUGGUGCAAUUAUAAUGCAUAAUUUUAUUUAUUAUUAGUGAACGAAACAAUAACACAUCAUUAAAAAUGAAAUUAAUCGGUUUUAUUUUGGAAAUUUUUGAUGACAUAUUAAAAUCUUAUUUAUAAAGAUACACUAUCAGUGCAUCAAAUAUAAUCUCGAUUGUGUUUCUUUUGAAAGUGUUAUGCCUUGCUAGAUAAAUUUCAUAAAAAUAACAUUAAAUAUUAAGCAUUAAUGGUUUUUUUUCCAUCGAUUUUCAUUGAAUACUUUUACCAAAAAAAAACCAAUAAAAAUAUUAAUAAUACACAUCAUAAAUGUGUAUGUAUGUUUUCUUACCUUUGAUUGUCAAUGAUCAUGCUUUCAAUCAUUUCUGUAACCUAAAAAAACACGAAUAGAGAAUAAAUAACCUUUUGGUCGAAAUAGAGUUAAUAGAGCAUUUUAAAUAAAGUAAAACAUUUCCGAUGAGAGAGAUUCAAUUAAAUUAAAUACUUAUUUAUACAAAUUCUUAUUAACAGUAAUCAUCAACAAAAGGCAUUUAUGUGAAGGCUACUCAACGUCAAUUUUUUUAUGGACUGCUAUAUUAGUCAAUUGGACUAAGCCUAAAUUUUAUUUCAGAAAUAAAGUAAAAUAUUUUCGAAUGAGAAUAAUUCAAUAAAAUUAAAAACUUAUAUUACAAAUCAUUAUUAAUAUUUAUAAUUAAUAAAUGGAAAUUAUUUUAAAGCCACUCAAUGUCAGUUAAGGAUCAAUAUGUAAACCAAUUAGGCUAAACUUUAGAUUUACAUCAUAUAUUGAUAAAAAGAAAAUUUUGUAUAUAAUUUUUAUUCAAUGAUUUACCGUGUUUUUUGUUAGGAUAUGAUGGACAUCUCUUUCUUUCCACAAUCUACAACGUUUUCCAGGUUCAUCAACACAUUUUUCUUCAACAAUUUUUCUUCCUAUUUCUUGCAACAAGGCAUGCAUCUGCAAACGUUUGUUGUCAUCACUAACUUUUAUCAAAGAUUUCUUAAUGAGAACAUCGAUUCCAAUAUCUGGAAAGAACUCACAACCAUCCAAUACUUUCGUUAUAAAAUCUCUCUUCUCACCACUGAAAAAGCAUGCUAUAUCUAGAAAUAUAUUCUUCUCCUUUUCUUCCAAUCCAUCAAAGCUAAUUCUUAGCGUGUUAAGAAUUUCUUUGUUAGAAUCUUCUUUAAGUCUUUCGAUUGCACUUCUCCAUUGAACUAUAUCUCUAUCGCACAAAAAUGAACCCAAAACUUCAAGAGCUAAGGGGAGACCACCAGCAUAACAUACAACGUGUCCAGAAAGCUCAAUGAAAUCAUCUUUUGGCACUGUAUCACUAUGGAAAGCUUUCAAAUUGAAAAGUCUAAGUGCAUUGUCUGGAUUCAAUGUUUUAGGGUUAUACACAUCAUCGACUCCGUAAGAUCGGAGUAAAUGUUCAUCUCUUGUUGUUACAAUGAUUCGACUCCCUAAACCAAACCAAUCACGCUUUCCAACCAAGCAUUUCAAGUGCUGUACAUUAUCAAUAUCAUCAAGAACAACAAGAACCUUUUCACUGCACAACCUGCGGCUAAUUAUGGCAUUCCCUUCAUGAACAUUGAAAAAAUUGAAGCAUUCAUUUGGCAAGAUUUGAGAAAGAAGUUGUUUCUGUAAAGAAACAAGUCCACAUUUGUUUGAAACUUCUCGAAUAUCAGCAAGAAAGCUUUUGCCUUCAAAAUGAGGUGACAUUUGAGUGUAAACAACCCUUGCAAGAGUUGUUUUACCGAUGCCACCCAUUUCGUAAAUUCCUAUAAUGCGGACAUCAUCUUCCCCAAUGUUUAUUUUCGAAUACAACUCCUUCAAAGGUAAGCUAAUUCCAACCAAUUCAUCAUGAACAAUUGGAUAUGUCUCACAUAAUUUGGCUGAUAUCUUCCUAACAAUGUCUCCGAUAAACUCUGAUUCAUUCCUACAACGAAAUAAAAAAAUGUUUCUAUCUUUCAAAUGCUCUUUGUCAUUUUUAGUUCAAUGAAUCAUGAAAUAUAAUAUAGUUGGAAGCAAACAAAAAGCAAGAAUAAGACAGUAAGAUAUAUUAUGGCAUCAAAAUACACAACUUUCUCGUUAGUAUUCUUAAUUAAACACAAAAUUAUAAAAAAAUUACAUGCAAUCUGGAAAAAAAACAAUUUUUUAGUCAGUAAAAUUAGGAAAUAAAGAAGAAAUGAAAGAAUUACCCAUUAUGUAAAUGCCAUCCUUUGAUCUUAGCUACUUCAGUCAAAGCAUUUCGCCACUUUUGGAUCUUGCCUUUAUCUUCCUUGUACCUCUCUUCAUGUUUGGCAAAGGCUGCUUCUACCUUUUCUUUUUGGUUUCUUAAAUCGGAUGGAUCCACAUGGUAGAAAAUUGGAAAUACUUUAUGUCCGUUAGCAUUUUUUUGUUGAACAAUCUCAGCAAGCUCCUCCAAGCACCAUCCUGAAAAGGCAUAGGUUUUUGAAAAAAUAAUUACCGAGCACCAUGAUUGCUGAAUUGCUUUGGAGAGUUCGGGUGCGAUGUCUUCGCCAACCUCCAGCUUUGGAUCAUCCCUGAAGGUGACGAUCCCACUACUCUUUAGGGCAUCAUAAAGAUGACCCGUGAAGUUCUUGCGAGUAUCUUCACCUCUAAAACUCAAGAAAACAUCAUAUUUCUUUCUAGAAAUGGGCGAAGAAGUCGAAGGUAACGACAACAUGAGGAUGUGUAUGAAAGGAGAAGGAUACCUCUAUCUGGUGUUCAAAAUGAGAAAAUAGAUCUCCCGAUCCUCGCAAAGAAACUAGAAAAGUAAGUAUAUGAGCAUAGGGGUGGAAAUUAGGGGGUCAAAGAUGAGUGAUGGAUGUUCUUUCCACGAAGAAUCCAAGAAGGUGAGCGUUGGCAAAGUGGAGGCUAUUAAAAAUGUUGGACGGUUUGUAUUUUACGUAUUUAAUAAAUAUAGGGUAGAUAAGAUUAUGACAAUAAUCAUUAGAAUAUAUCUUUAAUAAUUAUUCUUCGUUAUGGGCUGGUUAAAAAGUUUACCAAACAACCAACUACUUGCAUGACACGUGGAAAACUUUUAUCUUGACAGAUCCAUUUCAGCUGCUUAAGAUUAUUUUUGGUUGGAAUCUACCUGAUUAAGUAACAAACAAAUAAAAAUGGCGAAAAAAAUUAAAAUUUGAAUACAACGUGAAAAAACUCUCCGAAGAGGAUAAAAAAUUAUAGGUAGAGAUAAUUUUACUAUAAUGACAAAAGAACGAAGAGUACAAAAGAUAGAGAUAAAAUUUAAACCCUGAAAACAAAGAACCCUCAAAACAUAAACACAAAAUUCUCCAAAAGUGUUAUGAAUUCUAAUCUCUAAUAGGUGUAUUUUCUAAUAUUGUAAAAAAGUCCAUUUAUAGGCUAAAUUCGAAUGUGAAAUAAUAAUAAAAUAAUCUAGACUAAUCAGAUUUUGAUUGAAACAUAUAAACAGAGUUUAAUUGGAAGAUUAUUUCUUAAAUUUGACUGAAAAAUGAGUCAUACUCAACAAAUCUCCACAUUGACUCGUAUUUCCACAACGCCACCUUCGCCAAAGCUUACCAGGAGCCUAUCUUGAACUAUGCAGGGAAUUAAUUGAGUUGAAUUUGUGUUUAGAAGCUGGAAUGCUUCUAGACUUCAACUUGUGCACUGUCAAAUCAAAACUAACCCGGGUCUGAUUUUCACAAACACAAUGCUCUAACUUUUCAAAACCGACAUCUAAAAGAGAAUCUCCGCUCCAAACAAGUUAACUUUGACUCUGUAAUAGAUGAGGGACGUCUAAUUUCACUAAUCACUGUAGAACCUUCAAAAAAUAAAGACUACUGGUCUUUUUACCUUUUAACAAAACGAGAGCCCCACGAGACACCUUAAUGUCGCUAGACUCGAUAUUGAUUCUGUAACUUUUCGAGUCUAAAUUACUUAAGGAGAUGAGAUUCUUUCGUAAAUCAGGUACAUACCUGACAUUUGAUAGUGUCCUAAUCGUCCCACCGUGCAUCCUAAUUUUAUAGUACCAAUACAAAUUACCUUACCAGAUGAAUCGUUUCUCAUACGCUUAGCACCACCUACAACCGAACUGUAUGUGGAGAACCAUUCUCUGUUGGGACACAUGUGGAAAGAACAUCCCGAAUCUAGGAUUCACUCGGACAUAAGCUCAGAACUAUCGCUUGUUAACACUAAUAAAAAAUCAUCACCACUUUUGUCGCCCAAAUUAACACGAGCUACACCUUCCCCAUUGCUCUCAAUAACCCUUUUAAUUCGCAGUUUAUAACAAUCUGCUUUGACGUGACUUAACUUCUUACAAUAGCGACAUCUUUUGUCUCUCUUCUUUGAUGUUACCAAAAUAGAAGCUUGCCUAUUUUCCUUACUAUCCAAACCAAACUCAUUGUCGAGUUUAUCUUUUCUCAACAGAUGACCCUUCACAUCCUCAAAUGAGAGACUAUCUCUCCCAUAAAUCAUGGUUUCCCUGAAAGACUUGUAUAAAGGGAGUAAAGAGCACAAAAAUAGCAUAAUCUGAUCCUCAUCAUCGAUCUGAACCUCAAUGUUAUUUAAAUCAUUUAAACGAGUAAUGAAUUGACUAAUGUGAUCUCUAAGAAGCUCACAUUUGUUCAUGCGAAACGUAAAUAGAUUUUGUUUCAAUAUCAAACGGUUAUCCAAAGAUUUAGUCAUAUAAAUAGUUUCUAACAUUUUCUACAAUGAAGAUGAAGUAUUUCCCAUCAAUGCCUUCUGCAAUACCCUAUUCGCGAGGCACAAUUGGAUCGCAGACAAGGCCUUUUCAUCAAGCUCUUCUCAUUCUGACUGAUCUAGAUUCUUGAGCUUUUUUCCGAUAACAACCUUUUUUCAUGCCGAUCUGAACUAAAAUUGUCAUUAUUCGAACUUGCCACAUAUUGAAAUUUUUGACACCAUCAAAAUUCUCAAUGUUAAACCUUGUUGUUAUCAUCUCUAAACGAGCUGAUCUAUGAAAAUCCAACUAGCUCUUAUACCAUUUGUUGUGGAUCAACCCGAUUAAGCAACGAACAAGUAAAAACAGCAAAAUAAAUUCAAAAAUUGAACACACAAAUUUAACAUGGAAAAACCCCUUCGAAGAGGAUAGAUAACCACGGGCAAAGAUAAUUUUACUAUAAUAGCAAAAGAACGAAGAGUACAAAAGAUGGAAAUGAAAACCAAAACCUUAAAAACCUGAAAACAAAGAACACUCAAAACGUGAACACAAAGUUCUCCAAAAGUGUUAUAAGUUUUAAUCUUUAAUGGGUGUAUUUUCUAAGGUCUUAAAAGAACCUAUUUAUAGGUUAAAUUCGUAGGUCAAAUAAUAAUAAAAUAAUCUAAACUAACCAAUUUUUUAAAUUUAACUGGAAUAUGUGAUUUUUUUAGGUUGGAAGAUGAGACUAGUGCAAAAAUUUGAAUACAAUAAUUUUUGAGUCCUUUGAAAUAUAUGAAUUUUGAUUCGAUGCAACUAUAUAAAUAAAACUUUGAUUAUGGUUGAAAACAAAAGUGUUAAUACAUACAUUACCCGUAGAGUCAAUUAGUCUUUUAAAGAUGUCACUCACCCACCCACUAAGUAAUAAUUAUAGAGUAGAUAGGAUUUUGACAAUAAUCAUUAGAGUAUGUCUUUAAUAAUUAUCCUUCGUUAUGGGCUGCUUAAAAAGUUUACCAAACAACCUAUUACUUACAUCGACACGUGAAAAACUUCUAUCUCGAAAGAUAGAUCUAUUUGGGCUGGUUAAGAUUAUUUUUGGUUGAGAAUUGACCUGAUUAAGCAACGAACAAGUAAAAAUAGUGAAAAAUUUGAGAAAUUAAAUACACAAAUUUAACGUGGGUGUUAUGAGUAUAAAAGAGGAUAAAAAACCAUAGGUAAAAAUAAUUUUACUAUAAUGGCAAAAGAACGAAGAGUAUAAAAGAAGAAGAUAAAACUUAAAUCCCGAAAAUAAAGAACACUCAAAAUAUAAACCAAAAUUCUCCAAAAGUGUUGUGAGUUCUAAUCUCUAAUGGGUGUAUUUUCUAAUAUUGUAAAAAAGACUAUUUAUUAAUUAAAUUCGUAUGUCAAAUAAUAAUAAAAUAAUUUAAACUAAUUAGAGUUUAAUUGGAAGAUUAUUUGUCAUGUUGUAAGGAUCAUGAGUUAUAGUGGUAAUGUUGGGUGAAUUCACAGACAAAAUAGCCUCAAAGGUUGCUAUUUGACAGAGAUUGAGAUGCAGUGUAAAAGCAAAUUUCACCAAUUACCCUCUUGGAUUUCAACACCUGACAAGGCUUUCACCCAAAAAAGUGCUCUAAGCUUGGUAAGAAAGAGAAUCUUUCAACCGGAACAAUUUUCCCAUUAAAAGUAAAAUCGUUACGCGCCAGCUAUAUCCCAUAACCCCGCUGCACAACAGAGGAGCCAUCACUGCUUAAUAUCACCUUUAAUUUUAUUUUUCAUAGAAGUUCGGCUUUAAAGUUAAUGUCAAAUGGAUUUAUGGAUGGUAUUUAAUUAUAAAUUAGACAAGGCUUGAGGGAUGGUUUUUAUUUAUAAAUUUAUAUGGUAAUUAUUAUAGUGCAACGAUUAAAGAAAGAAAGAAAAGUUAGUGCAGAAUUUUCAAAUUUGGAUGGCGAAAUGAAUAAAAGAAAGAAAAAGUUGUGCAGAACUUUCACCAUAUUCACUAAAUGAUACAGCUUGCCCCACCUUUUCUUUUCAAAUAUUUAUUUAUUUUUGGUGACGGGGUUCAUGCUUUUAAUUUGUUUAUUACUAUGAUUAUGAAUCAAACUUUAUUUUAAUAUUUGUGGGGUUUUAUAAGUUGUUACAGGGAGAUGUUUUAUUGGGAUAAAUUACAUUAGAAAUCACUAAAUUAUUAAUAAGUUUAUAUUUUGGUUAUUAAAUUUUAAAAAGUUAUUAAAUGAUCAUUAAAUUAUUUAAAUUUUUUUAUUUAAGUCACUGAAUUAUCUAAAAAAUUUUAUUAAAAUUAGUGAUUCGUUACAUUUAUUUAUUUUUCUUUUAAAUAUACAUAUAUUUAUUAGGAAAGGGUCAAAGGUUUUGAUUUGUUUAUUAUUAGGGAUAAAUGUCAAAUUUAUGUAUGGACUUUGGUUCAAUGUGCAAUUUGAUACAUGAAUUUUGACUUGGUGCAAUUAUCCAUCUGAAAUUUAAAUUGUGGUUCAUAUAUAUACAUGAAAUUUAAUUUUGAUUCAAUUGUACACAUUUAAAGAAAUGAAUACAUAUAAUUAUUUUCACAUUGAAUAAAAGUUCACGUCUUCUGUUAUUAUCAUGGGUGAUACAUGGAUUUAAAGGAGCUCAUGUGUUCAUAGUGAUGAACCAUUAUUGACUGUUGAUUUUCACUUACCGUAAUUAAAGUGAGUUGGGAGAGAGUUUACUUAAUUGUACAAUGGUAAGGUUGCACCAAGUUAUGCUUGAAUAAUUUUAUUGUAUUGUGAAGUUUAUGGUUGAUUCAUCUCUUUGGGUAAGGCCUGACAGAUGUAGGACGAGUACUUUCAAACUACACAAUCAUCUUGGUUGUGCUCUUUAUUUUGCUUGUUGCAUGUGCCAACUCAAAAAUUAAUUUUUGUUUUUAAAAAAAUUUAAACUUAUAAUUAUAUCAAUAGUCCCCAUUAAAAUUUAUCUAUCAAAUUAAAUAAACAACUCAAAAAUUAACUUGUCUACACAUAAUUAUAUAUAUUAAACUUUUUUAACUUUUUGAAAUUUUAAGGAUUUUUGUCUCCAUUACUGUAAAAAUUUAAAUUAAUUCCCAAAAUAUGUAAUGCUUGUGAUUAUUUUUGGUUGGGGAUCGACUUGAUUAAGCAACGAACAAGUAAAAAUAACGGAAGAAAUUCAGAAAUUGAACAUACAAAUUUAACGUGAAAAAACACUCUGAAGAGGAUAAAAAAACUAUAGGCAAAAAUAAUUUUAUUAUAAUGGCCAAAGAAUGAAAAUUACAAAAGAUGAGAUAAAAAAUAAUAAUUUUACUAUAUUUAGAGUUUAAAUACACGAGGUUGAAAUGAAGCAAUGGUGGAGUUGGAAGGCAGUGUUAUUAAAUACUAAAUAAUUGUUUUGUGAAAAUGGGAUAUUUUUACUUUUUUAUCCAUUCGGACAUAUCACUGUUCCUGUCUUCCUUUCCAUGUUUUUGUAAAAAACAGAUUCCCACCAUUCUUUUCUCUUUCGUAAAUGUUGAUUGCUGAGAGGACAAUCUUUUUGCACAUUCCCGAACUCUAUGGACAUGAUUUUUUGCAUCUCAAUCAAAGGUUUGAAAAUCCCAUUCAAAGCUGAAAAGUUGAAAUUAUAUUUAGGAUUUUAUUUUACUUCCAAAUGAUAUCCAAGUAUUGAACUUUCAUGUUCGCAUUAUGGACACGAAUAUAUAUUAAUAGUCCAUCACAUCAAUCAAUGUUGCGGAUAUAAAGAAUACUUAACUAUGGUAAAUAAGAAUCUAUUUGUACAAUUAAACAAAAACAGGGAAAAAGAGAAAAUUAAGUAGGAGAAAAAAUCUUGAAAAGGCUAGUCAAGUAGUUUACCACAAUUGCUGCUUCUUCUCUGAACGACCCAUUAUAAAAUUGAAAUUUGUUUUCAUCUGUUUAGGUCCUCUGUGUCCUCGUGGAUAUUACGUUUUCGUUUUACAGGAGAAGUGCUACCUGCGGAUCCAUCCUUGUCAGUAGAGUGAUGAUGGAUGUGUUCAAAGUUUAGAGAAGAUUGAGUGGUAUGGCACUGCAAAUCUUUCUCAUACAUUAUUCUAACACCACACUUCUUCACCUUAAAAGAAGGAAAACCAUCUACGCCUUUGAAAGACAUCUCAAGCUGAUCGCAUUCAUGAUCAGAGCAAUCCAUUGUCCAUGCAUAUUGUAAUUCACGAGAGAAAUAACGAAGAAAAAGGUGGCUGUUCGUUAUGGGAUGCUCCUAGUCCCCACCUAAACCAAUGAAACUGGGAUCGACCGUUCGAGGAUUUAACUUGAAAAACAGAUCCAUUAUGACUAGAUUGCCGGGAAUUUCUAUAAUGGAUAUAAGUUGUACUACCGAUAACCCUUUCAUCGGAACCACCAUCAUUGACGAAAAUGCAGCAGAAAGCAACUCCAAUCCAAUUUGUUUGGUAUAUGUGAAACGUUUUGUGAGUUUGUUUUUUAAAAUAAAGGUAAAUUUGAACCAUUAUUUUUUAAUCAUCAUUAUUAAUAUAAUUGAAAUCACAUGCAAUGUAUGUUAGUGAUAAUGAAAAAUUGGAAUGUGACAUACUCUUGAUGUGUUUAGAAAAAAAUUUAUAACCAUCAUGGCAUUGGUUGAAUUUGUUAAUUUAAAAGUUUUAGAAAUCCAAUGUUUUAGGUUCUAAUCUCAAUUUUAUAUAAAAAGAUAAAAAAAUUUACUAUAAUAAUAUUUGUUAUUUUUAAAAAUAGUAAAUUUUUUAGUCAUUUUCCAAAUAAGUUAAUAUCUAAUUUACUUAUGACUGAUAAGUAAAGUAUAAUAUAAAGUAUGUUUGGUUAAAAAUAAAAUUAUGUGAAAAUGAUAUAUAUUUAAAUAUAGAAGAUGUCAAAUUUUAUAUAAUGUAAGUUAUUAAUAUAGUAAAAUUGGAAAUAAUUUAAAGAUAAUUAUUAUAUUAGAAAAUAUAGGCAUUAAAGUUGAGGCAUUUUAAGAAGUUUACCAAAUUUUAUAUAAUGUAAAUCAUAAAAACUGUUCCUUAAUACCACCGCGCACGAUUAGCCCUGUUGGAACCGUUAGUCCCCUGCUUUAACUUUACCUCCAUUACAUGCCGAGACCAUGAAAGGCACUCAUUCCUUCAUACCAUAUAUAGUUCCCGCAACGCCACUACUGAAAACAAAGGCAUUUCUAUUUUACCAAAGUUUAUAGCGGCCAUAGCAAAAAGAGUACCCCAAUCAGUUCCUUUCACAGAAAAAGUUCUUUGAGCUCCGGAGAAACUCAAUGCUCUCCCAUUUCCUAGCGCCCAAUAGACACCAUUUACUACAUCUUCCCAAAUGUUGGACAAAGCCCUCCAGAGAAGCGAGCAAUUAGAAGGAUGUAUUGAAGCCGACCAUCUACUUAUUACCACAUACUUGUUUCCAAGGACGUCAACCCAUAGCAGAUUCACGUUAGAAAUGACAUUAAAACCUACCUUAAUCACGCAAGCUUUAUUGUGGUCUCGUACUUUCCUCAACCUAACUCCGCCAUUCUUCAAAGGCAUACAAAAUUUAUACCAGCUCACUAAAGUUGGUUUCCGAUUGCCAAAUGUUGACCCCAAAUGAAUCCUCGAACCAGCUUCUCAUUUUUGUUGCAAUUGUUUAAGUGAUCACCUAAAACAAGACCGUACAAAGAUUGAUCGGUCUAAAAUGAGAUAGUCAUUCCGGUCUUGCCACCUUGGGAACCAACACAAUAAGAGUUUGAUUCAAAAUAGAGGCAAACAUUUGAUAAUUUCAUUCUAUUGGUUUUUAAUUUGUAUAGUUCAUUCAUUUAAAACAAUCAUAAUUGUGCAUCAAUUAUGAAAGAAGUCAGAAGAAAACUGUGCAGUAAUCAAAUGCAAUUUUCUUCACUUUUAUCGCAUCUUUGAGUUGGAGGAAAAGAUGGUCCAAUUGAGAUAUACUUGAAAAGUUUAAUGAUGAAUUGGAAUGAAUUCACUAUUAUGUCAUGUCAACAUGUUAAAUUAAUGGUUCAAUGUUAAAAAAUUCAUAAUUUGACUCAAUAAAAUGUUGAGAGUCAAAACUAAAAAGAAAUGAAAACGGGUCAACUUGUCAAAUUUUAUAAACACUAAGAACCUUUUUUUUUUAAUCAUUAUGCCUAAUUUUAAAGGUUUUAUAUACAAUACAAUUAAAUUACUAUUUGAAUUUACAUUUUAAAAACAACGUUCAUUUCAAUAUGUAUAAUUUACAUUACAGUACAUGAUAAAAACAACUAAUUAUAUUUUGCUAAUUCCCUAAAUUCGUCAAAGCCUAUAAUUGCUAAAGUGUCCGCUUCCAUUCCAACUUGAUGACUUUUGUUGGUCCCUCACUUGCAUGAUCCUUUGAGCAGACUUUCAUGCUUCAUUUGGUCUAGGGGACAAACAUAAAACACCAUCAUUAUUUUUGUUGCAUUGAGAUCAUCUAUAGUAACUUACCUCAAAUUGAGAAAUUUUUGUUGAUAUCAUAUAAAUACAAUCAUUGAAAAUCUUACUCAUAUCGACCAAAAAUCAUAUUUUUAUAUCUCUAAACAAUAACAUUAGACAAUAACAAAAAUGAAAUUAUAGAAUUUUGAAAAAAAAUAUUGGAUAUGAAAAUGUCUCUCACAUGGAAAAGAUUUUCCAAAUAAUUAAAAGAGCGUACUUAUUUUUAUAUUUGAACAAGUGUUAAAAAUAAACGUCUAAACUUAAAUACUUUGUAAAAAAUAUAAAUUGAAGAGUUGGAAUAAUAUUGUUUAUACUUCAAGCCAUGAAAUUUAAAUGGUACUUUUGUUAGAAGGAAUUAAACCUACUAUUAAGGACUUAUAUUUAAUCUUCCAAAUAUAUAAAAAAACAAUUUUAACUGAUUAAAUUGAACACAUAAAUUGAUCUCAAUAAAAAUAAAAUGGUUUUUAACUCUGCCGAAAUUAUGAUCUAAUCCUCAUUAAAGGAUUUUCACCUUAUUAUUACAACCUAAAAAUAAAAUAUAGAUGUAAGUGAAUAUAUAUAAUGAGAAUAAAGUUUUAAUAAAUAAAAAAAAUAAACCAAUCAAAAUGUACACAUUUCAAUUAUGUAAAAAGGAAAGAAUUAAGUGAAUAAAAUUUUAAAUGGUAUUUUUAAAAAAAAAUAUUAUAUAAUAAAAUGAUCAUAUCUCGUAUGCAAAUAAGUCUAGAAUGAUUACUUUAAAUGAAAUAAAAGAUGUAAACAAGGUAGAUGAGUAAAAAAAAGUAGGACAAGGUUGGUUAAGUAAUUUACCAUAGUUAAUGCGUCUACCCGGAUUCGCCAAUUAUAAAAAAUUGAAAAAAAAAGUUGCAUCCGUUUUGGGUGCGGCCCUUCUUCCUCCGCUUCAUCGUAGAUAUUAGGUUUCUAUUUUAUGUGAGAAGUGCUACCUACUGAUCCAUGGUUGUGAGCAGAGUGUUGGUGGAUGUGUUCAAAAUUUGGAGAAGAUUGAGUGGUACGGCACUGCAACUCUUUUAUCUCUUCCAAAUCUUUCUCAUACACUAUUCUAAAGCCACACUUCUUCACUUUACCACUGCAUCCCAUGAAAGACACCUCAAGCUCAUCGCAUUUUUUAUCUAAGCAAUGUGUUGUCCAUAAAUUAGUGGUUUCACAGUCGUCAUAUUUAUCCUCCAAGGAAGGAUAUAUUGUAUCACGCGACCAAUAACGAAGUAAAAGGUGAUCUUUCAUUAUUGGUUCACACAGCCCCCAGCCUCUCCAAUCAAUCCGUCGAUAAUUUCUACCUCGAAAGAUAGAUCCAUUACAGCUGGCUUGUUCAGAAUUUCUACAAUAGAUAUAUGCUCCACAACCGAUAUAUUCGUCAUCCCUUGAAGCAUCAUUACUGACAAAAAUGCAGCAGCAAGCAACUCCAAUCCAUUGACUAUCUUUCUGAAGGUUGAUAGGCAGGGGUAUGUUAAUUGAAAAGGCACUUGUUUGUUGGCUAAACCAUUCUGGGAUUUCACUUCCGGGCAUAAUAAUAUCAAACUUUUUUCUUGAAUUUGCGAAUGCCUGCAAAAUAAAACACAAGUCGUUUGGUAACUAAAACCAUAAAUUCUCAAGUAUGAGAUUUUGUAAGGGAGAAAAUGGAGAUUAAUCGACCUUAAGCUGUUUUUUCAGCACUAUUAAUGCAUUCAUAUUCUCGGCCAAUUUGAAGCAGUUAAUGGCUCUAAAGGCACCCGAACCUAUUAAAUUGCAUACUUCACGUAGUGUUAAUGCAUUGAUAUUCUCAGCCAAUUUGAAGCAGUUAAUGGCUCUAAAGGCAGCCGAAUCCACUAAAUUGCAUACUUCAAGUGCAGAACAACCAUCUAGACACACGUGUCCUAACCUUGUCGGUAUCUCAGGCAACGAUUUAAGCAUCUUGCAGUAUGACAGUCCAAGAAACUGAAGCUCGGAUAGUCGAGUAAGAGAUGAAGGUAUGCUGAUGAAAUUGUUACCACUAAGACCAAGAUGUACCAAAGAGGAUAGACCAGAAAUAUAACCAAGAAUAUCUGAUUCACCAAGAGUGCACAUGUUGCAAUUUGACAAGUCAAGAAACCCAAGCUUCGAGAGUCCAGUAAGAGAUGCAGGUAUGCUGAUGAAAUUGUUACCACGAAGAUCAAGAUGUUUCAAAGAGGACAGACCAGAAAUAUCACGUGGAAUAUCUCCUUCACAAAGAUUGCAGUCCCUUAGACUUAGCCGUCUUAAUGAACUCAAACCUGACAACAAAGGCAACAUUGGAGCCAUGGGAGUUGUCCUUCUUUCUUGGAUUACCUUGAAAAGAGAAGACAAAUUUGGUCGCAACUUUGCUUGCUGCAAAUUCUCCGAGAAAUUUUCAACUCUAUAACAACCAGAAAGCUCUAGAGUUUUUAUACGUUCCAUUUUCCCAUCAAUCUCCGGAAACCUUACAAGACUUGAACAACCCGAAAAAGUUAAAGUUUCAAGAGAUCCCAUUCUAAUUUUUCCCGGAAGACUCCUAAGACUUUUGCAAUCUCUUAAAUUCAAAUGUUUAAGGCUCUUAAGCACUCCUAUUGAUGGAUGAACAUCCACUAAUUUGGUACAGCCUUCCAAAAUUAAAACUUCAAGAUUUGAUGCUGUUGUGAAGUUUGGUGUCUUGAUCAGGUCUUGGGAACCUUUGAGGUUCAUUAUUUUCAACUUAUACAAGGGCUGUUGAAGACAAUAAUAAAUUAGAGAGAAAAGAGAAAGCAUAAUAAUUCUCGUUUUUGUUUUUGUAUUUUUACCUUAAUCAGAGUUUAAUAAUUUAUAUUAGAGCUAAAACACAAGGAUAAGAUGAGUUAAUUCUUACUCUAUUUCCCUUCCAUAGUUGUUUAAUGUGACUAUAUGGUAAAAGAAGUGCAACAAGGUUGUUUGGUUGGAAGCUUGAAGGCAAGCAUCUUAAAAGAUAUCCUGUCCAUUCUAAAAGCCGUAGUUUAUUAGAAAGAUAUUUGAGAUCAUCACAAUUUGAUAGGCAAAGCACUUUGAGCAUUCUCAAGUUUUUCAUCUUUGAGAAGGUAUCAGCACUCAAAUUGAACAUCUUGCUCGAUUCCCUAAUAACCAUGAGUAAAACAAAAAUGAGAUUCAAAAUAUACAAAGACAUUCAAUAUCUAAAAGUUAUGUUGCACCGAUAGAUGAUAAAUUUCCUUUGUAAUUAAAAAAAAUCAUUCCAAAUUGGAAUGAGAAGGAAGACAAUGGGAGAGAUAUUUUAUUUUCAAAUGUUCUAUUUUCUUUCCUUCUCACUUUUCGCUAUACCAAGCAAUAGUGAGGAGGAAAAUAUAUUUUCCAUUCAAUUUUCCAUCUUUCCAGUCAAGUUUUCCAUCCCCUCAGUUUUCCACCCUUCUGAUUUUAUUUCCACUCUGCCAAGCAAAGUCAAAAGGUUUUUUUGUUGUUGUUUUUUUAUUAGAAUUUUUACAAAAAAUAAUAACAAUAUUAAUAGUACAUAUUGAUAAAUUUAUAUGUAUGUUUUCUUACCUUUUAUUGUCGAUGAUCAUACCUAUGUUUUCUUACCUUUUAUUGUCGAUGAUCAUACCUUCAAUCACUUCGGUAGCCUAAAAGUAAUCAAGAAUAGACAAUAAGAAUACAAAAUAAAUGAUCUAAAUUGUACAAUAAAACUUUUGAAAUUUACAUAUAUGUUCAACAUUAUCACAAUCUUUUGGUCGAAAUAUAGGAAAUAAAAUAUUUUCAAAUGAGAGUAAUUCAAUAAAAUUAAACACUUAUAUUACAAAUCAUUAUUAAUAUUUAUAAUCAACAAAUGGAAAUUAUUUUAAAGCCACUCAAUGUUAGUUAAGGAUCGAUAUGUAAACCAAUUAGACUAAGCUUUGGAUUUACAUCAUAUAUUGAUAAAAAGAAAAUUUUGCAUAUAAUUUUUGUUGAAUAAUUUACCGUGUUUUUUGUUAGGACAUGCUGGACAUCGCUUUCUUUCCACAAUCUACAACGCUUUCCAGGUUCAUCAACACAUUUUUCUUCAACAAUUUUUCUUCCCAUUUCUUGCAACAAGGCAUGCAUCCACAAACGUUGGUUGUCAUCACUAACUUUUAUGAGAGAUUUCUUAAUGAGAAUAUCGAUUCCAAUGUCUGGAAAAAACUCACAACCAUCCAAUACUUUCAUUACCAAAUCUCUCUUCUCACCAUUGAAAAAGCACGCUAUAUCUAGAAAUAUAUUCUUCUCCUUUUCUUCCAAUCCAUCAAAGCUAAUUCUUAGCGUGUUAAGAAUUUCUUUGUUAGAAUCUUCUUUAAGUCUUUCGAUUGCACUUCUCCAUUGAACUAUAUCUAUAUCGCACAAAAAUGAACCCAAAACUUCAAGAGCUAAGGGGAGACCACCAGCAUAACAUACAACAUGUCCAGAAAGCUCAAUGAAAUCAUCUUUUGGCACCGUAUCACUAUGGAAAGCUUUCAAAUUGAAAAGUCUAAGUGCAUCGUCUGGAUUCAAUGUUUUAGGCUUAUACACACCAUCGACUCCGUAAGAUCGGAGUAAAUGCUCAUCUCUUGUUGUUACAAUGAUUCGACUCCCUAAACCAAACCAAUCACGCCUUCCAACCAAGCAUUUCAAGUGUUGUACAUUAUCAGCAUCAUCAAGAACAACAAGAACCUUUUCACUAGACAACCUGCGGCUAAUUAUGGCAUUCCCUUCAUGAACAUUGAAAAAAUUGAAGCAUUCAUUUGGCAAGAUUUGAGAAAGAAGUUAUUUCUGUAAAGGAACAAUCCCACAUUUGUUUGAAACUUCUCGAAUAUCAGCAAGAAAGCUUUUGCCUUCAAAAUGAGGUGACAUUUGAGCGUAAACAACCCUAGCAAGAGUUGUUUUACCGAUGCCACCCAUUCCGCAAAUUCCUAUAAUGCGGACAUCAUCUUCCCCUAUGUUUAUUUUCGAAUACAACUCCUUCAAAGGUAAGCUAAUUCCAACCAAUUCAUCAUGAACAAUUGGAUAUGUCUGACAUAAUUUGGCUGAUAUCUUCCUAACAAUGUCUCCGAUGAACUCUGGUUCAUUCCUACAAUGAAAUAAAAAAUUGUUUCCAUCUCUCAGAGGCUCUUUUUCAUUUUUAGUUCAAUGAAUCAUGAAAUAUAAUAUAGUUGGAAGCAAACAAAAAGCAAGAAUAAGACAGUAAGAUAUAUUAUGGCAUCAAAAUACACAACUUUCUCGUUAGAAUUCUUAAUUAAACACAAAAUUAUAAAAAAUUACAUGCAAUCUAGAAAAAACCAAUUUUUUAGUCAUUAAAAUUAGGAAAUAGAGAAGAAAUGAAAGAAUUACCCAUUAUGUAAAUGCCAUCCUUUGAUCUUAGCUACUUCAGUCAAAGCAUUUCGCCACUUUUGGAUCUUGUCUUUAUCUUCCUUGUACCUCUCUUCAUGUUUGGCAAAGGCUUCUUCUACUUUUUCUUUUUGGUUUCUUAAAUCGGAUGGAUCCACAUGGUAGAAAAUUGGAAAUACUUUGUCCGUUAGCAUUUUUUUGUUGAGCAAUCUCAGCAAGCUCCUCCAAGCACCAUCCUGAAAAGGCAUAGGUUUUUGAAAAAAUAAUUACCGAGCACCAUGAUUGCUGAAUUGCUUUGGAGAGUUCGGGUGCGAUGUCUUCGCCAGCCUCCAGCUUUGGAUCAUCCCUGAAGGUGACGAUCCCACUACUCUUUAGAGCAUCAUACAGAUGACCCGUGAAGUUCUUGCGAGUAUCUUCACCUCUAAAACUCAAGAAAACAUCAUAUUUCUUUCUAGAAAUGGGCGAAGAAGUGGAAGGUAACGAUAACAUGAGGAUGUAUGAAAGGAGAAGGAUAUCUCUAUCUGGUGUUCAAAAUCAGAAAAUAGAUCAUCCGAUACUCCCAAAGAAACUAGAAAAAGCAAGUAUAUGAGCAUAGGGGCGGAAAUUAGGGGUCAAAGAUGAGUGAUGGAUGUUCUUUCCAAGAAGAAUCCAAGAAGGUGAGAGUUGGCACAGUGGAGGCUAUUAAAAAUGUUGGACGGUUUGUAUUUUACGUAUUUAAUAAUUAUAGAGUAGAUAAGAUUAUGACAAUAAUCAUUAGAAUAUAUCUUUAAUAAUUAUCCUUCGUUAUGGGCUGGUUAAAAAGUUUACCAAACAACUAACUACUCGCAUCGACACGUGGAAAACUUCUAUCUGGAAAGACAGACCAUUUAGACUGGCUUGUCCAGAAUUUCUACAAUGGAAGCAUCAUCACUGACAAAAAUGAGACAGGACGCAACUCCAACCCGUUGACCAUUCUGAAUAUUGAGUGGUAGAGGUAUCCUAAUUGUAGAGCCACCACUCUGUUGGCUAAACCAUUCUGGGAUUUCACAUCCAGGUACAAUAACAUCAAACAUUUGUCUUGAAUUUGCAAAUGCCUGCAAAAUGAAACUUCUGUCGCUUGGUAAAUAAAACCACAAAUUCCCAAGUAUGAGAGGGAAAGAAAGAGAGAUUAAUUAAACUUGAGAUGUAUUUUCAACAAUGUUAAUGCAUUGAUGUUCUCAGCCAAUCUGUAGCAGUUAAUGGCUUUAAUGGAAGCUAAAUCCAAUAAAUUUCAUACUUUUGAUGGACUUGCAACUACUUCAAGUGAAGCACAACCAUCUAUGCACACUCUUGCUAUACUUGUUAGAAGCUCAGGCAAGGAUUUAAGCUCUUUGCAAUUCAUAACAUAAGAAGUUUAAGCUCUUUGAGUAAGAGACGCAGGUAUGCUGAUGAAAUUGUUACCACUAAGAUCAAGAUCUGUCAAGGAGGAUAGGCAAGAAAUAUCACUAGGAAUAUCUCCUUCACGAAGAUUGCAGUCCCUUAGCUUUAACUCUCUUAAUGAACUCAAACUUGACAACGAAGGCAACAUUAGAGGCAUAGAACUUGUCCUUCCUUUUUGGGUUUCCUUGAAAGGAGAAGGAAGAUUUUGUUGUAACUUCGAUGGUCCCUUUCAUCCAUUGAAAGACAGAACUUUAAGAUUUUUCAAUUGAAAAAUUAAGGAUGGUGGUUCUCUUAUGCUUGUUUCAGCUCUUCCAAUUAUUCUACUUGCUUCAUAUUCUCUGGCAAAUUUUUAACUUCACAACAACUAGAAAGAUUAAGAGUUUUUAGACCUUGUAUUUUCCCUUCGAUCUCCGAAAACCUUACAAGAUUUGAGCAACCCAAAAGAAUUAAUGUUUCUAGAGAUUCCAUUCUAAUUUUGGUUGGAAGACUCCUAAGACUUUUGCACCCUCUUAAAUUCAAAAGUUUAAGCCUCCUAAGAACUCCCAAGGAUGGAUGACUUUUACAAUUCUUGUACAACCUUCUAAAACCAGAAUUUCAAGAUUUGGGGCCAUUGUGAAGUCUGGUGUCUUGAUUAGGUUUAGGGACACUUCAAGGUUGAUCACUUUCAACUUAUACAUAGGCUGUGAAAAACAAUAAUAAAUUAGAGAGAAAAGAGAAAAAAUAAGAAAACUUAUUUUUGUUGUUUAUUUUUUAUCUUAAGCUAAAAAAUAAGGAUUGGGUGAAUUAAUUUUACUCUGUUUCCCUUCCAUAAUUGUUCAAUGCUACUGAAUGGUAAGAGAAGUACAACAAGGUGGUCCGGUUGGAAGCUUAAAGGCAAGGAUCCUAAAGGAUAUCUAUGUAAUCUAAAAAUUGUUUUUCCAUUGAAAGAUAUUUGAGAUCAUCACAAUUUGAGGGCCAAAAGACUUUGAGGAAUUUCAACUCUUUUAUUUUGGAGAAGACAUCAACAUUCAAAUUAAGUGUGUUGCUCGAUUCUCUAAUAACCAUGGACAAAACAAAAAACUUAGCUUCAAAAUAUACAAAAGCAUUAAUACCUAAAAACCAUGUUGCCACGAUACUUUUUUAAAUAUCCUAUAAGGUAUAUCUAAAUAUGGGCAUUAAGAUAUGACUCUUCAAGAAUUCUUUAAUACAUGAAAAAAUCUUUUGAAAAAUGAACAUACCCAUUUUGAACAAUUACCUAAACCUAAAAGUAUUAGAACUAAAAUUUUCAAUUAUAUUUGGUGCACUCGCAAUACAUAAUUUUAUGCAUUAUUAGUGAACCAAAUGGAGAGGCAUAAUUAAGGAUGAAAUUACUUGAAUUUAUUUUAAUAAAAUUUAAUGACAUGUUAUAAUCUAGUUUAUAUAUUGUUAAUUUAUCAAAUGUAAACUUUUAUUUUUCACAAAAAAGAAACAUCUCUCUCUAAUUUUUUUUUUAGAAAGAAUAAUGUGUUACUUGAUAAAUUCAUAAAUUAGCAUUCAAAUAUUAAGUACUAAGUGUUUUUUUUUGUUUUCAUUAUAUAUUUUUUACAAAAUAAAACUAAAUAAUAACAAUAUUAAUAAUACACAUCGAUAAAAGUAGAUAUUUACUUUUUAGGGAUUGUUAUAUUACUUUUCAUUAUAUAUUGUCGAUGAUCAUGCCUUCAAUCAAUAAAUAGGUUUUUUUCUCAAAGCUAGUGAAUAUCACUUUUUAGGGAUUGUUAUAUCGAUGAAUUAGAAUAAACUUUAAGUUUAUAUUAUAUAUUGGUUAGAGAUCCAAUAAAAAAAAUUAGUAUGUAAAUUUUGUUGAAUGGCUUACAGUGUUUUUUGUUAAGACACAAUGGAUGUCCCUUUUUUCUCACAAUUUGUAAUGUUUUUUCGGUUCAUCAACAUAUUUUUCUCUAUUAAUUUUUCUUCCCAUUUCUUGCAACAAAUCAUGCAUCCAAAAAUAUAUGUGUGUUCAUUGAAGAUCUUUCUCUUCUCCAUUGAAGAAGCAUGCUAUAUCUAGAAAUAUAUUAUUCUCCCUUUCUUCCAAUCUAUCAAAGCUUAUUUGACGUCUAUUGAGAAAUUCUUUAUUAGAAUCUAGUUUAAGUCUUUCGAUUCCACUUCUCCACUGAGAAGCAUCUCUACCGCACAAAAAAGAACCCAAAACUUCAAGAGUUAAGAGGAGACCACUAGCAUAAUGUACAACAAGUUUAGAAAGGACUAAAUUGUAACAAUUUGGACUAAUUUGAAUAAAACAAAGAACAUAGAUAGUGAUGCCCCUAAGGGAAUAUUAAGAUAAAGUGAGACCGAAAGGUAAUCUUGUCGUGCACCUGUUCAUUAGUCCUUGAUUAACUGGUGAGAUUGGAAGAUAAACUAGACCUAAUCUGUCUAAGUUGGCAAAAUUAAGACCGGAAGAUAAAAUAGAGCCACUUGGUAAUUACGUGAUUUAUGUCAUUGGUCCAAGAUUUGGUGAACCAUAUUGAAGUCAACCAACCCCUAUUAGUCAUUUGCUAGAUUGUCCUUCUAGUUUACAUUUCUUGUAAUUUAGUCCCUAGAGUAGAAUAUUUAAUUUUCUUGCAAACUUAUCUUUUAUGAAUCACCGUAAUAUAAAAUUGUAUCAAUAGCCACUUAGCCUCUAUUGUGUAUGUUAGUUAUUGCUCAAUCGCCUAUUCCUUUGGGUUCAAUCCUUACAAUACUUUUGCAUUUCAUUAUAAAACUAUAAAUAUAAAUAUUAAAACUGACCUGUACGCUUGCAGUAAAAUUGGGCUUUUAAAAUAGUUAUAUAAAUUUAGUGUUUUAAGCACACGCAUGCAAUCGGUCAGUAGUCAAUCUCACCCCAUUAGCCACCAUGACUUGAAGUUGACUAAAGUGCUCCACUAAUAAAUCCAACAUCUUAACCAGCUUAGAAUCUAGAAAAUUGUGUGUACUUCCUGAGUCAACCAGGAUAAUGACAUUGGAGUGACCAAUACUUGCUAAAAAUUGCAUAGAAUUAUGUCUCUAUAAGCCUUGAAGGGUGUGUAAGGAUAAACUUGGGCAGUGUGUUUCGUUUCCUAUUCUAACACUUUCAGUUGUUCAGGACAUUCUUGGAAUUCUUCAAACACUGGGCUCUUGCUUCCACCCUCAUGAUCUGAAUAAAGUUCCACAACCAGCUGAUAAAGUUGAGACUUGGUGCACUUAUGACCUGGGGUGUAUUUGGAUGCACACCAAAAGCAAAGUCCCUUUUUUCUUCUCUCUUCUAUUUCAGCUUGAGAAAAGGGUUUGGUUUGGAAUUUUUACCCCGAGUUACAAUUUGGAGGUCCAUUUGGCCCUAUCGAGUUACAGUGGUGAUAUUGCACCUUGGGACCAAGAAUUAAGGGGCUAAGGUGACUUAUUCCCCCACUUACAUUCAAACUCUUCUUUGUGAACUUAGCCUUCCACCAGUGUUUGAGCCUUGAACAACCGUAGAUACUACCCUAUCUCAGGUUUAAGAUUGCAAGUGAAAACACUAAGGACAUAAUCCUCAGUUAGAUGUAACUGAUUAAGCAAACUUACAAAACGGUCAUGGAAUUGGUCCAUUGACUCUUUCUCCUUGAGUGAAACAUGUCCUAACAUGGGGUCUAAAAAGGAGUUAGAUCUAAAACGAUCCCUCAGCCCUCAAACAUAUAUCUCCCAAGUCAGGUGAUGUAAUCCCCCUGUCAUUGCACAAAAGUGAUGCCAAUCUAGGCUUUACCUUCUAAGUGCAACAUUACCAUUCUAACAUUGGUCUACUUUAUUAUAUUUGCAGCUUCAAAGAAUCGUUCUAACUUGGACCACCAAUCUUGAUAAUCUGUCCCAUCAAAUCAUAGGCAUUCUAGCCGAAGAGUUUUAAUAACAAAGUCCACAAGACCAACUUGAGAAAAAGUAUUCAUGUUUUCCAAAUCUGACACAGGUGAUAAUGUAAGUGGCCUUUUGGAAGGGAACUUAGGAGGAGAGCCUCCCAUAAUGCCCUUGUCUUGAACUCUUCCAGUUACACUGGCAGAAGCAUUUUGACCAAAAUAGUGUUCAAAAAGAGAGUGGAGUUCAGUUUGAAUCUCACCUUUGAUACUUUCAUGAAAAUCCUUUAACCGAGAUUCGAUCUUAGCAUCAAUCUAGCUAACCACUAAUUGCAUCUGAGAGAGCUCGUGUUGCAGCACUCCCAUCUUUUUUUGUAACCUGGUGGUGACUCUAUCAUUUGCCAUAAAAAUCGACUUCAGCUCUGAUACCUUUGUCAUGGGAAAAUCUUUAGGGCAGAAGAGAAAUAGGAUAGCAAGAGGAAGAAAAAGGAGUUGAGAGAAAUCAGAGAGAUAGAAGGAAAGAGAGAACUGUAUUCAUUCCAAUAGCUGCCUUCCCCUACCUUGAUUGGUGUUUUUAGGGCGGGUAACGACCCUCUCAAACAAAUUGACGGUUGUUAAUACAACUAUAGCAAAACGUACCAUUUUUUAGUAAAUGACAAAACGUCUCUAAACGCAGUCGUUUGGACCAUAUUUAACCCUCCCCCCUUAAACCUGUUGUUUCAUUAUAACAUUAAACUAAACGUUGUGUUUUACAAUAAUUAAGGCUAAAACAGAAGUAAACAUAAAUUAACAGAAAUUUAAACAUAAUCGUUGCCUUUAGUUCUAUUCCGUGACAUGCAAUCCUUUCACCGCCCUCUAGCCUUGGCUCAACCCUAAAAGUGAUGAUUCAAUUCCUUUUUAGAGUAUCAUAAAGAUGAUCGGUGAAGUUCUUGUGAACAUCUUCACCUUUAAAACUCAAGAAAACAUCAUAUCUAUAUCUAGAAAUGGAUGAGAAAGACAUGAGGAUGCCUGAGAAGAAAAAUAUAUCUCAAUCGAGCGUUCAAAAUCAAAACAAUAUUUCCCAUCAUUUAUUUUUCCAAAUGAAUAUGGAUAAUAGUUGUUAAUCAGCGAUGGGUGUUCUUUCUAGUAAUAAUCCAAGAAGGUGAGAAUUGACGAAGUGGAGCCUACUUUGACUAUUAGUAGUAUUUAAAGUACUGUUGGGAGGUUUGUGUUAUAAAAUAUCCUCAAAAAAAUCAGAAUAAUUUAGUUCAUGUCAAUUUUGAAAGUGAACAAUGAAAGUUAAUUAAUAAUAAUAUUAAAGCUUUUAAUCAAUUGUACAUAUUCUUUAUUAAAUUCCCAAUUUUUUUUGUAUUAAAUAUUACAAAUUUGAAUAAUCAAAACUUUGAAAUCUCUUUCAUUAGAAAGAAGAGUUUAGCGGCACUUGGGUCUGACGGAGGCCAUGCCUGGCAAAGAGCGCUUUUGAUUUCAAUUUUCAAAUCUUCUACAAGUUGUGUUAAAAUUCAUUUUCAACCUUCUUUUGUUUCAAAUCUUCAACAUAAUCCAUAAAAUUCUAGAUGUAUAUAUCUUAAAAUUACGCAAUUAAAACCAUAAAACUCAAAGGGGCAAUUCACAAAUUAAUUAGAAGUUAUAUAGCAUAUCAAGUGUUAUCAAGUUGAAUAUGCUAAUAACAUUAUAAACAAUGACUGCCAAAUUAAAAUAAAGGGAUUAAAAUUUGACAAAAAAAAGGAUUGAAUCUCAAAGGUCAAUAUAAUAAAGGGACUAAAACUGGAAUUGCACCUUAAAUAAUCACUAACAGAUAUUAAUCUUUGAUUAAAUUCAAUAUGUUUCACUUGUACAGUAAACUAAAUUCUUCUCUAUCAGUUAACUAAUCCCCCAAACUAUACAAAGUUGACAAAAUCAUUCAGAUUCUCUUAAUAUGCUAAUCAAUUCUUGUUGGCUCAAAAAAAAAAAAACAUAUUUGUACACGUAGACAAAUAUUUUGAAAAUUUGUCGUGAAUAUCAUGCCCCCACCUCAUGAUAUUCAAUAAAUUAUUAAAUUUUGGACAGAAAAUUCACCAACCAAAGAUGAAAAAGUAAUUUUAAUUUGUAAUUCAAAUUAUUAAAUUUUAUCAGUAUUUUCUACAUUUUUCUAAUGUUUAAAGUAUUUAGGGUAUCAAAUGUGUAAUAUAUCCAUCAAAAUGUUCUGUUUUUUAAUUAUAUAAACCCCCUAAAAAUUAAACAAAAACCAGAUAAUCCAUUCCUACAAGAUAAUCCACUCCAUUGAUUUGUGAUUUUGAGAUUUUAAUUUAAAAGAUAAAUAUCGAAAUAUAUAAUUUUUAAAAAAAAUUAAAAACUGAGACCAGUAUAAAAUUAUUUAUCUCAGAUGGAAUGCUCGCUUAGGUGAUAUUUUAUUAGGAUCAGAUAAACGAUCUCAUCGAGAGAGAGAGUCAUCACAGGAUGGAUGAUUGGGAUUGGUAGACGAUGAGACUCCAUGAGUGUGGAGCCUUCCUUGAGUGGACAACGGCAGCGUUGGGUUCACACCUGCGCUUGGAGAGGACUUUGAAGCCUUCACAAAUCAUGUAAAGAAAUGAAAGAAAAUGAAGAAAAUGUUAAAAGCAUGUGCCAAACGUACCAUGAUUAGGGAAAUGAGAUACAACAUUACAAAGCAUGAGUCCAACUAAUAAAAUUAAAGCUGACUUGAAUUUUAUAGGAUGGGAUAAUUUCAUUUUCGGUCCUCUAUAAUCUGCACUAUAUGCGUAGCUCCUGAUUUUAUGUUAUGUUAUGUUAUUUAUUUAAUUCAAUCCCUACCGUUUUUUAGUUUUUUCUUAAUUAGUAUUUGUGACUCUUAACAUUAUUAUUGUAGGUAUUUAGAUAAUAUUUUUACUAUUUGUAUGCAUAAUUUAUUUUAAAUAUUAGAAGCUAUUAUUCUCUUAUCUCUAAUUACUUUUAAUAAUUUUGAACUGUCAUUAAACAAGUGCAACCUAUUACACAUUACAUUGUCAAAUAUAUUUCACGUGAUUAAAUUUUAUAAAAAUGAUAUGUAUAAAUUUGAAAUUUAUUUUCUGUACUUUUAUUUGUAGGAAUUUAAUUUAUUUACUUUUUAAAUGUUAAAAUUCAAAUUUAAUUGUUAACACAUUGAUAUUUUGAAAUUUUAAAAACAUACACAUUCACUCCUAAUAUUGUUUCUAGAAAAAGUUGAAUUGGAAUUUUGGUAGAUAAAACGACUGAAGCAUGAAGAUCACCGUGUGCCAAAUUCAACCACCUUCCUUUUCUUAUACAAAAUUUUAAGGAGUUUCACAAUGAUGCCCUCGAGAAAAGAAAGUAUACAUUAAAGGAAAAAGGAAUUGUGUAAUGAGUGAUGUCAGCUUCACCGAUUAUUUCUUCUUAUCACAUGCCAAAGCAAUUUCCUUGUACAGACUGGGAAAACUCCUGGAAUUUCGUCGAAGUUUGAACGAGGUCGAGUUUUAUAUAAUACUGGACUACCAAGUGUAUGAAGUCGACCAAACACAGAUUACUUCGUCUGUAAUAAAUAAUUAUCAUAAUGUCGUGUUUGAUCAUGCUUGUGUUGCUGCUUUUCCUCCUGGUUGUUGCAUCUUCAGAUAUCAACCAGGGCCAGUUUAGUUUCAAUGGUUACUUGAAUGUCGAGGGAGUUGCAGGCGUAGAUUCAAGUGGGCUGUUUACACUUACAAAUACCACAAGCCGAAUAAUUGGUCAGAUCUUCUACAAGAAUCCGAUCCAGUUCAAGAACUCCACAAAUGCAACUGUUUCCCCCUUCCCCACUACAUUCAUUUUUGCAAUUGUACCUGGAUACACCGACCUUGGUGGCCACGGAUUGGCCUUCGUUAUCUCCCCUAACGAUGAAAUUUCUGGAGCUCUUCCCACCCACUAUCUCGGUCUUUUCAAGGAAACAAACAUAGGCUUAGACUCGAACCAUGUUGUAGCGAUUGAGCUGGGCACGGCCCGGACCAUUGCGUCGGUGACAUAGACGGCAACCACGUCAGCAUCGACAUCAAUAGCCCAAGAUCAGUGACAGCUGCUUCUGCUAGGUAUUUCACUGAUGAAAGUGAGUUCAAAAAUCUCAACCUCAAGAGUGGAGAUCCAAUGCAGGUUUGGGUUGAAUACGACGGGGUCUAGAAGCAACUCGAUGUUACAUUGUACCCAAUCAAUGUAACGAAGCCAAAACCUUACUUUUAUACUUGAAAAAGGAUCUGUCUCCAUAUUUGUAUGAGUCUAUGUUUGUCGGCUUCUCGUCGUCCACCGGUGUUCUUGUAUCGUCGCACUACAUAUUGGCUAUUCUAAGGACAUGAUUUUUUUUGCAUCUCAAUCAAAGGUUUGAAAAGUUGAAUUCUUUGAGGUGCCCAUUCAAUAGACUAAGAAAGCUGAAAAGUUGAAAUUAUAUUUUUCAAAACAUAUCAUUUUUUAUUUAUAUCAAGGAUUUUAUCAUGUUAGUAUUAUGAACACGAAUAUAAUGAAUACUAAAUUAUGGUAAAUAAGAAUUUAUUUGUACGAUCAAACAAAAAAAGAGGAAAAAAAUCAGAAAAGAGAAACUUAUAAAAUUAACUAAAUAGGGGAAAAAAUCUUGAAAAGGCUAGUGAAGUAGUUUACCACAUUUAAUGCUUCUUCCCUGAUUUGGCCAUUAUAAAAUUGAAAGUUUUUUGCAUCCGUUUUGGUUGCGGCCCUUCUUCCUUCGCUUCAUCAUAGAUAUUAGGUUUCUGUUUUAUGUGAGAAGUGCUAUCUACUGAUCCAUCGUUGUGAGAAGAGUGUUGGUGGAUGUGAGAAGAUUGAGUGGUAUGUCACUGCAACUCUUUUAUUUCUUCCAAAUCUUUCUCAUACACUAUUCUAGCACCACACUUCUUCACCUUAGCAUAGUCUUCAUCAUUUGGGUUUGAGAAAAACACCUCAAACUCAUCACAUUUUUCAUCUGAGCAAUCUGUUGCCCAUAAAUUAUUGGUUUCACAAUGACCAUAUUUAUCCUCCAAUGAAAAUGGAUAUAAUUUAUCACGCGACCAAUAACGAAGAAAAAGGUGAUCUUUCAUUAUGGGCCCGUUAUAUCGUUUACCUAAACACCAGCCGAGCCUAUCAACCACUCGAGGAUUUCUACCUCGAAAAAUAGAUCCAUUACAACUGGCUUCUUCAGAAUUUCUACAAUAGAUAAAUGCUCCACAACCGAUAGACUCGUCAUCCCUUGAAGCAUCAUUAUUGACAAAAAUGCAGCAACAAGCAACUCCAAUCCAUUGACUAUCUUUCGAGACGGGUAUCUUAAUUGAAGAGUCACUUCUUUGUUGGCUAAACCAUUCUGGGAUUUCACUUCCGGGCAUCAGAAUUUCAAACUUUUUUCUUGAAUUUGCGAAUGCCUGCAAAAUAAAACACAAGUCGUUUGGUAACUGAAACCAUAAAUUCUCAAGUAUGAGAUUUUGUAAGGGAGAAAAUAGAGAUUAAUCGACCUUAAGAUGUUUUUUUAGCAGUGUUAAUGCAUCGAUAUUUUCAGCCAAUUUGAAGCAGUUAAUGGCAUAAAUGAAACCCGAAUCCACUAAAUUGCAUACUUUUGAUGGACUUGCAACUACUUCAAGUGAAGAGCAAUCAGCUAUACGCACAUCUGCUAUACUUGUUAGAAGCUCUGGCAACGAUUUAAGCAUCUUGCAAUUUGAUAAUCCAAGUAAUUCAAGCCUGCUAAGUUGAGUAAGAGCCAAAGGAAUGGUGAUGAAAUUGUUACCCGUAAGAUAAAGAUAACUCAAAGAGGAUAGACCAUGAAUAUCUGCUUCACCAAGUGUGCACAUGUUGCAAUAUGACAAAUCAAGAAAACAAAGCUUCGAGAGCCCAGUAAGAGAUGCAGGUAUGCUGGUGAAAUUGUUACCACCAAGAUCAAGAUGUUUCAAGGAGGAUAGACUAGAAAUAUCACGUGGAAUAUCUCCUUCACAAAGAUUGCAGUCCCUUAGUUUUAGGUCUCUUAAUGAACUCAAACCGAACAGCGAAGGCAACAUCUGAGGCAUGGGAAUCUUCCUUCUUCCUACGAUUACCUUGAAAAGAGAAGACAAAUUUGGUCGUAACUUUGCUUGCUGCAAAUUCUCCGAUAAAUUUUCAACUCUAUAACAACCAGAAAGAUCUAGAGUUUUUAGACGUUCCAUUUUUCUAUCAAUCUCCGGAAACCUUACAAGACUUGAGCAACCCGAAAGAAUUAAUGUUUCAAGAGAUUCCAUUCCAAUUUUGGUUGGAAGAUUCCUAAGACUUUUGCAAUCUCUUAAAUUCAAAAGUUUAAGGCUGUUAAGCACUCCGAUUGAUGGAUGAACAUCCACUAAUUUGGUACAACCUUCCAAAAUCAAAACUUCAAGAUUUGAUGCUGUUGUGAAGUCUGGUAUCUUGAUCAGGUUUUGGGACCCUUUGAGGUUCAUUAUUUUCAACUUAUACAAGGGCUGUUGAAGACCAUAAAUAAUUAGACAGAAAACAUAAUAAUGCUAAUUUUUGUAUUCUUUACCUUAACCAAAGUUUAAUCAUUUAUAUUAAAAUAAGCUGAAACGAUGAGUUAAUUCUUACUCUAUUUCCCUUCCAUAGUUGUUCAAUGUGACUAUAUGGUAAAAGAAGCGCGACAAGGUUGUUCGGUUGAAAGCUUGAAGGCAAGUAUCUUAAAGGAUAUCCUGUCCAAUCUAAAAGCCGUAGUUCAUUAGAAAGAUAUUUGAUAUCAUCACAAUUUGAGACACAAAGCACUUUGAGCAAUCUCAAUUUUUUCAUCUUUGAAAAGGUGUCGAUACUCAAAUUGAGCAUCUUACUUGAUUCCCUAAUAACCACAAGCAAAACAAAAAUAAGCUUCAGAAUAUACAAAAACAUUCAAUAUCUAAAAGCCAUGCUGGAUCGAUAUUGCUUUUUUAAGUAUCCAUAUCUAGCACUUAUAUCUAUUGCAUAUCUGAAUAUGGUAUUGAGAUAUGAUUAACAUAUUAGACAAUAUUUUAUCUAACACUUAUAUUCGACUUUUAAUUACCUAAGCCUAAAAAAACUAGAACUAAUAUUUUGAUUUAUGUUUGGUGCACUGAUGUAUAGUUCUAUACAUUACCAGUGAACCAAAUGGUGGCAUGACCUGAAUUUAUUUUUAAAAACUUAUAAUGACAUGUUAUAACCUAGUUCAUUGAUAUAGAUUUUCAUUACAUUAAAUAUAAACCAUUAACAUUAGCAAAGACAAUGACACACAUCUCCUUAUCAUUUCUUUUGAAAGAGUAAUGUGUUUCUGUAUAAAUUUUAUAAAUAGAACAUAAAAAAAGUUAAGCUUUAAGGGUGUACUUGGUUGAGUGAAAAAGUCAAGGGAUAUGAGGAUGAAUUGUGCUUGGUAAAGAAGAAAAGUGAGAAGAAAAAAAAAGGGGAGAAAUGAUCCUUUUAUAUUAGUGAGAAGGGAAAUGUAUUAUCUUUCAAUUUUCUGUUUACUCUACCAAGCAAAGUCUAAAGGUCUUUUUGUUGUUGUUUUUUAGUGGACUUUUUACACACAAAAAAAAUAAUAAUAACAAUACUAGGAGUACAUAUUGAUAAAUUUAUAUGUUUCUUUUCCUACCUUCUAUUGUCGAUGAUCAUGCCUUCAAUCACUUCGGUAGCCUAAAAGUAAUCAAGAAUCGAUAAUAAGAAGAUAAAAUUAAUGCUCUAAAUUGUACGAUAAAACUUUUAAAAUUUACAUACAUGUUCAAUAUUAUCGCAAUCUUUUGGUCGAAAUAUAGUAAAUAAAAUAUAUUCUAAUGAGAGUAAUUCAAAAACAUUAAACAGUUAUAUAACAAAUCAUUAUUAAUAUUUAUAAUCAACAAAUGAAAAUUAUCUUAAAGCUACUCGAUGUCACUUAUGGAUCGAUAUAUAAACCAAUUAGACUAAGCUUUGGAUUUACAUCAUAUAUUGAUAAAAGAAAAUUUUGCAUGUAAAUUUUGUUGAAUGGCUUACUGUUUUUUUUGUUAGAACAUGAUGGACAUCCUUUUCGUUCCACAAUCUGCAACGUUUUCCAGGUUCAUUAACACAUUUUUCUUCAACAAUUUUUCUUCCCAUUUCUUGCAACAAGGCAUGCAUCCCCAAACGUUGGUUGUCAUCACUAACUUUUAUGAGAGAUUUCGUAGAGAGAACAUCAAUUCCAAUAUCUGAGAAAAACUCACAACCAUCCAAUACUUUCAUUACCAAAUCUUUCUUCCCCCCAUUGAAAAAACAUGCUAUAUCUAGAAAUAUAUUCUUCUCCCUUUCUUCUAAUCCAUCAAAGCUGAUUCUUAGUGUGUUAAGAAUUUCUCUGUUAGAAUCUUGUUCAAGUCUUUCAAUUGCACUUCUCCAUUGAACUAUAUCUCUACCGCACAAAAAUGAACCCAAAACUUCAAGAGCUAAGGGGAGACCAUCAACAUAAUGUAAAACUUGUUCAGAAAGUUGAUUGAAAUCAUCUUUUGGCGUUGUAUCACCACCAAAAGCUUUCAAAUUGAAAAGCCUUAGUGCAUCGUUGGUGUUCAAUGUUGUAGGCUUAUACACAUCAUCGAUUCGAUAAGAUCGGAGAAAAUGUUCAUCUCUUGUUGUUACAAUGAUCCUACUACCUAAACUGAACCAAUCAAGCCUUCCAACCAAGCAUUUCAAGUGUUGUACAUUAUCAACAUCAUCAAGAACAACAAGAACUUUUUUGCUAGACAACCUGCGGCUAAUUAUGGCCUUCCCUUCAUGAACAUUGAAAAAAUUGAAGCAUUCAUUUGGCAAGAUUUCAUAAAGAAGUUGCUUCUGUAAAGAAACAAGUCCACACUCGUUUGAAACUUCUCGAAUAUCAGCAAGAAAGCUUUUACCUUCAAAAUGAGGUGACAUUUGAGUGUAAACAACCCUUGCAAGAGUUGUUUUACCGAUGCCACCCAUUCCACAAAUUCCUAUAAUGCGGACAUCGUCUUCCCCAAUAUUUAUUUUCGAAUACAACUGCUCCAAACGUGAACUAAUUCCAACCAACUCAUCAUGAAAAAUUGGAUAUGUCUGACAUAAUUUUGCUGAUAUCUUCUUAACGAUGUCUCCAAUAAACUCUGAUUCAUGCCUACAAUGAAAUUAAAUUUCGAUGCUAUAUUUCAAAUGCACUUCUUCAUUUUUAGUUCAGUGAAUAAUGAAAUAUAAUAUAGUUGGAAGCAAACAAAAAGCAAGAAUAAGACAGCAAGAUCUGUUAUAGCAUCAAAUGACACAACUUGCUUCUUAGUUGAAAUAUGGGAAUUCUCAAUUAAACACAAAAUUAUAUAAUAAAAAAAUGCAAUCCAAAACAAAACAAAAAAAAAAUUAGUCAUUAAAAUUAGGAAAUAUAGAAGAAAAGAAAGAAAUACCUAUUAUGUAAAUGCCAUCCUUUGAUGCUAGCUACUUGAGUCAAAGCAUUUCGCCACUUUUGGAUCUUGUCUGUAUCUUCCUUGUACCUCUCUUGGUGUUUGGCGAAGGCUUCUUCAACUUUUCCUUUUUGUUUUCUUAAAUCGGAUGGAUCCACAUCGUAGAAAAUUGGAAAUACUUUAUGUUCGUUAACAUUUUUUUGUUGAACAAUCUCAGCAAGCUCCUCCAAGCACCAUCCUGAAAAGGUAUAGGUUUUUGAAAAAACGAUUACCGAGCACCAUGAUUGCUGAAUUGCAUUGAAGAGUUCAGGUGCGAUCUCUUCACCAGCCUCCAGCUUUGGAUCAUCCCUGAAGGUGACAAUCCCACUCCUCUUUAGAGCAUCAUAAAGAUGAUCCGUGAAGUUGUUGCGAGUAUCUUCACCUCUAAAACUCAAGAAAACAUCAUAUUUCUUUUUAGAAAUGGAGGAAGAAGUUGACGGUAACGACAACAUGAGGAUGUAUGAAAGGAGAUGGAUAUCUCAAUCUGGUGUUCAAAAUCAGAAAGUAGAUCGCCCGAUACCCACAAAGAAACUAGAAAAAGUAAGUAUAUGAGCAUAGGGGCGGAAAUUAGGGGUCAAAAGAUGAGCAAUGGAUGUUCUUGCCAAGAAGUAUCCAAGAAGGUGAGAGUUGGCAAAGUGGAAAUUAAGUAAUAAUUAAAAAGUUGGGACGGUUUGUAUUGUACGUAUUUAAUAAUUAUGAGUAGAUAAGAUUAUGACUAAUAAUUAGAAUUAAUUUAUGGGCUGGUUAAAAAGUUUACCAAACAAACCAACUACUCGCAUCCAGACGUGGAAGAUUUCUAUCUCCAGAGACAGAUCCAUUUCGACCGGCUUGUCCAGAAUUUCUACAAUGGAUAACAGCUCUGGAGAUGAUAAACUUACCCUGGCAGGGCAGAAGUCAGUAUUUUUUUUUUAAGGUCUAAAAUUAAAUUGUAACUUUUAUAAUAUUAAAAAUAUAAUUUUACAAUUUUAAUAGCUUAUAUUUUUAUAAUAUUUAAAGGAUUAAAUCAAAUUUUUAUUAUUUUUAGGGGGAUUAAUGUGCAAUUUUAUCUUUACAAAUUUAAAAUUUUAAAAAUCUUAAAAGAUUUAAAUGAAAAACUUUCCAUAUUAGGAGGACGGAACCCUACCAUCCCCUAGAUUCGCCUCUGUAUCCCGAGAAGCAUCAUCAUUGAUAAAAUGAAACAGGAAACUACUCCCUUCAUUUGUCUUGAAUUUGCAAAAUAAAACUUCAGCGCUUGGUAAAUAAAACCAUAAAUUCCCUUCAUGGACAUUGAAAACUUUUGUAGCUAAUUACGCCUGAGAUUUUGCUCCUGAUUCAUCCUGUUCGCUCUAAGCUCCUCAAUAAACUUUUCAUUUUUCUUAUCUGCCUGCCUUUGCCUUUCCAUUUAUUCCUGGAUAAAUUUCUGUUGUUCUUCAUAUUUCUUCUAUUGAGAGGACAUUUGCUCCUCCAUAACUCUUAUUCUCUUCUGCAUGUCCAAAUAUUGCUAACUACCAGACUGAUGAUGCCAGGACCUUUGAUUCAUUGGUGAUGCUUCGGCAUGGUGUUUAAUUUUUGGGGUUAUAAUACCAUGGAGGAGUAUUGGUAAAACUGAUGGUAUGAAUUUUGUUCGUUUUGAUUUUGUGGGGGAUUAGAUCCUGGUUUGAUUUCUUAGUUUACUCCAUAUUUGCUUCGAUACUCUGACCAAUGAGGUUUGUAACUUGAUCAUUGACAAGGUCAAACUCAAUAAUAGGAGGAUCAUUGGGAUCUGGAUGUUUCAUGCUCGUCCACGCUCAUCGCACCAAUUGUUAACUAGUGAGGUGAACAAAAGGAAGAAGAUGUUGGUUUUAUGAAGGAGGGAGUGUGAAGGUUGGAAGGAAUUUUUGGCCUCGUGGAGGUAGUUCAGAGUUUUAGUGAGAGAAGUAGGUAAGAGUGGACCUACGUGAUGCAUGACCCUUUUAUAGCGAGGGACAAACUUAUGGCUCCUUUGGAUCACCAGCAAGCUUCAGUGUGGUGAGAUUUAAAGAGUAAAAAAAAUUUGAACUGAAACGCAACUCUAUUUGGGAUGUUUGGCAAGCACACCAGUAAGCAUUUUUCACCUCACUGUAACCCAAAAUAUUGGCUGGAGUUAAAAGCUUCAGUGGACUGAUUUGGAAGUCCAAAAAUAAGGGUAAUUAUUAUUUUACCCCUCCAAUUCUUCCUUUAUCAUUUAUUUUAUUUAAAACAGAUAACAUAAGUUUAAUAUGUCAUUAUUUAAUAUGAUUUAAUUUACAAUAAAAUUAUAAUUUGUAUUUAUAAAUUUAGUAUAAAUACAAUUUAAUUUAUAUUUUAUUAUUUGAUUCAACUAUAAUCUGUAAAAUAUUUUGAUAUUUUAUUAUGAAUAUAAUUUAAAAAUAUUUUAUUGUAUAUUUAAAAUAUUUUGAUAUUUUAUUAUGAAUAUAAUCUGUAAAAUAUUUUGAUAUUUUUGAAUUUUUCUCUAGUUUUAAUUCAUUUUUAAUUAUUUAUUAUUAAAAAUAAAUAUAAUUGUAAUAAUUUUUAAUCAUUUAUUAAUUUUGUAAUUGUUAAAUAACUUUAAAAACUUCUAUUAUAUAUCAUUUUUAAUCUAAUGUCCUUAAAAGUCAUUUUCCAUUUUCAUCUCACCGCUACAGCUGCGUUUCAAUCCAAACAUACACUCCACCGCUGUUUCUAAUCUCACCGCUACAGUAUCCAAUCUCACCGCUACAGUACCUAAUCUCACCGCCACCGCUGUUUUUAACCUCACCGGAGCUAAACACACCGCCCAUCCAAACUAAGCCUUAGUUAUGUUUCCUAAGAUUGUUGAGGUGAAAGUUUAAUUUGAUAUCCUUACAGUGAUGGUGAUAUGAUGUCCUAGGAUGAAACAUGUUAGGACAGCUAGCAAUUAAUUACUGGGUCUCCAAAUAGUCCUCAUUUGUCUUAGCGGAGGUGCAUAGUUCUAAAGUUCAUCAGGUUGUGGUAUGAGGACCAAUUACUGGUCCACAAACUAGCUAUGGGUUCUCUAGGCCAUGGUACGCAGACCAAUUACUGAUUCACGAACUAUAUGUGAGUUCACGAUAUCAUUGGUUCCAUUAUAAGACAUGUGUCAAACUAUUUAUGAGUGUUCUAUGAGAUUCGCGACACAAAUAAAACCAUUAAUGCACAAUGUGCAAUUUUUUGUCCAAACAAGUUUAAAUGAUACUUCUAUUAGUAGGAAUUAAAGUCGAAUAAGUAAUACUAAGGACCUAUAUAUAAGCAACAUAAGGAAGCUAGUUAAAUACUAUUGAAGCAGGGAUUGAAUCACACCAAAACACAUUACAGGCAUCCAAUGGUAUAUUGUCAUGUUAUUUUUUUUUCUAGUAAGUAUUCAUGUUUAAUACUAUGCUCGACUUACAUAUAUUUAAUAGAUUAAAUUGGAAACAUAUCACAUUUAAUAUAUAAACAAGUAUCAAUUGUGAUAAUCCCCAAUAAAAAUGAAAUGGUGUUCUAUUUAGAGAAACAGCAGCAAUCGAACAUUCUCCACAUUUUUGUUAUAAAGUUGAACCUACAAAGAAAAUAUAGAUGUAAGUUUAUACAUACAUAUAAUGUUGAGCAAAAAAAAAAGUUUAUGCACAUAACAUAAAAUGUAUUAAAAAAUCCAUUAAACUUUACAAGUUUCAAUCAUGUACAAAAGAAUGAAUUAUAUGAAUAAAAAUUUAAAUGGUAUAAAAAAUUAUGUUCUCCAAAUUCGGAGAUACGUGUAGAAUAUGAGUUCAGUGUUUAACAUGUUCAUACUCAAAAUUUAGAAUUAGUUAAAUAUAUUUCAAGAAUAUUACCAAAUCCUAUGUUGAGUAAAGAUGUCCAAAAUGAAUACUUCAAAUCAGAUAAAAGAUGUGCAUAAAAUAGAUUAGUAUGUCUAAAAAAUAAUUAAUAGUAAAUUGAGUUUUAGCUCAAUUGAUAUCAAUAUUUUUGCCAAUACAGUUCUAAAAAUGACAUUUUAUCGCAAAGGAAAAGAGAGAGAAAAAUAAAGAACACACAGAUUUACGUGGAAACUUUUUUGGGAAAAAACCACGGGCAGAGGAGAAGAUAAUUCACUAUGUUGAAUUCGAAUGAAUACAAGAGGAGUAGAUUAUGUCUAUUUAUAAGCUCGUAACACCAUAAUCUAAUAGGAGUGUAGUAAGAUUGAAACACUUCAUUCUAAUUAAUAUCAAAUAGAUAGAGUUUAAUAAGGUUUAAAAACCUUAUUCUAAAAUAAAAUAAAAGAAGUGUAGUUCUAUAUGGAUUUUACUUUUAUUUUAUUUUACCAUUGUAUUUUAUUUAAAUAAGGAUUCAGGUCAGUCAAUUAUAACAAUCUCCACCUUGACACGAAUUCUCAAUGAACAAGUUCUUCAUUGCAAACUCUCAACGAACAAGUUCUCCACCUCUUCCAUAAAACCCCUUAAGGGUUUAACUUCAACAAUGAACACCAACCAAGUCUAAGCAAUGCUCAAACUUGGUUAUAGAAAGUGACUUAGUCAUCAUAUCUGCAGAAUUUUCAUGAGUACUAAUUUUGCUCACAACAAUAUCACCACGAACAAUAAUAUCACGAACAAAAUGAUGCUGAACAUCAAUGUGUUUUGUUCUCUCAUGAAACAUUUGAUCUUCUGUAAGGAAGAUGACACUCUGAUUGUCACAAAAUACUGUACCGAUUUGAAGGUCUUCAUUGAGUUCACUAAAGAGUCAUUUCAACAAAAUAACUUCUUUACAAGCCUCAGUAAUGGCCAUGUACUCAGCUUCAGUGAUAGACAAAACGACUAUAGUUUGUAAAGUGACUUUCCAACUGAUUGCACAACCUCUGAUUGUAAAGACAUAAACUGUGAAAGAUCUUCUUCUAUCAAUGUCUCCAGCAAAAUCAACAUCAACAUACUCAAUGGUUCCAUCUCUAGUUCUUCCAAACUAUAAGCAAACAUCAAUAGUACCUCAUAAGUAUCUUAAAAUCCACUGAACUGCUUUCCAAUGUUCUUUACUGGGAUUCGUCAUGUAUCUGUAAACUACACUAAUUGCAUAUGAUAAAUCUGAACGUGAACAAACCAUAUCAUACAUGAGAGAUCCCACUACACUAGAGUAUGGAAUAUGUGACAUGUACUCAAUCUCAUCAUAUGAUUGUGGAGACAAAGCUGAUGAAACUCUGAAAUGGACUGCUAAAGGAGUACUAACAGGCUUAGCACUUUGCAUAUGGAACUUGCAAAGAACUUUCUAAAUGUACCCCUUCUGACUUAGGUUUGCUUUUCUAUCUCUGAGAAUCUCCAUAUCAAGUAUCUUCUUUGCUGGUCCCAAAUCUUUCAUCUCAAAUUUUUCACUUAGUUGGCCUUUGACCUUUCUUAUCUCUCAUUUAUCUUUCGCUGCUAUCAACUUGUCAUCAACAUAAAAGAGUAGAUACACAAAAGAACCAUCACUGUUUUUCUUAAAGUAAACACAACUGUCAUAGCUACUUCUUCUGAAAUCAUGAGAAGUUAUAAAGAAAUCAAACCUUUUGUACCACUGUCUUGAUGACUGUUUCAAACCAUAAAGGGACUUUUUUAGCAAGCAAAUAUAGUCCUCUUUUUCUGAGACUAGAAAACCCUCUGGUUGUUGCAUGUAAAUAUCCUCUUCAAGUUUUCUAUGCAAAAUUGCAAUUUUUACAUCUAACUGCUCAAGCUCCAAAUCAUGCAUGGCCACAAUACCAAGCCAAGCUUGAAUUGAACUAUACUUCACAACUGGGGAGAACACAUCUGUGAAGUCCAUUCCUGCAAUUUGACUGUAACCCUUUGCAGCAAGCUUUGCUUUAUAUCUGGGUUCUUCAACUCCUAGAAUCCCUUAUUUCAUUUUAAACACCCAUUUACAACGAACAACCUUUUUACCUUUAGGAAGUUUCACAAGAUCCCAUGUUUUGUUUUUGUGAAAUGAUUCCAUCUCUUCUUGCAUAGCAAACAUUUAUUUUUCUAAGUCUUUAUAGCUAACCACCUCAAAAUAAUUAGAUGGCUCUUGGUUUGCAUCUAUAUCUUUAGCCACAUUUAGAGCAUAAUCAACUAGAUCAGCCUCAGCAUACUUCUUUGGAGGUUUAAGUUAUUUUCUAGUUCUGUUUUUGGCAAUAGAGUAUUGUGGUGAAGAAGUAACUCUAUUCUGAAUUUUUGUACUGCCUUGAGAAGUCGACUCUAUUGUAGAUUCUGGAUUAAUCUGAUGCUCCACCUACUUUUGGUAUUGGAAGAGUCUUUAAGAGAUAAGUUAGGUAGCAUAGCAGUUUCAUCAAAAACAUCUCUGCUAAUCACAACUUUUCUAUUUUUAGGACACCAUAACUUAUACCCUUUUACACCAGCUUUAUAACCAAGUAAAACACAUUUAAUGGAUCUCGAUUCCAAUUUUCCAUUUUUAACAUGAGCAUACAUAGGACAUCCAAAGAUCUUUAAGUCAGAAUAGUCAGCAGGAUUACCAAGCCAUACCUCUUGUGGAGUCUUUUUCUCAAUGGCAACAAAUGAAGAUCGAUUGAUCAAAAAACAUGCAAUAGAGGUUGCUUUGGCCCAAUACGACUUUGGUAAGUUGGCAUUUGACAACAUACAUCGAACCUUCUCCAUGAUCGUUCUGUUCAUUCAUUCUGCAACGCUGUUUUGCUGUGGAGUAUGACGAACUGUCAAGUGUCUCACAAUCCCUUCUGACUUGCACAGUUUAUUAAACUUAUCAGAACAGAACUCUAAAUCAUUAUCUGUGCGGAGGUAUUUUAUUUAUUUUCCGUUUGUUUUUCAAUCAUAGUUUUCCAAGACUUAAAUGCGGAAAACACAUCGCUUUUUUGCGUAACUCACACCCAACCAUUUGAUUGUAUCAAUUAAACGCAGUUUGUAGAGUAACUCAUCAUCCAUCACUACCUAAAUCAUCCUCCUUACUUCUUCUUUCAGUUCUUCAUGUUGUAUUUUAGUUGUAGCAUCAACGUUUUGCAAAAUUGUAAUGUAGGACAAGAUUUCCAUGAAUUAAACUAUAUCACAUGUUACACAAUACGAAAUCAAUAAAAACAUGAAACAUAUUUGCUCAUGUGCAAACACUUGUAUAUAUGUGAUUUAAGUUAAACAAUAUAUUAGACAUGACAUGAUUAACGAUUGAUUAUACAAUAAAGGUAUUUACUUAUGUGCAAACACACAUAUGUAUCUAAAAUCUUUACCGUUGAUGGAGAUGAAAGGAAAAUAUCCCCCCCGUUAGGAUGAAAGUUGGUUGAGGGACGCUUCUGGUUGAACAUGGAUCCAUGAGUUGAAGAAGGAAGCUUUGAUGAAGACAUUUCAUUAGCUAGUAAUUUUGUAUGUUAGAAACCCUAUGAAAUAAGAUGAAGUGGUGUGAGGCAAAGAGCUCCUAUGUUGACAUAUUUAUACAACUUUCUCAGCAUGUGAAAAUCCUAUAUUUACCUAUACAUCUGGAAAUUGAACAGUAGGAUUCGGUAAAAAUCAAAUCGCAUAGUGCCUUAUUAAUUAUUUUUUAAUUUAAAAAGAAAGAAAGUUAUUGAGAUUAUUUAAAAAUUUUGUAAAAAUAAAAAAUAUAUUAUAUUUUUUUUAAAAUUCAAAAAAUAUUAAAAAUCAAUUAAUUAAUUAUUGAUUUGACAUCCACGUGUAUGUCCACGACAUCAAAUUAAACAUUUGAUAAAAAAAUUCAUCCAUUUUGGGGUGAUUUGAAAAAAAAAUAAGUUUGAGGGUUAAAGAGGUAGAAAAUUAAAUAGAGGGCUAAAAAGAUUUGUUUUUUUUUUUGUAAUGUUGGAAGCCUAAAUAUGUCAUUAUACCAAAUUAAUUCAAUCAAUUAAAAAUAUAACAAACUAUAAACAAAACAAUUUUUAUAUGUAAUUGAAUCAUAAGUGAAGUGAUAAAUAAUUUGUAUUCAAUUUUAAGUUGAUAUUGACAUUGUUGCCGGUGUAGAAAGAUGUGGGUUCAAUCAAGCUGAAGCGUGUCAUCCUCCUUUUUAAGGGUUAAGAAGGGACUGUAAAUAGUUCUAGACAUUAUAUCAAAAAAUAAUUUUCAGUUGACGUCAAAAUUUUAUUUCAUCCUCGUCCUUAUAAAAAACUACUUUUUUGAAAAACAAAAAUUAAUGAAGUAUUAAUAAAGAAAUAAAAAUGUAAAUGGUUUUGAAAAAAAUUACUAUUGCUAGCAAUAAGUGCAUUGCUAAUAGAGACAGAACACUAAGAAAUUGGUGCCUAAGUUGGUGGGCACUUCUUUAGGCACUAAACGAGUAAAACAAAAAAACACGCGAACAUGAUUACGCAAUUCAGUUACUCUACGUUUGUGGAGCCUAACUCAGUUAAAAGUUUGUACUCUUUUCAACAAUUACAAAGUGAACCCUAAUUGUUGGGAAAAAAAUCCAAUUUGAAAACAGUUUUCUUGCCCAGGAGAAAAUUAAAAUUUUAAAAACCGACCCAGUUUGUGAUAUUUACAAUAGUAAACCUUAGAUUGAAAUUAUGCCUAUGUUUUUUGUUAAGCGAAUCCUAGACGUUUUUAGACAUUCAACUAAACGAGUUACGUGAUUAUCAAGUGAAUUUUUUUAAAAAAUUUUAUGAGAAAAGGACUUAAUUUUACUUACCUAUUAAACUUCAAGCUUCAAAUCUCUAGUUUUCCCUUCUAUUUUUCUUUCCCCUUUCCUUCCUUUCUUUUUCGUCUGUUCUCUGUUUCUAUUCCGGUCUUCUUUUGGUUCUUUGUCUUUUUUAUUUUACUUACUUUACAACUAAUAAUAUUAAUAAUAUAUAUUAUAUAAAAAUCUUUUACUUAUUAUUUAAGCAUAUAUUUAUUUUUAUUACAAGUGUACCUAUGUAAUUAUUACUAUUACACUUGUCUUAAUCUUUACCAUACAUUUGUCAUCUAUUUAAUUUAUAUAAUAUAAUACAAUAUAAUAUAAUAUAAUAUAAUAUAUUAUAUAAUAAAAUAAUAUAUAUAAAACAUAAAAAUCUAAGAUUUUUAUCACUUAUACCGUCCCAUUUCUUGUUAAUGGCUUAAUUCCCAUUUUAAUCCUUUUUAUUUUCUAUUAAUCUAUAAUUCUACUUUUACCCCUAGUUCAAUUUAGUCCUUUUUCCUAAUUUCUCUUAAUUAAACUAAAUUCACCUAAUUAAUACCUAAUUAAGCACUAAACUAAACUCUUAAUUACUUCUAAUAAUUAUUUUCGAACUCAAUUUACUAAGACGGAGGCCCGAUAUUAUACUUUUUCGAUGCCCGUGAAUUUUUGGGUUAUUACAUUGAACUAAGUAAAAAGAAAGAAUUAAAAAUUGUAAACAGUUUUCUUCUUAAGUUUUCUAGUUUACCUACAUUUCUUUCAGUGUGACAUUUAUUUACUGCCUCUUAUGUUUGUUGUUCUUGAGAAGGUUGUGGUGUUGAUCACCUCCUGUAGGAUUUGUUGGGAUCCCAAGGACAAAUUUGCCUAAUUAAUGCUCCAGCAAUCAUCUUCAACACAUUUGAUGACAAGUGUUAGAAGCAAUCGCUGCCAAAUUCCCUCGAAUUUAUACAAUAAGACCACUUCAUUUGGUUUCCAUCCGAUUGAAUAAAAGCCAAGCCCUUCUUCAACUUGAUUCUAUUCUUACUGAUGGAGUCGGCCAAAAAAACUCGUCUUCAACGCCAUUCUCAAAACUACACAUUUGCUCAGUUUGGACUCUUGGCAACGGAUUCAGUUCUGAAGAGCCAAGCUGUUGGUACCAUGGAGGGUGGCGGAAGGGAAGAAGAGACCGUCAAAGUCAAAACUACAAAAAUACUCGUGUGGAAAGUUCAUUGAAAAAACCAAAAAAUCACGUCCUUAAAAUUCAAAUGGAAAUUGACUCAGUCUACUAAAAAUAAUUUUUUAAUUAUUAAAUAAUUUAAUAUUCACCUCAAUUUUUUGCAUUUACAUAUCAAACGUUCAAUUAAAAAUAUUAAAUAGAAGAAUUUCAUAUUAAUAACAACUUCAAAACUUAAUUUAAAAACAGUUAACAAUAGGAGAUUUAUUGAAUAGUAAUAAUCAUAAUUAUACUCAAAUUGUAAUUUCAAAUUCGAUUUGAAUUGAAAUUCAAUUUUUUUUCUCCCAAAUCAAUAUUAUAAAUACAUACAUUCAAUUCCACUAUCAUUCAUCAUACGCUUAGUUACAAUUUGCUGCCUUCAACCAACCAUGAUGAAAAAAUUUGUUUCCUUUGCCAUUUUUGUUUUAUUUUUCUUUGUUUCCAUCUCAUCAUCUAACGGUGAUGCUGGUUUAGUCUUCCAACAUUACACUAAUAUCAAUCUUACAAAAGUCAUCGAUGGUGAUGGCGGUGUUCUUUUCGAGAACUAUAGUCAAAUCAAUCUUAACCGCGUUACCGGACCGGAAAGUAUUGCCUUCGAUUGUAAAGGUGAAGGACCAUAUGUCGGUAUAUCCGACGGAAGAAUCUUAAAAUGGAAGCCAAAAUUUGGUUGGCAAGAAUUUGCCAUCCCUUCACCAUUCAGGUAGAUUCACAUCUUUGUCGUUUUUGUAGCUUUAUUUUAUAGUUAUAAAUCGACUUUUCAUCGGGAGUUUUUUAACUUUUGGUUUUUCCUUUGGAUCAGGGAAAGGAAAUUGUGCGAUGGCACAAGAGAUUCGAACGUUGAACCCAUAUGCGGAAGACCGUUGGGCUUGAAGUUCGAUAGUCGAACAUGUCAUUUAUAUAUAGCAGAUGCCUAUUUCGGUCUUUUAGUUGUUGGACCAAAUGGUGGCAUGGCUAUAAGACUGGCUAUUUCGGCCGCAAAUGGAGCUCCAUUCAAAUUUACGAAUGGAUUAGACAUCGAUGCGAGCACCGGAAUGGUUUACUUUACCGAUAGCAGCACUCUUUUUCAAAGAAGGUACGGUACAUCUUCUUCCUCUUUUUUGCUUCUAAAUUAUCAUGAAUCGUUGAUUCUAUUCAGGGGGGCCUUAUAUAUGUAUAUAUAUGAUCAGUAGGGGAAUUUACACAUAAAUAAUACGUAUAGAGAUUUUUCGAAUCGAAAGGAUAAAUUAUUCUUUAAUUGUGCAGGGAUGCUGACUUUCUGAUAAGUUCCGGUGAUAGAACCGGACGGCUGUUGAAGUACAAUCCUUAUAACGGAGACGUGUCCGUCUUGUACGACGGUUUAGCUUUCCCUAACGGGGUUGCCUUGAGUGCAAACAAUUCGUUUCUUCUAGUGAACGAAUCGAUAAAAAGACGAAUACUGAAGUUCAAUGUGCACGACCCCAAAGCAGCUCCCAAAGUAUUCCUCGAAUUACCCAGGGUUCCGGAUAAUAUAAAGAGGAACGAAAAGGGCGAAUUCUGGGUGGCCCUAAACAGCAGAAGAUUAGGAACGCUUGGAAACGGCGUUCCAGAUCCAAUUGGAAUGAGGUUUAAUGAAGAAGCCAAGGUUUUGGAAAUCUUGGAUGGAAAGGGCGCGCCCACUUUUAAUUCGAUAAGUGAAGUCCAGGAACACGGGGGGAAAUUAUACAUAGGGUCUGUUUUGAAGUCCUACGUAGGUAUCUUAAAUGCCUAGUUGAUUUUUGUUUUCUUUUAUUUUCCUUUUUGCAACUUUUUAAUUGUUCUUGUAAUUUGUUUUUAUUUUACUCGAUAAAUAUAUAAAUGUUAACGAUUUUAUUUUCGAGAAAUUUUUAAUUAUCUUGAUUUGCCUACUUGAGACAUUACAUCUUCACGCCUCGUGCACAAGACGAAGUAAUUAAGCCAGGCUUGGCGUACCUGAUGGGUUAGUUGUCGAACAUUUUAAAGUUGUCCUUUAUCCCCUUUAUGCUUCGAGUUACACUACUUUUUUCCAUCACAGAAUGUUUAUGUUGUAAACUUGAUAAGCAUGGCACCGAUUCCCAUAACACAAAUUAAAGAACAUCUGCUUCAAUUGAUUGGUCAAAAGAAAAGGUAAAUACCAUGACCUAAUUUCUCAUCUCAACAAUGCCUAAUCAGUGUUCCUAAUAGGCUAGGGGAAUUGAAUGAGUUGAGAUGCUACUAAGUGUAUCAAAGUCAAAGAAGGACCAAAUAACAAAUUAGGCUAAGCAGCCACUCAUUCUUUGCAACACUACUCCCUGCAUCUAUUGCCUGGGGAUAUGAACCAAUAGAUCACGAUGACAAUUCUAAAGCAACCAUUAUUUGAUCGUCCUCUUACUAGACAAUGGAUACAAUAAUUCGUGAUGAAAAAGGUGGUCCUUCGUUAUGGAUUGUCCACCUAAAACAUUGAAACUGGAAUCGAUCCUUCCAGGAUUUUUAACUUGAACAACAAAUCCAUUAUUACUUGAUUGUCCAGAAUUUCUAGAAUGGAUAUAAGUUGGACCACCGAUAUCCUUUUCUUCGGAACCACCAUCAUUGACGAAUCCAAUCCAUUGACUGUUAUUCUGAAUAUCGAGAGGCAGAGGUAUUUCAAUUACAAAGCUGCCUCUGUGUUGCCUGAACCAUUCCGGAAUUUCAUCAUUUUCUUUUUUUGAAUUCGCAAAUGCCUGCAAAUUAAAUUAUCGGUGGCUCUGUAACUAAAACCAUGAAAAAUAAGUGAGAUUAAUCAACCUUAAUCAGCAAUGUUAUUGCACUAAUGUUCUCAGCCAAUAUGUAGCAGUUAAUGGCUAUAAUUUUAGCACCAUAACUUAUAUCCACUACUCACUUUUCAUUCUUCCUAGAAGCACAGGCUACUAUUCAAGCUCACUGCAAUCUGACACUCCAAGCUUUUGAAGAUUUGAAAGACGAGUAAGAGACGCAGCUAUGCUGCUGAAAUUGUUACACCUAAGAUUAAGAACUCUCAAUGAGGAUAGACCAGGAUUUGAACCUGAAAUUGUCAUAUUAAUAGCAUGAAGCUACAACCAACUGAGCUAGUAAGCCAAUUGUUUUAUUUUUAGACACUGUCUUAUAUUAAGCUUUUCUCCGUUGUUUAAAUGAUAAUAUUUUUAAAUUUUGGAUUUAAAAAAUAUAUUUAUUAUACUUUCAACAUAUAUACAUCCCAAAACACAACCGAAAAUAAAUAGAAGGUUCAUUUUAUUUCCCCAAUAUUUUAAUGCAGGGUAAUGCUUGUUUUGUUGGGUUUGACAUAAAUUAUACAAAAAAAUAAAUUAUCCAUAUAAUUUGAUAAGCUUAACCUGUAUGGAUUCGACAGUGAGAUUCGUGGACACCUCUACAUUGACAUGAUGAAAGGCAACAUGCAGUAAAGGAUGUAAGAGGAAAAACCAACGUUAUGUCACAAAAAAGAACAACACCCCCCCCUGUUAAAAUUGAUCACUAAUGGCAAUUUGCUUCUUUUGCUAUGUGUAGUGUAGAGAAGAAUGAAGUUAAUACAUAUACAGAGAGUUUUCACCUACUGGCAUGGACAUUGGCGGGUAAAUGAAAGAGUAAAUUAUUAAAUCCCGAUACUUUUCGAAAAUUUCAAAAAUUAAGUGCCCUUAAAACUAAUAUAUGUUGUAGUGGGCAAAAAUCACGUCGGUUGCUGCAUAGAUAAGUCGCUGAACCAAUCGUCACAACCCUUUGCCAAAGGUGCAUCAAUCCAUACAGCGCCACUAUUCUAUAUAUAGAUUGUACAAGCCCAAUUUUUAACCCGGGCCCGAGGAACCAAAACAAUUAGCCCAGACUAAAAACGUAAGCAAAAAAAAAAACCAGCCCAAUGAGCCCAAUACCCAAACCUAGCCCAAAACACCACAACCCAUCUUCAGCAAAAAACAGUAACCCUAACCCUAGGUGCGCCGCACCUAGGGUCGGCCACUUGCUCUGCCUAGCACCGCAGCAUUGUCACGCUGCUCAUCUAUCCACCUGCCACCGCCAUGGUCACGUCGCCACUUGCACCUGCAAAACACGCAACCAAGGAAGAUAGAAACAGACCACAAAAUCGGGGGGGGGGAUUUUUUUUUUCUUCUCAUUCUCUUUGCUUUCGGUUAUAAAAACCGAUGAUUGUAAAACAAUGGGGUUCGACCCCUCUUUCAUGAUUUCAAGAAAUAAAAAGGCAAAGAAAACAGAUUCCAAAACCUCUUUUUCGGUAUAAGCUCUAUUUUCCCUUUUAUUUUUUUAUUUUUUCCUUUAUUUUUUCUUCCUUUUGAAACUGUUUGUUCUCUUUAUUUUUAUUUUUAUUUUUUUCUUUUAUUUUUAAAAACUAUAUAAAUAUAUAACGUAAAGAAAAAAGCAUAAAAAAUACCUUUUUUGGAUUUUCCAGCCGGCGCGACGGUGCCGAUGGCCGGAGCACUCACUGGAUGUUGACCAGAGUCUGGGCUGAAAAGGGGAGAAGAGAGAAUUUCAAGUUUUUUUUUAAAACAAAAAGACCAAAUGCUUUUUUUUCUAAAGAACUUAACUUUUAUAGGCCCCCAAGACGACGUCAUUUUGGGGCAAGCCUCUCAGGCACAAAACGGCGUCGUUUUGGCCCUGAUCCGCGCGGUGACCCGACCCUGGGGGAGGAUCCGCGUGUUUUUGGCUCUUGGGUUAUUUGCGCAAUUGGUCCCUCCGAUUUUAUGGCGCUUUCAAGGAAGUUUUUUCACAUAUUUGCGAUUUUGGCCAUGAAUUUUCGCGUCUAUUUCGAUUUGGUCCCUCAACCAUGUGCGUGCCUUUCACUGGAACGGCGCCGUUUGGUCAGCGAGGGAAUAUUUCCCUUUUUAGUCCUUCUCUUUUUGCGCGUGUCGCAAUUUGAUCUAUUUCGUCUUUUUACUUUCAAAUCAGCACUAUAUUUUCGUUUUAUUUCAAUUUAGUCAGUUUUUUUUAGCAUUUUUAUUAUUUAACCUUAUUAUUAUUAUUAUCGUUACUAUUAUUAAUUAUUAUUUAUUUUAUUUUCCUUUUGUUUAUUUGUUACUAUUAUAUUUAAUACAUUAAUUAGUAAUAUAUAUUUUAGCUUUAUUUUUAUAUCUAUAUAUAUAUACAUUUUCAUAAUAUAUAUAUGUACACGUUUUUUAUUUAAUAUGUACAUAUACACGCAUGUUUAUAUACACUUUAUAAUAUAUACAUAUAUAUCUAUAUUUAUAUAUAUUUAUAUACAUUUUUACGAAUAUAUAUACUUAUAUUUUUUAUAUAUAAACUUUAUAUACAUAAACGUGUAUAUACAUACUUGCAUAAACUUUUAUAUUCAAUAAUUUUAAGAUAUAUAUAUAUACUUACUUUUCUUGUAUUUUCAUAAUUUUAUGUAUCUAUAUACAUAUAUAUUUCCUUUAUAUGUACAUAUAUUUAUAAUUUUCAUCUAUUUUCCUUUAUUUUUUUUUAUGUUCAUUUAUGUAUUUAUUUAUAUGCCCAUUUUUAUGCUUUAGUUUAUUUAUUUAUUUAUUUGCUAUGAUAUAUGCAUGAUUGAUUUAUUUUAUUAUUCGUUUUUGUUCAUAUUAUCUUUGUUCACAUUAUCAUUUUUAUUAUUCCAUUAUGCAUAUUAACACCAUACUUCAAAAAAGAAAAUUUUUCUAAAUGAGGCAAUAUUUAGCAUUUGGAAAUUCGAGAAAACAUGCCCUAAGGUGCUGGGUGUCGAUUUUUCUCGUUCAACCAAAUGGCUUAAUAUCCUUUUAAAAUUUUUUAAAAUAAUGCAAUGUUUAGUGUUUGGGAAAUUCGAGAAAACAUGCCCUAAGGUGCUGGGUGUCGAUUUUUCUCAUUCAACCAAAUGGCUAAAUAUCCUUUUAAAAAUUUCAAAAUAAGGCAAUAUUUUGCGUUUGGAAAUUUGAGAAAACAUGCCCGAAGGUGUUGGGUGUCGAUUUUUCUCAUUCAACCAAAUGACUAAAUAUCCUUUUAAAAAAUUUCAAAAUAAGGCAAUGUUUUGCGUUUAGAAAUUUGAGGAACGUACCCUAAGGUGCUGGAUUUCGAUUUCUCGUUUAACCAAAUAGCCAAAUAUCCUCUCGAACUUCAAUCCAUGUCAUCCGAGUUUUUUUAAGGAUCGUAUUUUAAAUCUCUCUAAAGUUUUCAGUUUUUCGACACUAAGACAUUAAGUAAUCAACUAGGUACCAAUUUUGGGCGUAUCGAGGGUGCUAAUCCUUCCUCGUGCGUAACCGACUCCCGAACCCAUUUUUCUGAAUUUCGUGGACCAAAAUCAUUGUUUUAAUAAACUUGAAUCGUUUAUUAAAAACAACCUUUUUUUGAGGUGAUCCGAGCACACCUCAUCAAAAAGGAUAGGUGGCGACUCCCGUUUUCGUUUUCAUUUUUCAAAACCCAAGUCGACCCCGUUUUUCAUCCAAAAAAUGGUGUCAACAUAGAUCAUCAGCGUCUCUUAUCAUUUGCAUAUUCGAGGAAGUUAAUUUCUCUGGUUACAUUAGCAAGAGGUAAGGCAUAUCAGUGAAGAUGGAAGAUUACGAAUGCGGUAUCAGUUCAAUAGCCAUGAUGCUGUUGGUGGUUGCUCUGCUAUUUUUGGAUCCGCUUGGGAUGCCACCGUUGCAGCCUCCUCCCGCUUACAUUUUCCUCAUCUUCGCUUUCGUCUUGAUCUUCGUUUUCAUCUACCUCUCUCAUGCCUCCAAAUGAUGAUCCAUGGCGAUUUUGUUUGCUUUCCAGUAUUAUUAUUCUCUUUUAUUCAGUUGUUAUCUGAUGAUAAUAAGCUUUGGUGUGGAUAUUAACCACCAAUAAUACACAGUUAUUUGUUGUUUUCAGUCGUUUAUUAAUAAAUUAUAUGAAGUCGAUGGAAGAAUGUCUCUAUUUAUCUAGUACGUAAAUAAACCAUGCAAUGCAUGCAUACUUAUUCUAAAAUGGACACGACGCCUUUUACUAAUAUUAUUCUUUCUUGCACUCCCAUUGGCUUAGGUACACUGCAUGCGUUGUCCCUUCAUGCCGUCUAUUUAAUAAUGUCAUUAAUAAUUUUAAUGUGGUCUUCACUCCAUCCAUCAAUCGUGUCUAGCCUCAGUUUUUCUCCAUACAUCAAAUCGUUUGCAUUUGAAUAUCCCAUCUCUCCUUUUAAUUUUAAUUAUACUGAGUCUUCUUAUGUAAAUUUAGUUUAUUCAGGUUGUGCUUAUGAAUUUAGAUUCAAAAUAUGGAGUUAAAGACGAUAAUAUGAUAAAAGGCAUUGUCUAUGGUUUCUGCUGCAGAAAAUUGUUAACUUUCGGGAUGAUGCCAUUAUAAAAUUUGUUUGCAUGAACUAAUUAAUCCAUAGACUUUAAUUAUGUACUAUGUAACGAUUGUAUGAUGAAAGGAAUUGUCUAUGGUUUCUGCUGCAGAAAAUUGUUAACUUUCGAGAUGACGCCAUUAUAAAAUUUGUUUGCAUGAACUAAUUAAUACAUAGACUUUAACUAUGUACUAUGUAGGCGUCCUAGUACAAGGAUUGGGUUGUGAGCAAUACUAAUGGCAGUUAGGCUAUCACAGUACAACUUCAUUGGUGAAGUUAUUGGUUUCCUCAGCUCUUCCAUAAUUCUUUUUAACCACAUCAUUUCACAAAUUCCUUGAGCCAUUGAUCUAAACUCGGCCUCUGCACUACUUCUUGCUACAACACUUUGUUUUUUGCUUCGCCAAGUCACAAGGUUUCCCCAAAAAAAUGUACAGUAUCCUGAUGUAGAUAUUCUAUAUGUUAUUGAGCCUGCCCAAUCUGUAUCUGUAUAAGCUUCAAUUCCUCUUUCUUCAAAUUUCUUGAAGAAUAAGUCUUUUCCAGGUGAACUCUUCAAGUAUCUCAGAAUCUGAAACAUUACUUCUUCAUGUUCUUCCAUUAGGGAGUGCAUAAAUUGAUUCACUAAGCUCACUGAAAAAGCUAUGCCUGGCCCUGUAUGUGAUAAGUAAAUUAACUUACCAACUAAUCUUUGGUACUACCCUUUAUCAACUAAUCUGCCUUCUUUAUUUCUGAAUUUUACAUUUGGAUCAAUUAGUGUGUCAGCUGGGCAGCAACCACUCAUCCCAGCCUCUUUUAAAAAAUCAAUCAUAUAUUUUUUCUAAGAGACCACAACACCCUUCUUGGAUCUCAAACUCCAAUGCUAGAUGCUCCUUGAGACGCCUUAUUUAAUCUACAUCAUCUUCUGUAAGAAUGAUAUCAUUGACAUAAACUAUAAUAAUUGUUAUUUUACCUUUUUGACAGUGUCGAUAGAACAUUGUGUGAUCAGCUUGCCUUUAUGAGUAAGCUUGUUUUUAAAAAAUUGAGUGAAUCAUUCAAACCAAGCUCGAAGAGAUUGCUUUAGACCAUACAAAGAUUUCUUGAGCUUACAUACUCGAGUUCCAAAUUUUUACCUUUUUGACCGAGCAACUUUCAUUCCAAGAAAGUAUUUCAAAGGACCCAAGUCUUGGAUCUCAAACUCCAAUGCUAGAUGCUCCUUGAGACGCCUUAUUUUAUCUACAUCAUCUCCUGUAAGAAUGAUAUCAUCGACAUAAACUAUAAUAAUUGUUAUUUUACCUUUUUGGAAGUGUCGAUAGAACAUUGUGUGAUCAGCUUGCCUUUGUGAGUAACCUUGUGUUUUAACAACUUGAGUGAAUCGUUCAAACCAAGCUCGAAGAGGUUGAUUUAGACCAUACAAAGAUUUCUUGAGCUUACAUACUCGAGUUCCAAAUUUUUCUUCAAAACCUAGAGGAGGAUCUAUGUAAACUUCUUCUUCAAGUUUCUCAUUUAGGAAAGCAUUCUUCACGUCUAGCUGCUGUGAAGACCAAUCAAGAUUAACAAUAAUUGAUAAAAGAACUCUAACAGAAUUUAAUUUGGCUAUUGGAGCAAAUGUUUCAAGAUAAUCUAUCUCGUAUAUUUGAGUGCACCAUUUAGCUACCAGCCAGACUUUGUAUCUAUCUAAAGAUCCAUCUGGUUUGAAUUUGGUUGUGAACACCCAUUUACAACCCACUAUUUUUUUCCCUAUAGGUAAUUCUACUAUUUCCCAGGUACCUAUUUUUUCAAGAGCGCGCAUCUCCUUUAAAAUAGCCUCCUUCCACUCAAGAACCUAUAAAGCAUCUUUCACAUUUUUGGGUAUUUCACAGUAUCGAGAUACGAAACAAAGGCUGAGAAUGUCAAAGACAAUGUUUUAUAGGAUACGAAGUUAGACAUGGGGUAUUUGACAAAAUUUCUAACACAUUUUCUUUUAGCAAUUGGAAUAUCUAAAUCAGAAAAUUCAUUGGCUGGAUUAUGAGCUUUACCUGGACUUUUGACAAGAUCUUAUAGGUCGGAUUCUUGGUGAUGAAUCUGGUAGAUUCCACUUUCUUGACUUCAGUUUCUUUUUGAGUAAACAAUUAACUCCUUUGUUUGUUCUUUAUUCUCAUGAUCAGACUUUACGCCUUUAUACUCAUUUUUAUUAAUAACAUUAACAUCAUUAAUUUCUGUGUUAAUCAUAAAUUUACCUUCCCCGUUAUUAGAAUCUCUAUGUUGUAUAUUUCUAGUCUUUUCUUGAUCAAUUAUAGAAUCUUCCUUACUAUAAUUUCCUCCCUGAAGAUUAGAAUCAAAAUAAGAUUGCAUUUCAACAAAUGUGACAUCCAUGGUACAAUAAUCUUCCUAUCAAUUGUAUCAUAACAUUUGUAACCUUUUUUAUUAGAAGCAUAGCCAACAAAGGCGCAUUUUUUUUCUCUAGGAUCUAGUUUACCAUGGUUGUAAAGAUGAACAAAAACACUACACCCAAAAACUCAAAGGGAUAAAUCUAUGAUCAGUUUAAAGUUAGGAAAGUUAUCUUUAAAGAGACGAAAAGGAGCUCUAUAGUUUAGAGUUGUACUAGGCAUUCUAUUAAAGAUAUGUAGCUGUUAACAAGGCUUCGCCCCAAAGAUAACGUGGUACCUGACUAGUGAACAUCAAGGCUCUAGUUACUCUAAAAAGAUGUUAGUUUUUUCUUUCUACAAUCCCAUUUUGUUGUGGGGUAUUUGUACAAGAGCUUUGGUGGACUAUUCCAUGUUUGGUUAAGAAAACACUUAAUUGGUCACUAAAAAAUUCCCCACCAUUGUCACUCCGAAAUACUUCUAUUUUCACACCAAAUUGUGUUUUCACCAUAGCAUAAAAAGACUGAAACACAUUUUUAACUUCAGACUUAUCUUUUAAUUUAAAAAAACCCAACAAAUACGAAUAUGAUCAUCAAUAAAUGUGACAAACUAACGUUUUCCUGAAAAAGUUGAGACUCUUGAAGGUCCCCAAACAUCACUAUGAAUUAAUGAAAAAGGUUUGGGAACUUAAUAUUUUUAAGGUGGAAAGACUGACCGAUGAUGUUUAGCCUGUUCACAAAAUUCACAAUGAUAUGAAUAAGGACUUUUAUUUUUAAAUAGAUUAUUUAACAAAUAUCUUAACUAGUAAAAAUUAGGAUGAACAAGCCUAUAAUGCCAAAUCAUAACUUUAUCAAAACCAGAAACAGAAUUUAAACAUAAAGUAGUUGUUGGUUGACUUAGAUGGUCGUCGUCAAUAAAGUAAAUUCCACCAGAUUCUUUAGCAUUGCCAAUCAUCCUCCCUGAGACCAUGUCCUGAAAUUUACACAGAGAUGAGUUAAAUAUAACAUUGACAAUUCGAGGAUUGGAAUAAUUUACUGACUGAUAUGAGAUCACAAGCUAGAUUUGGUACAUGUAAAACAUCAUGUAAAACCAAGGAAGAAGAAAUUUUAACAGUGCAUUUCCCAGUUAUUGCCGAGAACGACCCAUCUACUACUUUGAUCUUUUUGUUUCCUGCACAAGAUGUGUAAGUUGAGAAAAGAAAAUGACUACUAGUCAUGUGAUCACCUGCUCCAGAAUCGAUGAUCCACGUGUUGUUUUACAAGGCUUGACACUGAAAAAACUAAAAAAAAUUUAGUACCUGAUUGAGCAAAGGAGAAAGAAGGAUUAUUGGAUGAGUUAAGAAUAGAAGAAUUCGUCCAAAAUUGUGGUGACUGAAAAAGUUUGUGUAGAUGCUCUAAUUGUUCCUUAAUGAAUGGAGACCCUUCUAGAGAACUUUGACCCUCAUAAUUUUUAGUAGUUGUUUUAAAAACUCUACUAUCCCCUAAUUAUGAACCACGACCAUUGCCACUCUUUUUUUUCCAUUCAUCGGUUUUCCAUGGAGCUUCCAACACGUUUCUCGAGUGUUCCAAUAUUUUUUUGUAGUGAUCGCACCAAGGUUUUUUUUCUUUUUUCACUAUCAUCAUUAAUUUUUAUAGUUACAAUAGCAGAAUUAUCAUCAUUAGCUUCAAACCCUGGCUUAACAUUACUUUUCUCCUUGUUUCCUCUCUUCUAACCUUAGAAAAAAUCUCAUGGAGUUUUGGAAGCAGUUUUUUUCCUAAGAUCCGAGAUCUCACUUCAUCAAAUUCUUUAUUUAAACCAACCAGAAACAAAUAAGCUCGUUCAUUCUCUUCUGUUUUCAUAGCUUUUACACCAUCUCCUGGACACUCCCAUUCAUUAUUAUAACACUAACCCAGUUCUUGCCAAAGUAACACUAAUUAUGGCAUUCCCUUCGUGAACAUUGAAAAAAUUGAAGUAUUCAUCAAGCAAUAUUUCGGAAAGAAGUUGUUUCUGUAAAAAAACAAGUCCACAUUUAUCUGAAACUUCUCGAACAUCAGCAAGAAAGGUUUUACCUUCAAAAUGAGGUGACAUUUGAGUACAAGAAAUUCUUGCAAGAGUUGUCUUACCAAUGCCACCCAUUUUGCAAAUUCCUAUAAUGCGAACAUCAUCUUCCCCCAUGUCUAUUUUCGAAUACAAUUCCUCCAAACGUAAACUAAUUCCAACCAGCUCAUCAUGAACAACAGUAUAGGUCUGACAUAAUUUCGCUGAUAUCUUCUUAGCAAUAUCUUCAAUAAAUUCUAGUUCAUGCCUACAAGGAAAUAUCAUUUAAUUCUUUUAAAAAAAUUGUUGAAUCAUAAUAUAGUUUGGAGCAAACAAAAAGCAAGAAUAAGAAAGCAAGAUCUGUUACCACAUCAAAAUACACAACUUUCUCUUUAGUUGAAAUAUUGAACUUUACAAUUAAAUAUGUAGUAACUAAAAUUGAGUUUGAAUUUUAUAUUUUUUAAAUAUUAUUAUUUCUUAUUUUUGUAAUUUUAUUAUUAAUUAGAAUUAUAGCUAUUAUUUAUUAAUAAAAGGGAAAGGAAAGAGUUAAAAGAGAGAGAGAACUAAAACAAGACACACCCAACGACAGGGUGAGCCAAUAGAAAGACAGAAAUAAAACAAAGAAAUUAUUUGCAUGCCUAAAAUAAUUACAUUUCGUUGUUAGGUAUGUUUUUAGAAAAUGAGGGAACAUUCUAGAGCCAUAAUAAUUUAUGAGUUACGGUCGAAAUAUUUAAUAAUUAUCUAUCGUAGAAGAAUACCCUUUUCCAAUAAUAUUCAAAGUGUUUGUUUUAAAAGUUUUUAAUCAUGAAUUUUUAUCGGGUUGUCGCUCGAAUUUUUGUUUUAAAAUAAAUUCAUUUUAUUCACAGUAAAAUUAUUUUAUAAAAAGAAAUAUUUUUAAAUAUUAAAUAUAAAUUUAUUAUUUUAAAAUUAAGGAUAGCGACACCUUUUAUCACAUCUAAGCAAUCUGUUGCCCAUAAAUUGCUGGUUUCACUGCCACCAUAUUUAUCGUCCAAGGAAGAUAAGUAUAAGUUAUCACGAGACCAAUAAUGAAGAAAAAGGUGAUCUUUCAUUAUGGGCUCGUUAAGUCGUUUACCCACCAACGAGCCUGUCCAAUCAAUCAGUCCAGGAUUUUUACAAUAGAUAAAUGUUCGACAAUUGAUAACCUCGUCAUCCCUUGAAGCAUCAUUAUUGACAGAAAUGCAGCAAGAAGCAACUCCAAUCCAUUGAAGAGUCACUUUUUUGUUGGCUAAACCAUUCUGGGAUUUCACUUCCGGGCAUAAUAAUGUCAAACCUUUUUAUUGAAUUUGCAAAUGCCUGCAAAAUAAAACACAAGUCGUUUGGUAACUAAAACCAUAAAUUCUAAAGUAUGAGAUUUUGUAAGGGAGAAUAAAGAGAUUAAUCGACCUUAAGAUGUUUUUUCAGCAGUGUUAAUGCAUUGAUAUUCUCAGCCAAUUUGAAGCAGUUAAAGGCUUUAACGGCAGCCGAAUCCACUAAAUUGCAUACUUUUGAUGGACUUGCAACUACUUGAAGUGAAGAACAACCAUCUAUCUCCAUAUUUCUUAUGGUUGUUAGAAGCCCAGGUAACGAUUUAAGCUUCGUGCAAUUUGAUAAUGCAAGCACUUGAAGCCUAGAAAGUUGAGUAAGAGCCAAAGGAAUGGUGAUGAAAUUGCUACCCCUAAGUUUAAGAUAACUCAAAGAGGAUAGACCACGAAUAUCCGCUUCACCAAGAGCGCACAUGUUGCAAUUUGACAAAUCAAGAAACCAAAGCUUCGAGAGUAGAGUAAGAGAUGCAGGUAUGCUGAUGAAAUUGUUACCAAUAAGAUCAAGAUCUAUCAAGGAAGAUAGGCAAGAUAUAUCACUAGGAAUAUCUCCUUCACGAAGAUUGCAGUCCCUUAGCUUCAACUCUCUUAAUGAACUUAAACUUGGCAACGAAGGCAACAUCAGAGGCAUAGAAUUUGUCCUUCCUUCUUGGGUACACCAGUUAAUAUAUGAUUUCCCAUCAUCUCCAUAUGGAUCCAUAACAUUCUUAUAUUCAUUCUCAACCUAUAUAUAUACAUUUUAUUUUGAUAUUAUUUAAAUAUAUAAUAAAAAUAAAAUUAAUAAAACAUAAAAUUUUAUCAUAUAUACCUGAGCAAGAAUGAUGUUUCCUUGGGAUGCAAGUAGUUUCUUUUUUUGACCAUAUCAACUAUCAAAGUUGUGAAGUUUUUCAUUUCAUUCUAAAAAUAAAGGAAAAUAAAAGACAUUAUUUAUAUAUAAAAAUAAACAAAAAUAGAAUUGAUUUUUUUUAAAAAAAAUUUACUGAAAAUUAAAAGAAUUACCAUAAAGACAUCAUUUUUAGUAUGGAGGGAAACUCCAAGCAUGUUAUACAUCCAUACAGGAAAGCCUCUAAUAAAAAAUAAUAAUAAAACUAUUAAUACUGAAAAAUAGUUAAAUAAUUUAUGAAAUAACAUAAUUAGUUCAAAUUUUAAAAUAAAUUAAUUUACCCAUAAUUCCACUCGGCACAAGUAUAAGAUCCAAUUCAAAGAAUUGCAUAUAAACCUUGGUCUUGAAUCAUUUUAAGAAAUCAAAUAAGAUCAAGAUUUCCACUAAAAUCAUAUUGACGACGAGCUGGUUCAUGUGCAUUUCAAAAUACAUAUGUUUCAACCGCAUCCAAAUCACCUUCUUUGGCUUUUCUUAUAAGAUCCGGCCCCAUCUAAUAAAAAUUUAAAAAAUCAAUCAAUUGUCCAGAUUCAAAUUAUAAAAAAUAUCCCGGAUAACUCAAUUUUUAAAUUAUUACCUGAGCACUACUUCUCGGAUAAUGAACCGAACCCAAAAAAAUAAUUCUAUGAUUUCCAUAAAUUAUGAUGGAUCUUGAAUCAUAAGUGACAUUAAGCGCAUUCGAAUAAAAUAGGAUGAAAGAAAAAAUAAGAUAAGAAAAUAAAAUAGUGAAUAUAUUCUUCUUCUUUUUUUAUUUUUUUUUUCCAUCUACUAAAGCUAAAAAGAAGUGUUGAUUGAAAAAUCAGUAGAGUAUGAUAACGUAAUUAUAAGCGUGGUGAUUGAAUUCAUAUCAAAUACUUGAUUUUUAGAAGAUAUUUACUUUGACUUAUUUGCUGUUUUAAAUAGAUUUAUAUAAUCAGUGAUAUGAGAUUAAAUCAGCAAAUUGUGUUGAAAGUUGAGUUUUAGUUCUAUGUAACAGCAUUAAUUAAAUAUUUUUGAUAAUUAAAUAAACUUUUUUAAUUAUAAUUAAUUAGAGUAUUGCUUUCAUACGGCGGGAGUCAUUGGUUCAAAUCCAAUAAUAGGUAGAAUUUAUUAGAUACCAUCGAUUCCGGUGUCUAAUAAGUUUUUCUAUCCACCUUCUUUUAUUGAUUUUUUAUCUUUUUCAUCCUAUUUUAUCUCCGUUUUCAAUUUUUAAAUUUUUCGUUGGAUCAAAAUCCGAUUUCACUUUUGAUUAUAUUUGAUUCUAUUUAAUUGGCAGAAUCAACAUGAGAUGUAUAAACGAAAGUUUUGUUUUUACGAAAAUUCUCCAACUUGUUACGAAAUCGCGUUGAUAACCUCGACUCGUGUCCUAGCCUGUUUGACAGCUAGAUUUGCCUCAAUUGUUUGCCUCUUGCCUUCAGCUUUCCUCAUGUUAGCUUGCUGAGCUUCUUGUGGACUCAUCUAUAAAAUUCUCGUUUAUUAAAACUUGUAGAGUUCUAGUUAAAUUAAAUUAAGAUUUCUUUCAUCAACAAAUGAGACUUGCUUUUUGAAGAAUAAAGAUUAUAUACCGAAAAGAAUAAGCGAGCAAUUAGUAAAGGGUAUAUCCAUAAUAACUUUUUACAUCACUGGUAAAUGAUACCACACAGUCACGAUUCAGCUAUAAUAUUAUCCAUAAUAACUUUUCACAUUGCUAGUACACGAAUCAUAGUAGUUGCCAUCCCAAAGGAUUGUUAGUAGAUCAAUCUUGCUAACACCUGUUAGAGAAAACAGGAUGAAGUACUUCCCUGUGUAACACCAACAAUGGCUCUAAUCCGAAAAAGAGAUUGCAUUUAAAGUUGUUAGCAAACUCAUUCAUUCGUAGCUCCCCACAAUGACCAUAACAUAGCGCCAUAGAAACAAGCCAUUUCCUCUUAACAUUCCAAACAUGCAGCAACAUUCAUACACAACAUUUCAAGGAAUCGCACACAUAACACCCCACCAUUGAAACAACACUCCCCAAGCUUUCCAAGAAAGGAAGUAAGAAAGAAAAAUAUGAUCACAGUUCCCUUCAACUUCAUUGCACCAACAACAAUUGAUGGAAUCAUUAAUUGUUAUAAUACCUCGAUCCCUUAAAAAAUAUUUUGAAGGCAUACCAUUCUGGAAUGAGAGCAAUAGGAAGCAUUGCACCUUUGAUGCACCAAUGAACCCUCAGAAUCAAGAGAAAACACAAAUUUCUUUACAGUAAAUUUCCCUUUGCUGUCCACCUCCCACAUUCGCCUUAUUACAUUAAUCACUGAAUCCAUACAUAGCCAAUUUCCAUACCGAUGUUCCCUCAAGUAAGCUUUAAUCACACCGUGGUCUCAAAAUAGUUUGCUCAAGGACUGGUGUUCCAGAGAAGUCAUCCCUUGGAUUAUUGCAGAGUCGAAUGAUUUGUGAUAUGGUUUUGUCAAUAUGGGAUCUUCUGUUAGCAUGAAUUGAAGCCAUUUAAGUAGUAUUAACUAUUAAGGACCUAUAUAAAGUACAAAAUGAAGCUAUUUAAAUACUAUUUAAGCAACACCAAAACAGAGUACAGGUUCCCAUGGCGUUUUAUUUAGCGAAAAUAGUCUGAUGACAAAGAUAAAAGAUGAUUAUAUUUCACCCUAUUACCUGCUUCUUCAUGCAGUGAAAUAUAGAUUUAAGUUUAUACAUAUAACAUAAAAUUUAAUAAAUAAAUAAAUAAUAAAUUUCAUUAAACAGUACAAGUUUCAAUCAUGUAAAAAUUAAUUAAUUAGAUGAAUAAAUUUUUAAAUGUAUAAAAACACUAUGUUGUCUUUCAACCAAAACAUGUCAUUCAAUACAAGUUGGUGUUCAACAUGUCUAUACUCAAAAUUUAGAGUUGAUUACAUAAUUUGAAGAAUCAUAUUUCAUACUCGUAUCAAAAUAUAUGUUGAGUAAAGAUGUUCAAAAUGAAUACUUUAAAUAAAAUAAAAGAUGUAAAUAAGGUCGAUAAAAAGGUCUAAAAACAGAAUUUAUAGGGCAAGGCUAGUGAAGUAGUUUACCACAGUCACAGCUUCUUCCUCGAUCGGCUCAUUGUAAAAUUGAAAAAAUUUUGCAUCCAUUUUGGUUUUUGUUUUACAAGGGAAGUGCUACCUAUUGAAUCUAUUGAUCCAUCGUUAUCAGCAGAGUGUUGAUGGACAUCUUCAAGAUUUGGAGAACAUUGAGUGGUAUGGCUAUGCAGCUCUUUUAUGUCUUCCAAAUCUUUCUCAUUCACCAUUCUAACACCACACUUCUUCACCUUAACACAGGGAACAUCCGGGUCUGUGAAAGACAAUUCAAGCUCAUCGCAUUCCUGAUCUAAGCAAUCUAUUGUCCAUAAAUUAUUAAUUUCACAUUCACCACAUUUAUCCUCUAAGGAAAAUGGAUAUAAUUUAUCACGCGACCAAUAUCGAAGAAAUAGGUGAUCCUUCGUUAUGGGCUGGUUAAAACGUUUCCCAAACAACCAACUACUUGCAUCGACACGUCGAAGAUCUGUAUCUCGAAAGACAGAUCCAUUUCGAACGGCUUGUCCAGAAUUUCUACAAUGGAUAACAGCUCUGCAGUUGAUAAACUUAUCCCGGGAAGCAUCAUCAUUGACAAAAAUGCAACAGGAAGCUACUCCAAUCCAUUGACUAUCAUUCUGAAUAUUGAGUGGUAGAGGUAUCCUAAUUGUAGAGCCACCUCUCUGUUGGCUAAACCAUUCUGGGAUUUCACUUCCAGGUAUAAUAACAUCAAACAUUUGUCUUGAAUUUGCAAAUGCCUGCAAAAUGAAACUUCAGUCACUUGGUAAAUAAAACCAUGAAUUCUAUUGGCAACCUACAAUCUUUGACUUUUCAAAGAUAUUUGUGUCAGAAAAUUGGGCACCGAAAAUCUAAGCAUUUAAGGCAUAGAUUUUUGGGUUGAAAUUUAGCUUGGGAUAAUUCAAUUUUGGUCCCUAAUUGUAUAGGGACUUUGCAAGUUGAUCCUUGAGCUUCAACUAUAAAUAGGCCUAGCUAUUUCUCAUUUUAACCAUCCCACAAAUGCCAUUCUCUACUUAAGGCAUUAUUCUCUCUCCUUAUUUGUAAAAUUUCACUUGUAUUUUGGAGUGAAAUAUAUUUGGUAGUGCCCGAGGACGUAGGCAAAAUUUGCUGAACCUCGUUAAAAUUCUAGUGUUCUUUAUUAUUUAUUCUGCAUAUUUUGCGAGUGUGAUUGUAGUGAUUUAUUAUGCUAUUAAAUUACGAUAGAGGGAUAUUCUGGCUAGGAAAGACCUGGUACUUAAGCGAUCUUCAUGAUCCACCUCUCUUUCCUGGGAAUUGAACUUAGUGUGAUUUUUUAGUACAAUAAUUUUACUCUUUUACACGCUUCCGCGCAACAAUUGGUAUCAGAGCUAGAUUCGUACUUGGGGAAUACGACCGUUUAUGAUACUAUUUACGUAUACGGUAUUGUUCAUCCAUGGCACUAUUCAUGUAAACGGUACUGUUCACAUAUACAGUAGUUGGGAUCGAGGAGAAGAAUGGCAGAGGCAUCGUCAUCAACAAAGACUAUCGUGACCAAUGCAAAAUUUGAAGUAGAGAAAUUUGAUGGUACCAAUAAUUUUGGUAUGUGGCAAUGUGAGAUCCUGGAUGUCUUAUGUCAGCAAGAGUUGGAUAUAGCUCUUGAAGAAAAACCUGACAAGAUGGAUGACAAAGAGUGGGCCAAGAUCAAUAGACAGGCGUGUGGUACAAUCCACCUAUGUUUGGCCAAAGAGCAGAAGUACUCUGUCAUGAGGGAGACAUCAGCGAAGAAGUUGUGGGAUACACUGGAAGAAAAGUUUCUAACGAAAAGUCUUGAAAAUAGGCUUUAUAUGAAAAAGAAACUUUUUCGAUUCACGUAUGCACCCGGUAUGUCGAUGAAUGACCAUGUGAACUCAUUCAAUAAAAUUUUAGCAGACUUGCUAAAUUUGGAUGAGAAGUUUGAAGAUGAAGACAAGGCAUUAUUGUUGUUGAAUUCUCUUCCCGAUGAAUAUGAUCAUCUUACCACCACAUUGCUUCAUGGGAAGGAUACGAUCACAUUUGAUGCAUUCUGCAGUGCGUUGUACAGAUCUGAGACUCGAAAGAAAGAUAAAAGAGAUCACAGAGAUACAACUGCAGAAGUCUUAACAGUAAAAGGUCGUUCACACAGCAACAAACCUGGUAGAAGGGGCAAGUCCAAAGGAAGACCCGCCAAAGAUGAAUGUGCUUUUUGUCGUGAGAAAGAGCAUUGGAAAAAGAAUUGUCCUAAGUUACAAAAGGGCAAGGCUAUUUCUAAUGCAUGUGUAGCGGAGCAUGAUGAGGAGUCAGACUUUAGCUUGGUUGGUAUGGCAAUGACAUGUCAUACGGAUGAGUGGAUCUUGGAUUCGGGAUGUACUUACCAUAUGUGUCCUAAUAAGAACUGGUUUUCUAGUCUUGAAGAACUAGAAGGUGGAGCUGUUUUUAUGGGCAAUGACAGUGCUUGUAAAACAAUGGGAGUAGGUACAAUCAAAUUGAAGAAUCACGACGGCUCAAUCCAAGUAUUGACAGAUGUUCGCUAUGUACCUAGCUUGAAGAAAAAUCUCAUCUCAUUAGGGGCCCUAGAAUCUAAAGGGCUCACAGUCACUUUGAGAGAUGGAUUACUAAAGGUAGUAGCUGGGGUAUUGACGGUGAUGAAAGGCACUAGAAGAAAUAACUUGUACUAUUUAAAUGGAAGUACAGUUAUUGGAUCAACAUCAACAGCUUCUGCGAAAGAUGCAGAUUCAGAGGCUACCAGGUUAUGGCAUAGGCGAUUGGGACAUGCUGGUGAAAAAGUUUUGCAGACUUUGGCGAAGCAAGGCUUGUUGAAAGGUGCAAAUUCUUGCAAAUUGGAAUUCUGUGAACAUUGUGUUCUGGGCAAGCAGACGAGGGUAAAAUUUGGUUCAGCAAUUCACAGUACGGAAGGAAUUCUGGACUACGAUCACAGUGACGUGUGGGGACCUACCAAAGUGGCUUCUUUGGGAGGUAUGCACUAUUUUGUUACUUUUGUUGAUGAUUAUUCAAGAAAAGUAUGGGUGUAUCUAAUGAAAAGAAAAAGUGAAGUUUUGGAUGCAUUUCUGAAGUGGAAAAAGAUGGUGGAGACUCAGACUGGUCGAAAGAUCAAACGACUUCGAUCAGAUAAUGGUACUGAGUACAAAAAUGAUCCAUUUCUACAAGUAUGUCAAGAUGAGGGCAUUGUGCGACACUUCACUGUUCGAGAUACACCACAGCAGAAUGGGGUGGCAGAACGUAUGAAUCGGACUAUACUGGAGAAAGUUCGAUGUAUGUUGUCCAAUGCUGGAUUGGGCAGGGAAUUUUGGGCUGAGGCAGUUACAUAUGCGUGCCAUCUAAUCAACCGGUUGCCAUCAGCUGCAAUAAAGGGAAAAACUCCUAUGGAGAUGUGGACUGGUAAACCUGCUACUGAUUAUGAUUCUUUACAUGUUUUUGGUUCCACUGCAUAUUAUCAUGUAAAAGAAUCUAAGUUAGACCCAAGAGCAAAGAAAGCAUUAUUCAUGGGUAUAACGGGUGGAGUAAAAGGAUACCGUCUCUGGUGUCCUGAUACAAGGAAGAUUGUUUUCAGUAGAGAUGUGACUUUUGAUGAAUCAACCAUGAUGAAGAACAAGGAUUCACAAAAGGAUGAUAAAACCAGUGGCACUUUGCAGCAGGUGGAGCUUGAAAAGGUUAAUGAUGAUCCAGCUAAUAUUGAAGAAACAAAUAAUGAAGAAGUUUCGACCCAAAAACUUCUACAGCAACAAGAUUCAAUUGCAUAUAGGAGGCCAAGAAGAGAGAUUCGUAAGCCUGCUCGCUUUGAUGAUAUAGUGGCCUAUGCACUUCCAAUUGCAGAUGAUAAUGUUCCUUCUACUUACACAGAAGCAAUAAGUAACCCUGAUGGUGUAAAGUGGAAGCAAGCUAUGAAUGAAGAAAUGCAGUCUCUUCAUAAAAAUAGGACUUGGGAGUUGGUGACACUGCCCAAGGGAAAGAAGGCAAUUGGAUGCAAAUGGGUAUAUGCAAAGAAGGAAGGAUUUCCUGGUAAAAAUGAAAUUCGAUACAAGGCUAGAUUGGUAGCAAAGGGUUACGCUCAGAAAGAAGGAAUAGACUACAAUGAAGUGUUUUCUCCAGUUGUGAAGCAUUCGUCUAUUCGGAUUUUGCUAGCCUUGGUUGCGCAAUAUGACCUUGAACUAGUUCAGCUUGAUGUGAAGACGGCUUUUUUACACGGUGAUUUGGAAGAGGAAAUUUAUAUGACUCAGCCUGAUGGAUUCAAGGUUGCUGAUAAAGAAAAUUGGGUUUGCAAACUGACGAAGUCGCUUUAUGGAUUGAAACAAUCUCCGAGGCAGUGGUACAAGCGAUUUGAUCAGUUCAUGAAAGGGAAAAGGAACACAAGUAGGAAAUUUGAUCAUUGCGUGUAUUUUCAGAAGCUACAAGUAGGAAAUUUCAUAUACUUGCUCUUAUAUGUUGAUGAUAUGCUGAUAGCAUCUAAGAGCAAAGUUGAGAUUGAGAGAUUGAAGACUCAACUCAAUCUUGAAUUUGAGAUGAAAGAUCUAGGUGAAGCUAAGAAGAUUCUUGGCAUGGAAAUAUGUAGAGAUAGAGCUCAAUGCAGAGUUAGCUUGUCUCAGAAGCAGUAUUUGAAGAAAGUACUACAGUAGUUUGGCAUGAACGAGCAGACUAAACCUGUAAGUACCCCGUUGGCUUCUCAUUUCAAGCUUUCUGCACAACUAUCUCCUUCGACGAAUACGGAACAAGAAUACAUGUUACAAGUUCCGUAUUCUAAUGCAGUGGAUAGCUUGAUGUAUGCAAUGGUGUGUACAAGACCCGACAUUUCACAGGCAGUUAGUAUAGUGAGCAGGUAUAUGCAUAAUCCUGGAAAAGGACAUUGGCAAGCUGUGAAAUGGAUUCUACGGUAUAUUCUGAAGACUGUGGAUGUUGGAUUACUGUUCAAGCAGGAUACUACACUUGGUAAAGGUGUUAUUGGGUACGUUGAUUCUGACUAUGCCGGUGAUUUGGACAAACAAAGAUCAACCACCGGUUAUGUGUUUACACUUGCUGGAGGACCAAUAAGUUGGAAGUCUACACUGCAGUCUACAGUUGCGUUGUCAACCACAGAAGCCGAAUACAUGGCUGUAACAGAGGCUGUAAAGGAAGCUAUUUGGUUACAAGGUAUGGUUAAAACCUUGGGAUUGGUUCAGGAGCAUAUUGACGUGUAUUGUGAUAGUCAAAGUGCUAUUCAUUUAGCAAAGAAUCAAGUCUAUCAUGCACGUACAAAGCAUAUCGACGUACGAUUCCAUUUUGUGCGGGAAAUUAUUGAUGAAGGGAAAAUUCGUCUUCAGAAGAUCAAGACUGCAGAUAAUCCCGCAGAUAUGAUGACCAAGGUGGUAACAACAAUCAAGUUCGAACAUUGUUUGAACUUGAUCAAUAUCCUGCAAGUUUAACAGUUGAAGAAGGCACUAUCAAGUAUUGUUGUCGAAGGCAGAAAGAAUUGUGUGAAGAUAAGAUUAUCCUAAUCAAAUCUUCAAGGUGGAGAUUAUUGGCAACCUACAAUCUUUGACUUUUCAAAGAUAUUUGUGUCAGAAAAUUGGGCACCGAAAAUCUAAGCAUUUAAGGCAUAGAUUUUUGGGUUGAAAUUUAGCUUGGGAUAAUUGCAAUUUUGGUCCCUAAUUGUAUAGGGACUUUGCAAGUUGAUCCUUGAGCUUCAAUUAUAAAUAGGCCUAACUAUUUCUCAUUUUAACCAUCCCACAAAUGCCAUUCUCUACUUAAGGCAUUAUUCUCUCUCCUUAUUUGUAAAAUUUCACUUGUAUUUUGGAGUGAAAUAUAUUUGGUAGUGCCCGAGGACGUAGGCAAAAUUUGCUGAACCUCGUUAAAAUUCUAGUGUUCUUUAUUAUUUAUUCUGCAUAUUUUGCGAGUGUGAUUGUAGUGAUUUAUUGUGCUAUUAAAUUACGAUAGAGGGAUAUUCUGGCUAGGAAAGACCUGGUACUUAAGCGAUCUUCAUGAUCCACCUCUCUUUCUUGGGAAUUGAACUUAGUGUGAUUUUUUAGUACAAUAAUUUUACUCUUUUACACGCUUCUGCGCAACAAAUUCCCAAGUAUGAGAGGGAAAGAAAGAGACAUUAAUUAACCUUGAGAUGUUUUUUCAACAAUGUUAACGCAUUGAUGUUCUCCACCAAUCUGUAGCAGUUAAUGGCUUUAAUGGAAGCUAAAUCCAAUAAAUUGCAUACUUUUGAUGGACUUGCAACUACUUCAAGUGAAGCACAACCAUCUAUGCACACUCUUGCUAUACUUGUUAGAAGCUCAGGCAACGAUUUAAGCUCUUUGCAACUUGAUAACAUUAGAAGUUUAAGCUUGGGAAGUCGAGUAAUAGACGCAGGUAUGCUGAGGAAAUUGUUACCACUGAGAUCAAGAUGUGUCAAGGAGGAUAGGCAAAAAAUAUCACUAUGAAUAUCUCCCUCACGAAGAUUGCAGUCCCUUAGCUUCAACUCUCUUAAUGAACUCAAACUUGACAACAAAGGCAACAUCAGAGGCAUAUUUGGUCGUAACUUAGAUGAUGGUCCUUUGCACUCAUUGAAAGACAGAAUUUUAAGAUUUUCCAAUUGAAAAAUCAAGGAUGGUGGUUCUAUUAUCGCUGUUUCACUCAGGUCAAGCUCUUCCAAAAACUCUACUUGCUGCAAAAUCACUGGCAAAUAUUUAAUUUUAUAACAACUAGAAAGAUCAAGAGUUUUUAGAUGUUCCAUUUUCCCAUCAAUCUCCGGAAACCUUACAAGACUUGAGCAACCUGAAAGAAUUAAUGUUUCAAGAGAUUCCAUUCCAACUCUGGUUGGAAGACUCCUAAGACUUGUGCAGUCUAUUAAAUUUAAAAGUUUAAGCAUCUUAAGCACUCUGAUUGAUGGAUGGACAUCUACUAAUCUGGUACAACCUUCCAUAAUCAAAGCUUCAAGUUUUGGUGUUGUUGUGAAGUCUGGUGUCUUGAUCAGGUAUUGAGACCCUUUGAGGUUGAUCAUUUUCAACUUAUACAAGGGCUGUUGAAGACAAUAAUAAAUUAGGUCGAAGACAUAAUAAUGCUAAUUUUUGGUUUUUUUUUACCUUAAUCAAAGUUUAAUCAUUUAUAUUAAAAUAAACUAAAACACAAGGAUAAGAUGAGUUAGUUCUUACUCUAUUCCCCUUCCAUAGUUGUUCAAUAUGACUAUAUGGUAAAAGAAGUGCAACAAGAUUAUCUGGGUGGAAGUUAGAAGGCAAAAAUCUUAAAGGAUAUCCUGUCCAAUCUAAAAGCCGUAGUUCAUUAGAAAGAUAUUUGAGAUGAUCAUCACAAUUUGAUACGCAAAACACUUUGAGCAAUCUCAAAUUUUUCAUCUUCGAGAAGGUAUCGGCGCUCAAAUUGAACAUCUUGCUCGAUUCCCUAAUAAUCAUGAGUAAAACAAAAAUGAGCUUCAAAAUAUACAAAAACAUUCAAUAUCUAAAAGCUAUGUUGUAUCGAUAUUUUUUUAUGUACCCACAUCCGGUACUUAUAUGUAAUGCGUAUAUGAAUAUGGUAUUCCGAUAUGAUUGAAUAUAUUAGACAAUACUUAAUCUAACACUUAUUUCACACUUUUAAUUACCUAAGCCUAAAAAACCUAGAACUAAAAUUUUGAUUUAUGUUUAGUGCAUUGAUGUGUAAUUCUAUACAUUACUAGCGAAAUGAUGGCAUUAUUUGGAUUUACUUUUGAAAACUUUUAAUGAUAUGUUAUGGUCUAGUUCAUUGAUAUUUACUGUCAUUACAUCAUAUAUAUAUAUAAACCAUUAAUUUUUACAAAGACAAUGACAUUAAUUUUUUUUUAUAAUUUCUGUUGAAGGAGUAAUGUGUUUCUUUAUAAAUUUCAUAAAUAUAAGAUUGAAUAAUUAAGCAUUAAGAAUGUGUUUGGUUAGGUGAAAAAGUAAAGGGAUAUGAGAAUGAGUAUGCUUGGUAGAGAAAAGAAAGAGAUGAUCAUUUACGUGUAUGUUUUCCUACCAUUUAUUAUCGAUGAUCAUGCCUUCAACCACUUCUGUAGCCUAGAAGUAAUCAAGAAUAGACAAUAAGAAAGUAAAAUAAAUGCUCUAAAUUGUACGAUAAGACUUUUGAAAAUUUACACACAUGUUCAACAUUAUCACAAUAUUUUGGUUGGAAUAUAGUAAAUAAAAUAUUUUAUAAUGAAAGUAAUUCAAUAAAAUUAAAGAUACUCAAUGUCACUUAAGGAUCAAUAUAUAUAUAAAACAGCUGGACUAAGCUUUGGAUUUAGAUCACAUAUUAAUAAAAGAAAUUUUUGUAUGUAACUCUUGUUGAAUGAUUUACCGUGUUUUUUGUUAGGACAUGAUGGACAUUCCUUUCCUUCCAUAAUCUACAACGUUUUCCGGGUUCAUCAACACAUUUUUCUUCAACAAUUUUUCUUCCCAUUUCUUGCAACAAGGCAUGCAUCCACAAAUAUUUGUUAUCAUCAUCAACUUUUAUGAAAGAUUUCUUAAUAAGAACAUCGAUUUCAAUAUCUGGAAAAAACCCACAACCAUCCAAUACUUUCAUUACCAAAUCUUUUUUCUCCCUAUUGAAAAAGCAUGCUAUAUCUAGAAAUAUAUUCUUCUCCCUUUCUUCCAAUCCAUCAAAGCUAAUUCGUAGUGUGUCAAGAAUUUCUUUGUUAGAAUCUUGUUUAAGUCUUUCGAUUGCACUUCUCCAUUGAAUUAUAUCUCUACCGCACAAAAAUGAACCCAAAACUUCAAGAGCUAAGGGGAGACCAUCAGCAUAAUGUGCAACUUGUUUAGAAAGCUCAAUGAAAUCAUAUUUCGGCGUUGUAUCACUAUCAAAAGCUUUCAAAUUGAAAAGCCUAAGUGCAUCGUUGGGAUUCAGUGUUGUAGGCUUAUACACAUCAUCGAUUCGAUAAGAUCUGAGCAAAUGUUCAUCUCUUGUUGUUACAAUGAUCCUACUCCCUAAAUUGAACCAAUCACGCCUUCCAACCAAGCAUUUCAAGUGUUGUAUGUUAUCAACAUCAUCAAGAACAACAAGAACCUUUUUACCAGACAACCUGUGGCUAAUUAUGGCAUUCCCUUCAUUAACAUUGAAAAAAUUGAAGCAUUCAUCUGGCAAGAUUUGAGUGAGGAGUUGUUUCUGUAAAGAAACAAGUCCAUGUUUGUUUGAAACUUCUCGAAUAUCAGCAAGAAAGCAUUUACCUUGAAAAUGAGCUAACAUUUGAGUGUAAGCAACCCUUGCAAGAGUUGUUUUACCGAUGCCACCCAUUCCGCAAAUUCCUAUAAUGCGGACAUCGUCUUCCCCAAUAUUUAUUUUCGAAUACAACUCCUCCAAAUGUAAACUAAUUCCAACCAACUCAUCAUGAACAACUGGAUAUGUCUGACAUAAUUUUGCUGAUAUCUUCUUAACAACGUCUCUAAUAAACUUUGAUUCGUGCCUACAAAUACAAUGAAAUUAAAAUCCGAUAUGCGCCUUUUCAUUUUCAGUUUAGUGAAUCAUGAAGUAUAAUAUGGUUGGAAGCAAACAAAAAGUAUGAAUAAGACAGUAAGAUAUAUUAUAGCAUCAAAAUACACAACUCUUGCUCGUUAGUUGAAAUAUGGGAAUUCUCAAUUAAACACAAAAUUAUAAAAAAAUAACAUGCAAUCCAAUAAAAAAACAGUUUUUUAGUCAUUAAAAUUAGGAAAUAGAGAAGAUAAGAAAGAAAUACCUAUUAUUUAAAUGCCAUCCCUUGAUGUUAGCCACUUCAGUCAAAGCAUUUCGCCACUUUUGGAUCUUGUCUUUAUCUUCCUUGUAUCUUUCUUCGUGUUUGGCAAAGGCUUCUUCAACUUUUUCUUUUUGUUUUCUUAAAUCGGAUGGAUCGACAUGGUAGAAAAUUGGAAAUACUUUAUGACCCUUGUCAUUUUUUUGUUUAUCAAUCUCCGCAAGCUCCUCCAAGCACGAACCUGAAAAGGCAUAAGUCUUGGAAAAAACGAUUACCGAGCACCAUGAUUGCUGAAUUGCGUUGAAGAGUUCCGGUGCGAUCUCUUCACCAGUUUCCAACUUUGGAUCAUCUCUAAAAGUGACGAUCCCAGUUCUAUUUAGAGCAUCGUAGAGAUGAUCCGUAAAAUUCUUGCGAGUAUCUUCACCUCUAAAACUCAAGAACACAUCGUAUUUCUUUCUAGAAAUGGAUGAGGAAGUCGAAAGUAACGACGACAUGAGGAUGUAUGAGAAGAAAAAUAUGUGGAUGUAGUGUUCAAAAUCAGUCGCUCAAUACCUCCGAAACAAUAAGUAUAUGAGCAUGAGGGGAGAAAAACAGAUGAAAUUUCGAGGGAAGAACAAAGGGAGUAGGUGAAUCUAUCAGUAUAAUAAUAUCUAUGAAAAGGGAGUAUUUAUUAUUUUCUUUUGCCUGAAUUAUAUGGUUCUCAAUAAAUUAAUGAAUUUAAUUUUCAGAAAAAAUUGUAGGCUGCUUUUUGUGAACUCUCACCUUCUUGGAGUCUUCCCGGAAAGAGUAAGGCUUUAGCCUUAACAUUAAUACAACAUUAUGGCACGUUAACAAUUAGUUUUGUCACAAUUCAAGUACGACAUAUUUUAGAGUAAUUACAAACACUUAAUAUGAUAAGGAAAUUAAACCCGGAUGGUCUAAAGCGACGAGCAAAAAUUGACAAAAGAAUCGAACAUUCCCCAAACUAGAGAGGACGACAAUAAAAUCAUCUCUAAAAUCACUUGCAAAACUAAGAUUAUAUGCAUAAACACACUUAUUAAAUAAUUGAAAACAAUAUAUAAAACUUAACAACACGAAAAUAGAUCCUACAAUUAUCAUCAAGUAACGUGUUGGACAGUUUGUGUUUUAUUUUUUUAUUAUUUUAUAUUAUCAUAUCUACUUUAUAAUCAGUAGCUUAUGUUACAUAUGUGAUUUUACGCAUUUAAUAUUUGAUUAAAUUUUUUAAAUAUUAUACUUUUAAUUGAAGUAAUUAGUAUAAAAUAAUAUUUUUUAUUUAAAUUAUUAAAUAUAUGUAAAAUAUAUUAAUUUAUCAAUUCAAACAAAUAUUAUAAUAAAAAGUUUUUAAAUAAUAAUUAAAUAAUUUUUAACAUAUUCCACAUAUAUUAUAGUUUUCCUUUAGGUAGCUAAUGCAAUGUAAUAUUACUCAAAAUAAUAACUACUUAACAUAAUUGUCAGCAACCUCUUGGCCUAUUUACAAAAGCUUGGUUUUGUAGGUAUGAGAGUUUGUGUUCAAUCCUAAGCAAUCCUAUUUUCCUCCCUUAAAUAUAUAUAAAAAAAUUGAGCACAAUAAACUCUAACAAUCAUUAAGUGAUAAUUAUAAUGAUAAUUUUAAAUUUAGUAAUAUAAAAAAAUAAAUAUCUUUUUCAAACUCGUUGUUUUAUAUAUUACAAAUUAAGUAUUAAAAUUGUUUUUUACGUGUCAUAGCAUUUCACCACCAUUUGAUCUUAUCUUUUAUCUUCCUUGUACCUUUCUGCCUGUUUGGUGAAGGCUUCUUCAACUUUUUCUUUGCUUUCUUUAAUCGGAUGGAUCCACAUCGGGGGCCAUAGAUGAGCCUUAGAUGUUCUUUCCGAGAAGACUCCAAGAAGGCGAGAGUUGUUAAUAUUUAUGGAGUUUUUCUUGGUUAAAAUGUGCCAGAAGUCCCUGCACUUUUUAUAAAAUUAAAAUUUAAUUCCUAUACCAUUAAUCACUAAAUUAUAGAUAAAUUUUUGCAGGUAUCUUCACCUCUAAAACUCAAAAAAACAUAAUAUUUCUUUCUAGACAUGGAUGAGGAAUUCGAAAGUGACGAUGACAUGACGGUUUAUGAGAAGAAAAAUAUAUAUGGAUUUAGUGUUCAAAAUCAGAAAAUAGAUGGCUCAUGAGGAAGGAGAAAAACAGAUGAAAUUUACAGGAAACAACAAAGGACUUGUCUAGGAAAUUAGUGUAUAUGUUUCCCACCUUUUACUUUUCCAAAUGAGUCUAUCUUCAUUAUAAUACCUAUGAAAGGGAGUCGGUAACAAUUAAUUAAGAGUUUUUUUUCAUUUUCUUAAAUCUUAAAAUAAAUGUUGAGACAUUAAUCAAGCCUAAACUUGUCUCCUUUAAUGAUAUAAGGGAACAGCGAAGAUUUUUGUCAGCAAUUUCUCUAAACAUUUCCAUUUUUUUCUUCCAAAUGAAAGCGCGUAGAUGUGGAAAUUGGGGGAUGAUAGAUGAGUGAUAUUAGAUGUUGUCUCCAGGAAGAAUCCAAGAAAGAGUCGACAAAAUUGAGCCUACAAUAAUUAUAAGUGUUGGACCGUUUGUGUUUUACAUUAUCAUAUUUACUUCAUAAUUAUAAAGUAUUAACUAAUUGUGUUUUACAUGCUUAACUAGUUUCUUAUGUAACAUACAUCUAAUUAUUUUUAUUUCAUUAAUUAUAUAUUUAUUUUAUUAAUUAGUGUAUUUAAUUAUUAUUUAAAGAUACAUGAUUAUUUAUUUAAAAAUGUUUAUUAUUUUAUGUAAUGUAAAAUAAUUAAAAUAUUUUAUUAGACUUAAUACAUAAUUUAGUACUUGAGUUUGACACAUUUUCUAAUGUGAUACUUAUGUUAUUUUUUGGUCCAAUCAGGUAUCUGUAUUUAACAAAAGUUAUAUAUAUUUUGACACCCAAAACUAAAGAUGUUAAGUGUUUAAUUCGAGUUUUAGGGUUGGUUUGAUGAAAAUUAAUUGCUAAUUAUGUAUUUUCAUCAAACCAACUCUAAAACCCGAAUUAAAUCACAACCAAUGGACUAUAUUUGACAAAUUAAAUGCAAAAUUAAACAAAUCCAUAAUUAACACUAAAUUUAUUCUAUUAACAAAAUCAUGAAAAAUUUAAAGUUAAUAAUAUCAGCAAUUAACUUUCAUCAAAUCAAUUCCCAGACCCGAACUAAACACUAAAAGGUUAACAUCGUUUGUAAUGAUCCAAAAUUCACGGGCAUUGGAAAAGUACAUUAUCGGGCCUCCGUCUUAGUAAACUGAAUCAUAAAUAAUUAUUAGAAGUAAUUAUGAGUUUAGUUGAGUGCUUAAUUAGGUAUUAAUUAGGUGAAUUUAGUUUAAUUAAGAAUAAUUAGAAAAAAAAAGAACUAAAUAGAUUAAAGGAUAAAAGUUUAAUUAUAGAUCGAAAGAAAGUGUAAAGAAUCAAAAUGGCAAUUAAGCCAAUUCAAAAGAAUGAGGCGGCAUAAGCUGAGUAAGAUUGAAGAUUUUCAUAUGAUAUUUUCUAUUAAAAUUUCAUUAAUAAUCAUUAAGGUUUAAUACUAAAUAAUAAAUUAUAUUAAUUGUUAUUAUUAUUAUUAUUAUAUUAUGAAAUAAGUUAAACAAAGACAAAUGUAUGGUAGUGAUUUAAUACAAAUGUAUUGAUAAAAGUAUAUACAUUUGUAAUAAUUAUAUUAAAUUAUUAGAUAGAUAUUUAUUAGAUAAAUAAUUAAAUUAUAAGAUUUUUUUGUGUGAUAAAUAAAAUAAAUGAUGACAAAUGUAUGGUAUAGAUGAUAUUGUACAUUUAUAAAUAAAAUAUAUAUGUACAUUUGUAAUAUUAUUAUUUGUUGUUAAAUUGAUUUUUAUUAAAUAAAUAAGAUAAUUGACAAAUAAAUGGUAUAAAAUUUAUACAAGUGUAAUAAAAUAAAUAUGUACAAAUGUAAUUAAACAAUUGAUUUACUUAAUAUUUAAGCAUAAGAUAUUUUAUACUGAUAUUAUAUUAAUUAUUUAGUAAUUAAAAAAAAAGAACAAAAGAAAUAAAGUAAAGUAAGUAAAAAUAAAAGAAAGAAACUAAAGAAGAACAGAAAUAGAGAAUGAAACGAAAACAGGGGAGGAAAAAGGGAAAGAAAAGAAAAGGGGAAAAUUGGGAUUUUUAAGCUUCAAGUUUAAUUGGUAAGCUAAAUUUAGCCCUUUUCUCUUAAUUUUGAUGUUUUAGAAGCUUUAAAACAAAGUUUUGUUGAAAUUAAGUGGAGGUUACGGAAGUUCAUAGGUUUUUGAACAUGAUUCACGUUGAACAAGUUGUUAAAUUAGGGGUUUAGUUGAUAGAAUUUCUAGUUAGAAUCGAUAAAAGGAUUAAACUGUAAACUAGGUUAUAAGUUUUACAUAGUUGGGAUUAAGUCAUAAGAAGUCUUAAAUUAGGGUUUAAUUAUGAAUAUUGAAUAGUUGAGUUAAAUAUGGCAAGAAAUUAAGUAGAAAAGAAGUAUGAAUUAAGCUAGAAAAGUAAGUAAGCUUAGUUAGAAUUAAAUUGGGAAUAAGUAAGAAUUGAAUAAAAUUUAAUUAUUAUUAUUGUUAUUAUAAUUUAAUAUUGUUAAUUAAUAGUGAAAAUAAUUAUUAUUUUCAUAGCUAACAAAGAACACGAGGCAUCGACAUUAAAAGGAAAGGAGAAAGCUAUCGAGGACUAAAACGGGAGAUUUACGAUUUGUAUUACUAUAAUUCAAAUUAUUUAUUAUUUAAUGCUAUAUUUAAAUUUAUAUGUAUGGUAAGUGAAAUAUAAGGUAAGUAUUAUUAUUAAGUUGAAAGAAAUUCAAUUGAAUGAUGAAUAUAUGUGUGGAAUUGAAAUGAAUUUUGACUUGAAAAUGGAAAAGUGAAUUUUGAAUUAAAUUGUGAUUGAAAGUGAAAAAGUGAAAUUGAAUUGAAAUGUGAAUUUGGAGACCCUAUUAACUAGUCGGGCUGAGUUGGAUAUAGUUGGCAUGCCAUAGGAUUGGAAGAGUUCAGGGAUACUUCGACCUCGAGUCGAUGAGACACUGGGUGUCACUAUAUUUCUUCGGAUAGAUUCGAUGAGGUACUGGGUACCAACUUUCUUCGGCUUUGACGAUGAGACACUGGGUGUCAACUAUUGCUUCGAACUAUCCGAUGAGGUACUGGGUGCCAUACUGGAGUGUUUGGUUAGACCCGUGUAUCCGUCAAAAUCCGAGUUUUGUUAAUAGGGUAAAUAAUGAAAUGAUAAUUUGAAUGAGUUGAUCAAUCGAGCUAUUGAAAUGAAAUGAAAAUUUGAAUUGUGAAUUGAAAUGUGAUAUGAGAUUGAGAAAUGAAUCUAAGGUUCAUCAUGUGUCCAAGUACCAAAUUGUGGAUAUAUGAUAUUAAUUGAUGAAUUGUUAUUGUAGAAAUAUGAAAUUUGAGUUUAAAUUUAUAUGUAUGAUUUUAUGCAUUACAUGUUUAUUAAUAUUAUAAUUUGAAUUAUGGUAAUACCACUGAGUAUGAAAUACUCAGCGUACUGUUGUUUCCGUGCGCAGGUCAUUAGAGUUCAAGGUCCAGUUCAACAUCAUCAAAAAAAUUUCGGUGAUGUAUUUCUUCCUUUUUGUUUAAGUGGCAUGUACUAGGUGAUUGUACACGAGUCGUAUAUAUAUAUGUAAAUAUAUAUGCUAAAUGAUCAUGGUUGUAAAUAAAUGGUUAUAAUCUUUUGGAUGAUAAAUAAAGUUUAAAGUUAUAAAUUAGUAAACUUAGUAUUAAAUCUUGAAAUGAAAUGAAAGAUAUGAAUUAGUUUUUUUACAUGUUAACUUUAACCUUUUAUAAUUAAAGUAGUAAAUCAAUUUAUUAAACAUGAUUUAGUAGCGUUUUAAAGUAUAAAAUCAUUGAUUGAAAUAUUGGUAUUGGUUUGUUUUUGGUUUUAAGUUUGCAGGGGGUUUUAUGUAAAAAUAAACAGAAAUACUGUCGAAAUUUUUUUAAAAAAUGAAUGAAGCCAAUUAGCAUAAAUUUAUAUGAAUUUAUGAUUCUUUUAUAUAUGUUCGUUAUUUAUGUAAGAAUUAUUUGUAAAUUUUCCGAGAUGUCCAGUAAUGCCUCGUAACCCUGUUUCGGUGACGAUUUGGGGUUAAGAGGUGUUACAUCGUUACUUUUGAAUACCAAAAUAUAUAACUGUUUUCAAAUAUAUGUAACAAAUUGAACAAAAAAAAAACACAAGAGUACCACAUGAGAAAAAAGUGUCAAACUCAAGUACCAAAUUAUGCAUUUAAUUGUUUUAUUACAAGAUAUUGUUUAAUUAUAAAUUUCAAUAUUUAAAUUAAAACAAGAGUUUUGUUUGGUGGGAUGUUUUCUUACUGCUAAUGUGGUCCACUUUCCGACAAUGAAGAAUACAUUGGCAAAUUUGUGGCAUCCUUUAAGGUGUGUGCAGAUCUCGAAUAUGGGAGAGAAUAGAUAUUUGUUUAGAUUUUUCAAUAAAGUGGACAUUGAUAGGGUGAUUAAUGGAGCACCAUGGGCUUUCAACAAUCAUUUGUUAGUGUUCCAUCAUUUGGCUAUUAAUGAAGAUCCCGUGCAAGUACCAUUGAUUUUUCGUGGCUUUGGGUUCAAGUACAUGAUAUUCCCCUAGGAUUUUUCUUUGAAGCAGUGGCAAGAUAGUUUGGUAAUUUUAUUUGAGAAUUUUUCGGAUUAUGAUUUGAAGCACAUUUCGAGAGGUGUUAGUCCAUAUUUGCAAAUAAGAGUUAAAUUAAAUGUGUGUUCCCCAUUGAAAAGGAGGAAGAAAAUGUGAGUUUCAUAUAUGCGAGAUUUCAGUAUAAAAAAAAUCACAUUAUUCUAUUUCAUAUGUGGCCGUUUAGGGCAUGGAGAAACUUUUUGUCUAGUUAGGUUUGUCACACCCCGAGUUUGGUGGAUCCGAAUUAUGGCAUAGAGUUGUAAAGAUAAUCUAUUUGACGUAUUAUAGUUCGCCAUGUUUGGUCUUUUGGCGAGUACGAUUGGGUGUAAUGUACCUGUCGCUUAGGAGAUUAAAUAUUUUUGUUUCAAAUUAUUAAGUGAUUCUAGUAAAGGAUACCGCCAAAUGUUUAACACGUGGUUUGUCUGAGCAUUGUGUUAGUUAAGUUGAACAUGAUCUGGUUAAGAAUCAACUGGAUUGGCUGAUCAAAUAUUUAUUGAGAAAUGACUUUCAUUUAUGUUUCUCUUAGAACUUGUAGGCCAUUAAGAAGGACAGUUCUAAAUGUAUUAACAUCUGUUAAGUUCCCACACUAAAUGUAUUGACAUCUGUUAAGUUCCUGCAGGUUGAAUGGGUUAUAUAUAUGGGUGAGAAGGGUGAUCUAUUGAGAAAUCUUCUUCUAUUUCUUCCUUCAAUAUUGUUCUCUGUUUCUUCAAGUUAAGUGCUAUUUCAAUCUCUUCAAGUUAGAUGUUAAGAUGCUGGGAUUAGUUAGAGGUCACUCUAUCUCUUAGUAAGUAAUAUGGCUUUGCAUGUUAAGUUUUGAAGGAUUUAUGAUGUUAAGAGUUUAAUGAGCAGUAGGACUAAAACAAGGUCUUGCAUGGGGUUUAUCUAUGACUGAGAUGUUGAAAAUCUGUGUAUAAGGAUUUUAAUGGUGAAAUUGUGUUCUUUAAGUAGCUGUUGCUGCUAGGCCAAGAAAGAUGUUCGAGUUUGGAGCUUUGAACUACAGUUGGUGAGUAUCUGGUGAGUGUUUAUCUUGACUCUUGCAUGUUUACUGUUUAGAUAUAAACAAGCAUAAGUGAUAAUGAUAUCUUUGAAGAUUGUUAAGAAUGUGAAAAAUAAAUGAUGAUAUAUGUGGUUAUGAUGGAAUGUAUGAAACUCGGUGUGAAUAGAAUGUUGUUCAUAAGUAUAUAUGUAAGAAUCAAAUAAGUAUGAAUAAUUUGAGAAGUGGGGUUGGAGUAACAUUCUUUUGUGAUGCCUCUGGUAUGACAGGUAUAUUGCUAACUAGACUGAUAUAUCACAAUAUGAGUGUAUGUGUAAGAUCAUGUGGUGGAAACCUGUUGGAUCUAAGUGCAACAGCAGCAAGCUUCAGCAGAAUGCUUGUCGAGCAAGUCUCGUGACUUGCAGCAGAAACAAAGCAGAAAACUCAAACAGAUUUUGAAGCAAAACUAAAAUAGAGAGCAUGUGGAUGAAAACUUCAUUGAUUUCAUUCAUUCAACUGAAAAAAUGGCAUAAAGCCAAUACAUAAGCAAGUUUACAAGUUGACAAAACAGUAGGUUAACCUAAACUUAACCUACUACCACUAACACACAUAGUAACUUGUGCUAAUUAACUUGAACAAAUGAACAAAGUUGAUUUAUCAGCUCAAUCACCAUCAAUUUUACAUCAAACAUAAACCUAACAUAGUUCAAAUGCAAUUAAGUUACAUUACAUUAACUUAAAAUUACAAAAUGAAGCAUAAACAGCUUGCUGACUUGGUGAACCAGCAGCUUCUGCAUGUAGUGCCCUGGAUAGUCUUUGUUGCUGCAUGCUGACCAUUACUUCAACAAAACCCAUGACACUAUGAUAUGAAAACACCCAUGGUGUAUCCUCUAGUGAAACAUAGUCUGGAUUGGCAGGUCACGAUACAUGAAGUGAAUAAGUCCGUGUGUUUGAGCCCAUGGCAAGAUGUGUUUGUAUGAAUACUUAUGGUGAUGCCUCCGUUAUGAUAAAAACUGGACUGGCAGAUCACAGCAUAAGGUUUAAGUAUAAGACCAUGACUAAGGAACCAUGACAUCUUCUGUGAAAGUCCGUCGGGACAGUAAACACAUGAUUCUAAAUGUGUCCUAUAUGGCAUGAUCAACUAAGCCUUUGUGGCAUAUUUUGUUUGGUCCUUGUGGCAUUUUCGACCAAGUCUUCAUGAGAAAUGGUGACUAUCUGUCUUCUUUAUGGUAAGUCCUGGAUGUAUUCUGGGUAUGUUGUGAUAUGAUCAAGGUUAAAAUGAGUCGAAUUAAGCCUAUGAAGUAAUCAACUAAGUUCAUUAAAGAAUAUUUUUGGAAAAGAAUUGUAUAUCUGUUUGUCUGAAGAAUGGGGAAUCUGCCUCGGUAAUGUGUUAGUAUAGAAAGAGUGUAUUUAUGGUUAUGGAAGCUAUGAGAAAUUGGCAGUUGGAGUUCUAAGGAGCUGUAUAGUGUUGAAAUCUGGGUACGUGAUAUCCACCAUAUUUGAUUAGUAUCUCAUUCGAUCGAUUCUAGAAUUUCAAAGUAAAUACUCCAUUUGUUAAUUCAGGUUAUUACGUAUUUGUUGUAAGAGGUACAAAUUAAGAUCUCUUUGAUUGAUCUGGUUAGUUAGUUAUCAGUGUGAUAUUGUGUUGGGUGUUGAAUUAGAAUAUAGAAUGAUGGAAAAACUGAUAAUAUUCAACUCAACGUGGGAAUCCGCCAAAAAUGUAAGUAUCUGCCAGUGAAUUGUAUGGCGUCUCACUCAAGAAUCUUAUGAAAUUGGAGCUAUUCGUCAUCUUGGGUUGUUGUGCGAUGAAUUAACCUGAUGGUCUCAAACGAUCCAUAAUUAAUAUAAGUAUGUGUUGAGCUUAAGUUAGCAAAUAAUUUAUCUUUCAAAAAGGGUAUGGAAAGAUCGUAAAUCAUUCAGGUAGUUAAGAGAGUAUGGCUAUGAUAAAAGUGGUGUGUUUGGCAUAUAGGAAGUGUAGUCUAGGUAUUACUGAUUGAUACAUGACAGAAUCACUCAAACAUCACAGGAGAUACUUGAAAGAGUAGGAUCUUACAUUGGUGAACUCGAUGCUCUUAGGACCAGGUCAUCUGCAAAUAUAAUGGAGUCAGAGAGAUGGAAUCCUCCGGGUAGGGGCUGGUUUAAGAUUAAUUACGAUGUAGCUUUUCAAAAGCAUUCGUUGAGAUCAUGCACAUGGAUUAUCAUCAGAAAUCAUGAAUGGGGCACUCUUGUAUCCUCAAUAAUACAGAACAAGCACAUACCUACUGAGUUUGCGGCGGAGGCUCUUGCAUGCCUUCAAGAAAUUAGACUGGGGCUAGAUCUGGAACUCCAAGACGUUAUUGUUGAAGCCUCGAAGGGAUGCUCUAACGCUGGAUAAAAACUUCUGUACAAAAAUAGAGAUGUAUCAGUUAUCGGUGCGUUCAUUGAAGAGUCAAAUCCCCUAAGUCAAAGUUGCAAGAAAUUCAUGUUUAAGCAUACUUGAGCCAUGCUAAAUUUAUUGAUGUAAAAUAAAAUUAUUACUUGAGUAUAAUUCUAAAUAUUUUAAUUAUCACUAAAUUAAUAUUAGAGUUACAUUUAAUUAAAAUUUAAGUUUAAAUUUAUAAAUAACAUUUAAUAGUUAGACAUAUUUAAUUAAAUAGCAUGUAAGAAAAUUUAUCAAUAAAAAAUUUAAAAUAUUAACAUUAAUAAGUUAGAAUUAUAUUUUUAUAAAGAGAAUAUUAUAUAUAAAUAUAUAUAAAGAAAAGCACUGGUUAAAAUUGGAGCGUGACAUAAAGAGAAUAUUAUAUAUAUUAUGGAAAAUAUAGUGUUUUCGAUUUUAAUCUCAUCAUGAUAACAUUUUAUAAUUUUUUAUUAUAAAAAUAUAAAAUAUAAAAAUACUAUUAUAUUAAUAUUUGUCACUUUAUAAAAUAAUAAAAUUUUUAAUCAUUUGUGAAAUUUUUAUUUCAUUAAUUAUAUAUUUAUUUAUUAAUUAGUCAAACCAACCUUAAAACUGAAAUUAAAUCACGGAAUGUAUUUGAUAAAUUAAAUGUAAAAUUAAAAAAAAUUCAAAAUUAGCACUAAAUUUAUUCUAUUAAUAGAAUCAUGAAAAGUUCAAACAUAAUAAUAUUAGCAAUUAACUUUCAUCAAAUUAAUCCUAAAACCCGAAUUAAACACUAAAAAGUUAAUAUUGUUACUUUUGGGUACCAAGAUAUAUUACUUUUGUCAAAUACGGAUAACAAAUUGGACCAAAAAAUAACAGGGUACCAUAUUAGAAAAAGUGUCAAACUUGGAUACCAAAUUAUGUAUUAAACCAUUUUAUUACAAAAUAUAUUGAUUAGUUAUAAAUAUCAAUAUUUAAAUUAAAAAGAGUGUAAUUCAAAGAUGAAUAUAAACUGCAAUUCAAAUUUAUCUAAUUUUAUCUACUCAAAAAUAUUUAUUUAGCCCUAUUUGAUAAACGAAAAUUCAACUAAAAACCUUAAUGUUUUCCAUAAUUUUAUUUUUUUAAAUAUAUUUGAUAACUGUUAAUAAAAAUUACUUUGUAGAAUUUUUUUCACAAAGAAUGUAAAAAAUAAUAAGUAAAUAGGAAUCUAUUUAAUAUUUAAUAAAGAAUAUGUUCAAUUCUUUUUAUUUUAUUUUAUUUCUUUUUAGACUAUAUUGUCCCAAUUUUUUCUUCACUUUGUUCUUUUAUUCAACAUAAUCUCUGUAAAAUAUUUAUUUUUCAUAAUGUUUAUAAUAUUUUAUAAAUAAUAGUAUAAUGUACUAUAAAUAUUUCAUUUUUAUAGCAACAUUAUUUAAAAUAUGACUUUGUUUAAAUAAUGUGUAAUGUUUAAAAAUUAAGGAUAAAAUUAUAAAAUAGCUUUUUUUUCAUAAUUUAAUAUUUAAAUUUAUCAAAUAAUUUAAUAUUAUAACUUAAUUUUUUCGCACUUAAUUUUUUAGUUUAUCAAACCGGACUUUAGUUUAAAUAUAUUAAUAAAAAUAUUUUCCUACGUUAAGUAAUAACUAUUUAAAAUAAUAAAAUAUUUUUAUUUAUAAACUUGAAUAGUUUAUAUUAUAAUGAAAAUGUAAUUAAAGAAGAAUAUAUGAUGUAAAUCAAUAUUUAUAUUUAGUUGCAAUAUAAUAUUAAAAAUAGUAGUUUUAUUUAAUUUUAAUAGAAAUAAAUAAAAAUAUUCUUAUGUUAAAGUAAGAAAUAAUUAAAAUAACAAGAUAUUGCUCAUCUAUAAGAAAUAAUAAAUAUUUUUCUAUCUCCCAAAUAGCAAGACAUCUUUCAGAAAAGGUGAUCAUAAUUGGCUAGUAGUUGUGGGAUUGGGAGAGAUGGGGAACAAAAGAUCUCUUUUUUACCGGCAUUUAUAAGCACAGGUAAAAGACUGGUAUUGAUUUUCCUGGCAACCAUGAACCUGAUGAAGUUGGUCAGCAUGCAGCAAACACUCGACAGCAUGAAGACCAACCCAUGCAGGAGCUGCUGAUGCAAGCUGUUUCUGUUCAUUUUGUAAUCUUUAGUUCAUGAAAUGAGUCUUAGUUCAUUUCUAACUAAGUUAAGUAUGUAAUUAGCUUGUGUAUGAGCUGUAAACACAUCUUUAUAUAGGUUUACAAGCUAAAAUUUCAAGUUCUUAUGUAAUUAGUGGAGGUAGGUAAUGUUUAGGUGAUUACCUGUUGUUUUUGACAAGCUUAGUGCUUGAUUUAUAUAUUGGCAUUAUGCCAUUGUUUACUUAAUGAAUGAAUCAGAAUUGUUCAUCAAUUCCCUCUCCAUUUUUCUUAGCUUUUCUUUCUUCUUCUUGCUCGAAUUUGUUUGUUUGCUCAGCAAGCAUCCAGGCUUGUUGCACAAGACACUUGUCGAGUUUGUUAGUUUCUGUUAUUGCACCAACAAUUGGUAUCUAGAGCCUAUUUCUUAAGGGAUCUGUUAUACAAAUCCAUGGCUUCAUCAAGCUUUUCACCAACUGCACCUCAAGUCUUCAAUGGAGAAGGCUACCACAUAUGGGUGGUCAAAAUGAAGACCUACCUGCAGGCUUUCGAUCUGUGGGAGGUGGUCAACUCAGAUGUUGAACCAGAGCCAUUUAGAGCCAAUCCAACUGUGGCUUAGAUCAGGCAGCAUGCUGACGAGAGGACCAAGAGGCACAAGGCCAUGUCUUGCAUCCAAAACUCAGUGUCAGAUGUGAUUUUCACAAGGAUUAUGGCCUGUGAAUCACCAAAGCAGGCCUGGGACAAGUUGCAAGAGGAGUUUCAAGGGACAGAAAGGACAAGGCAGCAACAGUUGUUGAACCUGAGGAGAGAAUUUGAGAAUUUGAAGAUGAAGGAAGAAGAAACUGUCAAACAAUACUCUGACAGGAUUAUAGCUGUGGUUAACAGCAUUAGGCUCAUUGGAGAGCAGUUCAAUGAAGCUCGGAUAGUGGAGAAGGUCAUUGUAACUCUGCCUGAGAGGUAUGAGGCAAAAAUCUCAUCUCUCGAAGACUCAAGGGACUUGUCCAACAUCUCCCUGACAGAGUUGAUCAAUGCUCUAUAUGCUCAAGAGCAGAGGAGAGCAAACAGACUGGAGGAGCACCAAGAAGGUGCCUUUCAAGCAAGGACAAAUACUGCCUACAAAGGCAAGAAGGCCUGGAGAGACAAGCCAAGGUAUGAUGCUGCAAGAAAAGAAGGUCAGACUUGCAAGCACUGCAAAAGGGCUGGUCAUCCAGAAGAGAAAUGCUGGUUCAAUCCAGAUGCUGUAUGCUAGCAUUGCAAAAAGAAAGGUCAUGUUGAGAGAGUCUGCAAAAACAAGGCCAAAUCAAGGUAGAAUCAGUUUCAACAGAUGAAAGCUGAGGCUCGAGUAACUAAGGAGGAUAGUGACCAAGAGGAGCAAGUCUUUGCUGUGUCAUGCUCAGCUGCUCAACAAAGAAUUCCAUCUGGUUGGCUCCUAGACAGUGGAUGCACCAAUCACAUGACACCUGAUGCUGCAAUCUUCAAGUCUUUAGACAGAAGCUGCAGAACCAAAGUCAAAAUAGGUAAUGGCCAUUUUAUUCAGGCUGAAGGCAAGGGUGAAGUGCUGAUAUGCACUCCCACAGGUGCCAAAGUUAUUUCAAAUGUGCUCUUGGUGCCUGAAAUUGAUAGAAACCUGCUUAGCAUAGCUCAAUUGCUGGAGAAAGGUUAUUCUAUUGUUUUCAAAAAUAACCAGUGCCAAAUAAGUGAUCCAAGUGGAUCCAAGCUAAUGUCAGUCCUAGUGGCUGAUAAGAGCUUUGUAGUUGACUGGACAAAGGAGUCAGACAUUGCCUACACAGCUACAUCAUAUGAAUCUAAGCUUUGGCAUCAAAGGCUUGGACAUGCCAACUUCAGAUCGAUGGCUCGAAUGGUCAAAGAGGGCUUGGUUGAAAACUUCACCAACUCAGUGGAGCAUGAUGAUGUAUGUGAAGUAUGUCAGCUAGGAAAGCAGGCCAGACUCCUAUUUCCCUCGAAUCAAGCCUGGAGAGCCUCUGAAAAACUCUAACUGGUGUACACUGAUGUGUGUGGCCCCAUGAAGACUGAGUCAUUAAGUGGAAACAGGUAUUUCAUACUGUUUAUUGAUGAUUUCUCGAGAUAUUGCUGGCUUUACUUCUUCAAACACAAAUCAGAGGUGGCUCCUGUGUUUCGGAAGUUCAAGACUGCUGUUGAGACUGAAACAGGCUGCAAGUUGAAGACCAUAAGGCCUGAUAAUGGGACUGAGUACACCUCAGCUCAGUUCUAAGCCUUCUGUGAUAAGGCAGGCAUCAAACAUCAGCUUACCAACACUUAUACACCUCAGCAAAAUGGUGUAAGUGAAAGUAAGAAUAGGAGUUUGAUGGAUAUGGCCAGGUUCCUGAUGAUUCAGAAGAAUCUGCCUAAAGCUCUAUGGGCAGAAGCAGUUAACACUGCAACCAACCAAGGCUUUAGAUUAGAAGACUCCAUUUGAGGCCUGGUUUGGAUUCAAGCCAUCACUGGCUCAUCUGAAGGUCUUUGGAUGCCUCUGUUAUGCACAUGUACCUACUGUUAAAAGGGACAAAUUGUCUGAAAGGGCUCGACCUUGUGUUCUGGUGGGCUAUAGCACUGUCAAGAAGGGCUAUAAGAUCUUGGAUCCUUCAACAAACAAAGUGUCAGUCAGCUGGGAUGUGGCAUUUGAUGACAGGUCAUGUUGGAACUGGGAAAGAUAUGAACCUGAGGAAGUUUCAGAAGAACUUGCAACAGAUCAAGUAGAGCCAGACCAAAAUGUUCCUAAAAUGGACAUUGAUGAUGAACCAGUUAUGGGAACAAGACCAUUGACUGAAAUUUAUGAAAGGGCUCAUGUAGCCAUAGCUGAACCAAACAACUUUGAAGAGGCUGAAGCUCAGCAAGGGUGGAAGCAGGCAAUGGCUGAGGAGAUCAGCAUGAUUGAGAAGAACCAGAAUUGGGAAUUAGUUGAAAGGCCAGUCAAAAGGAAGGUUAUUGGGGUGAAAUGGGUGUACAAAGCCAAGCAGAAUGCUGAUGGAACCUUGAACAAACUGAAAGCAAUAUUAGUUGUCAAGGGAUUCAGUUAGAAAUAUGGCCCGGACUACUUAGAGACCUUUGCACUAGUGACCAGGCUCGACACCAUCAGACUACUGAUUGCCUUAGCAGCACAGCUCGAAUGGAAGAUCCAUCAACUUGAUGUGAAGUCAGCUUUUCUGAAUGGCUUCUUAUGAAGACAUCUAUGUUGAACAACCACAAGGGUUUGAGAUAGUUGGCAAAGAGCAUAUGGUCUACAAACUGAAGAAGGCCCUAUAUGGCUUGAAACAGGCCCCAAGGGCCUGGUAUAGCAGAAUCGAUGGCUACUUGAUUGGCUUGGGAUUUGAUCGAAGCAAGAGUGAGCCAACACUGUAUGUUAAGAAGGGAGGGGCACAAACACAGCUCAUUGUGUCCCUGUAUGUUGAUGACCUACUGGUGACAGGAGGAGAUCGAACAAUGCUGGUCGAUUUCAAGACCAAGAUGUAGGAAGUGUUUGAAAUGUCUGAUCUAGGUGAGAUGUCCUAUUUUCUUGGAAUGGAGGUAACACAAACACAGAAUGGGAUAUUCCUAAGUCAGAAAAGCUUUGCCAUAAAGAUUCUGACCAAGUUCUCCAUGCAAAACAGCAAGGCAACUAAAACACCUGUUGCUAUUGGAGAUAAACUAUCAAGCCAAGGUGAUUUUGAGAAGGUUUGUGAAACUACCUACAGGAGUCUAGUUGGUUGUUUGCUAUACUUAACUGCCACUAGGCCAGACAUAAUGUAUGAUAUAGGAUUGCUCUCAAGAUUCUUGCAUUGCUGCAAUGAGAAGCAUUUUCAAGCUGCAAAGAGAGUGCUCAGAUAUGUCAAAGGCACUUUAAGCUAUGGUUUGAUGUACAGCAAGGAAGGAAAUUUGAAGCUGGUUGGCUAUACUGAUAGUGACUGGGCUGGCUCGAUAGAUGAUAUGAAAAGCACCUCAGGGUAUGCUUUCAACCUUAGUUCAGCCAUGUUCGGCUGAAGCUCGAAGAAGCAAAGUCUGGUGGCUCAAUCUACUGCUGAAGUAAAGUAUGUGGCAGCAGCAAGUGCUGUCAACCAAGCCAUUUGGCUAAGGAAAAUCUUGGUUGAUUUGAAUGUGCAUCAAAGGGAAGCAACAGAGAUCUUCUAUGACAACUAAUCUGCUGUUGCAAUUGCUAAAAAUCCAGUGUUCCAUGGAAGAACAAAGCAUUUCAGCAUAAAGUUACAUGUUGUUCGAGAAAUGGAGCAAUUACAGGAAGUGAUGCUGAUUCACUGCAAUUCAGAAGAUCAAUUUGCAGACAUUUUGACUAAAGCCCUUAAUGUCACAAGGUUCGAGUGUUUAAGAAGGAAAUUAGGUGUUUGCACCAUGCUAACCAAGGAGGAGUGAUGAAGUUGGUCAGCAUGCAGCAAACACUCGACAGCAUGAAGACCAAACCAUGCAGGAGCUGCUGAUGCAAGCUGUUUCUGUUCAUUUUGUAAUCUUUAGUUCAUGAAAUGAGUCUUAGUUCAUUUCUAACUAAGUUAAGUAUGUAAUUAGCUUGUGUAUGAGCUGUAAACACAUCUUUGUAUAGGUUUACAAGCUAAAAUUUCAAGUUCCUAUGUAAUUAUUGGAGGUAGGUAAUGUUUAGGUGAUUACUUGCUAUUUUUGACAAGCUUAGUGCUUGAUUUAUAUAUUGACAUUAUGCCAUUGUUUACUUAAUGAAUGAAUCAGAAUUGUUCAUCAAUUCCCUCUCCAUUUUUCUUAGCUUUUCUUUCUUCUUCUUGCUCGAAUUUGUUUGUUUGAUCAGCAAGCAUCGAGGCUUGUUGCACAAGACACUUGCCGAGUUUGUUAGUUUCUGUUAUUGCACCAACAAAAUCGGUAGUUUUCGGCUAUGUUUGAAGAGGUGGAUUUACUUAUAUUUGGUUCCUUGUCCUUGCCUCACUCUAUUUUGCCUUUGCCAAUUUAAUGUAGGUCACUGUUGUGAAAAGUGAAGAUGGGGGUAACAAGGUUGCCACUGUGGUUCUGCGAGGAAGUACUGAUAGUAUAUUGGAUGAUCUUGAAAGAGCUGUUGAUGAUGGAGUCAAUACAUAUAAGGUUUUUUUUUGCUGAUCAUUUUCUUUGAAUGCCGUAUAAACCUGAUUAAAUUCUUUUAUUCUCACCUGCUGAAAUUGUCUUUUCCAUUUUUUUUGGAUGUAAAUUCCAAGGAAAGAAUCAGUAUCCCAUUCUUAAUGCCCAUUCAUUUUUGGUCAGGCAAUGUGCAGGGAUAGUCGUAUAGUACCUGGAGCUGCUGCUACAGAAAUCGAGUUGGCGAGAAGAUUGAAAGAGUUCUCCUUCAAGGAAACAGGGUGAUUUGUUUUUUCCGUGUGCUCUUCUUAAUGGAAAAUGCCAUCCUGCAUGUAUUGUUUCAUAUUUAGGCUACAAGUUUGUGCAUUACACUUGUAUGAAUGACAUGAACACAUUUGUGGCUUGAUGGAACUUUACCCAAGGUAGGCAGUACCACACUGGUCGGUACGACCGGAACCGAUGCAAAACCGACCAUCAUGAUUCUACCUGCUGAACAACUAGGUAUUGAGGCAUAGUGCUGGAGAGGUGAAUGAGUCAACUUCUGCAUUGUUGGCUGUCAAGUUAUUGAUAUCUUGCAUUGGUCAUGUUCAUUCUGAUAGCUGUGUUGAGAAUCUCCUACAGCUUUUUGGGAUUUAUAGUAGAUUAGAUAAGUACUAGAAGAAGCUAUUAGUAUUAACUACGGGAUAUUUUGCAGAUUGGAUCAGUAUGCCAUUGCUAUGUUUGCUGAAAGUUUUGAAUUGGUACCGAGAACCCUGGCAGAGAAUGCUGGACUCAAUCCAAUGGAUAUUAUUUCUAAGUUGUAUGAAAAGCAUGCAUCUGGGAAUGCUAAAGUGGGCAUCGACUUGAAGGGAGACGACCCUGAGGAUGGUGUUUGCAAGGAUGUCUCAACCGUGAAUGUUUGGGACCUUUAUGUCACUAAGUAAGUCGCUAUUUACAAUUAUUUCUGGCUCAGUUCUGUUCUCUUUUGCAUCGAAAAUUAACCUCAAAUUCUUUUAUAAUUUACAAUUGUUGACUUUUUUUGUCAGGUUUUUUGCUCUCAAAUAUGCUGCAGAUGCUGCCUGCACUGUGUUGCGUGUAGAUCAGGUAAUUUACUAGAGGCAGAAAGCUUGAAAAUGAAAAUCGCACUUAAAAUAGUUUGCUGAUGGGAUUAGAUUCUCAUGCAAAGCUGUAUUUGUUGCUUAGGAUCGCAUAUGUAUUUCAUUUUCCAAACAUUUUCUUCCACUAAGCUCAGUAAUGCCGUUGAUUCAAUGUUUGCAGAUUAUCAUGGCGAAACCAGCUGGAGGUCCAGCGAGGAGAGAUCAACCGGCAGGAAUGGAUGAGGACUAAAUCUUGCAUGGUAUGAUUGAUUUCCCAUCUCUUGUAUCUCACCACCCAUAUUCGGACUUUGUUUAGGCAUCUAUUUUAUUAUUAUUAUUUUUUCUUUUUAGAUGCUAAAAUGUGCUUGAAAGAAUUUUGCAUGUGAUUUUAGAAUGUUUACAGUGGGGAGUAGUGGUGAUCUAUGUUUUUAGUGUAUUACCCUAACCUAUAUUAGGGCCUGGGGUAGGGAGUUAGAAGAUCGUCUCAUUCAUAUCUUUCUCGAUUUUGCAUGGAUGUUGGUUAUAUCAUAGCCUAUUUUACACGAACCCAUUCAUUUUCUCUUAGUACCUAUAUUUAACACUUAUGUUUGAUAUAUAUCUAGAUAUGUAUAUAAAGGGAUUAUAUCAGUUUCCAUUGAAUAAGUUUGUUUGAACAGACUUUAUUAAAGGGAUUACAUCAAUUUGGGUCAGAUAAAUUGAUUUGAAUAGACUUUUAUGCAUUCCUAGUGAGGGAGGAUUUAGUGAUAACUUCAAUUAUUAUGUAUUAAAUGGACAAAUCUAAUUCAGAAUAAAACUUGAGAUUUAGUUAUUUCGUGCAAUUUCUCUUUAAGAACAUUUAUUUCAGAAUUUUGAUUGUAAGGUUAUAACAUUCUCGCUGUACUUUUCCCACCUUUUACUUUUACAAUUAAUUAAGAGUUUUUUUGGUUAAAUUUUUUCACAAGUCCCUGUACUUUUUAUAAAUUUAAAAUUUAGUCCCUACAUUGUUAGCCACUAAAUUAUAAUAAAUUUUCAUUUUGGUCACUUAACUAAAGAAAGUUACAAUUUGGUCACUAAACUUUUCGAAAUUAUUUUUUUAUCACCCAAUUAUUACGUAGCACUUUUUUUUAUUGGUAUAAUAACAAUUUUAGUCAUCAAUUUUUAAACUUUUCUAUCAAUUUAAAGUCUGUGUUUUGACUAUUGGUAUUGCAAUCUAUUGUCACAUGGCAAAAUUUUGUAUUAAUAUUCCAACAAAAUUGAAGUUUGUAAACCUCAUGAUUUUUAACUUAUCAUACGUGAGCAUGUAAUGUUUUAGUUUUGAAGAUAAUGUACCAAUCAUCUAACUACUUUCCCAUGAUCCAUACUCAAAUUUCUCCAAUAUCUGAAAAAUGUAUGCAAUUUUUUUGCACAUAUAAACUUGAGCAUACAUUAGAUUCUCUGAAGCAUAGUGAUUUUUCUUUCAUUUUCUUAAAUCUUAAAAUCAAUGUUGAGACAUUAAUCAAGACUAAACUUGUCUCCUUUAAUGAUAUAAGUAUCACCUAAUCCACAAUCCUACAUGAGGGAGAAAAACAGAUCAAAUUUCAAGGGAACGACGAAGAUUUUUGUCAGCAAUUUCUCUAUACAUUUCCAUUUUUUCUUCCAAAUGAAAGCGCGUAGGUGUGGAAAUUUGGGGAUGAUAGAUGAGUGAUAGAUGUUGUCUCCAGGAAGAAUCCAAGAAAGAGUCCACAAAAUUGAGCCUACAAUAAUUAUAAGUGUUGGACCGUUUGUGUUUUACAUUAUCAUAUUUACUUCAUAAUUAUAAAGUAUUAACUAAUUGUGUCUUACAUGCUUAACUAGUUUCGUAUGUAACAUACAUCUAAUUAUUUUUAUUUCAUUAAUUAUAUAUUUAUUUUAUUAAUUAUUGUAUUUAAUUAUUAUUUAAAGAUAUAUGAUUAUUUAUUUAAAAACGUUUAUUAUUUUAUGUAAUGUAAAAUAAUUAAAAUAUUUUAUUAGACUUAACACAUAAUUUAGUACUUGAGUUUGACACUUUUUUUUAAUGCGAUACUUAUAUUAUUUUUUGGUCCAAUUAAGUAUUUGUAUUUGACAAAAGUUAUAUAUUUUGACACCCAAAACUAAUGAUGUUAAGUGUUUAAUUCGAGUUUUAGGGCUGGUUUGAUGAAAAUUAAUUGCUAAUUAUGUAUUUUCAUCAAACCAACUCUAAAACCUGAAUUAAAUCACAUCCAUUGGACUGUAUUUGAUAAAUUAUAUAUUAUAGUUUUCCUUUAUGUAGCUAAUGCAAUGUAAUAUUACUCAAAAUAAUAUUUAACAUAAUUGUCAGCAGCCUCUUGGCCUAUUUACAAAAGCUUGAUUUUGUAGGCACGAGAGUUUGGAUUCAAUUCUAAGCAACCCUAUUUUCCUUCUUCAAAUAUAUAUAAAAAAACUGAGCACGAUAAACUCUAAUAACAAUUAAGUGAUAAUUAUAAUGAUAAUUUUAAAUUUAGUAAUAGAAAAAAAUAAAUAUCUUUUUCAAACUCGUUGAUAUAUAUAUUACAAAUUAAGUAUUAAAAUUGUGUUUUACGUGUCAUAGCAUUUCACCACCAUUUGAUCUUAUCUUUUAUCUUCCGUGUACCUUUCUUCGUGUUUGGUGAAGGCUUCUUCAACUUUUUCUUUGUUUUCUUAAAUCGGAUGGAUCCACAUCGGGGGCCAUAGAUGAGCCUUAGAUGUUCUUUCCGAGAAGACUCCAAGAAGGCGAGAGCUGUUGUUAACAUUUAUAGAGUUUUUCUUGGUUAAAAUGUGCCAGAAGUCCCUGCAUUUUUUAUAAAAUUAAAAUUUAAUUCCUAUACCAUUAAUCACUAAAUUAUGGAUAAAUUUUUGCAUGUAUCUUCACCUUUAAAACUCAAAAAAACAUAAUAUUUCUUUCUAGACAUAGAUGAGGAAUUCGAAAGUGACGAUGACAUGACGAUUUAUGAGAAGAAAAAAAUAUAUGGAUAUAGUGUUCAAAAUCAGAAAAUAGAUGGCUCAAUACCUCAGAAACAAUGUAGAAACAAUAAGUAUAUGAACAUUAGGAAGGAGAAAAACAGAUGAAAUUUACAGGAAACAACAAAGGACUUGUCUAGGAAAUUUGUGUAUACGUUUCCCACCUUUUACUUAUAAUACCUAUGAAAUUUGAGUAUUGCAAUCUAUUGUCACAUGGCAAAAUUUUGUAUUAAUAUUCCAACAAAAUUGAAGUUUGUAAACCUCAUGAUUUUUAACUUAUCAUACGUGAGCAUGUAAUGUUUUAGUUUUGAAGAUAAUGUACCAAUCAUCUAACUACUUUCCCAUGAUCCAUACUCAAAUUUCUCCAAUAUCUGAAAAAUGUAUGCAAUUUUUUUGCACAUAUAAACCUGAGCAUACAUUAGAUUCUCUGAAGCAUAGUGAUUUUUCUUUCAUUUUUCUUAAAUCUUAAAAUCAAUGUUGAGACAUUAAUCAAGACUAAACUUGUCUCCUUUAAUGAUAUAAGUAUCACCUAAUCCACAAUCCUACAUGAGGGAGAAAAACAGAUCAAAUUUCAAGGGAACGACGAAGAUUUUUGUCAGCAAUUUCUCUAUACAUUUCCAUUUUUUCUUCCAAAUGAAAGCGCGUAGGUGUGGAAAUUGGGGGAUGAUAGAUGAGUGAUAGAUGUUGUCUCCAGGAAGAAUCCAAGAAAGAGUCCACAAAAUUGAGCCUACAAUAAUUAUAAGUGUUGGACCGUUUGUGUUUUACAUUAUCAUAUUUACUUCAUAAUUAUAAAGUAUUAACUAAUUGUGUUUUACAUGCUUAACUAGUUUCGUAUGUAACAUACAUCUAAUUAUUUUUAUUUCAUUAAUUAUAUAUUUAUUUUAUUAAUUAUUGUAUUUAAUUAUUAUUUAAAGAUAUAUGAUUAUUUAUUUAAAAACGUUUAUUAUUUUAUGUAAUGUAAAAUAAUUAAAAUAUUUUAUUAGACUUAACACAUAAUUUAGUACUUGAGUUUGACACUUUUUUCUAAUGUGAUACUUAAAGCACGUUUGGUUCGCUGUAAUGGAAUAGAGGCGUAAUAGCAAUUCAAUUGUUUGGUUGAAUGUAAUGGAAUAGAGGCGUAAUAGUAUUCUUGUGUUUGGUUGAAUGGAAUGGAGGUGUAAUAGCAUAAGGGAAAAAACCGAAAUGACUAGAAUACCCUUAGCAGAAAUUUGUUUAAGUAAAUGAUUAUUGUUAUUGUUAUUAAAUUUUAAUAAGAUUAUUAAUAUCAAUAAUAAAUAAUUUAAUCAUAUUUUAACAUAAUUAUUAUUAAAUAUAUUUUAAUUAAAAUAUAUAAUUUAAUAAAAUUCUUAAUAAUCAAUAUUCUUAUAUGAAUUUACUAAAAUCAUAAUAUAUGAUACUAUAAAAUAUAAUUUGAAAUAAUUAUUAUUAAAUAUAUUUUAAUUAAAAUAUAUGAUUUAAUAAAAUUCUUAAUAAUCAAUAUUCUUAUAUGAAUUUACUAAAAUUAUAAUAUAUGAUACUAUAAAAUAUAAUUUGAAAUAAUUAUUAUUAAAUAUAUUUUAAUUAAAAUAUAUGAUUUAAUAAAAUUUAAAAUAAUUAUUACUAAUAAAUUUUCUUAUAUGAAUUUGUAUAAUUUAAAAUAAUUAUUAUUAAAUAUAAUUUAACAAUAUAUAAUUUCAUAAAAUUAUUGAUAAUAAAUUUUCUUAUAUAAAUUUGUAUAAUUUAAAAUAAUUAAUAUUAAAUAUAAUUUAAUGAUGAUAUAUAAUUUCAUAAAAUCCUUAAUAAUAAAUAUUCUUAUAUGAAUUUACUAAACCAUAAUAUAACUUGAGAAUUAUAUUCUGCAUAAACAUAAUUAACUUAUAUUAACAAAAGGUUAGAUGAAAAUGAAAUUCUACAUCAUAAUCCAUAUGUUACAUAGUUUUACAACAUCAAAAAGUUUGAACAUUGAUUUUUAAUGGUCAGAAAGAAAUCUUCUGACCCAUUCCAACCGUGCAUCAGAAGGUAAACUAAAAAAAUGAGCAUUUGAGUUGAAUGAUUUGAAAUUUUACUCAAAGCUUGAUGCUGCUCAUCCACGGUUAAACUUUCAAUUUCCCAUAAGGUUGAAUAUAAAUUUGUAGCUUUCUGUUGGAUGAUCUGGAAUUCUUCUGACUUCUGUUGAACUACCACAUCGGAGGCAAUACCCCUACUAAUUUGUUCGCCAAUGGCCCGCAUGUUUUCGGCCAAUAAAGUGGCAGCAUCAUUAAAUGAAGAAGAAAUAUUAUCACGAGCAUCAAAAUAAUUUACACUUGUAAGCAUUCAACUAGUAUUAAGAUCAAUCACAAAUGAUUUAGACGGGCAUGAAAUCUCAAAUUUUGCAAGGCCUGAAGCCACAAUUGUUAUGCCCACAACGCUAAGUCAACAAGUUAUUGGUAUGUUACAAAAAAAAAUCAUUAAUUAACCGUGAAGAAAUCUAAACAAAUAAAGGAUUAUCAUUUUCCUAAGAUAGUGAAAACAACUUAUUGCUUUAGCAUUGCUAGCUUUGCUCUGGUUGCGAUAAAGAUUUUGAAAAUUUUAUUGGUAUGUUACAAUAAUUCUUUAUAUACAUAUUUAUAAUUUAUCUUUAUUUUUAAUAAAAUAUAUAUUACAUUUUAAAAUCAUUAAUUAAGUUAAAAAACUUACUUUAAAAUUUACAUUUUAUUUUCUAAUGCAAGUAUAAAAAGUAAAAAUGAUUGAAGACAAGAAAACGUUUAAAAAAAAGGUGAACCAACUAGGCAAACUAAUACACAUCAACACAAGCCCCUAUUAAUAGGAACUGGAGAAACAAAUCCAUAUUUUGUUUGAAAUGAAUUUAAAAUCAAAAUUGUAAGUGCCGACGUGUAAAACUGGUACCAAAAUGAUACAGACCACCACCAUAGUUUACCUGCCUACAUUAUCUAUGUCCUCUAAUUGGGGAGAAAGCAAAUAACAGAGGCAAGAAGAAAGAAAAUAUGUGUGAGUCUGUGCAAUGAACACAAAAAAAGAGGAAAAUUAAACAACAUCAAAGACACAACAAAUAAGAGCUACAGACCAAGAAAAAAAUAAGUCAACAAGUUCAAUUGUCAAUAUGAGUCUAUCAAAUGUUUCAUUUUCUCACUUUGGUCUCAAAAAAUUCAUAACCAUGUACAGGUACAAAUCUAUACAGUCUCAGUAUGAAUUGAUACCAUCCUACUAUACAGAAAAAGAAUAAACUAACAUAAAUCCCACUCCACUACUUGCAUCAACCUAAAUAAUAUCGGAUGCACAAAGAAAAUUAUGUUUAAGAUCAUCAUCAAUCCUAAAUCAAAAAUUUUCUUUUAUAACCAGAAGUCCACAAAACAGAAAGUGAACCAAUAAGCAAAAUCAUGUCCAGCUGAUAUAAAAGUUUCGCCAUCACUAGGUAAAAUAAGAGACAGAAAGAGACCCAGUAAAUCUUGGAAUGAAGGUAAUGAUAAAAACUAAUAUAAUCCCAUAAAAUAUAAAACUGCAAACAAGCCUGAAUGAAAGAAGCUUAAAUAUUAUGGAUUUCAAAACAAAAAAUUACAUGAAUAACAAUUGCAUAGAAACAUGGUGUGCAGGCAAUCCAACAUCAAGAUAAGGACUAGAUAAUUCGGUGAUAAAAUAUGAUGCAAAUAUUUGGUAUGAGCUAAAAACUAACAUACUUCAAGGGUUGAAUGGCAUAAAGCAUAUUCAGUUGAGGAUAGAUUAUCAUAGUUUUUAUGCAAAAUGAGAAUGCAAUAGAUCAGAGGCUUCAAAAGACAAAUAAUUCCUAAAGAAAACUCCACUCAUAGUAUUUUAACCUUUUACAGUUUAGAAGUUCCCUGCAGUUGUCAAGAUUAUUAAUCAGCAGUUCAUUUUUAAUGCAUGGACAGUAUCCUCAGAGACCAUUUCACAAGUAAAACUCCUUGCUUGGCCACGACAAAACAGAAAGUUCAGCCACAAAACUUCUUGCUUAGAAAUUAAAAUCCACCAUGUAAUUACGACAUUAUAAACUCAAUCAUACUUUAUCAUUAUUUAAUGGCUUGACCACACAUGAAGUUUGAAUGGCGAAAUAAAGGGAAAAAAAAAACUAAAAGCCUAAUCCACGCAGUUUUAACUUUCUACUCCAAACUAGAGUUAUUUCAACAAACAACUGAAGGAUACAAGAUAGAAUGAUAAUGCAGGAGAAUUGAAAAUUUAUCCCAAAAACACCCUAAUUUCAACAGACAAAACCCACCAUAGUUGAAGAACACAAAUCUGUUUUUUGUUGACAAAACAAUCAUGAGGAAGAAAAUAAAAAUCCGAAUUAAGUAAAAAAAGAGAAGAAAUACUUGCCGCUUCUGUUGAUGUUGGCGAAAGAUGCCAAGAUGCCAAGAUGAAAGUCGGCGAAAGAUCUGAGCGGGUGGAGGUUUGGUUUGCUGGCAACUGCUGUUGAUGUUGGGAGGGAGAGGGUGGGGUGGAGAUCAAUUUCGGCUGGGGAGGGUAAAACAGAGACUGAUUAGCUAAUCCUUGCUUUUGGAAGGGAUUAGAAAUCGUCGUUGAAGCAGAGAAAAUGAGGAAUACGUCCGUAACCUAAUAGGCCCGUAUUAGGGCAAUACAUUGAACCAAACACGGGAUUAAGUGGACCCACGGAAUAGGGGUGUAAUGGCUAAUCCAUUACACCCAACUAAACAUGGUGUUAUGUUAUUUUUUGAUCCAAUCAAGUAUUUGUAUUUGACAAAAGUUAUAUAUUUUGACACCCAAAACUAAUGAUGUUAAGUAUUUAAUUUGAGUUUUAGGGUUGGUUUGAUGAAAAUUAAUUGCUAAUUAUGUAUUUUCAUCAAAUCAACUCUAAAACCCGAAUUAAAUCACAUCCAUUGGACUGUAUUUGACAAAUUAAAUGCAAAAUUAAACAAAUCUAUAAUUGACACUAAAUUUAUUCUAUUAAAAAAUCAUGAAAAAUUCAAAGUUAAUAAUAUUAGCAAUUAACUUUCAUCAAAUCAAUUCCCAAGCUUGAACUAAACACUAAAAAGUUAAUCUCAUUACUUUUGAAUACCAAAAUAUAUAACUUUUGUCAAAUAUAUGUAACAAAUUGAACCAAAAAUAAAAAUAAAAAAUAAGAGUACCGCAUUAGAAAAAAGUGUCAAACUCAAGUACCAAAUUAUGCAUUAAAUUAUUUUAUUACAAGAUAUUGUUUAAUUAUAAAUUUCAAUAUUUAAAUUUAAAAAAAAGUGUAAUUCAAAAACAAAUGUAAAGUGAAAUUCAAUAUUUAUCUAAUUUUAUCUACUCAAAAUAUUUAUUCAGGCCCUAUUUGAUAAAUGGUUGAAAAAAAAUCAAGUAAAAAAUGAAUAUUUUCAACAGUUUUAUUUAUUUUAAUAUGUUUGAUAGCCGCUGAUAUAAACCACUUCAUAGAAUUUUUUUUCUUCAUUUUUUUUGUGAAUUACAAUAAUAUGGCAAAAUCCAAACAAGUACAACUAACAUGAUUCGAAUCCAAGCUAUUGUUUUAUUGUUUUAUUCAACAAAAUUUUCUAUGACACAUGAACCUUCAUUUUUUUAUAUUCUCGGUAUAAUAUUUAUUUUUCAUAAUGUUUAUAAUAUUUUAUAUGUAAUACUAUAAUUUACUACAAAUAUUUCAUAUUUAUAAUAACAUUAUUUAAUAUAUGAUUUUGCUUAAAAUAAUGUGCAAUGUUUAAAAAUUAUAAAAUAAAAUUGUUUAUAAUUUAAUAUUUAUAUUUAUCAAACAAUUUAAUUAUAUUUCAAGUAUAACACCCACCAUUGAAACAUCACUUCCCAAGCUUUCCAAGAAAGAAAAAUAUGAUCACAGUUCUCUUCAACUUAAUUGCACCAACAACAUUUGAUAGAACCUUAACUGUUAGAAUACCUCGAUCCCUUAAAAAAACAUUUUGAAGGUAUACCUUUCUGGAAUAACAGCAGAAAUAUGGUUUCGUCAAUAUGGGAUCUUUGUUAGCAGGAACUGAAGCCAUUUAAGUAGUGUUAAGGACCUAUAUAAACUACAAAAUGUAGCUAUUUAAAUACCAUUUAAGCAACACAAAAACAGAGUACAGGUUCCCAUGGCGUUUGAUGACAAAGAUAAAAGAUGAUUUUAUUUCGCCCAAUUACCUGCUUCUUCAUGGAGCAAUCCAACUUUCUCCACACUUUUGUCUCAAAGUUGGAUUAUAUUUUUUCAACCUAUAUUGAAAAUAUAGAUGUAAGUUUAUUACAUAUAACAAAAUAUUUAAUAUUUUGAGAGAUAGAGGUAUCCUAAUUGUAGAGCCACCUCUCUGUUGGCUAAACCAUUCUGGGAUUUCACUUCCAGGUAUAAUAACAUCAGUCUCUUGGUAAAUAGAACCAUAAAUUCCCAUGUAUGGGAGGGAAAGAAAGAGAGAUUAGUUAACCUUAUGAUGUUUUAUCAAAAAUGUUAGUGCACUGAUGUUCUCAGCCAAUCUGUAGCAGUUAAUGGCUUUAAUGGAAGCUAAAUCCAAUAAAUUGCAUUGUUACAAGCAGCAGCUCGAACACAUGAAGCAGCUAAAUCUAAAUAUGGGUAUUGAGACAUGAUCCUUCAAGAACUCUUUAAUACAUGAAAAAAAAACCUUUUGAAAAAACAAUCAACAUACACAUUUCAAAUACGUACUCAUAUCUAACAUGCACAUCUGACUUUAAAUUACUUAAGCCUAAAAAUACUAGAAUUAAUAUUUAGUGCUCUGGCAUUUUAUAAAAUUUAUGCAUUGUUAGCGAACCAAAUGAAAACACAUAAUGAAGGAUGAAAUCACUUGAAUUUAUUUUUUUAAAAAUUGAUUUACAUGUUAUAAUUUAGUUCGUAAAGUAUGAACAUUUGUCGACAAAAGUUUUCCUGACACUUUUAACUCCUAUUAUAGGUAAGAUACUUUUCAACAAAGUCAUGUUUAUAUUUUGUUAGAAUUUAGUGACUCGAAUCCUUAUUAAAAUGAAAUACUAUGGUAAAAUAAAAUAAAAGUAAAAUUCAUAUAGAACUACACUUUUUUUUUAUUUUAAAAUAAGGUUUUUCAACCUUAUUACACUUCAUCUAUUUGAUAUUGAUUAGAAUUAGGCGUUUCAACCUUAUUACGUUUUCCGGGUUCAUCAACACAUUUUUCUUCAACAAUUUUUCUUCCCAUUUCUUGCAACAAGGCAUGCAUCCUCAAAUAUUGGUUGUCAUCACUGACUUUUAUGAGGGAUUUCUUAAUGAGAAUAUCGUCUUCAAUAUCUGGAAAAAACCCACAACCAUCCAAUACUUUCAUUACCAAAUCUUUCUCCUUCCCAUUGAAAAAGCAUGCUAUAUCUAGAAAUAUAUUCUUCUCCCUUUCUUCGAAUCCAUACUUUCAUUAACCUCUGAUUCUUUUAUAAUUUACAAUUGUUGACUUUUUUUGUCAGGUUUUUUGCUCUCAAAUAUGCUGCAGAUGCUGCCUGCACUGUGUUGCGUGUAGAUCAGGUAAUUUACUAGAGGCAGAAAGCUUGAAAAUGAAAGUCGCACUUAAAAUAGUUUGCUGAUGGGAUUAGAUUCUCAUGCAAAGCUGUAUUUGUUGCUUAGGAUCGCAUAUGUAUUUCAUUUUCCAAACAUUUUCUUCCACUAAGCUCAGUAAUGCCGUUGAUUCAAUGUUUGCAGAUUAUCAUGGCGAAACCAGCUGGAGGUCCAGCGAGGAGAGAUCAACCGGCAGGAAUGGAUGAGGACUAAAUCUUGCAUGGUAUGAUUGAUUUCCCAUCUCUUGUAUCUCACCGCUCAUAUUCGGACUUGGUUUAGGCAUCAUUUUAUUAUUAUUAUUUUUUCUUUUUGGAUGCUAAAACGAGCUUGAAAGAAUUUUGCAUGUGAUUUUAGAGUGUUUACAGUGGGGAGUAGUGGUGAUCUAUGUUUUUAGUGUAUUACCCUAACCUACACUAGGGCCUGGGAUAGGAAGUUAGAAGAUUGUUUCAUUCAUAUCUUUCUCGAUUUUGCAUGGAUGUUGGUCAUAUCAUAGCCUAUAUUACACGAACCCAUUCAUUUUCUCUAAGUACCUAUAUUUAACAGUUAUGUUUGAUACAUAUCUAGAUAUGUAUAUAAAGGGAUUACAUCAGUUUCAACUGAAUAAGUUUAUUUGAACAGACUUUAUAAAAGGGAUUACAUCAGUUUCGGUCAGAUAAAUUGAUUUGAAUAGACUUUUAUGCAUUCCUAGUGAGGGAGGAUUUAGUGAUAACUUCAAUUAUUAUGUAUUAAAUGGAUAAAUCUAAUUCAGAAUAAAACUUGAGAUUUAGUUAUUUCGUGCAAUUUGUCUUUAAGAGCAUUUAUUUCAGAAUUUUGAUUGUAAGGUUAUAACAUUCUCGCUGUCAAAUAGAGGUGAACAUUUGAUAAUUUCAUUCUAAUCAUAAUCGUGCACCAAUUAUAAAGUCAGAGGAAAAUUGAGCACCAACCAAAUGGAAUUUGCUUCAAUCUAUCCUUUAUUUAAGUUGGAGGAAAAGAUGGUACAGAUGAGAUGAUACUUGAAAAGUUUAAUGUUGAAUUAAAAUGAAUUCAUUAUUCAUGUCACGUUAAUAUCAUUAAAUUAUCGAUUUAAUCAACAUUUGCGACAAAAAAAUCCAUAAUUUGACUCAAAAUAAAAUGUUGAGGUUUAAAUUGUUGAAAAGAAAAAAAAUGAGGGUCAAAUUGUUAAAAUUUAUAAACUCUAAGAACUUACAAAUUGAAUUUACAUUACAAUUAGAUUACUAUUUGAAUUUACAUUUUGAAAGCAACAAAUUGAAAAAAUUUCAUUUAAAAUAAUAGAACUUACAUUACUUUAUAUGUAAAAAAAAAAAAACUAAUUAUAUAUUAACAUAAUCUAUAUCAAAUUUUAAUUCUCAAAAUUCAUCCGAGCAUAUAAUCUCCCUAAAAUUUACUUUAUUAGACUUAUUUAAUUUUUAAAAUUUUAAACUAGUAAAUAUAAAAUUACACUUUAAUUUUCUUAAAAUUGAUAAAAAUUUGAUUAAAUUAUUUAAAAUUUAUAAAGAUUUAGACUAUUAAAAUAGUUUUAAUAUCGUAAAAAUUAUUAUUUAAUUUUAACUUCCCUAAAAAUUCUCAAAAUUCAUCUGAGCAUAUAAUUGCGUAAGUGUCUGCUUCCAUUUCAACUUGAUAACCUUUGUUGGUCCUUCGCUUGCACGAUCCUUUGAGCAGACUUUCAUGUUUUUACCGGUCUAAGGGAUAAACAUAAAACACCAAGAUUAUUUUUGUUGCAUUGAGAUGAUCUAUAUCACUGGUAUAUUAAUUUACUUCAAAUCAAGAAAUUUUUCUUAAUAUCAUAGAAAACACAAUCCUUGAAAAUCUUGCUCAUGUUAAACAAGAACAAAAAAUGAAUCUAUUGAAUUUUAAAAAAUAUAUUGGAUAUGAAUAUGUUUCUCACAUAGAAAAAUUUUUCCAAUUAAUUUAAAAGAGUAUACUUUAUACUUAUAUUUGAAUAUGUGUUAAAAAUAAAUGUCUAAACAUAGAUACUUUAUAAUAAAUAUAAAGUAAAUAGUUGAAAUAAUAUUAUUUGUACUUCAAGCCAUGAAAUUUAAAUGCUACUUUUAUUAAAAGGAAUUAAAUCUAUUUAAGUACUAGUAAGGAGUUAAAUUUAAUCUUUCAAAUAUAUAAAAACAAUUUUGAUAUAUUAAAUUGAACACAUAAAUAGAUCUCAAAUAAAAAUGAUGAUUUUUAACUCAAGUGAAAUUAGAACCUAAUCCUCAUUCGAGGAUUUUCACAUUUUUAUUACGUGCUUUGUUAUGGAAGAUAUUAUUUUUUCUAUUUUUGUCACAAAUUGAUUAUGUUUACUUCAGCUUACCAAUAAAAUAUAGAUGUAAGUGAAUAUAUAUAUAUACUGAAAAUAAAAAUUUAAUAAAAAAAAUGAAACUAAUAUGAAUGUAGACAUUUCAUGAAUUACGAAUGAAUUAAGUGACAAAAUUUUAAUGGUAUAAAAACCUAUGUUAUCAAUAUUUGCAAUAUGCAUAGAAUAUGCACUCAUGUUCAAUAUGAGUAUGAAUAAAGAUUUUAAUACUUUUUGAUAUAUAAUAGAAAGAGCAUAUCUCGUUAGUAAAUAAAUUUAGAAUGAUUACUUUGAAUGAAAUAAAAGCUACAAAUUUGUAAAAAAAAUAAAAAUCAAUAGGAGGUUGGUUAAUGUUGGUGUUAGAACAGAAACUGACAAGCUCAGCUUGUAUCUUGUGCAACAAGCCUCGAUGCUUGCUGAGCAGGCAAUCGGAUUCGAGCAAAGAAAAAAAGAAAACUGAAGAAAAAUGGAGAGUAUUUUUUUUGAUGAACAAAAUCUGAUUCAUUCAUAAUUUUUAAUAGUGGCAUAAUGCCAAUACAUAAAUCAAGCACUAAGCUUGUUCAAAACAGCAAGUAAUCACCUAAACAUUACCUACCUCCACUAAUUACAUAGAAACUUGAAAUCUAAACUUGAAAGCUUGUACAAAGCUGUGUUUACAGCUCACACAUAAGCUAAUUACAUCAAUCAUAUACCUAACAUAGUUCUAAAUGAACUAAAUUACAUUUCAUUAACUAAUAGUUACAAAAUGAACAAGAACAAACAAACUGAGCUUGCUGCUGUAGCUCCUUCCUUGCUCGAUCUUCAUGGUCUGCAUGUUGGCUAAUUUCAUCAUGCAGCAUGCUAGCCAACUUCAUCAGUUAAGUAGUUUACCACAGUUAAUGCUUCUUCCCCUAUUAGCGCACCAUAAAAUUGAAAAAUUUCUGCACCCGUUUUGGUUGCGGCCCUUCUUUCUUCGCUUCAUCGUAGAUAUUAGCUUUUCGUUUUAUGUGAGAAGUGCUAUCUGUUGAUCCAUCGUUGUGAGCAGGGUGUUGAUGGAUGUGUUCAAAAUUUGGAGAAGAUUGAGUGGUAUGGCACUGCAACUCUUUUAUUUCUUCCAAAUCUUUCUCAUACACUAUUCUAACACCACACUUCUUCACCUUAGGUCUGUAUUCAAAUAGAUGUGUGAAACACACCUCAAGCUCAUCCCAUUUCUGAUCUAAGCAAUCUGUUGCCCAUAAAUUAUUGGUUUCACAAUGACCAUUUUUAUCCUCCAUGGAAAUUGGAUAUAGUUUAUCACGCGACCAAUAACGAAGAAAAAGGUGAUCUUUCAUUAUGGGCUCGUUAUAUCUUUUACCCACCAACCAGCCGCUCCCAUCAAUCUGUCUACGAUUUCUACCUCGAAAAAUAGAUCCAUCACAGCUGGCUUGUUCAGAAUUUCUGCAACAGAUAAAUGUACUACAAUUGAUAACCUCGUCAUCCCUUGAAGCAUCAUUAUUGAUAAAAAUGCAGCAAGAAGCAACUCCAAUCCAUUGACUAUCUUUCCGAAGGGGUAUCUUAAUUGAAGAGUCAUUUUUUUGUUGGCUAAACCAUUCCGGGAUUUCACUUCCGGGCAUAACAAUAGUAAACAUUUUUAUUGAAUUUGCAGAUGCCUGCAAAAUAAAACACAAGUCGUUUGGUAACUAAAACCAUAAAUUCUCAAGUAUGAGAUUUUGUAAGGGAGAAUAAAGAGAUUGAUCGACCUUAAGAUAUUUUUUCAGCAGUGUUAAUGCAUUGAUAUUUUCAGCCAAUUUGAAGCAGUUAAUGGCUUUAAUGAAACCCGAAUACACUAAAUUGCAUACUUUUGAUGGACUUGCAACUACUUCAAGUGAAGAGCAAUCAUCUAUACUCACAUCUGCUAUACUUGUUAGAAGCUCUGGCAACGAUUUAAGCAUCUUGCAAUUUGAUAAUCCCAGUAAAUAAAGCCUGCUAAGUUGAGUAAGAGCCAAAGGAAUGGUGAUGAAAUUGUUACCCCUAAGAUAAAGAUGACUCAAAGAGGAUAGACAAUGAAUAUCUGCUUCACCAAGUGUGCACAUGUUGCAAUUUGACAAGUCAAGAAACUUAAGCUUCGAGAGCCGAGUAAGACAUGCAGGUAUGCUGAUGAAAUUGUUACCACUAAGAUCAAGAUCUCUCAAAGAGGAUAGACCAGAAAUAUCACGUGGAAUAUCUCCUUUACAAAGAUUGCAGUCCCUUAGAUUUAGCUUUCUUAAUGAACUCAAACCUGACAACAAAGGCAACAUCGGAGCUAUGGGAUUCGUCCUUCUUCCUUGGAUUACCUUGAAAAGAAAAGGCAAAUUUGGUCGUGACUUAUAUGAUGGUCCCUUGCAUCCACUGAAAGACAAAACUUUAAGAUUUUUCAAUUGAGAAAUGAAGGAUGAUGGUUCUUUUAUGGCUGUUUCACUCAAGUCAAGCUCUUCCAAAGAUUCUGCUUGCUGCAAAUUCUCUGGUAAAUAUUCAACUUUGAAACAACCAGAAAGAUGAAGAGUUUUUAGAUGUUCCAUUUUCCCAUCAAUAUCUGGUAACCUUGCAAGAUUUGAGCAACCUGAAAGAAUUAAUGUUUCAAGAGAUUCCAUUCCAAUUUUGGUUGGAAGACUCCUAAGACUUUUGCAGUCUCUUAAAUUUAAAAGUUUAAGGCUCUUAAGCACUCCGAUUGAUGGAUGGACAUCUACUAAUCUGGUACAACCUUCCAUAAUCAAAGCUUCAAGUUUUGGUGCUGUUGUGAAGUCAGGUGUCUUGAUCAGGUUUUGGGACCCUUUGAGGUUGAUCAUUUUCAACUUAAACAAGGGCUGUUGAAGACAAUAAUAAAUUAGGCCGAAGACAUAAUAAUGCUAAUUUUUUGUUUUUUUUUUUACCUUAAUCAAAGUUUAAUCAUUUAUAUUAAAAUAAGCUAAAACACAAGGAUAAGAUGAGUUAGUUCUUACUCUAUUCCCCUUCCAUAGUUGUUCAAUAUGACUAUAUGGUAAAAGAAGUGCAGCAAGAUUAUCUGGGUGGAAAUUUGAAGGCAAAAAUUUUAAAGGACAUUCUAUCUAAUUUAAAAGCCGUAGUUCAUUAGAAAGAUAUUUGAGAUGAUCAUCACAAUUUGAUACGCAAAACACUUUGAGCAAUCUCAAAUUUUUCAUCUUCGAGAAGGUAUCGGCGCUCAAAUUGAACAUCUUGCUCGAUUCCCUAAUAAUCAUGAGUAAAAUAAAAAUGAGCUUCAAAAUAUACAAAAACAUUCUAUAUCUAAAAGCUAUGUUGCAUUGAUAUUUUUUUAUGUACCCACAUUCAAUACUUAUAUAUGUAAUGCAUAUAUAAAUACGGUAUUGCGAUAUAAUUGAAUAUAUUAGACAAUACUUAAUCUAACACUUAUUUCACACUUUUAAUUACCUAAGCCUAAAAAACCUAGAACUAAUAUUUUUAUUUAUGUUUAGUUCAUUGAUGUGUAAUUCUAUACAUUACUAGCGAAAUGAUGGCAUUAUUUGGAUUUACUUUUGAAAACUUUUAAUGAUAUGUUAUGGUCUAGUUCAUUGAUAUAUACUAUCACUACAUCAUAUAUAAACCAUUAAUAUUAACAAAGACAAUGACAUUAAUUUUUUUAUAAUUUCUUUUGAAAGAGUACUGUGUUUUUUUUUAUAAAUUUCUUAAAUAUAAGAUUGAAAAAUUAAGCAUUAAAAAAGUGUUUGGUUAGGUGAAAAAGUGAAGGGAUAUGAGAAUAAAGUAUGCUUGGUAGAAAAAAAAUGAGAGAAAAAAGAAAGAAAGAGAUGAUCAUUUACGUGUAUGUUUUCCUACCAUUUAUUGCCGAUGAUCAUGCCUUCAACCAUUUCGGUAGCCUAGAAGUAAUCAAGAAUAGACAAUAAGAAGAUAAAAUAAAUGCUCUAAAUUGUAUGAUAAAACUUUUGAAACUUUACACACAUGUUCAACAUUAUCACAAUAUUUUGGUUGGAAUAUAGUAAAUAAAAUAUUUUUUAAUGAAAGUAAUUCAAUAAAAUUAAAGCUACUCAAUGUCACUUAAGGAUCAAUAUAUAAACCAAUUAGACUAAGCUUUGGAGUUACAUCAUAUAUUGAUAAAAGAAAUUUUUGUAUGUAAUUUUUGUUGAAUGAUUUACCGUAUUUUUUGUUAGGACAUGAUGGACAUCCCUUUUCUUCCAUAAUCUACAACGUUUUCCGAGUUCAUCAACACAUUUUUCUUCAACAAUUUUUCUUCCCAUUUCUUGCAACAAGGCAUGCAUCCGCAAAUAUUGGUUGUCAUUACUGACUUUUAUGAGAGAUUUCUUAAUGAGAACAUCAACUCCAAUAUCUGAAAAAAACCCACAACCAUCCAAUACUUUCAUUACCAAAUCUUUCUCCUCCCCAUUGAAAAAGCAUGCUAUAUCUAGAAAUAUAUUCUUCUCCCUUUCUUCCAAUCCAUCAAAGCUAAUUCUUAGUGUGUCAAGAAUUUCUUUGUUAGAAUCUUGUUUAAGUCUUUCGAUUGCACUUCUCCAUUGAACUAUAUCUCUACCGCACAAAAAUGAACCCAAAACUUCAAGAGCUAAGGGGAGACCAUCAGCAUAAUGUACAACUUGUUUAGAAAGCUCAAUGAAAUCAUAUUUCGGUGUUGUAUCACUAUCAAAAGCUUUCAAAUUGAAAAGCCUAAGUGCAUCGUUGGGAUUCAGUGUUGUAGGCUUAUACACAUCAUCGAUUCGAUGAGAUCUGAGCAAAUGUUCAUCUCUUGUUGUUACAAUGAUCCUACUCCCUAAAUUGAACCAAUCACGCCUUCCAACCAAGCAUUUCAAGUGUUGUAUGUUAUCAACAUCAUCAAGAACAACAAGAACCUUUUUACCUGACAACCUGUGGCUAAUUAUGGCAUCCCCUUCAUGAACAUUGAAAAAAUUGAAGCAUUCAUCCGGAAAGAUUUGGAAAGAAGUUGUUUCUGUAAAGAAGUUGUUUCUGUAAAGAAACAAGUCCAUGUUUGUUUGAAACUUCUCGAAUAUCAGCAAGAAAGCAUUUACCCUGAAAAUGAGCUAACAUUUGAGUGUAAGCAACCCUCGCAAGAGUUGUUUUACCGAUGCCACCCAUUCCGCAAAUUCCUAUAAUGCGGACAUCAUCUUCCCCAAUAUUUAUUUUCGAAUACAACUCCUCCAAAUGUAAACUAAUUCCAAUCAACUCAUCAUGAACAACUGGAUAUGUCUGACAUAGUUUUGCUGAUAUCUUCUUAACAACGUUCUCUAAUAAACUCUGAUUCGUGCCUACAAUGAAAUUAAAAUCCGAUAUGCACUUUUUCAUUUUUAGUUUAGUGAAUCAUGAAGUAUAAUAUGGUUGGAAGCAAACAAAAAGUAUGAAUAAGACAGUAAGAUAUAUUAUAGCAUCAAAAUACACAACUUGCUCGUUAGUUGAAAUAUGGGAAUUCUCAAUAAAACGCAAAAUUAUAAAAAAUAACAUGCAAUCCAAUAAAAAAACAAUUUUUUAGUCAUUAAAAUUAGGAGAUAGAGAAGAUAAGAAAGAAAUACCUAUUAUUUAAAUGCCAUCCCUUGAUGUUAGCCACUUCAGUCAAAGCAUUUCGCCACUUUUGGAUCUUGUCUUUAUCUUCCUUGUAUCUUUCUUCGUGUUUGGCAAAGGCUUCUUCAACUUUUUCUUUUUGUUUUCUUAAAUCGGAUGGAUCAACGUGGUAGAAAAUUGGAAAUACUUUAUGACCCUUGUCAUUUUUUUGUUUAACAAUCUCCGCAAGCUCCUCCAAGCACCAACCUGAAAAGGCAUAGGUCUCGGAAAAAACGAUUACCGAGCACCAUGAUUGCUGAAUUGCGUUGAAGAGUUCCGGUGCGAUCUCUUCACCAGUUUCCAACUUUGGAUCAUCUCUAAAAGUGACGAUCCCAGUUCUAUUUAGAGCAUCGUAGAGAUGAUCCGUAAAGUUCUUGCGAGUAUCUUCACCUCUAAAACUCAAGAACACAUCGUAGUUCUUUCUAGAAAUGGAUGAGGAAGUCGAAAGUAACGACGACAUGAGGAUGUAUGAGAAGAAAAAUAUGUGGAUGUAGUGUUCAAAAUCAGUCGCUCAAUACCUCAGAAACAGUAAGUAUAUGAGCAUAAGGAAGGAGAAAAACAGAUGAAAUUUCGAGGGAAGAACAAAGGGAGUAGGUGUGGAAAUUCGGGUCAUACAUGCUCUUUCCGGGAAGACUCCAAGAAGGUGAGACUUCACAAAAUGCAGCCUACAAUUUUUUUGAAAAUUAAAUUCAUUAAUUCAGCAGUAAGAAAAUAAUAAAUACUCGUUGUAAGAAAAUAAUAAAUACUCGUUGUAGAUGAUGAAGGGUAGACUCUAUCAACACAAUAAAAGUUUUAGUCUUAACAUCAAUAGAACAUCAUGACACGUUAACAAUUGAAUUUGUCACAACUCAAGUGCGACAUAUUUGGAGUAAUUGCAAACACUUAAUAUGAUAAGGAAAUCAACCUCGGAUGGUCCAAAGCAACGAGCAAAAAUUGACAAAAGAAUCGAACAUUCACCAAACUAGAGAGGACGACAACAAAAUCAUCCCUAAAAUCACUUAUAAAACUAAGAUUAUAUGCAUAAAUAUACUUAUUAAAUAAUGGAAAAAAUAUAUAAAACUUAACAGCACUAAAAUAGAUCCUACAAGUAUUAUCAAGUAACGUGUUGGACAGUUUGUGUUUUACUUUUUUUAUUUAUUUAUAUUAUCAUAUCUACUUUAUAAUCAGUAGCUUAUGUUACAUAUGUGAUUUUACGCAUUUAAUAUUUGAUUAAAUUUUCUUAAAUAUUAUACUUUUAAUUGAAGUAAUUAGUAUAAAAUAAUAUUUUUAUUUUAAUUAUUGAAUAUAUGUAAAAUGUAUCAAUUUAUCAAUUCAAACAAAUAUUAUAAUAGAAAAUUUUUAAAUAAUAAUUAAAUAAUUUUAAACAUAUUCAACAUAUAAUAUAGUUUUCUUUUAUGUAUCUAAUGCAAAGUAAUAUUAUUAAAAAUGAUAAUAACUACUUAACAUAAUUGUUAACAAGGCCUAUUUACAAAAACUGGAUUUUGUAGGUAUGAGAGCUUGGGUUCAAUCCUAAGCAACUCCAUUUCCCUCAUUCAAAUAUAUAAAAGAAUACUGAACCCAAUAAACUCUAAUAACAAUUAAGCGAUAAUUAUAAUUAUAACGAUAAUUUUAAAUUUAGUAGUAUAAAAUAAUAAAUAUCUUUUUCAAACUCGUUGUUAUAUAUAUAUAUAUAUAUUUAUAUUACAAAUUAAGUAUUAAAAUUGUGUUUUACGUGCCAAAGCAUUUCACCACCAUUGGAUCUUAUCUGUUAUCUUCCUUGUACGUUUCGUCGUGCUUGGUGAAGGCUUCUUCAACUUUUUCUUUGUUUUUCUUAAGUCGGAUGGAUCCACAUGGGGGGGCCAUAGAUGAGCCUUAGAUGUUCUUUCCGAGAAGACUCCAAGAAUGUGAGAGUUGACAAUUGGUGCCUACUUUAAUAACAACUAAUAUUUAUAGAGUUUUUCUUAGUUAAAAUGUGCCAGAAGUCCCUGCAUUUUUUAUAAAAUUAAAAUUUAAUUCCUAUAUCAUUAAUCACUAAAUUGUGGAUAAAUUUUUGCAGGUAUCUUCACCUCUAAAACUCAAAAAAAAAUAUAAUAUUUCUUUCUAGACAUGGAUGAGGAAUUCGAAACUGACGUUGAAGUGACGAUUUAUGAGAAGAAAAAUAUAUGUCGAAACCAUUUUUUGCUAAAAAGGGGUCGAUUUGGAUUUUGAAAAAAAACGAAUAUGAGAGUCGCCACCAAUCCUUUUUAAUGGGAUGUGAUCGGGUCACCUCCAAAAAUAAUUAUUUUAACAAACGAUUUGAUUUAUUAAAACAAUGAUUUUGGUCCACAGAAUUCAAAAGACGAGUUCGGGAGUCAAUUACGUAUGAGGAAUGAUUAGCACCCUCAUAACGCCCAAAUUGGUACCUAGUUAAUUAAUUAAUGUCUUGGUGUCGAAAAUUAAAAAUUUUGAAGAGAUUUAAAAAUAGGAUCUUUUUGUUAAAAUAUUGAAAAUUUUUCGAGAACAGGACAUAUUUCAUGUUAAUCGAGAAAAAGAAUUACAUCCCGUAAGUUAAGACACAAUGUCUUAGAUUCCCGAAGCGAGAAUAAAUGCCGAAAAUUUUACUUAUUCGAAAGAUAUUCGAUUAUCUCGGUUUAAAAAAGAAGAUCAUAUUCAGCAAGUUAGAACACGAUCUUUUAUUAAUUCCCGGUAUUAUUAAAAAAAAUUACUUAAAAAAAUUCGUAUAUUUGGAUUUGUCAAAAAAUCGAAACCCCGUAAAUUAGGACACAAUCUUAUCGAAUCAAAAAUACAAUCUCAAAAUACAAAGUUUACUAGUUUUAAAGACAUGAUUUAUACCUCGGGUAAAACUAAUGUAAUGUGACUUUAUAGGAAAAUGUAAGAAUAAAACACGAUGCUAAGGUGCAUAGAAUCAUAUACGCAAUAACAUAAACAAAAGCAAAAAUAAAAUACAUAAAUGAGAUGAUGAUAAAUAAUAAUAAAAAAACUAAAAUUAGAUAAAAAGAUAAACAAAUAUGUAAAUAAAUGGUACGUAAAACAGCUAAAAGAAAAUGAUAAUAUUAAUAAUAACAAAAAUAAUAAUGUUUGGAAUUAUAAAAGGGUCUAAAUAAAUAAAAAAUAAGAUAAUUAUUAACAGAAUAGUGAAUUAAUCUAAAAAGAAAUAAUAUAUGAUAAAAACCAAAAUCUUAAAAUUUUAGAUAAGUAAACAUAGAUAGAAUAAUAAUAAUAAUAAUAACAUCAAAUUACUAUAAUAUAAUAGUAAUGAACAAGUAAAUAUAAAAGAAACUAUAAUUAUUAUAAUAAUUAAGUCAAAAAUAACAAACAAACAAAAAAUAAGAGUAGAUAUUAGAUAAAACAUUUUAAAAUAAAUAAUAUAUAACACUUAAAAGAUAUAACAAUAAUAAAAGAGCCAUUUUUUUAAAAAAAUCUAAAAAAAGAAGAGAACUAAGGACGGGAUUGAAAUUGAGUCCAAAAUUCGGAGUUUAAAUUGCAGAUAAAAAGAAAGGGGUCCCCGGCGACCAAAAUAGGAUGCGUUCAAAGAACCGAGGGCUGAUUAGGAAAAUAUUCCCAUCCUUAUGCGCAACGUUUUGGCAUGGGCUAAAAAGAAACGCGCAGAAAAUCAUGUGGCCAAAUUAAAAAAACAAGAGCGACCAGAUUGCACUACGGUGAAAAAGCAAAGGGACUUGGCGCAUAAAUAUCAACUUUAGUGCAGAAACACGCGGACCCUGACGGUGGACGGGUUGGGUCGUGGGUCAGGGUCAAAACGUCGUCGUUUUGGCACUUGACCCCUAGUUCCAAAACGGCGCAAAUGUUUUUUUUAAAAACUUUCAUUUUUCUCCUUCCUCAGAAAAAAAAAAACUAGAAAACUCUUUGCCCUUCCCCUUUUUCCUCCGGCCUCUGAGUUUCUCCAGCCUCUGUUGUGCCGCCGCCGUGGCCAGUGGUCGGCGUUGCACAAAAUGGGCUUUUUGGCCCCCGUUGUACAGCGUCCUUGAGAGCCGAGCUCUUUCAACCCACAAGGAUCAGAAAAAAAUGGGGACUCUCGAGCCCUUUUGACCCGAAUUGGGUGACGGAGGAGAAGCCCUUCGAUAGCGCAUCCGCGGCCGUCCGGUGAGUUCCCUUUUCCCCCUUUUUAUUUCUUAUUUCAUUAUAUAAAAUAAAUAAAUAAAUAAAAACAGAAGGAAAUAAACCGAAUCCGAAGAAAAAUAUUCACCUUUCAAAAUCGUUCUCUUUUUUUUAUAUGUUCGUAAAAUAAAAAAAAACCCUGUUACAACUUUGUUCUAUGGCUUAUAUAGCCAUUUCAUACAUUUUUUAAUAUUAUUUUCUACGGUUCUUGUGUGGUCUUUGUUGUCCUUUCUCCUUUUUUCUUGCAGGCUGCGCUGGAGAAGGUGGGUAGAGGGUGUCUUUUGUGUUGAUGAAGUGACAGCUGCGGCGCUGAAGGAGCGGCAGCUGCAGAACAGUUGGUGGCUAGGGUAGGUUAGGGUUUCUGUCACUUGUUUAGGUUACGGGCUAGGUUUAUUUUGGGCUGAAUUGGGUUUGGGUAGUUGGGUUUAUAUUUGGAUCAAUUGUUUUGGACUUAUGGACUAUUUUAUUGAUUGGGUUGCUGGGCCGGGCAAAAUUUGAGUUGUACAAUAUAUAUAUAUAUGGAUAUAGUGUUCAAAAUCAGAAAAUAGAUGGCUCAUUACCUCAAAACAAAGCAGAAACAAUAAGUAUAUGAACGUGAGGAAGGAGAAAAACGGAAGAAAUCAUUAAACUUUUCAAAAUUAUUUUUUUGUCACCCAACUAUUAAGUGACACUUUUUUAGUUGGUAUAAUAUACGUGGAUGUAGUGUUCAAAAUCAGUCUUUCAAUACCUCGUAAACAAGAAGUAAAUGAGAAUGAGGAAGGAGAAAAACAGAAGAAAUUUUGCAGGAAACAACAAAGGACUUUUCUAAGAAAUUAGUGUAUACAUUUCCCACCUUUUACAUUUCCAAAUGAAUCUAUCUUGAUUAUAAUACAUAAGAAAGGGAGUCGGUAACAAUUAAUUAAGAUUUUUUUGGUUAAAUUUUUUCAAAAGUCCCUGUACUUAUUAUAAAUUUAAAAUUUAGUCCCUACAUUAUUAGCCACUAAAUUAUAAUAAGUUUUUGUAUUGGUCACUUAACUAAAGAAAGUUAUAAUUUGGUUAUAGAAUUUUUUGAAAUUAUUUUUUAUCACCCAAUUAUUACGUAACACUUUUUUUUAUUGGUAUAAUAACAAUUUUAGUUAUCAAUUUUUAUACUUUUCUGUCAAUAUAAAGUCUAUGUGUUUUGACUACUGCUUAGGGGGAUAGGACUAAUGGCUUAAAUCUACUUCUCCAUUGUCUUGGGAAGAUAAGAUUCACCAUCUUCGAUCUGCUCCACUACUGCUUAGGGUGGCAGAAUCUGUAAUCUUUGACCUAUUCCACUACUGCUUAGGGGGAUAAGACUAAUGGCUUCAAUUUACUUCUCCAUUGUCUUGGGAAGAUAAGAUUCACCAUCUUCAAUCUGCUCCAUUACUGCUUAGGGUGAUAGAAUCUGUAAUCUUCGACCUAUUCCACUACUGCUUAGGGGGAUAGGACUAAUGGCUUAAAUCUGCUUCUCCACUGUCUUGGGAAGAUAAGAUUCACCAUCUUCAAUCUGCUCCACUACUGCUUAGGGUGACAGAAUCUACAAUCUUCGACCUAUUCCACUACAGGACUUGCUAUCUUUAAUCUGCUUUGUUACAAACUAUGGUGUCUUCGAUCUGCUUCGCCAUCAGUACAGAAAAGCAAGAUUUGCUAUCUUCACUGAUAUGUUCUCUGGGGAACAUGACCUGUAUAAUCUGUUUUAUGAACCUAAUUGUGCCUAGUGAUUAGGAUGACAUGAUCAGAAUGAAUCAAAUGUUCCUAACUAGAUGUGUAUGAAUGACAUUUGAAUGAAUGCAAAAUGUCAUGAAGAUGAUUCCUUAAUGCUUAGGUUAUCAUCACGCAAAAGCUUAUUAAGGGUUUAUCACUGACGUGCUACAACGCCUUCUUGCUCGGCUGGCAUACUUAAUCUGAUUGUCCCCCACUGUGAACGUCAAAGUUCAAUCCACUAGGACAUAAAAUUUUUACCAUCAAUCUCCCACUAUAACCCAAGGGUAGAAAGAUAUGGUUUAUUUUUACCAUCAAUCUCCCACUAUAACCCAAGGGUAGAAAGAUAUGGUUUUUCACAAUCUUCUCUUAUCGCAAUUCAAGGAUACAGAAUGUGAAGCUCUUUGGUCCUUUACCCCAUUCCCAAGGUGUCAUACCAAAUGCUCAUGCACAAUUGCAAAAUUUUCUUCUACGAGAAAACCUUUUCUUAUCACUUGGUGAUCAUUGCUUGUUUGUUCAUUGAAGCUUUGUCACCAAAACAACAUCUUGUCAUUUUGUUCAAUCAAUGUUUUGACGACAAAAUCCAAAAGGACGGUCUUAAUUUAGACUCUUCCUUCUUAGAUAUUUCAACCUUUAAACUUGGUGUGUUCUAAACAAUAAUCAUGUUUCAGGUUCCUAUAUUAUUUAGAGACUUCUAGAGUAAUAUGCAAAACUUCCAUUGUGAAAGUAUUAUUAGUCCAUUAAUCAUUAUUCCAAUGCAACAUGCUUGAAAAAGAUCAUAACAAUGGAUGAACAUAGAAUUGAUUUGGGAGCAUAGCUCGAAAUGAAUAAAUUAUCAAGAAUAAAAGAGGAAUUGAUUGGAACAUGUAUCUUGAAAAAGAAUGAAGUAUUCCAAGAACAACAAAUUCAAUAUAUAAAUGAAUGUCAGGUGCCUCGGAUAUCACAGCUUGAACUUCUCUGUACAAACUUUUUGAAGACCUUUCUGAGUUUGACAUAUGUUUAGAAGAUCUACAGGACUUUGUCGAUGCUCCAAUAUGUUGCCUACCCUUUCCUGUUGAUUCAGGUAUAGCAAGAUCACCACAUGCCCCAAUUUGAUCAAAAUUUGAGCUACUCUGAUUACCUCAUGCCCCAUUUUGUUCCAAAAUUUGAGCCGCCCUUUUCGAGUUUUCAACUCAAAAUCCCCUUUGGUCUUAAGGCGCCCUUUGCGGGUUUUCACCUUGGCCUCUCCUUUUUCCUUUUCUUUUUUCUUCUUUUUCUUUUUCUUUUUUUUCUUUCUUUUUCUUUUUUUUCUUUUUUAAAAAUUUUUUUUAUUGAAUCUGAACUCAUAGUAUUAGACAUGUCCUCGUUAUCCCUUCCGAUCAAAAUUGACGCUUUUCCAGAUAAGGCCAUCCACACAAGGUUCUUCCCAGCUUGGUAUGAAGUUCUUUUUGUAUGGAAAGGAUCUUCUUCAAUACCAGGUCCUCUCAUGGAGUCCUCUAGGGCAAACUUCUUCUUUUUCCCUCUUUUUUUUUGUGCUUGCAUCAUUUGCUUUUGGCGCAUUUGACCAUGAUGGAUAACUUUGAACAUUCCUCUUCAAUCAGGAUUGGAUCCAAAAACUCAGAGAGAAAGACUCUUAUCUUUAACAGGCAAAACUGUAAUAAGCUAAAGAGAAAGAUAUUGCCCCGGUAGAGAUUUUUUUUGACGAUAUGGUGUUAAUCUUGAACAGACUACAAACUUCUGAUAUCGUGCUCUUGUUCAAAUUUAGUGCACUUUCAGAUAUAAUCCUUUUCAGUAUUUCAUACUGACAUGAUUUUUUCCAAAAAUUUACUGUUGACUUUGUGACAUUGGCAUAUAAAGUAGCUUCCACCCACUUAGUGAAGUAAUCGACGGCUGCAAAGAUGAAUUGUUGACUGCCAGAAACUUUUGGCAAGAUUGGCUCAACGACCUUCAUGCCCCACAUAGGGAGAAGUCGUGGAUUCCAAUGAUUCUUUAUAGGGUAGGAUCUAUUUUCCAUAUUAUUCUACCAUCCUCAAUAAGUCCAGAAAUAGGCUACAAUCUAUGUCAUUUUCAAAGUUGUGAGAUCCCUCUAAACACAUGUCUCGCUCAAAAGGAAAUUUUGAGUCUGUAGCAGUGUCAUUCAUGUCAUUGAUAUUUAGGGACCUAUUGUAAGUACAAAAGAAUAUACUAAGAAUAUAUGAAGUUAUGUACAAUAUGAUUAUGAAUGCAAUAAUGAUUUAGAAGAAAGAAUAAAAGAAUAAAAAUAAUCAUUCAUAAGAAAUGAAAGAAUAUUGGUUCAAAAAGAUCGCAAAGAUGCAUUCCAUUAAAAUAAUGACGUUUAGACAUAAGCCUAUUUCACAAAAGAGUUCUUAUUGCCUCUAGGUUAAAAGCAACAAGUGUGUUCUGAAUAUUACUCUAAGUAGGCUCUAAAUACUACAGGGAUUUCUUCCACAGUCCCUUCUUCAGAUAACAGAUGUGAACAUUCCCCAACUUCUUCAUGCAUUGUAAUCACUCCAUUAUCAAUCAUGAUUGGGUAGCAGAUCCCCUGCUACGUUUGUUCUUGAUGGCUCGCCAAAUUUUACGAUCCCCAUAUUAAUAAAUCUCUCAACCAACUUCUUGAAAGUAGUACAAUUUUCAAUCGAGUGCUCCGUAAUUACCGCAUGAUACUCGCAUUGGGCAUUCGCGUCGUACCAUUUAGGAUAUGGAGGUUGCAUGGGUUUUAGAUAAGAGGGAGAUACCAUAUGUGCAUCAUAUAAGUUCUGGUACAGCUCUCUAUAUGUCAUUGGGAUAAGUGUGAAUUUGGGUCUUUCUUCAUUUGGCCUUGGAUUAGUUUCCUGCCUUGAAGAACCUUGAUGGUUAGUGGUUACUGCUCUUGCUUGUCCCACCGUGAUUGAUUUAGAAUAGCCCUUGUUAAACACACUUGCAUUGUUUAUCUCGUGCUCUUUCUUCCUUGGAGUCGACCUCUGGGCACUUUCUCCUGCUUCUAUCUUGCCGCAUCUUAUGGCGUUCUCUAUCAUUUCCCCAGACAUCACUAUGUUUGAAAAGCUUUUAGUGGCACUGCCCAACAUGUGAUUGAGAAAUGGAGCUUUCAAAGUAUUGAUAAAAAGCAUGGUUAUCUCUUUCUCUAAAAGUGGUGGUUGAACUUGCGCUGCCACCUCCCUCUAUCUCUGAGCAUACUGUCGGAAGCUCUCAUUAGGCUUCUUUUCCAUGUUUUGCAAUACAAUUUGAUCUGGUGCUAUAUCCAUCACAUGUCUGUACUGCUUUAUAAAGGCUUGCGCCAAAUCUUUUCACGAGUGGAUGUUAGCCCAACUCAAUUAAUUGUACCAUCUAGCCGCUGACCCGAUCAAACUGUCCUGGAAGCAGUGAAUCAGUUGCUGAUCAUUGUUGAUGUAUCCGGCCAUCCUUCGACAAAACAUAGUGAUAUGAGCUUCGGGACAACUUGUUCCGUUAUACUUCUCAAAUUCUGACAUUUUAAAUUUGGGAGGGAGAACCAAAUUGGGUACCAAGCUCAAAUCUUUAGCGUCCAUUCCUCGAUGGUAAUCAGCAUUUUCCAUGGCUUUAAACUUCUCCUCUAGCCAUUUACAUCGGUCCUCUAAUUGCUUUGACAGAUCCACUUUUGAUUUUUCCACUUCUGCCACGUCAUCGGGAUCAAGAACCAUGAGAUUGGUACGAUUCUCUCUGGGAUUAUUACCUACUCCGAUUUGAAAGUUCAUUGGCAUUGAAAGACCCGUCUGAAACUGCUGGGAUCUGAUUGUAAUAGAGGAUUUUUGUGGGUAAAGCUUAGCUUGAGUAUGCGCGUGCGGAGGGGUAAAGCCUGGAGGGUAAAGGGGUUCAUCAUUAUUUCCCUCUUCAACAUCAACUAUAGGGUCCUUUCCCUUGUCAUUUCCUUCUCUCAAUAGCUGCGUUAACUUUGCCAUCAUGUCAUUCUGGGACUCUCGCAUCUUUUCUGUCAUCUUUUACUGAAUUCUUUCCAGCCACUCUUGUAUCUGAUCUUGCAUAUCUUUUUGGAGCUGUUCAAGCUUUUCUAAUCUCUGAUCCAUGUUCUUUGAUUUCGCUCGAGUUCCGUAAGGGUGUCGAUUUUCAAGGUUAACUAAAAUAAUUUUAUUCAAUUAGGGUCUUUUAAUGGUUCUUAAUGCACAUGAUGUUAUGUAAUGCAAAUGCAUGAAAUGAAUGCAGAAAGAGACGUUGAUUCUUGGUUCAAUUCUUAUUGGAACAACUUUACUAGAAAACAAAUCUCUUUACAUAAAGCGGAUAUAUAUACGGCUUUGCCGUCAUUCUAAGACAACGAUCCUUUUCUUCAUUCGUGCGUUAAGAUUAAUCUCACGAACUCUUCAAAAUAGACGUAUCCUCUAUCUCCCUUUUGCUUGAUCUGGGCUAUGACUCGUUGCUCGCUUAUCUUCGUGAUGCUCAUGGCUUCUCUUUAAGAAAGUUCAGCGGCUCUCGAAUAAUCUUUGUCAUCUUGAAUUCUCGGGCAACGGAGCAAUGGUCGUGUAGUCCUCCAUUAAACUAUCAUCCUUCUCUUAUCACGUUUUCUUAGACCAUAUUCGGACAAUCGUAUUAUUAUCCACUUUAUCAAGAAACCCAUUUCCUUAUGACAAGCUCUCUAUUUAACAACCGAACGUGAAUCAACACCUCUUUUUAUGAUGAAAAUGCAAUGCAAUCAUAACAAAAAAAAAACAGGUUAGUACAAAGUAAGAGCAAGCAAGAAUAAAUAGAACACCUAUUUGGGUGAAUACUAGGGGUUCGAAGUGGUUCUACCUAUGGUGGGCUCCUAAGGUUCACUACAUGAGGUUUGGCUCUAAAGUAAGGGUACCCGAACUAGUAGAUUCCUCGAUCUUCACCCAUUAUAGGCUCAUAUAGACCUAGUUCGGUUCAGGGGAAUACAUUUCCCUAUGGCUGCACGGAGAUGAAAAUCUCACGAAGACAUAGGUACGGAUGUAUCCCGGAAGCGAUUCACUAUCCCAUGCGGAGGUGAAAACCUCACGAAGGCGUAGUUUCUCACUCCCACUUAAAAAGGUGUGACCAAAGGUCAUGCAAUGCAAUAUGCAGCAAGAUACCAAAAUUUAAAUCAAUACAACAAUUACACCGAUGAGAAUUGUGAUAAAACGAGUGAAAUGCAAUGAAAGGAUCGUAUAUUUAAAUCAAGUUUUCAAUUUUCGACAAAAAAAAACAAAAGGUAAUCAACUCGUGGCUCGACUCACUUAUUUUGAAAAAGUCCCCAGCGGAGUCACCAAACUGUUGACACCAUUUUUUUUGGAUAAAAACAGGGUCGACUUGGGUUUUGAAAAAUGAAAACGAAAGUGGGAGUCGCCACUAAUCUUUUUUGAUGAGGUGUGAUCGGGUCACCUUUAAAAGCGGUUGUUUUUAAUAAACAAUUUAAUUUUAUUAAAACAACGAGUUUGGUCUACGAAAUUCAGAAAACGGGUUCGAGAGUCGGUUACGUACGAGGAAGGAUUAGCACCCUCGUAACGCCCAAAAUUGGUACCUAGUUGAUUAGUUAAUGUCUUGAUGUCGAAAAUCGAGAACUUGGAAAAAUUAAAAAUACGAUCCUUGUAUUAAAUAAAAAUUUGGGAAAAGAAGCAUAUUUCACGUUAAUCGAGAAAGAGAAUCAUAUCCUGUAAGUUAAAAUACAAUGUCUCAAAUUCCCGAUACGCGAAUGGAAAAUGCUUAUUUAAAAGAUAAUCCUGAAAACACUUGUGCAAUAUUUUAGCUCCAUCAUAUCAUAUCUUUCCCCAGCUUAAAAGAAGUUGAACUUAGUUUUCUUCAAAUAUAAAUAGUGGAAUUUGAGGUGAUGAUAAUCGAAUUUCAGCAUGAUUUCUCAAGGAUUAUUACAAAAAAUAUGGAGCUUCUGAAUUCGUUAAAAAAGAACAAGGUAAGCAAUUAUAGACAGUUGUUCCUUGGUUAAUUCUGUUGUUAAGGUGGAAAUGAUCACAGCAUUGUUAAGCUCUUGCAACUUCUAAACGGAGGCAAGGGCCCUGUUUGUACCAACAUCACUCUCGGAAAACACAAAAUUGCUGGAUAAAUCCCACAAUUCCACCACCCCUUCAUCAUGCAAACUUAUUGGUUUGACACCAGCUAGAAUGAGAUUCUUUGCUGCACAAUGAAGAAUAAAAAUUGAUCAGUAAUGGCAAUUUGCUUCUUCGCUAUGUGUAGUGUAGAGCAGUUAAUAAAAAUGAAGAAUAAACAUUGCCACCUAAUGUGGGGGAAAUGAAAGAGUAAAAAUAAAGUGCCCUUAAAACUAAUAUAUGUUGUAGUGGGCAAAAAUCAAGUCGGUUGCUGCAUAGAUAUGUCGCUGAACCAAUCGUCGCAACUCUUUGCCAAAUGUGCAUCAAUCCAUACAGUGCCACUACUCUAUAGAUAGCUCAUCAGCGUCUCUUAUCAUUUGCAUAUUCGAGGAAGUUAAUUUUUCUGGUUACAUUAGCAAGAGGUAAGGCUUAUCAGUGAAGAUGGAAGAUUACGGGUGCGGUAUCAGUUCGAUAGCCAUGAUGCUGUUGGUGGUUGCUCUGCCGUUUUUGGGUCCACUUGGAAUGCCACCGUUGCGGCCUCCUCCCGCUUACAUUUUCCUCAUCUUCGCUUUCGUCUUCCUCUUCCUUUUCAUCUACCUCUCUCAUGCCUCCAAAUGAUGAUCCAUGGCGAUUUCAUUUGCUUUCCAGUAUUAUUACUCUUUUAUUCAGUCGUUAUCUUAAACAAUACUAUUAACCGUACAAAUAUAUAUAUUUGAAGGAUGAUAUUUCAUACUCAUAUUAUGAGUAAAGAUAUCGAAAAUAAUUAUUUUAUGUAAACAACGUAAAUGUGUAAAAGAAAAGGAAUUAAUAGGACAAAGGUGGUUAAAUAGAUUACUAUAGUUAAUGCUUCUUCCACGACUGGCCAAUUAUAAAAUUGAAAACUUUUUACAUCUGUUCUGGUUGCAGCUCUUCUUCCUCCGCUUCCUCGUAGACAAUACGUUUUCGUUUUAUGUGAGAAGUGUUACCUACUGAUCCAUCGUCGUGAGCAGAGUGUUGGUGGAUGUGUUCAAAAUUUGGAGAAGUUUGAGCGCUAUGGCACUGCAACUCUUUUAUUUCUUCCAAAUCUUUCUCAUACACUAUUCUAACACCACACUUCUUCACAUUAGCACGGUGUCCAAAUCGAUCUACGAAAGACACCUCAAGCUCAUCGCAUAUUUUAUCUAAGCAAUCUGUUGCCCAUAACUUAUUGGUUUCAGUCACAAAAUUUAUCCUCCAAGGAAAAUGGAUAUAAUUUAUCACGCGACCAAUAACGAAGAAAAAUGUGAUCUUUUAGUAUGGGCUGGUUAAAUCGUUUACCCAACAACCAGCUUCUCCAAUCAAUCCGUCGAGGAUUUCUACCUCUAAAAAUAGAUCCAUUACCGCUGGCUUGUUCAGAAUUUCUACAAUAGAUAUAUGCUCCACAACCGAUAUAUUCCUCAUCCCUUGAAGCAUCAUUAUUGACAAAAAUGCAGCAGCUAGCAACUCCAAUCCAUUGACUAUAUUUCUGAAGGUUGAUAGGCAGCGAUAUUUUAAUUGAAGAGUCACUUGUUUGUUGGCUAAACCAUUCUGGGAUUUCACUUCCGGGCAUGAUAAUAUCAAAGAUUUUUCUUGAAUUUGCAAAUGCCUGCAAAACAAAACACAAGUCGUUUGGUAACUAAAACCAUAAAUUCUCAAGUAUGAGAUUUUGUAAGGGAGAAAAAAGAGAUUAAUCGACCUUAAGAAGUUUUUUCAGCAGUGUUAAUGCAUUGAUAUUCUCAGCCAAUUUGACGCAGUUAAGGGCACUAAUGAAAGCAGAAUCCACUAAAUUGCAUACUUUUGAUGGACUUGCAACUACUUCAAGUGAAGAACAACCAUCUAUCCACACAUCUUCUAUACUUGUUGGUAGCUCAGGCAACGAUUUGAGCAUCUUGCAAUCUGACAAUCUAAUAGAAUAAAGCUUGGAAAGUCGAAUAAUAGUUGCAGGUAUGCUGCUGAAAUUGUUACCCUUAAGAUUAAGACGUUUCAAAGAGGAUAGACCAGAAAUAUCACUAGGAAUAUCUCCUUCACAAAGACUGCGGUCCCUUAGAUUCAACUCUCUUAAUGAAGUCAAACCUGAAAACAAAGGCAACAUUGGAGCCAUGAAAUGCGUCCUUCCUCUUUGGAUUACAUUGAAAAGAGAAGGUAGGUUUGGUAGUAACUUAGAUGAUGGUCCCUUUCUCCCAUUGAAAGACAAAACUUUAAGAUUUUUAAAUUGACAAAUGAAGGAUGGUGGUUUUGUUAUGGCUGAUUCACUCAAGUCGAGCUCUUCCAAAAACUUUGCUUGCUGCAAAUUCUCCGAUAAAUUUUCAACUCUAUAACAACCGGAAAGAUCUAGAGUUUUUAGACAUUCCAUUAUCCCAUCAAUCUCCGGAAACCUAACAAGACUUGAGCAACCCGAAAGAAUUAAUGUUUCAAGGGAUUCCAUUCCAAUUUUGGUCGGAAGACUCCUAAGACUUUUGCAAUCUCUUAAAUCCAAAAGUUUAAGGCACUUAAGCACUCCGAUGGAUGGAUGAACAUCCACUAAUUUGGUACAACCUUCCAAAAUCAAAACUUCAAGAUUUGAUGCUGUUGUGAAGUCUGGUGUCUUGAUCAGGUUUUGGGACCCUUUGAGGUUCAUCAUUUUCAACGUAUACAAGGGCUGUUGAAAACAAUAACAAAUUAUAAUAAUGCUCUUUUUUUUUAUCUUAAUCAAAGUUUAAUUAUUUAUAUUAAAAUAAGCUAAAACACAAGGAUCAGAUGAAUUAACUCUUACUCUAUUUCCCUUCCAUAGUUGUUCAAUGCAACUGUAUGGUAAGAGAAGUGCAACAAGGUUGUCCGGUUGAAAGCUUGAAGGCAAUGAUCUUAAAGGGCAUCCUUUCCAAUCUAAAAGCCGUAGUUCAUUAGAAAGAUAUUUGAGAUCAUCACAAUUUGAGAGGCAAAACACUUUGAGCAAUCUCAAUUUUUUCAUCUUUGAGAAGGCAUCGACACUCAAGUUGAGCAUCUUACUCGAUUCCCUAAUAACCACGAGCAAAAAAAGAAAAAGGAAGAGUUUCAGAAGAUACAAAAAUAUUCAAUACCUACAAGCUAUGUUGCAUCGAUAUUGUUUUUUAAAGCACCCAUACCCAAUAAUUAUAUCUAAUGAAUAUCCGAAUAUGGUUUUGAGAUAUGUUUGAGCAUACCCAUGAUAGACAAUACUCUAUCUAACACUUGCAUUCGACUUUUAAUUACCUAAGCCUAAAAAAACUAGAAUUAAUAUUAAUAGUACAUAUUGAUAAAUUUAUAAGUUUUUUUACCUUUUAUUGUCGAUAAUCAUGCCUUCAAUCACUUCGGUAGCCUAUAAGUAAUCAAUAAUAGACAAUAAGAAGACUGAUAAAACUUUUGAAAAUUUACAUACACAAUCUUUUGGUGGAAAUAUGGCAAAUAAAAUAUUUUGAACAAAGUAAAACAUUUUCUAAUGAGAGUAAUUCAAUAAAAUUAAAUGCUUAUAUUACAAAUUCUUAUUAAUAUUUAUGAUCAACAAAUGAAAAUCAUCUUAAAGCUACUCAAUGUCACUUAAGGAUCAAUAUAUAAAUCAAUUAGACUAAGCUUUGGAUUUACAUCAUAUAUUGAUAAAAAAAUUGCAUGUAAUUUUUGUUGAAUGAUUUACCGUGUUUUUUGUUAGGACAUGAUGGACAUCUCUUUCGUUCCACAAUCUACAACGUUUUCUAGGCUCAUCAACACAUUUUUCUUCGACAAUUUUUCUUCCCAUUUCUUGCAACAAGGCAUGCAUCCACAAAUAUUGGUUGUCACCAUCGACUUUUACGAGAGAUUUCUUAAUGAGAACAUCAAUUCCAAUAUCUGAGAAAAACUCACAACCAUCCAAUACUUUCAUUACCAAAUCUUUCUUCUCCCCAUUGAAAAAGCAUGCUAUAUCUAAAAAUAUAUUCUUCUCCCUUUCUUCCAAUCCAUCAAAGCUGAUUCUUAGUGUGUCAAGAAUUUCUUUGUUGGAAUCUCGUUUAAGUCUUUCGAUUGCACUUCUCCACUGAGCUAAAUUUCUACCACACAAAAAAGAACCCAAGACUUCAAGAGUUAAGGGGAGACCACCAGUGUAAUUUACAACAUGUUCAGAAAGCUCACUGAAAUCAUCUUUUAGCAUUGUGUCACUGUCAAAAGCUUUCAAAUUGAAAAGCCUAAGUGCAUCGUUGGGAUUCAAUGUUGUAGGUUUAUACACAUCAUCGAUUCGAUAAGAUCUGAGCAAAUGUUCAUCUCUGGUUGUUACGAUGAUCCUACUUCCUAAACUGAACCAAUCUUGCCUUCCAACUAAGCAUUUCAAGUGUUGUAUAUUAUCAACAUCAUCAAGAACAACAAGAACCUUUUUGCUAAACAACCUAUGGCUAAUUAUGGCAUUCCAUUCAUAAACAUUGAAAAAGUUGAAGCAUUCAUCUGGCAAGAUUUGAGAAAGAAGUUGUUUCUGUAAAGAGACAAGUCCACAUUUAUUUGAAACUUCUCGAAUAUCAGCAAGAAAGCUUUUACCUUCAAAAUAAGGCGACAUUUGAGUGUAAACAACCCUUGCAAGAGUUGUUUUACCGAUGCCACCCAUUCCGCAAAUUCCAAUAAUGCGGACAUCGUCUUCCCCAAUGUUUAUUUUCGAAUACAACUCCUCCAAAUGUAAGCUAAUUCCAACCAACUCGUCAUGGACAAUUGGAUAUGUCUGACAUAAUUUUGCUGAUAUCUUCUUAACAAUGUCUCCGAUAAACGCUGAUUCGUGCCUACAAUGAAAUAAAAAAUCGCUGCUAUCUUUCAAAUGCACUUUUACAUUUUUAAUUCAGUGAAUCGUGAAAUAUAAUAUAAUUGGAAGCAAACCAAAAGCUAGAAUAAGACAGCAAGAUCUGUUAUAGCAUCAAAAUACACAACUUGCUCAUUACUUGAAAUAUGAGAAUUCUCAAUUAAACACAAAGUUGCAAAAAAUAACAUGCAAUCCAAGAAAAUAUACAAUUUUUUAGUCAUUAAAAUUAGGAAAUGGAGAAGAAAAGGAAGAAAUACUUAUUAUGUAAAUGCCAUCCUUUGAUUUUAGCUACUUGAGUCAAAGCAUUUCGCCACUUUUGGAUCUUGUCUUUAUCUUCCUUGUAUCUUUCUUCGUGUUUGGCGAAGGCUUCUUCAACUUUUUCAUUUUGUUUUCUUAAAUCGGAUGGAUCCACAUCGUAGAAAAUUGGAAAUACUUUAUGUCCGUUAACAAUUUUUUGUUGAACAAUCUCAGCAAGUUCCUCCAAGCACCAUCCUGAAAAGGCAUAUGAUUCCGAGAAAAUGAUUACCGAGCACCACGACUGCUGGAUCGCUUUGAAGAGUUCCGGUGCGAUCUCUUCGCCAGCCUCCAGCUUUGGAUCAUCCCUAAAAGUGAUGAUACCACUCCUCUUUAGAGCAUCGUAGAGAUGAUCCGCGAAGUUCUUGCGGGUAUCUUCACCUCUAAAACUCAAGAAAACAUCGUAUUUCUUUCUGGAAAUGGAUGAGGAAGUCGAAAGUAACGAUGACAUGACCAUGUAUGAGAAGAUAAAUAUAUGUGAAAGGAGAAAAACAGAUGAAAUUUACAGGGAGCAACAGACGACUUUUCUUAAAAAAUUCUGUAUAUGUUUCCCACCUUUUACUUGUCCAAUAAAUUCGUGGGCCAUAGAUGAGUUAGAUUUUCUUAUAGAUUUUCAGAGUUUUUUGUUAAAAUUUGCCACAAGUCCCUGUACUUUUUUAUAAAUUUAAAUUUUAGUCCCUAUACUAUGGGUAAGUUUUUAUAGAUUAAAAAAGUUUUAAUUUGAUCAUUGAACUUUUCAAAAUUGUUUUUUUGUCACCCAACUAUUAAGUGACACUUUUUUAGUUAGUAUAAUAACAAAUUUAAUCCUCAAUUUUUAUACUUUUUUGUCAAUUUGACCCUAAUUUUAUAUAAAAUAAUAAAAAUUGAAAUUCAUUUUAAAAAAAAAUUAGAGAACUCUAAAAUUUUAAAUUAAAAUAAAAGUAAAUAAAAAUUUCAAAAAUAGAUAAAUGAGAAAGUGAGCGAAAACUGUUUAUAAACCUUCCAAAAUUUCUCUCAAAUUAUUGGUUCUAUUUUUUUUACCUCUUUUGUUUCAUGGUUCUAGAAAAUUUAAAAUUUAAUUUGUUUUUACUAUUUAAAUUUAUAAAAAAUAAUUAAAAUUUUGAAUCGAGUCUGCAAAAUAAAAAUUUUAUGGUAUAAUUUGUUUUUUUUUCUAGAAAAUGGCAUUAGAGUCUAUUUCUUAAGCCUCUGUAAUAUUAAUUCUAGAUGUUCUUCAAGGACAUAAAACUUAACUUGAAGAUAUUACUAAUUUAGUUUUAAGAAACAUUGAAGAAACACGUAAUAAUCUAACAUUUUUUGGUUUUGUUCUAUUUUUAAUUUAUUCUAAGAUUCUAUUGAAUAAUAAUUUUCUAUAUUUCCCAUACAGUUCUUCACAAAUUAAGAGAUAUUCGUGGACAGAUGUUCAGUAGCAUGUAUUGGGGUUAUGAAGUCAAACGAAUAAGUUGUGAUUUGGGCCCAUACCAUCUCCAUUUCAGUUUUCAUUUUUAAGUUACUAUUAUUUUAUUUUAUCUUAAUUUCUUUUCAUCAUUCUUUUCUUUUUGCUUUUGAUUGUUGGAAACUUGGAGUACUUGGGCAUUCCCAAGCCUCGCUUUGGGACUUCUUGAUAGCACACCGGCCUUAUAGCAAAUUAAAUGGGAUAUAAACAUUGUGACAUUAAUCUCAUAUUUUGAAAGUUUUCAGAAUCAAAUUGGUGAUUGAAUUAAUUAACUCAUUGGUUUUUUAUUACUUCAUUCGAUUUAAUUAAUUAAAUUAUUAAAAAUUAUAAAUAUUAAAAUAUUACAUAAUAGUAAAAAUCAAUUUAACUGUUGAUUCAACAUGUUUCGAGCUGUUUGUGAGUUGUAAAUACACUUUCAGAAAAUCUCCACCAUAUCACAUCUUUCCCCAGCUUGAAAGAAGUACAACUUAGUUUUCUUCGGAUAUAAAUAGUGGAAUUUGAGGUGAUGAUAAUCGAAUUUCAGCAUGAUUUCUCAAGGAUUGUUACAAAAAGUAUGGAACUUCUGAAUUCAUUAAAAAGGAACAAGGUAAGAAAUUGUAGACUGUUGUUCCCUGGUUAAUGCUGUUGUUAAGGUGGAAAUUGAUCACAGCAUUGUUAAACUCCUGCAACUUCUAAACAGAGGCAAGGGCCCUGUUUUUACCAACAUCACUCUCGGUAAACACAAAAUUGCUGGAUAAAUCCCACAAUUCCACCACCCCUUCAUCAUGCAAACUCAUACCUCUACAUUGACAUGAUGAAAGACAACAAUAUGCAAUAAAAGAUCUAAGAGAAAAAACCAACGUUAUGUCAUGAAAAAGAACAACCCCCCCCCCAACCCAGUGGAACCUCCUGUUAAAAUUAAUCACUAAUGGCAAUUUUCUUCUUGCUAUGUGUAGUGUAGAGAAGAAUAAAAAUGAAGUUAAUAAAUGUUGCGGAAAGGAUCGAUUCGAGAACUCCGAUAUGACUACAAGUAAAUUGACCGGAACGAAAAAAUAAAGUGAACACAAGGAUUUACGUGGUUCGGCUUUAAUGCCUACGUCCACGGGCAGAGGCGAAAAGAAAUUUCACUAUAACAAGAUGAAGAUUACAAGUGUUUUACACUCAAGACACAACCCGAGAACCUCACAACUCUCAACCCCUAUAGAAAACCCGAAAGCUAAAAUCCUAGCUUUCAAAGAACAAGCUUUGCUCUCUCUUGGUUUGGGAUGAUUUAUAUGGCUAAUGAACCUCUCUAUUUAUAAGAGAGUUCAAGGACAUAAUUGUCCAAAACUUUGGCAAAGAUUUGUGGUUGAAAAUGGACACCAACAACCAUCCACUAAUCCACUACCACCAACAACCCACUACCAACAACAACAAUCCACUACCAAUUUUAAGCCAUUUCUUAACAAAUCUCCACCUUGGCUUGAAAUUUACCAAGCUGAACAUCAUAGUGAAUUCCUCGAACUGGAUCACCUCUUCCAAACGCCUCUCUGGCGCUAAUCAAUCCCGAAUACCUAUCAAGUCCAAGCAAUGCUUGAACUUAUAUGCAGGGAUCACCUUAGUUAACAUAUCUGCAGGAUUCUUCUCGGUAGCAACCUUGCUGAUAACAAUGUCACCUUGCGUAACAUGUUCCCGAACAAAAUGAUAUCUGACAUCAAUGUGUUUGGUCCGUUCAUGAAACAUCUGAUUUUUAGUCAGAUGUAUGGCACUCUGGCUAUCGCAAAAUACAACAGUGAAAUCCUGUUGUAAACCCAAACUGCUUACUAGACCUUUCAUCCACAAUGCUUCUUUCACUGCUUCUGCUAACGCCAUAUAUUCCGCCUCAGUCGUAGAUAAGGCUACGGUAGACUGUAACACAGCUUUCCAACUAAUGGCUCCUCCAGAAUAAGUGAAAACAUAACCCGUCAGAGAUCUUCUUUUGUCCAGAUCUCCAGCAUAAUCAGAGUCCACAUAGCCCGUGACACUGCUAGUGCAGUCACUCUGAUCAUAUACCAAGCAUAAAUCUGCAGAACCUCUCAAGUACCUGAGAAUCCAUUUCACGGCCUGCCAGUGUUCCUUGCCAGGACAACUCAUGUAUCUGCUGACCACACUAACUGCAUGUGAAAUGUCUGGACGAGUGCAAACCAUUGCAUACAUCACGCUUCCAACUGCACUCGAGUAUGGAAUGUGAGACAUUUGCUGCUUUUCUUCAUCAGAUUGUGGUGACAACUCUGUAGAGAGUUUGAAAUGUGGUGCCAACGGAGUACUCACAGUUUUCGCUUUAUCCAUGCCGAAGCGUUGAAGAACCUUUUCAAUGUAGUUCUUCUGCGACACACGAAGCUUGCCCGCCUUGCGAUCUCUGUGAAUAUCCAUGCCCAAAAUUUUCUUGGCAGCACCCAGAUCCUUCAUCUCGAACUCACCACUCAACUGCGACUUUAACUUGUUGAUUUCCGACAUGUUUUUGGAAGCAAUUAACAUGUCAUCAACAUACAGCAACAAAUAAAUGUGCGAACCAUCUGAGAGCUUCCGAUGAUAGACACAAGCAUCAUAGUCACAUCUUGUGUAACCAUGCUGAAUCAUGAAGCUAUCAAACCGCUUGUACCACUGCCUUGGGGAUUGUUUCAAUCCAUAUAAAGACUUCUUUAAUAGACAGACAUGGUCUUCUUUACCAGGAACUGUAAAACCCUCUGGUUGACGCAUGUAGAUUGUUUCCUCGAGCUCACCAUGCAAGAACGCCGUUUUUACGUCAAGCUGCUCAAGUUCUAGAUCAGACUUGGCCACCAUGGCAAGUAAUAUACGAAUGGAAGAAUGCUUUACGACUGGGGAGAAAACUUCAUUGUAGUCAAUCCCCUCUUUCUGAGUGAAGCCUUUAGCAACCAAUCGUGCCUUGAAUCUAGUUGCUUCAACCCCUAGGAUGCCUUCCUUUUUCUUGAAGACCCAUUUGCAACCAACUAUCUUCUGGUUACUUGGCGGCUUAACCAACUCCCAAGUAUGGUUCUUGUGAAGAGAUUCUAUCUCCUCACUCAUAGCAAUUGCCCACUGUGCCGACUCAUCACACGUGACAGCCUCAUUAUAACUGGAAGGUUCUAUACCAAUGGACUCCGCCACACUGAGCGCGAAAGACACCAGAUUAGCGUAACGCGGAUUUGGUUUGAUUUGUCUCUUCGUUCUUCCAGUGGCAAUGCUAUAUGGUUUUUCUUGAGGUGACUCAUCUUCAUCGGAAUCUUGCACCUCAACUUGAUCAUCCUGGACUGAAGUACCUUCCGUAGGAAUUGGAGCGUCCACCUGACACUCCACCUGCUUCUCAACACCGUGAUCUCCCAUUCUAUCUGACUCCUCCUUUUCCCGGGAAUUUGUGGUGGAUCGAAGCAUGGAUGACUCAUCAAAAGUCACAUCUCUGCUGAUGAUGAACUUGGACGAAACCGGAUCAGGACACCACAACCUGUAUCCUUUCACCCCUUGGCCGUAUCCAAGAAAUAUGCAUUUCUUCGCCCUCGGUUUGAGUUUUCCCUCAUUUACAUGAGCAUACGCAGGGCAGCCAAACACUCUUAAACCAGAGUAAUCAGCAGGAGAACCAGACCAUACUUCCUCAGGAGUCUUCAGCUCAAUAGCUGUUGACGGAGAUCUGUUAACCAAAUAACAAGCAGUAUUAACAGCUUCAGCCCAAAAUUCUUCACCGAGCCCAGCAUUUGAUCGCAUGCAACGAGCUCGCUCCAAGAGAGUUCUAUUCAUGCGUUCUGCAACUCCAUUUUGUUGUGGUGUUCGACGAACAGUGCGGUGUCUCACUAUUCCUUCAUUUUUGCAGAACUCAUUGAAUUCACCUGAGCAAAACUCCAAGCCAUUAUCCGUCCGGAAUCGCUUGAUCUUCUUUCCUGUUUGAUUUUCGAUCAAAGCUUUAAAUUGCUUGAAGUUGAUGAGAACCUCAUACUUGCUCUUCAGAAAAUACACCCAAACCUUUCUCGAGUAAUCAUCGAUAAAGGUAAGCAGAUAUCUGUAACCACCUUUAGAAAUUGUCGGAGAAGGCCCCCAAAGGUCAGAAUGGAAGUAAUCCACUGUGCCUUUUGUCUUGUGAAUCCCAGUGCUGAACUUUACCCGAGUCUGCUUACCGAAGACGCAGUGCUCACAGAAAUUCAACUUUCCUGUACUCUGCCCAGACAAUAAUCCUCGUUUGCUUAGCACCGAUAAGCCUCUCUCGCUCAUAUGCCCGAGCCGCAUAUGCCAUAACUUCGUGGUGUCAGAAUCUAGAUCAUCUGAUGAUGACACUCCCGCAACACCUGUAACCGAGGAACCAUCGAGGAAGUAAAGGCCCCGCUCCAAAUUACCACGUAUCACAGUCAAAGCACCCGAGAAUACCUUGAGAACUCCACCUUCAGCAGAGUACCGAAAGCCUUUCUUGUCCAACGUACUCAAAGAGAUCAAAUUUUUCUUCAUUUCUGGAAUGUGCCGAACAUCAGUUAGAGUUCUAACAAUACCGUCAAACAUCUUUAUACGAACUGUGCCAAUCCCCAUGACUUGACAUGCGUGGUCAUUUCCCAUUAGUACUGAACCAGAAUGCUUCUCGUAUGUUGAGAAUGCAUCUUUCGAAGUACUUAUAUGAAAUGUAGCUCCCGUAUCAAGAAUCCAUCUCCCACCAGCGUAAGAGUCGGAUACUGCAAGAACGAUCUCGGCAUCACUUGAAGAAUCUGCAUCAGCUACAUUCGCACGAUCAUUUUGUUGCUCCUGUGAUUCUGAUUUCUCCUUCCUUUUCGGACAAUCUACCUUCAUGUGCCCGUACUUCUUACAGUAGUAGCACUGUAUUCUCUUCUUGGACUGCGAUCUAGGAUGGCUUUUACUUGAACUUCCACCCUUUGCCUUGGAUCUUCCUCGAGCAACCAAGCCUUCGCCUUCAUUGUUUUCGACCACCUUACCAGUGAUUUUCUUCCUCAACUCACUGGAACUUAAGGCAUUUUUCACCUCCUCUAGAGUCAGGUCAUCACGACCGUACAUCAUUGUAUCAACAAAAUUCUCAUACGAGGGAGGCAAAGAACACAAAACAAUUAUUGCUUGGUCCUCAUCAUCGAUUUUGUUAUCGAUAUUAUUCAAAUCCAUGAUAAUGGAAUUGAAUUUAUCCAGGUGCUGGGAAACAGGUGUACCUUCCUCCAUCUUCAGGGCAUAGAGUCUUUGCUUGAGGUAGAGCCGGUUCGUCAAUGACUUCGUCAUGUACUUGCUCUCUAACCGGAGCCACAAACCGGACGCGGUUUUCUCAUCCGCUACUUCUCGUAGCACUUCAUCUCCUAGACAUAGCAGAAUAGCACUAUGUGCUCUUUCUAGCAUGUCAUCCUUUUGCUCUUCCGAAAGCGUGCUUGGUAAUUUAUCUUUACCAGACAAUGCUUUUAGCAAUCCUUGUUGAACCAGCACUGCCCGCAUCUUGAUGCGCCAUAAACUGAAACUAUUUUUCCCGGUAAAUUUCUCGACAUCAUACUUAGUCGAUGAAACACUUGUAGCCAUAAUUUGGAACCUUUGAAUGAAUGAUAAUAUUUUCUUCCUGAUGUGAAAGAUCAGACAAAGCUGCAGUCACAGGGCAAUUCAGAAAAUAUUAUCACUCCUUCAACUACGCUCUGAUACCAAUUUGUUGCGGAAAGGAUCGAUUCGAGAACUCCGAUAUGACUACAAGUAAAUUGACCGGAACGAAAAAAUAAAGUGAACACAAGGAUUUACGUGGUUCGGCUUUAAUGCCUACGUCCACGGGCAGAGGCGAAAAGAAAUUUCACUAUAACAAGAUGAAGAUUACAAGUGUUUUACACUCAAGACACAACCCGAGAACCUCACAACUCUCAACCCCUAUAGAAAACCCGAAAGCUAAAAUCCUAGCUUUCAAAGAACAAGCUUUGCUCUCUCUUGGUUUGGGAUGAUUUAUAUGGCUAAUGAACCUCUCUAUUUAUAAGAGAGUUCAAGGACAUAAUUGUCCAAAACUUUGGCAAAGAUUUGUGGUUGAAAAUGGACACCAACAACCAUCCACUAAUCCACUACCACCAACAACCCACUACCAACAACAACAAUCCACUACCAAUUUUAAGCCAUUUCUUAACAAUAAAUAAGCUGUUUCAGCCAUUGGCAUAGACAUUGCCACCUAAUGUGGGGGAAAUGAAAGAGUAAAUAUAGUACAAGGAAGAUUACAGAAUCUCUUUAACUAUCUAUUUAUUAAUUCAGGCAUAAAUAUAUUGCAGGUCUAAAAUAUGAAGGUAAACCUUCGAACAAGAGAUAAGUAAAAAACAUAUUCUUGGUGCAUGGAUAUCCCGUGAUUAAUCCUCCAUUUAAGUGUCUAAGAAAGUAAGAAUUCAAUCCAAUUAAUUCCUCAAUCAGCCCAAUUACAUAAGCAUGCAGCCUACCUCUACUCUAGUAGUACUAUACAAUACAGCAUCCAACGUAUCACAGAAGAAAAUCAUUAGCAGCAACAUGUUGAAUGUGCGAUAGAGUGGGCACUAUUAUCAGGUUAUCCUAUAACUUUUAUUUUAAGCUGAAUCCUCUUGUUUUUUUAUUUUUUGCAAAGUCAGCGAAAUACACUGAAUCCCCUUGUUAGAACACUAUUCUUACCGGCCGACGAAUUAAUAAGCUUGAAAUUGGAAAAAUCUUAUAGAUCCCCUCUUAUAUGCCUCUGACCCAAACAUACAAGCACAGAAUCAUCACCAGAUCAAAGUUUUUGACUAAGAACUAGCGUAAAGCUAGUGAGGUUACAUAUACACUCAUAACGCCUAAAAACCCAAGAAAUAAUAAAAAAAACCACCUGUAAAUAACUCCUAAAUCAACUCAUUAUAACGAAUUUCAAAACACUAAAAUUUAAUAGAAAACUAAUAUAUGUUUUAGAGGGCAAAAAUCACGUCGGUUGCUGCAUAGAUAUGUCGCUGAACCAAUCUUCGCAACUCUUUGCCAAAGGUGCAUCAAUCCAUACAGUGCCACUACUCUAUAUAUAGAUCAUCAACGUCUCUUAUCAUUUGCAUAUUCGAGGAAAUAAAAUUUUCUGGUUACAUUAGCAAGAGGUAAGGCAUAUCAGUGAAGAUGGAAGAUUACCGGCGCGGUAUCAGUUCGAUAGCCAUGAUGCUGUUGGUGGUUGCUCUGCUGUUUUUGGCUCCGCUCGGAAUGCCACCAUUGCAGCCUCCUCCCGCUUACAUUUUCCUCAUCUUCGCUUUCGUCUUGCUCUUCCUUUUCAUCUACCUCUCUCUUGCCUCCAAAUGAUGAUCCAUGGAGAUUUCAUUUGCUUUCCAGAAUUAUUAUUCUCUUCUAUUCAGUCGUAUCUGAUGAUAAUAUGCUUUGCUCGGGAUAUUAACCGCCAAUAAUACACGGUUAUUUGUUGUUUUCAGUCGUUUAUUAAUUAAUUAUAUGAAUUUGAUGGAAGAAUGUUUGGGUUUAUGUAGGACGUAAAUAAAUCAUGCAAUGCAUGCAUACUUAUGUUGCGACACGAUGCCUUUCACUAAUAUGGUUCUUUCUUUCACUCCCAUUGACUUACGUACGUUGCAUGCGUUGUCCCUUCAUGCCGUCUAUUUACUACUGGAUUAAUAAUGUCGUUAAUUCAUCAAUCAUGUCUUAAAAAUCAAUUUAAGUAUGGAGGGACUAAAGCUCUUUUUUCGCUAGUCUUCUUAUGUAAAUUUAAUUUACUCAGGUUGUGCUCAUGAACUUAGAUUCAAAAUAUGGAUUUAAAUUUAGUCUAUGCUUCCUGCUGCAGUUGUGGUUAACUUUCAAGAAAGUACAUAUUCAGGAAAGCCAAACAAUUCAAGAUCACUUAAAUUGUACGGAUCAUACGUUGUCAUCAACAGUAGUAGAUAACAAGUAGGUGGAAAAUUGCAUAUAUGGGUAAUUAGAGAAGUAGCAGGUAGAGCUGGAAAAAUAGAUGGAUCGUACAUGAGAGAGCAAGCAUUUGGGUUUUCGUCGCUAAAAAUUUGAGGAUAAGCAAACUCGGAGUAGUACUUGGAUGGGUAAUAUUCACUUCGUUCCAUAUGUCACUCAUCUUCUUGCCAUCGUCUCCAUCCAUCUCCUUUGCCUUGAUCUUCUUCUUUCUUCUCAUCUGCAUCUUUCUUCUUUUCUUCCCUUCGUCAUUCACUAUACAUUAAUUAUGGUAUUAUACAAAGAAAAAAAAGCGCCAACUACGGAUCCAGUGGAAUUUGUAGUGGAGAUUCCGUUAAAAUCUUGAGACAUAAAAUUUUACUAAAUUUCAAAAAUAAAAUUUGAAAUAUUUGAUGGAAUUUUGAAAUUAAUGAGUUAUCAAUUUUGAGCAUUGUAAGGAUGCUAUAACCUUUAAUUUAUAAAAAUUGAAAGGGGUUUAUAAAAUGUGAUUUUAUAGAUGGCGGAUUACACAUGGCCAACAAAGAUUUGUUUUAUUAUAUGUGAAUAGUUAAAAUUGAAAUUUAAAAAUAAGAAAUCUAAUAUUUAACUAUGAUCCCGUUUUGAAAAUUAAUAAAUUAUCAAUUUUGGGCGUCGUAGUCGUAGGAGUACUAUAACCUUUUCUACCCAUAACUGAUUCUCCAACCUAAUUUUUCUCUAGAUUUAAACACGGAUCUUAAAAUUGUUCUUAAAGGCAUUUUAAAAUUUCUUUAUAAAAUUUGAUUUUAUGGGUUACUGGUCACAUCUAGUAAAAAUAGAUAGUGAUGAGUUUUAAUUUGAAACAUUCAUGCAUUGUAAUUUAAUUACUAUUAGAUUCCUUGAUUCAUUUAUUCUAAAAGCAUUCACGCUUUACUCGACCAAAGUCAUCCAUUCAUGGGAUGCCUUCCUUUGCACUCAAGCAAUGCUCGACUUGGAAGGCACUUGGAAGGCAAUCGAAGUUGCUUGUGGUAGAAGGCCGAUCGAAGCCAGAGCGCUGGUAGAUGAAACCUUUCUCGCUGACUGGAUAAUGGAUUGCUAGGAUAAAGGAGAUAUUCUGGCCGCUGUCGAUGGGAGGUUGGGAAAGAAGUUUGUGUCUUAUGGUCGCGCCAUUCCUCCAACUACAGAGUCGCUUGUGUCUUAUUCAUCAUACAAAUAUUUUUUUUUUAAGGAUUUGUGAUCCAAAUUCAAAAUAUUUGGUGAUAGAGCGUACUGCAGCUUCAAAGGCCAAAGUUGUUGUAAAUUUACAACAAUUGUAUAAAGUGUUGCAUAAGCCCUCGAAGCCCCCAUGUUCUUGUUGGAGUUGGAAUCCUCAUUUGUAACAGGCACUGUAUCAAAUAUUUCAACCAUUAAUCAAAAACUUGUUUUUCAGGGAAUUGAUUUUUUGCAUCUGAAUCGAAGGUUUGAAAAGUUAAUCUUAUCAUUUUUUAUUUAUUAAAUGUGUCGUAUUUAUAUCAAGGAUUGUCGUAUUUAUAUCAAGGGUUUUAUUUUAAACUUUUAAUUUCAAAAUGCAUUUUGCCUUCUUUGAUUUAGUACUCUCUAUAUCAAUUUCAUGUUUGUGAAAUUCAUCCAUUCUAAAUGCAUUUUGCGUUCUUUGAUCAUCAACUAUAUCAAUUUCAUGUUGGUAUUAUGAACACCGAUAUAUUUGUACGAAAUGGCUAGUGAAGUAGUUUACACAAUUAUUGCUUCUUCCCUUAUCGGCCGGCCGUUAUAGAAUUGAACAUUUUUUGCAUCCCUUUAGGCUGCGGCCCGUCUUCUUCUGUUUCCUCGUGGAUAUCACGUUUUCGUUUUACAAGGGAAGUGCUGCUUGCGGAUCCAUCAUUUUCAAUAGUGAUGAUGGAUAUGUUCAACGUUUGGAGAAGAUUGAGUGGUAUGGCACUGCACCUAUUUUAUUUCUUCCAAAUCUUUUGUUGUACAUUAUUCUAACACCACAGUUCUUCACCUUAAGAGAAGAAGACCUUUUUGAGUCUUGGAAAGACAUCUCAAGCUCAUCGCAUUCAUGAUCAGCAAUCCAUUGUCCAUAAAUUCUUGGUUUCACAUUUAUCCUUCAAGGAUAAUGGAUAUAAUAAUUAACGCGAGAAAUAACGAAGAAAAAGGUGGUCCUUUGUUAUGGGUCGUCGAUCAAAAUUAAGGAAACUGGAAUCGACCUCUUGAGGAUUUUUAACUUGAAAAACAGAUCCAUUACUACUAUGUUGUCCAGAAUUUCUAGAAUGGAUAUAAGUUGGACCACCGAUAACUUUUCUCUUGGAAUCACCAUCAUCGCCGAAAAUGCAGCAGAAAGCAACUCCAAUCUAUUGACUGUCAUUCUGAAUAUUUAGAGGCAAAGGUAUUUCAAUUACAGAGCCGCCUCUCUGCUGGCUGAACCAUUCUGGGAUUACAUUUCCAGGUAUAACAACAUCAAAUCUUUUUCUUGAAUUCGCAAAUGCCUGCAAAUUAAAACAUCAGUCGUUCUUGAAUUUGCUAAAUAAAAUAUCUGUCACAUUUAAGUCAUUAAACAAGAAUUUUGAAAGAUGAAAAAUAGAAGCAAAAACCGUAUGUUGGAUUGAGAGAAGAAGAUGACUUAUCUCAUUACUUGAAUAAGUAACAUAACAUAUACAUAAAUAGUUCUAUUGCAUUGGAAGAAAAUAAACAUUGCUUGUGCAAGUAAGCAAGCUGUAAAAUCAGCUUAAUGAUAACAUAAAGCCUAUUAAAUCUGCUAAGUACAUGGCUGAACCUCAGCAAAACAAAAAGUUACAAUCAAAUCAAACAUAAGUCACAUGUUAAAAAAGUUAAAUGACCGAAAUACAGCAUGGAGAUUUGCAUGUUGCUGCAUUGUUGCUUGGACACUUGCAUGCUGCUGCAUUGUUGCCAACUUUCAACACUCCUCCUUGGCUACAAAGUAGUAGACUCCAAUUUCCUUCCUCAGAUACUCAAACCUUGUGGCAGCUAAUGGCUUGGUCAAAAUGUCUGCGAGCUGAACCUCCGAGCAGCAAUGAAUCAAGUUGACUUCCUUUAACAAUUCUGCCUCCCUUACAAAAUGAUACUUGAUCUUGCCAUGAAAUACAAGAUUCUUGGCAACGGCAACAGUUGACUGAUUAUCUACUUUGAUAUCUGUUGCUUCCACUUGAUCAACAUUCAAGUCACUUAAAAGCUUUCUAAGUCAAAUUGCUUAAUUAACAGCAAUAGCAGCUAUAACAUACUUUGCCUCUGCAGUGGAUUGAGUUACUGUCUGGUAUUUCUUAGAACUCUAACUAAAAACUGCUGAGCCUAGAGUGAAAAAGUAGCCCGAUGUACUCUUCAUGUCAUCAACUGAACUAGCCCAGUCAUUGUUUGAAUAGCCAACUAGUUUCAGUUCUUCAGCUUUCACAAACUUCACUCCAUAGCUUAAGGUUCCUUUGACAUACCUUAGGACCCUUUUGGCAGCCUUGAAAUGAGCAAAAUUACAAUAAUGCAUGAACCUCGAUAAAUGGCUAACUGCAUAUAUGGUGUCUAGCCUUGUUGUUGUGAAAUAGAGCAGACAACCAACUAGACUUCUAUUGCUCUUCUCAUCAACUCGAGCAUGUCACUGUUGCUGGAGAGUUUUUCUCCUUGUGCCACAGGAGUGUUAGCAGGUUUGCUAUUUGUCAUGCAAAUCUUGCUUAAAUUUUUUGAAGCAAAAGACUGUUGGCUUAUGAAGAUGCCAUGUUCAUUCUAUUUCACUUCCAUACCAAGGAAGUAGGUCAUCAAUCCUAGAUUAGUCAUCUUGAAAACAUCUUGCAUUUGCUUCUUGAAUUCUUCAAUCAACUCACUUCUACAACCAGUAACCAACAAGUCAUCCACAUACAGAGACACAAUCAACAAGGUUUCUUUCUCAACCUUCUUUACAUAGAGUGUAGGCUCAUUAGUUCUCUUCUCGAACCCCAGCCUUGACAGGUAAGCAUCAAUCCUGUCAUACUAGGCCCUUGGAGCCUGUUUUAGGCCAUACAAGGCCUUCUUGAGCUUGUAAACCUUGUGCUUUUCACCAAGAACCUUGAAUCUAUCAGGUUACUCAACAAAGAUCUCCUCAUUGAGAAAUCUAUUCAGAAAACUGAUUUAACAUCCAGCUGAUGCAUUUUCCACUGCUUCUGAGCAGCUAAGGCAAACAACAACCUUAUGGUGUCUAGCCUUGCAACUGGUGCAAAUGUUUUAGAGAAAUCGGUGCCAUACUGUUGACUAUCCCUUUCACAACUAGUCUUGCCUUGUGCUUGUUCAGUGACCCAUCUGCAUUGUUCUUGGUCCUGAACACCCAUUUUACACCAAUAACUUUCCUAUUUACUUGCAUGUUAACCAGCUCCCAUGUGUCAUUUUUGUGAAUCAUCUUCAUUUUUGCCUCUAUUGCUUCUUUUCAAUAGCCUUCCUUUGCAGCCUUAUCAAAGUUAGAAGGCUCAACAAUGGUCAUAUCACACCUAUCGUAGAUGUCCAUAAUAGUCAUUGUACCUCUAACAGAUACAUCAUCAUAAUCAUCCUCAAUUUUAGCUUCAGUCUUAGCAUGCUACAAAUCAAGAUCAUGCUGGUCUUGCUCAAACAAGCUUGCAUUUGCUCCAUCCCAUUUCCAACAGUUGCCCUCAUUGAAUUUCACAUCUCUGCUUAUAAUAAUCUUCUUGGUGGAUGGAUCAAAGACCCUGUACCUUUUUUAUGCUACUAUAGCCAACAAAGACUCCAGGUAUGGACCUUUUUUCUAGCUUGGUUCUCUUCUCAACUGGCACCAAUGUGUAGCAUAUGCAGCCAAACACUUUCAAGUGUGAAACAAUUGGCUUAUGUCCAAACCAAACUUCAAAUGAAGUUUUACCUUUGACUGCAUUAGUUGGCAGCCUAUUUAGCAAAUACACAAAUGUAUUACUGCCUCGGCCUAAAAAUUGUUAGGCAUUUUGCCUUCAAACAAUAGACCCUGGCCAUAUCGAGAACAGUCAUGUUCUUUCUCUCACAAACACCAUUAUGUUGUGGUGUGUAAAUGAUGAUUAAUUGGUGCUGAAUUCCAGCUUUAUCACAAAUCUUCUGGAACCUUUGAGAUACAUAUUCAGUCUCAUUAUUAGACCUCAAUAUCUUUAACUUGCAACUGGCUUGAUUCUCAGCCAAUGCCUUGAACUUGUAAAAGAAAUCAACCACAUUUGACUUUUGUUUUAGAAAGCUUACCCAACAAAAUUUGGUGCAAUCAUCAAUGAACAAUGCAAAAUACCUACUGUCAUUCAAAGAGGAGGUCUUCAUAGGUCUACAAAUGUCUGUAUGGACCAAUUAGAGCCUUUCUUAAGCUCCCCAAGCUCUAUUAAAAGGAAAAGGUAGUCUGGUCUGCUUGCCAAACUGGCAGACUUCACACACAUCAUUUCUAGGCUCGAUCUUGGACAUGUCUUCAACUAGGCUCAUCUUGUGCAGUAAACUUAGUGAAUUAUAGUUCACAUGCCUCGGCCUCUUGUGCCACAAACAUGAUUCAUCAGUUAGAGCUAUAUGUGCCUUUGCUUUUAACUGAUUCACAAUGCAUAGCUACUGUCACUAGCACUUGAUCAAAAGCAUCCUUAAUCAGACAAGUCUUUUCUUCAAAAAUAAGGGAAUAACCCUUCUCUAACAACUGACCAACAUUAAGUAGAUUCUAGUUAAUAUAAGGUACAAAAAGAACUUCUAAAAUAGUUUUGUUACCUGACUGAGUGCAGAUCACAGCCUUGCCUUUACCUUUGGCCUCGAUAAACUCACCAUUUUUAAUUUUGACUUUGGACACAAAACUGGUGUCUAGCUCCCUGAACAUGCCUUUAUCUGAAGCUAUGUGAUGAGUGUAGCCACUGUCAAUUAACCAAUUCUUCCUAACUUUGCUUGAACUUGCAAAACAAGAGGCAGUGAAAUCAUACUCCUCUUGAGCUUGAAUAUCCUCAGUAGCUUGAGCUUGAUUCUGUUGCUGUGGUUGUGUUUUUGCUUUGUUCCUGCAAACUUUUUUCAAUGUGGCCAAGUUGCUUGCAACUUCUACAUUGAAUGUUAGGCCUGUACCAACAGUACUUUUCUUAGUGAGUUGACUUUUCGCAGUGAGUGCAUGGUGGAAACUUCCUUUUAGUAGCAUCCUUCUUUCUUUUUUCUUUCUUUUCUGACCAAGGCCUCUUGCCCUUGUUGCUUGAGCUCGAGCUUGAGCUUUCUCUGCUUCUAUCUUGAAAGGCUCCUUCAGAAUUCUCCUCCAUUCUAUUUGCUCUUCUUUGCUCUUGUGCAUAGAGAACAUUUAUCAGCUUUGUCAAGGGUAUAGCUGAUAGGUCCCUAGAGUCCUCCAAAGAAGAGAUUUUUGACUCAUACUUCUCUGGAAGAGUUGUAAUGACUUUUUCAACUAUCCUUUUGUCACUGAACUAAUCCUCAAGAAGCCUUAUGUUUUUUACUGUAGCCAUAAUCCUGUCAGCAUACUAGUUGAUGGUUUCUGACUCUUUCAUCUUCAGAUUCUCGAAGUCCCUUCUCAGGUUUAUCAACUGCUACUGCCUGGUCUUAUCUGACCCUUGAAACUCUUCCUUGAGUCUGUCCCAAGCCUACUUUGGAGUGUCAAAAGCCAUUAUCCUUAUGAAGAUCACAUCUAAAACUCCAUUUUGAAGGCAUGACAUAGCCUUAUACUUUUUGGCACAGUCCUCAUUGUGCUGCCUAAUUUGAGCUAUGGUUGGAUUAGCACUCAAAGCUGGUGGCUCUAUGUCAGCUAGAACAACGCUCCACAAAUCAUGAGCCUGCAGAUAUAUCUUCAUUUUCACAGCCUAAAUGUUGCAGUUUUCACCAGCAAAGAUAGGUGGUGGUGGUGGUGAGAAACUCAUUCUUCUACAGCAACUAAAAUAAGCCAACAAAAACAACUUUUGUUUCUUUUCUUUCAAGCAUGAGUCACUCAAGGGAUAGCUUAUAGCAAAAUGCCCUCAAAGAUGAUAGGCUCUUGAUACCAUUUGUUGAGUUUAAAUCAUUAAACAAGAAUCAAAACAAAGAAUUCGUGUUUGAGAGAUGAAAAAGAAAAGUAAAAAUCAUAUGUUGGAUUGAGAGAAGAAGAUGACUUAUCUCAUUACUUGAAUAAGUAACAUAACAUAUAAAUAAAUAGUUCUAUUAUAUUAGAAGAAAAUAAACAUUGCUUGUGCAAGUAACCAAGCUGUAAAAUUAGCUUAAUGAUAAUCUAAAACCUACUAAAUCUGCUAAGUACAUGGCUGAACCUCAACAAAACAAAAAGUUACAAUUAAAUCAAACAUAAGUCACAUGUUACAAAAGUUCAAUGACUGAAAUACACCAUGGACAUUUGCAUGCUGCUGUAUCGUUGCCAACUUUCAACAAUAUCGGCAGUUCUGUAACUAAAACCAUGAAAAAAGAGAGAGAGAUCAAUCUACUUUAAUAUUGUUUUCAGCAAUGUUAUUGCACUAAUGUUCUUGGUCAAUCUGUAGCUAUUACCGGCCAUAAAGUAAGCCCAAUUAUGUUUCCAAUCUGUUGUCAUCCUUGUUAGAAGCACAGGCAACAAUUCAAGCUCACUGCGAUUUGACACUCCAAGAUAUUGAAGAUUGGAAAGACGAGUAAGAGACGCAAGUAUGCUGGUGAAAUUGUUACCACUAAGAACAAGAUAUCUCAAUGAGGAUGGACCAGAAAUAUCGCUAGGAAUAUCUCCUUCACCCAUAUUGCAGAGGCUGCAAUUUGACAACCUAUCUUUAAGCUUGAAGAGUUGAGCAAGAGAUGCCAAUAUGCUGUUGAAAUUAUUACCGCUAAGAUCAAGAUCUUCCAAAAGAGGAUAGAAAAGAAAUAGUACUAGGAAUAUCUGCUUCACCAAGAUUGUAGUCCUUUAGUUUCAAGUUCGUUAAUGAACUCAAACUAGAUAAUGAAGGUUGCAUUGGAGCUAUGGAAUUCAUCCUUCUUCUUCGGCUUACCUUGAAAGAAGAAAGGUGAUUUCUUUUUAACAUAGACAGACCCUUGCAUCCAUCGAAAGAAAAAACUUUAAGAUUUUUCAAUUGAGAAAUGAAGGGUGGUGGUUCUUUUAUGGCUGUUUCACUCAAGUCAAGCUCUUCCGAAGAUUCUGCCUGCUGCAAAUUCUCUGGCAAAUGUUCAACUUUAUAACAACCAAAAAGAUUAAGAGUUUUUAGAUGUUCCAUUUUCCCAUCAAUCUCUGGAACCUUGGCAAGAUUUGAGCAACUGGAAAGAAUUAAAGUUUCAAGGGAUUCCACUGCAAUUUUGGUUGGAAGACUCUUAAAUCCAAAAGUUUAAGUCUCUUAAGUAGUCCAAGCGACGGAUGAGCAUCUACUAAUCUGAUACAACCUUCCAUAAUCAGAACUUCGAGAUAUGGGGCUAUUAUUAAUGGUAGUAACAUUUUAAUUAUUUUAAUAUACUUUUAUUUUUAGAAAUUUUGUACCAUUCUUUUGUUUCAUGUCAUGUUCGAAAAAGAGUUUGAAUAAUAGAUUUGGAGUACGAAAAAAUGGCUCAUUUAAUAUUAUAAUAAUAUUUGUUACAUGUCAAAUCGGUUUCAUGUCGUCUUAAUAUCUGGAAUUUGUUUUCUAAUUAUUAUUAUUAUUAUUAUUAUUAUUAUUUUAAAACAUUGUUAUACGUUCUUAUCAUCUUCGUUCUUUUUUAUAUAAUGCCUAGAACUAUCCGUAGUCCCUCUCUCACCCUUAAAUAGGAGGAUAACGCGCUUCAGCAUACUCAAACUCACGUCCUCCUGCACUAGUAACAAUAUUGAUGCCAAUCGAGUUAGGACUCAAACCCACGUGUUCUUAAACGACUAGGUUUGACGACCCUAGGAAGUUAUCAUAGGCUAGACGAGGUCAGGAGAUAAGCGAGUAUAAACCAAUCGAUUACUUAAUUAGAGCUCGGGAGGUAAUAAUUGACUAAUUAGUAGCUAAUCUAUCCUAAAACCCUAAUCUGAAGUUUAUUACAAAUCUUGAAGCGAGUUAAUCUUCCUGAUUGGUUUAUUAAUUUUAGUGGAUUGUUAUUUUUCUUAUUUAAAUUCUCUCAUUAAUCUAUUUUAUGGUUUAUCUUAAUAUAGAGAUUAAUUACUACUACUUAGACUUAUUAUUGUAAAAAAGUUUCCGUAAAUUUAUUCCAUCCUCUUAGGUACGGUCCUCAAAAUACUUCCAAAUAUUUUAUUGUACUAACUUUAUUAUACUUUGACCCGUGCAUUUGCAAACACCGCUAUUCUAAAUUCUUAUAUAUUUUUGGUGUAUUAUUUUAAUAUAAACAAUAACCCCUUUACCACUCCCUUGGCCCACUUUAGCUACAGACCCCUGCUUCAAACGAAUUGGGUCAGUGGUCCGACCUUCCCCACUACCUCCAGCCUCAACGAAGACACCCUUUCCUUUUUUAUUAGCUUCCAGAAUUAUCUCCCUUAUUUCCUCCCAUCAUUCCCCAAUAUCAUUGACAGAAUCAAGAACUUUAAAUCUGGAAUCCCCAAUCAAAACCCCCGAAUUAGCGUUGCCUGGCUUCCAAGGAUCCCUAAAAUUACGCCUUAACUUUCUCUCCACAAGCAUCCUUGGUCCGUAGACUGGUGACUCCUCUGGUCUAUCAUCUUCCACCAUCACCUGCCAUAUCCGCCAUAGAGUGUUUCGCAUAAGCCCUCGAAGCCCCCCUGUUCUUGUUGGAGUUGGAAUCCUCAAUUGUAAAAGUCGCUGUAUAAAAUAUUUCAACCAUUAAUCAAACAAUAACAGAGAAACUUAACUAAAUAGGAGAAAAAAUCAAUUUGUACGAAAGGGCUAGUGAAGUAGUUUACACAAUUAUUGCUUCUUCCCUGAUCGGUCCGUUAUAAAAUUGAAAAUGUUUUGCAUCCUUUUAGGGUGCGGCCCUUCUUCCUCUGUUUCCACGUCGAUAUCACGUUUUCGUUUUACAAGGGAAGUGCUGCCUGCGGAUCCAUCGUUUUCAGUAGAGUGAUGAUGGAUAUGUUCCAAGUUUGGAGAAGAUUGAAUGGCAUGGCACUGCAGCUCUUCUAUUUCUUCCAAAUCUUUCUCAUACAUUAUUCUAACACCACACUUCUUCACCUUAACAGAAGGAUACCCUUUUGGAGAAGAUUGGAAAGACAUCUCAAGCGAUAAAUUAUUGGUUUCACAUUUAUCCUUUAAGGAUAAUGCCGAGAAAUAACGAAGAUAAAGGUGGUCCUUCGUUAUGCAUCGUCCAACAAAAUUAAGGAAACUGAAAUCGACCUUUCGACUAUUUUUAACUUGAAAAACAGAUCCAUUACUACUAGAUUGUCCAGAAUAUCUAGAAUGGAUAUAAGUUGGACCACCGAUAACCUUUAUCUCGGAACCUUUAUCAUCGCCGAAAAUGCAGCAGAAAGCAACUCCAAUCCAUCGACUGUCAUUCUGAAUAUUGAGAGGCAAAGGUAUUUCGAUUACAGAGCCGCCUCUCUGUUGGCUGAACCAUUCUGGGAUUUCAUUUCCAGGUAUAAUAACAUCAAAUCUUUCUCUUGAUUUCGCAAAUGCCUGCAAAUUAAAACAUCAGUCGUUCUUGAAUUUGCAAAAUAAAAUAUCGGUGGUUUUGUAACUAAAACCAUGAAAAAGAAUAGAUCAAUCAAUCAACCUUAAUAUGUGUUUUCAGCAAUGUUAUUGCACUCAUGUUCUCAGCCAAUCUGUUGCUGUUAAUGGCUAAAAAGUAAGACCAAUUAUGUUUCCAAUCACUUGUCUUCCGUGUUAGAAGCACAGGCAACGAUUCAAGCUCUCUGCAAUUACACACUCCAAGAUAUUGAAGAUUGGAAAGACGAGCAAGAGACGCAGCUAUGCUGGUGAAAUUGUUACCAUUAAGAUACAGAACUUUCAAUGAGGAUAGACCAGAAAUAUCACUAGGAAUAUCUCCUUCACCCAUAUUGCACAGGCCGCAACUUGACAAACUAAGUUCUUCAAGCUUGGAGAGUCCGGUCAGAGAUGCCGGUAUUCUGUUGAAAUUGUUAUCUCUAAGAUCAAGAAAUGCCAAAGAGGAUAGACAAGAAAUAGCACUAGGAAUAUAUCCUUCACCAAGAUUGCAGCCCCUUACUGCCAACUUUGUUAAUGAACUCAAACCGGAUAAUGAAGCUAGCAUUGAAGCUAUGGAAUUCAUCCUUCCUCUUUGGCUUACCUUGAAAAGAGAAAGGAGAUUUCUUUUUAACUUGCACGGACCCUUGCAUCCAUCGAAAUAUAGAACUUUAAGAUUUUUCAAUUGAGAAAUGAAGGAUGGUGGUUCUUUUAUGGCUGUUUUACUCAAGUCAAGCUCUUCCAAAGAUUCUGCUUGAUGCAAACUCUCCGGCAAAUAUUCAACUUUAUAACAAUCAUAAAGAUGAAGAGUUUUUAGAUGUUCCAUUUUCCCAUCAAUCUCUGGAAACCUUGCAAGAUUUGAGCAACCCGAAAGAAUUAAAGUUUCAAGGGAUUCCAUUCCAAUUUUGGUUGGAAGACUCCUAAGACUUUUGCAAUCUCUUAUAUUCAAAAGUUUAAGUCUCUUAAGCACUCCAAGUGAUGGAUGAACAUCUACUAAUCUAGUACAACCUUCCAUAAUUAAAACUUCGAGAUAUGGGGCUGUUGUGAAGUUUGUUGUCUUGAUGAGAUUUUGGGACCCUUUAAGGUUGAUUAUUUUCAACUUAUACAAGGGCUGUGGAAAACAAUAAUAGAUUAGAGAGAAAAGAGAAAACAACAUAAUUAACCUCAUUAUUAUUAUUAUUAUUAUUAUCUAGUUCAGAUUUUAAUCGUUUAUAAUAUUAAACAAAUUAAUUGGUUAUAUUAAAAUAAGCUAAAACAUAAGGAUUAGAUGAAUUUAAUUCUUACUCUAUUUCCCUUCCACAGUUGUUCAAUGCGACUAUAUGGUAAGAGAAGUGCGACAAGGUUGUCCGGUUGAAAGCUUGAAGGCAAUGAUCUUAAAGGAUAUUUUGUCCAAUCUAAAAGUCGUAGCUCAUCAGAAAGAUAUUUGAGAUCAUCACAAUUUGAGAGGCAAAGCACUCUGAGCAAUCUCAAUCUUUUCAUCUUCGAGAAGACAUCGUCACUCAAAUUGAGCAUCCUGCUUGAUUCCCUAAAAACCACGGGCAAACAGAAAAUGAGCAUUAAAAUAUACAAAAACAUUCAAUACCUAAAAGCUAUGUUUCUCCAAUACUAUUUUUCAAGGACUUUUAUCCGAUACUUAUAUCUAACAUAUGUCCAAAUAUAAGCAUUGAUAUAUGAUCCUUCAAGAACUCUUUAAAUACAUGAAAAGGACUUUUAAAAAAAUCAUACAUACCCAAUUUAGACAUAUAUAUAUAUAUCAAACACUCACUUUUGACUUCGAAUUACUUAAAGCUUUAGAAACUAUAAAUAAAUCUUGAAUUAUAUUAGUGCAAUGAUAAUGCGUAAUUCUAUUUUUAAAAACUUUGAUGACAUAUUAAAAUCUUACUCUCUGUGAUAUACUAUCCGUACAUUAAAUAUAAGCACUUAAUAUUAGCAAUGAUAUAUCUCUAUCGUGUUUCUUUUGAAAGAUUAAUGCGUUGCUAGAUAAAUUUCAUAAAAAUAAUAUUAAAUAUUAAGCAUUAAAGGUAUUUUCAUUGAUUUUUAUUGGAUACUUUUACUAAAAAAAAACACCAAUAACAAUAUUAAUAAUACACAUCAUAAAUGUAUAUAUAUAUUUUCUUACCCUUGAUUGUCGAUGAUUAUGCCUUCAAUUAUUUCCGUAACCUAAAAAAAGUAAGAAUAGAGACUAAAUUAUUUUAAUUAAAGUAAAACAUUUCCAAUGAGAGGAUGGAAUUAAUUACUUAUUUUUUCAAAUCCUUAUUAACAGUUACCAUCAACAAAAGGAAUUCAUCUCAAUGCUAUUGAACGUCACUUUUUUAUGGACUGCUAUAUUAAUCAACUGUACUAAGCCUUACUCCAUUUUAUUCCAGAAAUAAAGUAAAACAUUUUCUAAUGAGAGUAAAUCAAUCAAAUUAAACACUUAUUUUAUAAAUCCUUAUUAAUAUUUAUAUUCAACAAAUGGAAAUUAUCUUAAAGCUACUCAAUGUCACUUAAGGAUUGAUAUGUAAACCAAUUAAACUAAGCUUUGGAUUUACAUCAUAUAUUGAUAAAAAGAAAACUUUAUAUGUAAUUUUUGUUGAAUGAUUUACCGUAUUUUUUGUUAGGACAUGAUGGACAUCCCUUUCCUUCCACAAUCUGCAACGUUUUCCAGGUUCAUCAACACAUUUUCUUCAACAAUUUUUCUUCCCAUUUCUUGCAACAAGGCAUGCAUCCGCAAAUAUUGGUUGUCAUCACCGACUUUUAUGAGAGAUUUCUUAAUGAGAACAUCGAUUCCAAUAUCUGGAAAACAGUCACAACCAUCCAAUACUUUCAUUACCAAAUCUUUCUCCUCCCCAUUGAAAAAGCAUGCUAUAUCUAGAAAUAUAUUCUUCUCCCUUUCUUCCAAUCCAUCAAAGCUAAUUCUUAGUGUGUCAAGAAUUUCUUUGUUAGAAUCUUGAUUAAGUCUUUCGAUUGCACUUCUCCAUUGAAUUAUAUCUCUACCGCACAAAAAUGAACCCAAAACUUCAAGAGCUAAGGGCAGACCAUCAGCAUAAUGUACAACUUGUUUAGAAAGCUCAAUGAAAUCAUAUUUCGGCGUUGUAUCACUAUCAAAAGCUUUCAAAUUGAAAAGCCUAAGUGCAUCGUUGGGAUUCAGUGUUGUAGGCUUAUACACAUCAUCGAUUCGAUAAGAUCUGAGCAAAUGUUCAUCUCUUGUUGUUACAAUGAUCCUACUCCCUAAACUGAACCAAUCACGCCUUCCAACCAAGCAUUUCAAGUGUUGUACGUUAUCAACAUCAUCAAGAACAACAAGAACCUUAUUUCUAGACAACCUAUGGCUAAUUAUGGCAUUCCCUUCAUGAACAUUGAAAAAAUUGAAGCAUUCGUCUGGAAAGAUUUGAGAAAGGAGUUGUUUCUGUAAAGAAACAAGUCCAUGUUUGUUUGAAACUUCUCGAACAUCAGCAAGAAAGCAUUUACCUUCGAAAUGAGGUAACAUUUGAGUGUAAGCAACUUUUGCAAGAGUUGUUUUACCGAUGCCACCCAUUCCGCAAAUUCCUAUAAUGCGGACAUCGUCUUCCCCAAUGUUUAUUUUCGAAUGCAACUCCUCCAAAGGUAAACUAAUUCCAACCAACUCAUCAUGAACAAUCAGAUAUGUCUGACAUAGUUUUGCUGAAAUCUUCUUAACAACGUCUCCGAUAAACUUUGAUUCAUGCCUACAAAGAAAUUAAAUUCUGAUGUUAUCUUUCAAAUGAACUUUUUCAUUUUUAGGUAAGUGAAUCAUGAAAUAUAAUGUAGUUGGAAGCAAACAAAAACAAGAAUAAGACAGCAAGAUCUGUUAUAGCAUCAAAAUACACAACUUGCUCGUUAGUUGAUCUAACGCCCACUUCAGAUUUGUUAAAUUUUGUCAUCAAUCAGUAUUUGUAUUAGUGGUUUAGUGUCUUAGUGUUGUUUGUGAGGUCUUGGGUUUAAGUCAUGUUUUUAUUUUGGGGAAUUAAAUUAUUUUUGUUAGACCUAGGUUAAUUGUUUUGGUUGGUGGUGUGGGAUUGGGUUUUGUUUUAAACUCUUAAAAAACGAUGGUAAGUUAGCAGGUUGUUGGAUUAGAUUUGAGAGGGAUUUUGUUCUUAUUUUUAUUCUUUUAUUCUUUUUAUUUUAGGUUGUUGGCUUCUUUACCUUCUUGUUUCGGUUCUUUUGUUACUUCUUUAUGGUGUAGCUUCUAUUUGGUUGGCCCCAAUCCUUAGCGGUAAGGUUCUAUCAUCUUUUACUGUGUUCUUUUGUGAAAUUGUUCGUUGGGCAUUUGGGGAUUUCGGAAUUUUGUUUGUAUGGUGCGAAAUUUGUAUUUUUUUGUGUUAUCUAAUUAAUCCGCUAUGUUUUAGGAGAAGUUCAAGAUGCGUUUUGUGUUCCUCCAGCGACUUAGGAUUUGCAUAGAAGCUGUUCGUUUAAUGGUAAGUAUGUGGAUGUAUUUUUGGAGGGUUGUAUAAGCUCGGUUGUGGUCAAUUCUUUGUUAGAUUUCGCAAAUCAUUAUUAAAAUUGGUUGUGUUAAUUGUCAAUUUAGGUGGGGGAUUACUCAUUUUUGGAAUCGUAUUCGGAUGUGUAAUGACCCGAAAAACAACAAAUGACAAAAGUUGAAAAACUGCACUGUCGACGCCACAUGGCCCUGUGAGAAAUUAUGUAGCCACAAAGUCUGGGCCAUUUGGACCCGUGUUGCCCACACGGUCGUGUGUGAGACUGUAUGGGCCCAAUAUUUUGAAUUUUCCCUAGUGCCAUAAACAUCAUUUGGGUCGAACGUAUGUUAUAAAUUAAGUAAAAUCUAUAAUAUGCUAUGUAUGAUCUGAUAUACGGUAAGCAUGACUUGAGUUUGAUAUUAAGCAUGUAUGACAUAUACAUUUUCGACAUCUAUGAUUACUAUAUGUUUGUGCAUUUGGGGAUGGGAUUGUGUAUAUGGAGGAAGUGUGAACAGAUAUAUUUCUACCGUAUUUGGUGGCACAACCAUACAUAUUUAUGUAAACGGCGAUAAAUCGCUUAAUAAACUGGCAACUCAACUACAAAUAAUUUGAAAAGUGUCAUACCGACGCUAAAUGGUGUGUAGGGAUGGAUGAGUAUAUAAUGUCAUAUAUGGUGCCUUGGGAUGAUCGGAGAUGAUGUGUAGCGGGUGGGGGUAGAACUAUAAAUUUGCAUCUAUUAUGUUCUAAUAAGCUCUGUUUCUAAUAUAUGUAUGUCUAAAUGAUUUCUGUAUGUGAUGUUACACAUUGGGUUUCGAAAACUCACUCUCUGUUUGACUGUCACUUUCAAGUAACCCUCAAACUUAGGCGGACUAGUGCGAUUGAAGCUUGGUUAUAAUAUUUUGAUUUCUUCUAACUUACUUAAAAUUUGGAAUUUACGUGUUUUAAAAAAUUUGGUCUGUCUUUGGUCAUUUUGGGACUGUUUAAAUUAUUGGACUUUACUUUAUGAUUUUAAUUGUUUUAUUGUUUUUGGUGGGAUUAUAAUAUGUUAUGUGAAAUGUUGAUUUAAAAAUAUUAAACUGUGUUUUAAAAACUGUACUUAAAUAAGAUUUUUCCCCUGCAAACUCAAAUGUUUUAAAAAUAUACUUAUGUAUAAACGACGAUUUUAAUAAUCAGAUAAGAAAGAUAAGCUUACAAACAAAUCAGAUUUUUAUGUAACGAAAGUUAACGACGUUUUGUAAAACUAAUGUACUCAGGGUUUUUAUAUAAUUUACAGUAAUAUCUCCGGAUCUAACCAUAACGUUUAGACCAAGUUUAGAGUGUUACAACUAAAAUAUGAUAAUUCUCAAUUAAAAACAAAGUUAUAAAAAAUAACAUGCAAUCCAAAAUAAUAAUAAUAAUAAUUUUUUUAGUCAUUAAAACUAGGAAAUAGAGAAGAAAAGAAAGAAAUACCUAUUAUGUAAAUGCCAUCCCUUGAUGUUAGCCACUUCAGUCAAAGCAUUUCGCCACUUUUGGAUCUUGUCUUUAUUUUCUUUGCAUCUUUCUUCGUGUUUGGAGAAGGCUUCUUCAACUUUUCCUUUUUGUUUUCUUAAAUCAGAGGGAUCCACAUCGUAGAAAAUUGGAAAUACUUUAUGACCCUUGUCAUUUUUUUGUUUAACAAUCUCGGCAAGCUCCUCCAAGCACCAACCUGAAAAGGCAUAGGUUUCCGAAAAAACGAUUACCGAGCACCAUGAUUGCUGAAUUGCGUUGAAGAGUUCCGGUGCGAUCUCUUCACCAGCUUCCAACUUUGGAUCAUCUCUAAAAGUGACAAUCCCAUUUCUAUUUAGAGCAUCGUAGAGAUGAUCCGUAAAGUUCUUGCGAGUAUCUUCACCUCUAAAACUCAAGAAAACAUCGUAUUUCUUUCUAGAAAUGGAUGAGGAAGUCGAAAGUAAUGACGACAUGAGGAUGUAUGAGAAGAAAAAUAUAUGUGAAUGUAAUGUUCAAAAUCAGAAAACAGAUGGCUCAAUACCUCAGAAACAAAGUAGAAACAGUAAGUAUAUGAGGGAAAAACAGAGGACUUCGUAAGGAAUUUCUGUGUACUUUGCCAAAUGAAUCUAUCAGUAUAAUAAUAGCUAUGAAAGGGAGUAGGUGUGGAAAUUCGGGGUUAUAGGUGUGGAGCCUACAAUUAUUAUAAAGUGAAGUGUUGGAAAUUCUAUUGGAAAUUUGACGUUUUACUUUAUUAUUCAAAAUAAUAACUAAUUAACUAAUAUUUAUUAAGUGAUAAUUAAUAUACUUAAAAUUCUAUUAAAAAAUAAUUCUAUUUUAUAUCAAUAAAAUUAACAUAACUUUUGUUUAUGUCAAAAAAAAAAUUUAAUAAUGAUAAAUUAUAAUUAUAAUUAUCACAAAUUUUUUUCCCUAUAUUUUAUUCUUAAGGUUCUAUUGAAGUUAUAACUCAAUUUUAACAUUAGUACAAGUUUUUUAAAUUAAUAAUUGUAAUUAUUUUUAGAUGGGUAAUUAUCACAACUUCUAUUAAAUUAUACUUAUUUUAUUUUGAUAAAAUGCCUAAAAUUAUCCAUAACGCUUCCCCAACCCUUAUAAAUGCACUUCAACAUGCUUGAACAUACAUCCUCUUGCAUUAGCAAUAAUAUCGAUGUCAACCGAGAUAAACUCAGUCAGCAAUUAUAAUUUUUUUAAAUGUAUAAUUAUCAAAAGUUUUAUUUUGUUUCAACUUUCUUUAACCAAUAAUUCUAAAUUAAAUAUUAUAAUUAUUUUUAAAUAUAAAUUUAAUAAUAUGAACGAAAAAAAAUGGUAUUCUCGUCAAUUCAAAAUCAAAAUUCCUAUUAAAUUAUAAUUUAUUUUUAAAUAUGAAUUAGUAAUAUAAAAAAAAUAGAGGUUAUUUUCAAAAUUAUUUUCAAACUCCUUGUUAUAUAUAUAUAUACAAAUUACGCACUCAUCUUCCUUUCUAAUAAAUUAACAAGUGCCAAAUUAUUCAACUCCGCUUGAUUAGUGCUGUUCAAAUCUGCUUUAACUUUACCUCCAUAAUACGCGGAGACCACGAAAAGCACUCAUUCCUUAAUACCAUAGUUCCCACGACGCCACUAUUGAAAACAAAGGCAUUUCUAUUGGUCAAAAGUCUCCAGCGGGCCAUAGCAAAAAGAUUACCCCAUUCACAGAAAAAGCAGCUUGAGUUUCGGAGAAAUUCACCGUUCUCCCAUUUCCUAGUGCCCAAUAGACACCAUCCACUACAUCUUCCCAAAUAUUGGACAAAGCCCUCCAGAAAAAAGUUUCUAUCUUUUCUUGAUUGGUUCAACAUUCAUUAAAAUAGUUUCCAAGGCUCUUUACCCAUUGCCUUAACAAAUUUGCAUUGGCUGAAAAUUUUCAACUUUGGUGGCAACAACUUCAAUAGAGAAAUUCCAUCAUGGUUUGGUCACUUUGCUGAGUUUCGAGUCUUACAGUUGCACAUUAACAAUUUCAGUGGCACUAAAAAAUAUAUAAACCAACACUUUAGUUUUAGCUCAUUCGUACAUCUCACAAAGAAAUUAAGGAUGAGGAGAUAUCUAACUCUAUUAUUCGCCAACUAUGGGAUUAUGGAGGUGACUAUGAGUUUUUUACACCAAUUAAGAGUUGCAUUGAAAAUCUUACAUUUUUUAGGAAUAUUAUUAAAGCAGGUUAUUCCAAUUAGCUUAUCUAAGAAGUUGGCUUAAUUGACAUCAAUUAAUUGGUAGAUGGCUCAAUUGUCAUAAAUAGAAAAAAAAUAUUUACUCUUAACUUUGCUAGAGCUAAACUUAAUGGUUAUUGUUUUAAAGUCAUGCUUCAAUAUUUAAACAAUUGUUCAUAGAAAUUGAAUAAGAAUGAACGAAUAAAACAAUAGCCAUGAAUUGCUUACAUUUGAGAUUGUUAUCAUCGAGAUACCAAGUGUUGAGCAUAGUUAAAAUUUCGAUUUCUGUAGGUAUAUAUACUUCCCUCUAAAUUGUUGAUAUACAAGGAUAAAAGCUUCAACUUUUUGCACUUGAAUAAGCUAUUUGGAAUUCUAUUAAAAAUUUGAUUCUCACUCAAUUUUAACUUUUCUAGUUUUGACAAAAUUUCCCAAAUAGAUGGAUAAGACCAGUGAAGUUGUUAAUGUGCAACUAUAAGACUUGAAGUUCAGCGAUGUGACCAAACGACAAUGGAAUUUCUCCAUUGAAGUCGUUAACCCCAAACUUCAAAAAUUUCAGUCGAUACAAAUUUGUUAACGCAAUAGGGAAAGAACUAUGGGAACUGUUUUCAUGAAUUUAGAGCCACGCAAGGAAAGAUAGAUUUUCCAAUUGAGAUGAAAUGGUGCCUGCGAUAUUCAUGCUUGAUAAAUUUAGAGUGGUGAUUUUGUGGUGUCUGGAUCCGUAUGUGAGACCAAUUCGGUUAUAAAUAGAGGUAGAAGUAGACCAAUUUGAUUAUUAAGAGGUUGUAAGGAUCAUGAGUUAUAUGAGAAUUCAGUUCUAGAAUGGCAGGUUGAUCAGUGGUGAUUUUGGGUGAAUUCACAGACAAAAUAGCCUCAAAGGUUACUAUUUGGCAGAGAAUGAGAUACACUGUAAAAGCCAAUUCCACUAAUUAUCCUCUUGGAUUUCAACACCUGAUAAGGCUCUCACCCAAAAAAGAGCUCUAAGCUUGGCAAGAAAGAGAGUCUCUUCAACCAGAACAAGUUUCGCAUUAAAAGUAAAAUCGUUACGCGGCAGUCAUAUCGACCAUAACCCCGCUGCACAGCAGAGGAGCCACCACUGUUUAAUAUCACCAUUAAACAUCCAGCCAUUGCAUUCAACAAAAAAAACAAGGAUUGAUGGUGAUAGACAGCCUUCAAUCCCCCCACAACGACAAAGUACAGUACCAAAAAUUACGCAUCAAGGAACAACUAAACAAUAAAUGGUCUGACGUUUCCAGAUCAGAGCUACACCAAGCUGGGAAGUUGAGAAUGAGAUCAAAGAAAUGCAAGAGAAAGUUGAUACUUUGCAAGAUCCCAGUUCGUUCAUCGCCGAGGGAAAAGCUUAUAAUUAUUCUCUUCUUUUAACAACAUAUUAUCUUUAAUAUUUAAAACAAGGAUAAACUGCACUUUUAGUUUUCGUUUUGUCCCCAAGUAACAAAAUGAUAACAUGGUAUUAAUUAUGUAAAUGGUUAUUUUUAAAUCCUUAAUCAUAUGGUCCCCCAAGGUUUUUACAUUGUUUUGUUUCUUUUGUCACCCAACCGAUAGUUGAGUAACAAAAUAAUAAUAUGACAUUUUUUAAUUGUCAUAAUAACAAAUUUAGCUCUUAAUGUUGAUAUAUUCUAUCAAUUUGGACAUGAUUAUAUAUAAAAGUUAUAAAAAAUUAAAACAAUAAAAAAUUCAAAAAAUAUAUAAAAAUAAGUAAGAAUUCAAAAAAAUUAUAUAAAAAAUUAAAAAAAUGAUGAGAGAUACAUAAAAAUAUAAAAAAAAACUUCAAAAUUUUAAAAAUAAAAAAUUGUUAAAAUUAUAAAAAUCAGUAGCCCACCACCACACAUCAGUCAACAUCUGAUAUAUAUUUUUUGUGUUUCAAGUGUCAAUUGCCAUGUAAAUCACUAGUGGUUUAUAGACAUGACAAAGGUUCACGACUAUUGUAAAAUCCCAUGAGCAAAUAGAAGUUGUAAAUUAAUGUAUAUAUAUAUAUAUAUAAUUAAAAUAUCUAUUAAUAUAUAUAAAUUUGUUGUCCUUAAUGAUCAUUUUGCAUUUUUAUUACAUAUCAUCUCACCAUCAUAAGUGAGUUAUUGAACCAUCAUAAGUGAGUUUACCUUCAAUAACAUAUCUCAUCAUUAAUUUUAUCUCACUGCUAUAGUAUUUAAUUUUAUUACUACCUUAAAUGUAUAUUUAAUCUCUUUAGAAAUAAUUUCACCAUUCAUCCAAAUAAACCUUGUGUAAGUCUCUAGGAUCUUAUUUCCUUUUCGCUCCAUAGCAAGGCAACUAUUAAUUUAUUUGUAGCCUUAAAAAAUUUUAAUUUUAGGAAAAAGGUCAAUAUAUAAAAGUCUUAAAUUUUGUUAUCUAUAUAUAUAUAUAUUAUAAAUUAUCACAUGAUAAGUUCUUUUUACUUUAGAUAUAUAUAAUAAGGGGAAGGAUGACAUGUAAGACUAACAUAAUUUUGCAUGCUUUCUUAACUCUAUUUUUGUAAUUGAUAUUUUAUAUUCACAUGUAAUUAUUAUCUAUUGUUAUUUCAAAUCAAUUAAGUAAAUUAUAAAAUGAUCAUUAAAUUAUUAAUUUUUUAUUUAAUCACUAAAUUUUUUGAAAUAAAAUAUUAUGAUCACUUUUCCGUUAAUUACAGUUUAUUAAUUUAAUAAUAAAUUUAGCCUUCAAAAUCUACUUUUCAGAAAAAAAGUUAUUAAAUGAAUAGUGAGGUGUUAAGGAAUUGUAUACAAUUAUUAAAAGAAGUUUGAUAGGUAAAUUAGAGAGGACAGAGCUUUUGAUGAUAUCUAGUGACUGAGAUUUGGAGUUUAGAUACACAAGGUUGACAUGAAGCAAUGGUGGAGUUGGAAGGCAGUGUUAUUAAAUACUAAAUAAUUGUUUUGUGAAAAUGGGAUAUUUUUACUUUUUUAUCCAUUACAUAUCACUGUUCCUGUCUUCCUUUCCAUGUUUUUGUAAAAAACAGAUUCCCACCAUUCUUUUCUCUUUGGUAAAUGUUGAUUGCUGAGAGGACAAUCUUUUUGCACAUUCCCGAACUCUAUGGACAUGAUUUUUUGCAUCUCAAUCAAAGGUUUGAAAAGUUGAAAUUAUAUUUAGGAUUUUAUUUUACUUCCAAAUGAUAUCCUAGUAUUGAACUUUCAUGCUCGUAUUAUGGACACGAAUAUACAUUAAGAAUACUUAAUUAUGGUAAAUAAGAAUCUAUUUGUACGAUUAAACAAAAACAGGGAAAAAGAGAAACUUAAUUAAAUAGAAGAAAAAAUCUUGAAAAGGCUAGUCAAGUCGUUUACCACAAGUAGUUUAACAUUUGAUAAUUUCAUUCUAUUGGUUUUUAAGUUGAAUACUUCAUUCAUUUGAAACAAUCAUAAUUGUGCAUCAAUUAUGAAAGAAGUCAGAAGAAAAUUGUGCACUAAUCAAAUGCAAUUUUCUUCAAUUUUAUCGUGUCUUUGAGUUGGAGGAAAAGAUGGUCCAAUUGAGAUACACUUGAAAAGUUUAAUGAUGAAUUGAAAUGAAUUCACUAUUAUGUCAUGUCAACACUGUUAAAUUAAUGGUUCAAUCAGCAUUUUGCGUUAAAAAAUUCAUAAUUUGACUUAAUAAAAUGUUGAGAGCCAUAUUACUAAAAAGAAAUGAAUACGGGUCAACUUGUCAAAUUUUAUAAACACUAAGAAUCUUUUUUUUUUAUCAUUUUGCCUAAUUUUAAAGGUUUUAUUUACAUUACAAUUAAAUUACUAUUUGAAUUUGCAUUUUAAAAACAACAUUCAUUUCAAUAUGUAUAAUUUACAUUACAACAUUACAUGAUAAAAACAACUAAUUAUAUUUUGCUAAUUCCCUAAAUUCGUCGGAGCCUAUAAUUGCUAAAGUGUCCGCUUCCAUUCCAACUUGAUGACUUUUGUUGGUCCCCCACUUGCAUGAUCCUUUGAGCAGACUUUCAUGCUUCCAUUGGUCUAGGGGACAAACAUAAAACACCAUCACUAUUUUUGUUGCAUUGAGAUCAUCUAUAUUAACUUACCUCAAAUUGAGAAAUUUUUGUUGAUAUCACAUAAAUACAAUCAUUGAAAAUCUUACUCAUAUCGACCAAAAAUCAUAUUUUUAUUUCUCUAAACAACAACAUUAGACAAUAACAAAAAUGAAAUUAUAGAAUUUUGAAAAAAAAAUUGGAUAUGAAAAUGUCUCUAACACGAAAAAGAUUUUCCAAAUAAUUAAAAGAGCGUACUUUAUUUUUAUAUUUAAACAAGUGUUAAAAAUAAAUGUCUAAACUUAAAAAACUUUGUGAAAAAUAUAAAUUGAAGAGUUGGAAUAAUAUUAUUUAUACUUCAAGCCAUGAAAUUUAAAUGGUUCUUUUGUUAGAAGGAAUUAAACCUAUUUAAGUACUAUUAAAGAUUUAUAUUUAAUCUUUUAAAUGUAUAAAAAAUAAUUUUGACUGAUUAAAUUAAACACAUAAAUUGGUCUCAAAUAAAAAUAAAAUGGUUUUUAACUCAGCCGAAAUUAUGAUCUAAUCCUCAUUAAAGGAUUUUCACCUUAUUAUUACCUGUAUCGUCGUCAAAGCUAUCUACUUUUCUCCACAUUUCUAUCUCAAUUGAUUAUAUUUACUUCAACCUAAAAAUAAAAUAUAGAUGUAAGUGAAUAUAUAUAAUGAGAAUAAAAUUUUAAUAAAAAAAACCAAUCAAAAUGUACACAUUUCAAUUAUGUAAAAAGAAAUGAAUUAAGUGAAUAAAAUUUUAAAUGGUACUUUUUUUAAAAAAAAUUAGUACAUAAUAAAAUGAUCAUAUCUCAUAUGCAAAUAAGUCUAGAAUGAUUACUUUAAAUGAAAUAAAAGAUGUAAACAAGGUAAAUGAGUAAAAAAAUUUAGUAGGACAAGGUUGGUUAAGUAAUUUACCAUAGCUAAUGCGUCUCUCCGGAUUGGCCAAUUAUGAAAAAUUGAAAAAAAGUUGCAUCCGUUUUGGUUGCGGCCCUUCUUCCUCCGCUUCAUCGUAGAUAUUUGGUUUCUAUUUUGUGUGAGAAGUGCUACCUACUGAUCCAUGGUUGUGAGCAGAGUGUUGGUGGAUGUGUUCAAAAUUUGGAGAAUAUUGAGUGGUAUGGCACUGCAACUCUUUUAUCUCUUCCAAAUCUUUCUCAUACACUAUUCUAACACCACACUUCUUCACCUUAACACAUCCCAUGAAAGACACCUCAAGCUCAUCGCAUUUUUUAUCUAAGCAAUGUGUUGUCCAUAAAUUAGUGGUUUCACAGUCGUCAUAUGUAUACUCCAAGGAAGGAUAUAAUUUAUCACGCGACCAAUAACGAAGUAAAAGGUGAUCUUUCAUUAUUGGUUCACGCAGCCCCCAGCCUCUCUCAUCAAUCCGUCGAUAAUUUCUACCUCGAAAAAUAGAUCCAUUACAAUUGGCAUGUUCAGAAUUUCUACAAUAGAUAUAUGCUCCACAAUCGAUAUAUUCAUCAUCCCUUGAAGUAUCAUUAUUGACAAAAAUGCAGCAGCAAGCAACUCCAAUCCAUUGACUAUCUUUCUGAAGGCUGAUAGGCAGGGGUAUGUUAAUUGAAGAGUCACUUGUUUGUUGGCUAAACCAUUCUGGGAUUUCACUUCCGGGCAUAAUAAUAUCAAACAUUAAUCUUGAAUUUGCAAAUGCCUGCAAAAUAAAACACAAGUCGUUUGGUAACUAAAACCAUAAAUUCUCAAGUAUGAGAUUUUGUAAGGGAGAAAAUGGAGAUUAAUCGACCUUAAGUCGUUCUUUCAGCAGUGUUAAUGCAUUCAUAUUCUCGGCCAAUUUGAAGCAGUUAAUGGCUCUAAAGGCAGUCGAAUCCACUAAAUUGCAUACUUCAAGUGAAGAACAACCAUCUAGCCAAACUUGUCUUAACCUUGCCGACAUCUCAGGCAACGAUUUAAGCAUCUUGCAAUAUGACAAUCCAAGAAACUGAAGCUUGGAUAGUCCAGUAAGAGAUGCAGGUAUGCUGAUGAAAUUGUUACCACUAAGACCAAGAUGUACCAAAGAGGAUAGACCAGAAAUAUAACUAUGAAUUUCUGCUUCACCAAGAGUGCACAUGUUGCAAUUUGACAAGUCAAGAUACCCAAGCUUCGGGAUUCCAAUAAGAGAUGCAGGUAUGCUGAUGAAAUUGUUGUUGUUCCAAUAGGGUCGGAAGCGUGUAAAUUAUUGUACUAAAAAAUCACACAAAGUUCAAUUCCCAGGGAAGAGAGGUGGAUCACAUGGAUCUCUUAAAUACCAAGUCUUUCCUUAGUCAGAAUAUCCCUUCUAUAGUAAUUUAAUAGCACAAUUAAAUACUACUAUUAUACCCUCAAAUAUUGAAAGAAAAAUAGGACAAAAAGAACAUAAGAGUUUUAACGAGGUUCGGUAAAUUAUACCUACGUCCUCGGGCACUAACACCAGAUGAUAACUUUACUAUCUCCAAAAUAUUACAAACAAAUAGAAUUCCUUAAGAAUUCUCAAAUGGGAGAAGAGAGAAAACUAAGAGAGAAAGAUUGGUUGGGAUGAAUUGAAAUGAGAAAUGAGAAGGCCUAUUUAUAGUUGAGGUUCAAGGACCAAACAAUAAAUAGCCCAUUAUCUCAAGGACCAAAAAAAAAUUAUCCCUUGCCACUUUUCCAAAGUUGGUGGUUGUCAUUAUUGAUUGUCUCCCAUUAAUGUUAAUGGCAACCAUUAUUAAUUGUCUUCCAUUAAUGUUAACAAUCUCCACCUUGAAGAUUUGAUUAGGAUAAUCACAUCUUUACACACUUCCUUCAACUCCCCAAAUUCGAUAAAGCUAUCUUUUGUAGUGCCUACAAAUGCGCUCUCGAGCGCCAUACACCUGAAGGUGCUCAAAUUCUCAGGAUGUUAAUCAAGUUCAAACAAUGAUUAAACUUGAUUGUUGUUACCACCUUGGUCAUCAUAUCUGCGGGAUUAUCUGCUGUCGGAAUCUUCUGAAGUAGAAUUUUUCCUUUUUCAAAGACUUCCCGCACAAAGUGAUAUCUUACGUCGAUAUGCUUGGUUCUUGAAUGAUAGACUUGAUUUUUCGCUAAAUGAAUAGCGCUCUGACUGUCACAAUAUAAACUUAUGUGACUUUGAACAACUCCUAAGUCUUUCAACAAUCCAUUAAGCGAAAUAGCCUCCUUAACAGCUUCUGUAACUGCCAUAUAUUCUGCCUCUGUAGUAGACACAGCUACUGUAGACUGUAAGGUAGACUUCCAACUCACUGGGGCUUUCGCAAGAGUAAACAAAUACCCCGUAGUUGAACGACGUUUAUCUAAAUCACCAGCAAAGUCGGAAUCAACAUAUCCAACUACAAACUGACCAAGUGCUUCAUCCUGUUCAAAAAUUAAACCAACAUCUACGGUUUUUCGAAGAUACCGUAGAAUCCAUUUCACAGCUUGCUAAUGUCCUUUUCCAGGAUCAUGCAUAUACCUGCUCACAACUCCAACAACUUGUGAAAUGUCAGGCCUCGUACACACCAUCGCAUACAUCAAACUCCCAACUGCAUUAGCAUAUGGGACUUUCGCCAUAUAUUCUCUUUCUUCUUCAGUUUUCGGAGAUAAUUGAGAACUAAGUUUCAAAUGAGAAGCAAGUGGGGUACUUACAUGUUUUGUGUUUUCAUUUACACCAAAACAUUGUAAUACCUUUUUCAGAUAUUGCUUCUGAUUCAAACAAAGCUUGCCUCUCUAUCUAUCUCUACUUAUCUCCAUGCCGAGAAUCUUCUUGGCCUCACCUAGAUCUUUCAUCUCGAACUCUUGAUUCAACUGAGCCUUCAGCUUAUCAAUCUCUUUUUGCCACUUCGAAGCGAUUAACAUAUCAUCAACAUACAAGAGUAGAUAAAUGAAAGAUCCGUCAUGCAGCUUCUACAAAUACACACAAUUGUCAUAUUUGCUUCUUGUGUACUUCUGCCUUCUCAUAAAGCUAUCAAAUCGCUUGUACCACUGCCUCGGGGAUUGCUUCAAUCCAUAUAGCGAUUUGUUCAGCUUACAAACCCAAUUUCUACCACCAGCAUAUGUGUAUCCUUCGGGCUGAGUCAUAUAGAUCUCCUCUUCUAACUCACCAUGCAAGAAAUCCGUCUUAACAUCAAGUUGAGCUAGCUCCAAAUUCAACUGUGCUACCAAGGCCAACAAAAUUCUAAUGGAGGAAUGCUUCACAACAGGGGAAAAUACAUCAUUGUAGUCAAUUUCCUCCUUCUUAGCAUAGCCUUUAGCUACCAAUCUUGCCUUGUAGCGAAUAUCCUUCUUGCUAGGAGAUCCAUCUUUCUUUGCGAAUACCCACUUGCAUCCGAUUGCCCUUUUACCUUUCGGUAAUUGCGCCAACUCCCAAGUAUUGUUCUUCUAGAGAGACUGCAUUUCUUCAUCCAUGGCGCUUUUCCAUUUAUCACUUUCUAAGCUUUGCAUUGCUUCUUGAUAAGUGAUAGGAAUAUCAUCAACAACGGGAAGGGCGUAGGCCACCAUAUUAGUAAAUCGAGCAGGUUCAUGAAUUUCUCUCCGUGGCCUUGCAACUGCAACUGGUUCUGGUGUACUUAGUGGUUCUUGGGUCAGAACCUCUUCAACCUCUAAUUCCUCCAUUGUGGCUGGAGAAUUAGACUUAUUAACUGGGCAAAUCCCCAUCUACUCAAACUCCACCUGUUUUGGAGUACACUCCACCUGCUGUGGAGUAUUGCUCGUCUGAAUAUCUUUAUCUGCUACCUUUUUCAAUGUGGCAGAUUCAUCAAAGGUAACAUCUCUACUACAGAUCAUUUUCUUUGUGCUUAAGCACCAAAGACGAAAUCCCUUCACUCCAGAAGUGAUUCUCAUAAAGAGAGCUUUCUUUGCCCUCGGAUCUAACUUUGACUCCUGCACAUGGUAAUAUGCAGUGGAUCCAAACACAUGUAAGGAAUCAUAAUCUGUAGCCGGUUUUCCAGACCAUACCUCCAUAGGAGUUUUUCUUUCUAAUGCAGAUGAUGGUAAACGAUUAAUAAGAUGGCCAGCGUAUGUCACAGCCUCAGCCCAAAAUUGCUUGCCCAACCCAGCAUUGGACAACAUACAUCGAACUUUCUCCAGCAAUGUUCGAUUCAUACGCUUUGCCACUCCAUUCUGUUGUGGUGUAUCCCUAACUGUGAAGUGUCGAACAAUACCAUACUCUUGGCACACAUCGAAGAACGGAUCACUUUUAUAUUCCCCUCCGUUGUCCGUCCUAAGCCGCUUGAUUUUCUUGCCAGUCUGGUUUUCGAUCAUAGUUUUCCAUUUAAGAAAAACUCUAAGCACUUCAUCCUUAGUUCUCAUGGUAUACACCCAAACUCUUCUGGAAAAGUCAUCAACAAAAGUAACAAAGUAGUGUUUUCCUCCCAAUGAAGGUGUCUUGGAAGGCCCCCACACAUCUGAGUGAACAUAUUCCAAAAUACCUUUUGUAUUAUGGAUAGCAGUAUCGAAUUUCACUCUCUUUUGCUUUUCCAGAACACGAUGCUCGCAAAAUUUUAAUUUGCAAGCCUUUGCACCUUUCAACAAUCCUUGCUUUGCCAGAAUUUGCAAGGAUUUUUCGCUGGCAUGUCCCAACUUCAUAUGCCACAACUGUAUUGAGUCCAAUUCUUUGUUGCCGGAAGCUGCAGCGACUGCUCCAAUAACUGUACUACCUUCGUAGUAAUACAAGUUAUUUUUCCUGAUGCCCUUCAAUAUCACAAGUGCGCCAGAUGUCACUUUCAAAACCCCAUCUCUCAUAGUAACAACUGAACCAUUGGAUUCCAGGGCUCCCAAUGAGAUGAGAUUUUUCUUCAAACUGGGCACGUACCGAACAUCAGUCAGAACUCUGGUUGAUCCAUCUUUAUUCUUUAAUUGGAUUGAACCUAUCCCAACAGUUUUACAGGCAUUGUCAUUGCCCAUAUAAACAACUCCUCCAUUUAGUUCUACUAAAUCAGAGAACCACUCCCGGUUAGGGGACAUAUGAUAGGUACAACCCGAAUCCAAUAUCCACUCAUCUGAAUGGAACGACGAUGAUGAUGCAACCAGUGAUAGUUCAGAGUCACUGGUAUCAUGCUUUGCAACACAAGCAUCUACAGCAGCUUUUCCCUUAUUCUUCAGCUUUGGACAAUUUUUCUUCCAGUGGCCUUUCUCAUGACAAAAAGCACAUUCAUCUUUCCCGAGUCUGGACUUUGACUUUGAUCUCCCAUUUUGAUUUUUCUUCCGAGUGUAUGAACGACCUCGAACUACUAAAGCUUCUGUAUCUCUGAUUGAGUUUUUCUGUUUGUCCUUCUUUCUCUGUUCAUAACUGUAUAAGGCCGCACAGACUUCGCUCAGAGAUAUAUCACUCCUGCCAUGAAGUAGAGUAGUUUCUAGGAACUCAAACUCCUCAGGAAGUGACCCCAACAGCAUCAAAGCCAAAUCUUCAUCUUUGAAUGUCUCAUCCAUAUUCAGCAAAUCAGUGACUAACUGAUUAAAUUUGGUGAUGUGAUCAUUCAUUAUGGUACUUGGGACGUAUGUGAAGCGAAACAGUCUUUUCUUCAAGUGGAGCUUAUUUUGACUGUUUUUCUUCAAAAAUUUUUCUUCAAGUGCCACCCACAACUUAUUUGCAGAAGUCUCAUUUGAAAAAGCAUACCUCUACUCUCAAGAAAGGCAUGAUCGAAUUGUGCCACAUGCCAACCGAUUGAUCGCCUUCCAAUCUUUCUCCUGUACAUCAUCUGGUUUCUCUUCAUCAAUGGCAAUGUCUAGACCCUGCUGAAAAAGGGCAUCUAGAACCUCACUUUGCCACAUACCAAAAUGGCCCGUGCCAUCAAAGAUCUCCACGGCCAAUCUUGCAUUUGCAAUUGUCGGUCUUGUCCACAUGGACGAUGUUGAAGCUCCUACACCGACCGUUUUCUCCAUAAUCUUUCAAUAUACCUAAGGAAAUCUUUUCUGAUGUGGAAGAUCAGUUUAAACUGCAACCACAGAGCAUACUACGAUUAACCUUCGGCUCUUGAUACCACUUGUUGUUCCAAUAGGGUCGGAAGCGUGUAAAUUAUUGUACUAAAAAAUCACACAAAGUUCAAUUCCCAGGGAAGAGAGGUGGAUCACAUGGAUCUCUUAAUACCAAGUCUUUCCUUAGUCAGAAUAUCCCUUCUAUAGUAAUUUAAUAGCACAAUUAAAUACUACUAUUAUACCCUCAAAUAUUGAAAGAAAAGUAAGACAAAAAGAACAUAAGAGUUUUAACGAGGUUCGGUAAAUUAUACCUACGUCCUCGGGCACUAACAUCAGAUGAUAACUUUACUAUCUCCAAAAUAUUACAAACAAAUAGAAUUCCUUAAGAAUUCUCAAAUGGGAGAAGAGAGAAAACUAAGAGAGAAAGAUUGGUUGGGAUGAAUUGAAAUGAGAAAUGAGAAGGCCUAUUUAUAGUUGAGGUUCAAGGACCAAACAAUAAAUAGCCCAUUAUCUCAAGGACCAAAAAAAAAUUAUCCCUUGCCACUUUUCCAAAGUUGGUGGUUGUCAUUAUUGAUUGUCUCCCAUUAAUGUUAAUGGCAACCAUUAUUAAUUGUCUUCCAUUAAUGUUAACAAUUGUUACCACGAAGAUCAAGAUGUUUCAAACAGGAUAGACCAGAAAUAUCACGUGGAAUAUAUCCUUCACAAAGAUUGCAGUCCCUUAGACAUAGCCGUCUUAAUGAACUCAAACCUGACAAGAAAGGCAACAUUGGAGCCAUGGGAGUUGUCCUUCUUCCUUGGAUUACCUUGAAAAGAGAGGACAAAUUUGGUUGCAACUUUGCUUGCUGCAAAUUCUCCGAGAAAUUUUCAACUCUAUAGCAACCAGAAAGCUCUACAGUUUUUAUACGUUCCAUUUUCCCAUCAAUCUCCGGAAACCUUACAAGACUUGAGCAACCCGAAAAAAUUAAUGUUUCAAGAGAUUCCAUUCUAAUUUUUGUCGGAAGACUCCUAAGACUUUUGCAAUAUCUAAAAUUCAAAAGUUUAAGGCUCUUAAGCACUCCUAUUGAUGGAUGAACAUCCACUAAUUUGGUACAGCCUUCCAAAAUUAAAACUUUAAGAUUUGAUGCUGUUGUGAAGUUUGGUGUCUUGAUCAGGUUUUGGGAACCUUUGAGGUUCAUUAUUUUCAACUUAUACAAGGGCUGUUGAAGACAAUAAUAAAUUAGAGAGAAAAGAGAAAACAUAAUAAUUCUCAUUUUUGUUUUUGUAUUUUUACCUUAAUCAAAGUUUAAUAAUUUAUAUUAAAAUAAGCUAAAACAGAAGAAUAAGAUGAGUUAAUUCUUACUCUAUUUCCCUUCCAUAGUUGUUUAAUGUGACUAUAUGGUAAAAGAAGUGCAACAAGGUUGUUUGGUCGGAAGCUUGAAGGCAAGCAUCUUAAAGGAUAUCCUGUCCAUUCUAAAAGCCGUAGAUUAUUAGAAAGAUAUUUGAGAUCAUCACAAUUUGACUGGCAAAGCACUUUGAGCAGUCUCAAGUUUUUCAUCUUUGAGAAGGUAUAGGCACUCAAAUUGAGCAUUUUGCUUGAUUCCCUAAUAACCAUGAGUAAAACAAAAAUGAGAUUCAAAAUAUACAAAGACAUUCAAUAUCUAAAAGUUAUGUUGCACCGAUAGAUGAUCAAUUUCCAUUGUAAUGAAAAAAACAAAAUCAUUCCAAAUUGGAAUUAGAAGGAAGACAAUGAGAGAGAUAUUUUAUUUUCAAAUGUUUUAUUUUCUUUCCUUCUCGCUUUUCGCUAUACCAAGCAAUAGUGAGGAGGAAAAUAUAUUUUCCAUUCAAUUUUCUAUCUUUCCAAUCAAGUUUUCCAUCUCUUUAGUUUUCCACCCUUUUGAUUUUCUUUCCACUCUGCCAAGCAAAGCCAAAAGGUUUUUUUUUUAUUGGAUUUUUUACAAAAAAUAAUAACAAUACUAAUAGUACAUAUUGAUAAAUUUAUAUGUAUGUUUUCUUACCAUUCGUUGUCGAUGAUCAUACCUUCAAUCACUUCGGUAGCCUAACAGUAAUCAAGAAUAGACAAUAAGAAUACAAAAUAAAUUAUCUAAAUUGUACAAUAAAACUUUUGAAAUUUACAUAUAAGUUCAACAUUAUCACAAUCUUUUAUAGGAAAUAAAAUAUUUUCAAAUGAGAGUAAUUCAAUAAAAUUAAACACUUAUAUUGCAAAUCAUUAUUAAUAUUUAUAUUCAACAAAUGGAAAUUAUCUUAAAGCUACUCAAUGUCACUUAAGGAUUGAUAUGUAAACCAAUUAAACUAAGCUUUAGAUUUACAUCAUAUAUUGAUAAAAAGAAAACUUUGUAUGUAAUUUCUGUUGAAUGAUUUACCGUGUUUUUUGUUAGGACAUGAUGGACACCCCUUUCCUUCCACAAUCUACAACGUUUUCCAGGUUCAUCAACACAUUUUUCUUCAACAAUUUUUCUUCCCAUUUCUUGCAACAAGGCAUGCAUCCGCAAAUAUUGGUUGUCAUCACUGACUUUUAUGAGAGAUUUCUUAAUGAGAACAUCGACUCCGAUAUCUGGAAAAAACUCACAACCAUCCAAUACUUUCAUUACCAAAUCUUUCUGCUCCCCAUUGAAAAAGCAUGCUAUAUCUAGAAAUAUAUUCUUCUCCCUUUCUUCCAAUCCAUCAAAGCUAAUUCGUAGUGUGUCAAGAAUUUCUUUGUUAGAAUCAUAUGGUCCCCCAAGGUUUUGACAUUGUUUUGUUUCUUUUGUCACCCAACCGAUAAUUGAGUAACAAAAUAAUAAUAUGAUAUUUUUUAAUUGUCAUAAUAACAAAUUUAGCUCUUAAUGUUGAUAUAUUCUAUCAAUUUGGACAUGAUUAUAUAUAAAAGUUAUAAAAAAAUUAAAACAAUAAAAAAUUCAAAAAAUAUAUAAAAAUAAGUAAGAAUUCAAAAAAAUUAUAUAAAAAAUUAAAAAUGAUGAGAGAUACAUAAAAAUAUAAAAAAAAUUCAAAAUUUUUAAAAUAAAAAAUUGUUAAAAUUAUAAAAAUCAGUAGCCCACUACCACACAUCAGUCAACAUCUGAUAUAUAUUUUUUGUGUUUCAAGUGUCAAUUGCUAUGUAAAUCACUAGUGGUUUAUAGAGAUAACAAAGGUUCACGACGAUUAAUGCAAAAACCCAUCAGCAAAUAGAAGUUGUAAAUUAAUAUAUAUAUAUAUGCCAUUAAUGGUUUAACGAGUAAAAUAUCUAUUAAUAUAUACAAAUUUGUUGUCCUUAAUGAUCAUUUUGUAUUUUUAUUACAUUUCAUCUCACCAUUGUAAGUGGUUUUGUCUUCAAUUACAUAUUUCAUCAUUGAUUUUAUCUCACUGCUAUAGUAUUUAAUUUUAUUACUACCUUAACUGUAUAUUUAAUCUCUUUAGAACUAAUUUCACCACCCAUCCAAAUAAACCUUGUGUAAGUCUCUAUGAUUAUCUUAUUUGCUUUUUGCUCCAUAGCAAGGCAACUAUUAAUUUAUUUGUAGCCUUAAAAAUUUUUCAUUUUAGAAAAAAAGUCAAUAUAUAAAAGUCUUAAAUUUUGUUAUCUAUAUAUAUAAUAUAAAUUAUCACAUGAUAAGUUCUUUUUACUUUAGAUAUAUAUAAUAAGGGAAGGAUCACAUGUAAAACUAACAUGACUUUGCAUGCUUUUUAAUUCUAUUUUUAUAAUUGAUAUUUUAACAAAUCAACUGUUAAAUUUUAUAUUCAUAUAAAUUUUACACAGUAUAAAUAUAUCUCUCUUUUAUUAUUUCCGUUGAAUUCAGCGACAACUUUUUAGAAUAAUAUGACUUCAAAUUGGUUAAAUGAAUUUCUAGUUUUAUAUUCAAAUUUUAUCUUUCAACUUAUUAGUAAUUUUAAAAAAAAAAUCAAAUUAUACAAUGUCCCUUGCAAACAAAUGAUGGCAGUUGGUUGUUCUUUAUAUCUCCAAGCAAAUUAAAUCUCUUGGUCUAAGUCAAGGUAUUCACAAUUGGUUAAUGCAUUGAUUGAGCAUCGUCUAGGAAUCUCAUGCCCUCUCUUUCUAUCAAUGGUUUCCUCUCAUUUUCCCUUUAAGGUGAUGGUUUUUAUUAUUCUUCUUCUUUUAUGAAAUGUGAUGGUUAAAUCCUUUUCCUCUUAUGGCAGUAAAGAUAUGAAAGGCCAAAAUACAAUUUAAAAUAUAAUACAAGGUCUGCUUUGAUACUUUUACUUAAUUCCACUGUGCAUCCCGUUUUUGUAGUGCAUAUGUCAAUAGCAAGCCAACUAUUUAUAUUUGUAGUCUUACAAAAUUGACUUUUCAGAAAAAGUCCAAAGCAAUCUCAAUUUAACAAAGUCUUAAAUUUUAUUAUCAAAGUAGUGUAUUAUCGGGUUAAAUUUUAAGUUAUUUGUGAUGUUAUAUUCAAGUAAGUAAUUAUUAUCUAAUGUUAUUUCAAAUCGAUUAAAUGAAUUAUAAAAUGAUCACUAAAUUAUUAAUUUUUUUAUUUAAUCACUAAAUUUUUUGAAAUAAAAUAUUUUAAUCACUUUUCUGUUAAUUACAGUGUAUUGAUUUAAUAAAAAAUUUAGCCUUCAAAAUCUAUUUUUCAAAAAAAAAGUUAAAUGAAUAGUGAGGUGUGAGGGAAUUGUAUACAAUUAUUAAAAGAAGUUUGAUAGGUAAAUUAGAAAGGACAGAGCUUUGAUGAUAUCUAGAGACUGAGAUUUGGAGUUUAGAUAUACAAAGUUGAAAUGAAGUAAUGGUGGAGUUGGAAGGCAGUGUUAUUAAAUACUAAAUAAUAGUUUGGUGAAAAUGGGAUAUUUUUACUUUUUUAUCCAUUCAGACAUAUUACUAUUCCUGUCUUCCUUUUCAUGUUCUUGUAAAAAACAGAUUGCCACCGUUCUUUUCUCUUUGGUAAAUGUUGAUUGCUGAGAGGACAAUCUUUUUGCACAUUCCCGAACUCUAUGGACAAGAUUUUUUGCAUCUCAAUCAAAGGUUUGAAAAGUUGAAAUUAUAUUUAGGAUUUUAUUUUACUUCCAAAUGAUAUCCUAGUAUUCGUAUUAUGGACACGAAUAUAUAUUAAGAGUUCCAUCACAUCAAUCACUGUUGCGGAUAUAAAGAAUACUUAAUUAUGGUAAAUAAGAAUCUAUUUGUACAAUUAAACAAAAACAGGGAAAGGAGAAACUUAAUUAAAUAGGAGAAAAUAUCUUGAAAAGGCUAGUCAAGUAGUUUACCACAAUUUCUGCUUCUUCUCUGAACAACCCAUUAUAAAAUUGAAAUUUGUUUUCAUCUGUUUAGGUCCUCUGUUUCCUCGUGGGUAUUACGUUUUCGUUCUACAGGGAAAGUGCUACCUGCGGAUCCAUUCUUGUCAGUAGAGUGAUGAUGGAUAUGUUCAAAGUUUAGAGGAGAUUGAGUGGUAUGGCACUGCAAAUCUUUCUCAUACAUUAUUCUAACGCCACACUUCUUCACCUUAAAAGAAGGAAACCCAUCUGCGCCUUUGAAAGACAUCUCAAGCUUAUCGCAUUCAUGAUCAGAGCAAUCCAUUGUCCAUGUAUUGUAAUUCACGCGAGAAAUAACGAAGAAAAAGGUGAUUGUUCGUUAUGGGCUGCUCAUAUUCCCCACCUAAACCAAUGAAACUGGGAUCGACCGUUCGAGGAUUUUUAACUUGAAAAACAGAUCCAUUAUGACUAGAUUGUCGGGAAUUUCUAUAAUGGAUAUAAGUUGUACUACCGAUAGCCCUUUCAUCGGAACCUCCAUCAUUGACGAAAUUGCAGCAGAAUGCAACUCCAAUCCAAUUUGUUUGGUAUAUGUGAAACGCUUUGUGAGUUUGUUUUUUAAAAUAAAGGUAAAUUUCAACAAUUAUUUUUUAAUCAUCAUUAUUAAUACAUUGAAAUCACAUUCAAUGUAUGUUAGUGAUUAUGAAAAAUUGGAAUGUGACAUACUCUUGAUGUGUUUAGAAAAUGUUAUAGUUAUAGAAAAAAUUAUAUAACCAUCAUGGCAUUGGUUGAGUUUGUUAAACUUAAAAGUUUUAGAAAUCCAAUGUUAUAGGUUUUAAUCUCAAUUUUAUAUAAAAAGAUAAAAAUAAUUACUAUAAUAAUAUUUGUUACUUUUAAAAAUAUUAAAUUUUCUAGUCAUUUUCCAAAUAAGUUAAUAUCUAAUUCACUUAUGAUUGAUAAGUAAAGUAUAAUAUAAAUUAUGUUUGGUUAAAAAUAAAAUUAUGUGAAAAUGAUAUAUAUUUAAAUAUAGAAUAUAUCAAAUUUUAUAUAAGGUAAGUUAUUAAUAUAGUAAAAUUGGAAGUAAUUUAAAGAUAAUUAUUAUAUUAGAAAAUAUAGGCAUUAAAGUUGAGGCAUUUUAAGAAGUUUACCAAAUUUUAUAUAAUGUAAAUCAUAAACACUGUUCCUUAAUACCACCGCGCACGAUUAGCGCUGUUGGAACCGUUAGUUCCCUGCUUUAACUUUAUCUCCAUAACAUGCCGAGACCAUGAAAGGCACUCAUUCCUUAAUACCAUAUUUAGUUCCCGCAACGCCACUACUGAAAACAAAGGCAUUUCUAUUUUACCAAAGUUUCUAGCAGCCAUAGCAAAAAGAGUACCCCAAUCAGUUCCUUCCACAGAAAAAGUUCUUUGAGCUCCGGAGAAACUCACUGCUCACUACUGCAAAUCAAACUUUUAGCGGAGUUAUUUGCGGCGUUUACAUCAAAACGCCGCCAAAGUUGCACAUUAGUGGCGGUUGUAAACAAACGCCGCAAAAGAUUGGAUCAAUAGUGGCGUUUGAAAGAAAAAACGCCGCAGAAAAUCAGAAUUAAAUAAACGCCGCAAAAACUCGAGCAGAAAAUCAAAACACAUCGUUUUACUUUAGCUUCUAGUCGAAUUAGCGGCGCUCUUCUAGAAACGCCGCUAUAGGUAGAGUAUUAGCGGCGAUUCCGAAAAAGCGCCGCAAAAAUGUUAAUCAGUACGCAUCGUUUUACUUUAGCUUCUAGUCGAAAGCUAUAUGUGGAGUAUUAGCGGCGCUUGUAAAAAAGCGCCACAAAAAAUGUUAAUCAGUACGCAUCGUUUUACUUUAGCUUCUAGUCGAACUAUCGGCACUUUUCUAAAAACGCCGCUAUAGGUAGAGUAUUAGCAGCGCUUGAGUAAAAGCGCCGCAAAAUGUAAAUCAAAACACAUCGUUUUAUUUUAGCUUAUAGUCGAAUUAAAGUCGAGAUCUUUAGCGGCAUUUUUUUUCAAAUAAACGCCGUAAAAUUUUUCAACAUUGUCAAUAGCGGCGAUUUUCACGGCGUUUGUGAAAGCGCGGCAAAUAGCUUUAGCGGCGCUUAUAAAGCCACUAAAGGACAAAAAAAUGCCGCUAAAAGUCUACUUUCCUGUAGUGGCUCUUCCAUUUCCUAGCGCCCAAUAGACACCAUUUACUACAUCUUCCCAAAUAUUGGACAAAGCCCUCCAGAGAAGCGAGCAAUUAGAAGGAUGUAUUGAAGCCGACCAUCUACUUAUUACCCCAUACUUGAUUCCAAGGACUUCGACCCAUAUCACAUUCACGUUAGAAAUGACAUUAAAAGCUACCUUAAUCAUGCAAGCUUUAUUGUGGUCUCGUACUUUCCUCAACCUAACUCCACCGUUCUUCAAAGGCAUACAAAAUUUAUACCAGCUCACUAAAGUUGGUUUCUGAUUGCCAAAUGUUGACCCCAAAUGAAUCCUCGAACCAGCUUCUCAUUUUUGUUGCAAUUGUUUAAGUGAUCAACUAAAAUAAGACCGUACAAAGAUUGAUCGGUCUAAAAUGAGAUAGUAAUUCCGGUCUUGCCACCUUGGGAACCAACACAAUAAGAGUUUGAUUCAAAAUAGAGGCAAACAUUUGAUGAUUUCGUUCUAUUGGUUUUUAAUUUGAAUUAGUCAUUCAUUUAAAACAAUCAUAGUUGUGCAUCAAUUAUGAAAGAAGUCAGAAGAAAAUUGUGCACUAAUCAAAUGCAAUUUUCUUCACUUUUAUCGCGUCUUUGAGUUGAAGGAAAAGAUGGCCCAAUUGAGAUACACUUGAAAAGUUUAAUGAUGAAUUGAAAUGAAUUGAAAUUAAUGGUUCAAUUAGCAUUUUGCAUUAAAAAAUUCAUAAUCUGACUCAAUAAAAUGUUGAGAGUCAAAUUACUAAAAAGAAAUGAAUAUGGGUCAACUUGUCAAAUUUUAUAAACACUAAGAACCUUUUUUUAUCAUUAUGCCUAAUUUUAAAGGUUUUAUUUACAAUACAAUUAAAUUACUAUUUGAAUUUACAUUUUAAAAACAACGUUCAUUUCAAUAUGUAUAAUUUGCAUUACAAUACAUGAUAAAAACAACUAAUUAUAUUUUGCUAAUUCCCUAAAUUCGUCCGAACCUAUAAUUGCUAAGGUGUCCGCCUCCAUUCCAACUUGAAGACUUUUGUUGGUCCCUCACUUGCAUGAUCCUUUGAGCAGACUUUCAUGCUUCUAUUGGUCUAGGGGACAAACAUAAAACACCAUCAUUAUUUUUGUUGCAUUGAGAUCAUCUAUAUUAACUUACCUCAAAUUCAGAAAUUUUUGUUGAUAUCACAUAAAUACAAUCAUUGAAAAUCUUACUCAUAUUGACCAAAAAUCAUAUUUUUAUUUCUCUAAACAAUAACAAAAAUGAAAUUAUAGAAUUUUGAAAAUAAAAAUAUUGGAUAUGAAAAUGUCUCUCACAUGGAAAAGAUUUUCCAAAUAAUUAAAAGAGUGUACUUUAUUUUUAUAUUUGAACCAGUGUUAAAAAUAAAUGUCUAAACUUAAAUACUUUGUAAAAAAAUAUAAAUUGAAGAGUUGGAAUAAUAUUAUUUAUACUUCAAGCCAUGAAAUUUAAAUGCUACUUUUGUUAGAAGGAAUUAAACCUAUUUAAGUACUAUUAAGGACUUAUAUUUAAUCUUCUAAAUUUAUAAAAAACAAUUUUAACUGAUUAAAUUGAAUACAUAAGUUGGUCUCAAAUAAAAAUAAAAUGGUUUUUAACUCAGCUGAAAUUAUGAUCUAAUCCUCAUUAAAGGAUUUUCACCUUAUUAUUACCUAUAUCGUCGUCGAAGCUAUCUAUUUUUCUCCACAUUUCUAUCUCAAUUGAUUAUAUUUACUUCAACCUAAAAAUAAAAUAUAGACGUAAGUGAAUAUAUAUAAUGAGAAUAAAAUUUUAAUAAAUAUCAAAAUGUACACAUUUCAAUUAUGUAAAAAGGAAUGAAUUAAGUGAAUAAAAUUUUAAAUGGUAUUUUUUUAAAAAAAAUUAGUAUAUUAUAAAAUGAUCAUAUCUCAUACGGAAAUAAGUCUAGAAUGAUAACUUUAAAUGAAAUAAAAGAUGUAAACAAGGUAGAUGAGUAAAAAAUUUUAGUAGGACAAGGUUGGUUAAGUAAUUUACCAUAGCUAAUGCGUCUUCCCGGAUUGGCCAAUUAUAAAAAAAUUGAAAAAAAGUUGCAUCCGUUUUGGUUGCGGCCCUUCUUCCUCCGCUUCAUCGUAGAUAUUAGGUUUCUAUUUUAUGUGAGAAGUGCUACCUACUGAUCCAUGGUUGUGAGCAGAGUGUUGGUGGAUGUGUUCAAAAUUUGGAGAAGAUUGAGUGGUAUGGCACUGCAACUCUUUUAUCUCUUCCAAAUCUUUCUCAUACACUAUUCUAACACCACACUUCUUCACCUUAACACUGCAUCCCAUGAAAGACACCUCAAGCUCAUCGCAUUUUUUAUCUAAGCAAUGUGUUGUCCAUAAAUUAGUGGUUUCACAGUCAUCAUAUUUAUUGUCCAAGGAAGGAUAUAUUGUAUCACGCGACCAAUAACGAAGUAAAAGGUGAUCUUUCAUUAUUGGUUCACACAGCCCCCAGUCUCUCCAAUCAAUCCGUCGAUAAUUUCUACCUCGAAAAAUAGAUCCAUUACAGCUGGCUUGCUCAGAAUUUCUACAAUAGAUAUAUGCUCCACAACCGAUUUCCUGUUUGUCAUCCCUUGAAGCAUCAUUACUGACAAAAAUGCAGCAGCAAGAACUCCAAUCCAUUGACUAUCUUUCUGAAGGUUGAUAGGCAGGGGUAGGUUAAUUGAAGAGUCACUUGUUUGUUCGCUAAACCAUUCUGGGAUUUCACUUCCGGGCAUGAUAAUAUUAAAGAUUUCUCUUGAAUUUGCAAAUGCCUGCAAAAUAAAACACAAGUCGUUUGGUAACUAAAACCAUAAAUUCUCAAGUAUGAGAUUUUGCAAGGGAGAAAAUGGAGAUUAAUCGACCUUAAGCUGUUUUUUCAGCAGUGUUAAUGCAUUCAUAUUCUCGGCCAAUUUGAAGCAGUUAAUGGCUUUAAAGGAACCCGAACCUGAUAAAUUGCAUACUUCACGUAGUGUUAAUGCAUUGAUAUUCUCAGCCAAUUUGAAGCAGUUAAUGGCUCUAAAGGCAGCCGAAUCCACUAAAUUGCAUACUUCAAGUGAAGAACAACCAUCUAGCCACACUUGUCCUAACCUUGUCGGUAUCUCAGGCAACGAUUUAAGCAUCUUGCAAUACGACAAUCCAAGAAACUGGAGCUCUGAUAGUCGAGUAAGAGAGAAAGGUAUGCUGAUGAAAUUGUUACCACUAAGACCAAGAUGUACCAAAGAGGAUAGACCAGAAAUAUAACUAUGAAUAUCUGCUUCACCAAGAGUGCACAUGUUGCAACUUGACAAGUCAAGAAACUCAAGCUUCGAGAGUCCAGUAAGAGAUGCAGGUAUGCUGGUGAAAUUGUUACGACCAAGAUCAAGAUGUUUCAAAGAGGAUAGACCAGAAAUAUCACGUGGAAUAUCUCCUUCACAAAGAUUGCAGUCGCUUAGACUUAGCCGUCUUAAUGAACUCAAACCUGACAAGAAAGGCAACAUUGGAGCCAUGGGAGUUGUCCUUCUUCCUUGGAUUACCUUGAAAAGAGAAGACAAAUUUGGUCGCAACUUUGCUUGCUGCAAAUUCUCCGAGAAAUUUUCAACUCUAUAACAACCAGAAAGCUCUAGAGUUUUUAUACGUUCCAUUUUCCCAUCAAUCUCCGGAAACCUUACAAGACUUGAGCAACCCGAAAAAAUUAAUGUUUCAAGAGAUUCCAUUCUAAUUUUGGUCGGAAGACUCCUAAACUUUUACAAUCUCUUAAAUUCAAAAGUUGAAGGCUCUUAAGCACUCCUAUUGAUGGAUGAACAUCCACUAAUUUGGUACAGCCUUCCAAAAUUAAAACUUCAAGAUUUGGUGCUGUUGUGAAGUUUGGUGUCUUGAUCAGGUUUUGGGAACCUUUGAGGUUCAUUAUUUUCAACUUAUACAAGGGCUGUUGAAGACAAUAACAAAUUAGAGAGAAAAGAGAAAGCAUAAUAAUUCUCAUUUUUGUUUUUGUAUUUUUACCUUAAUUAGAGUUUAAUAAUUUAUAUUAAAAUAAGCUAAAACAGAAGGAUAAGAUAAGUUAAUUCUUACUCUAUUUCCCUUCCAUAGUUGUUUAAUGUGACUAUAUGGUAAAAGAAGUGCAACAAGGUUGUUUGGUUGGAAGCUUGAAGGCAAGUAUCUUAAAGGAUAUCCUGUCCAUUCUAAAAGCCGUAGUUUAUUAGAAAGAUAUUUGAGAUCAUCACAAUUUGAUAGACAAAGCACUUUGAGUAGUCUCAAGUUUUUCAUCUUUGAGAAGGUAUCAGCACUCAAAUAGAGCAUCUUGUUCGAUUCCCUAAUAACCAUGAGUAAGACAAAAAUGAGAUUCAAAAUAUACAAAGACUUCAAUAUCUAAAAGUUAUGUUGCACCGAUAGAUGAUCAAUUUCCAUUGUAAUGAAAAAAAAAAUCAUUCCAACUUGGAAUGAGAAGGAACACAAUGAGAGAUAUUUUAUUUUCUUUCCUUCUCACUUUUCGCUAUACCAAGCAAUAGUGAGGAGGAAAUUAUAUUUUCCAUUCAAUUUUCCUCUUUCCACUCAAGUUUUCCAUCCCCUCAGAAAACCAGAAGGUUUUUUCUUUUGUUGUUUUUUAUUGGAUUUUUUACAAAAAAACAAUAACAAUAUUAAUAGUACAUAUUGGUAAAUUUAUAUGUAUAUUUUCUUACCUUUUAUUGUCGAUGAUCAUACCCUCAAUCACUUCGGUAGCCUAAAAGUAAUCAAGAAUAGAUAAUAAGAAUACAAAAUAAAUUAUCUAAAUUGUAAAAUAAAGCUUUUGAAAUUUACAUAUAUGUUCAACAUUAUCACAAUCUUUUGGUCGAAAUAUAGGAAAUAAAAUAUUUUCGAAUGAGAGUAAUUCAAUAAAACUAACCACUUAUAUUACAAAUCAUUAUUAAUAUGUAUAAUCAACAAAUGGAAAUUAUUUUAAAACUAAUAUGUAAGCCAAUUAGAUUAAGCUUUGAAUUUACAUCAUAUAUUGAUAAAAAGAAAAUUUUGUAUAUAAUUUUUGUUGAAUGAUUUACCGUGUUUUUUGUUAGAACAUGAUGGACAUCCUUUUCUUUCCACAAUCUACAACGUUUUCCAGGUUCAUCAACACAUUUUUCUUCAACAAUUUUUCUUCCCAUUUUUUGCAACAAGGCCUGCAUCCGCAAAUGUUGGUUGUCAUCACUAACUUUUAUGAGAGAUUUCUUAAUGAGAAUAUCGAUUUCAAUAUCUGGAAAAAACUCACAACCAUUCAAUACUUUCAUUACCAAAUCUCUCUUCUCACCGUUGAAAAAGCAUGCUAUAUCUAGAAAUAUAUUCUUUUCCUUUUCUUCCAAUCCAUCGAAGCUAAUUCUUAGCGUGUUAAGAAUUUCUUUGUUAGAAUCUUUUUAAGUCUUUCGAUUGCACUUCUCCAUUGAACUAUAUCUCUAUCGCACAAAAAUGAACCCAAAACUUCAAGAGCUAAGGGGAGACCACCAGCAUAACAUACAACCUCUUCAGAAACCUCAAUGAAAUCAUCUUUUGGCACUGUAUCACUAUGAAAAGCUUUCAAAUUGAAAAGUGUAAGUGCAUCGGCUGGAUUCAAUGUUUUAGGCUUAUACACACCAUCGACUCCGUAAGAUCGGAGUAAAUGUUCAUCUCUUGUUGUUACAAUGAUUCGACUCCCUAAACCAAACCAAUCACGCCUUCCAACCAAGCAUUUCAAGUGUUGUACAUUAUCAACAUCAUCAAGAACAACAAGAACCUUUUCACUACACAACCUGCGGCUAAUUAUGGCAUUCCCUUCAUGGACAUUGAAAAAAUUGAAGCAUUCAUUAGGCAAGAUUUGAGAAAGAAGUUGUUUCUGUAACGAAACAAGUCCACAUUUGUUUGAAACUUCUCGAAUAUCAGCAAGAAAGCUUUUGCCUUCAAAAUGAGGUGACAUUUGAGUGUAAACAACCCUCGCAAGAGUUGUUUUACCGAUGCCACCCAUUCCGCAAAUUCCUAUAAUGCGGACAUCAUCUUCCCCAAUGUUUAUUUUCGAAUACAACCCCUUCAAAGGUAAGCUAAUUCCAACCAAUUCAUCAUGAACCAUUGGAUUUGUCUCACAUAAUUUGGCUGAUAUCUUCCUAACAACGUCUCCGAUAAACUCUGAUUCAUUCCUACAACGAAAUAAAAAAUUGUUUCUAUCUUUCAAAUGCUCUUUGUCAUUUUUAGUUCAAUGAAUCAUGAAAUAUAAUAUAGUUGGAAGCAAACAAAAAGCAAGAAUAAGACAGUAAGAUAUAUUAUGGCAUCAAAAUACACAACUUUCUCGUUAGAAUUCUUAAUUAAACACAAAAUUAUAAAAAAUUACAUGCAAUCUUGAAAAAAACAAUUUUUUAGUCAUUAAAAUUAGGAAAUAGAGAAGAAAUGAAAGAAUUACCCAUUAUGUAAAUGCCAUCCUUUGAUCUUAGCUACUUCAGUCAAAGCAUUUCGCCACUUUUGGAUCUUGUCUUUAUCUUCCUUGUACCUCUCUUCAUGUUUGACAAAGGCUUCUUCUACUUUUUCUUUUCGGUUUCUUAAAUCGGAUGGAUCCACAUGGCAGAAAAUUGGAAAUACUUUAUGUCCGAUAGCGUUUUUUUGUUGAACAAUUUCAGCAAGCUCCUCCAAGCACCAUCCUGAAAAGGCAUAGGUUUUUGAAAAAAUAAUUACCGAGCACCAUGAUUGUUGAAUUGCUUUGGAGAGUUCGGGUGCGAUCUCUUCGCCAGCCUCCAGCUUUGGAUCAUCCCUGAAGGUGACGAUCCCACUACUCUUUAGAGCAUCAUAAAGAUGAGCCGUGAAGUUCUUGCGAGUAUCUUCACCUCUAAAACUCAAGAAAACAUCAUAUUUCUUUCUAGAAAUGGGGGAAGAAGUCGAAGGUAACGACAACAUGAGGAUGUAUGAAAGGAGCAGGAUAUCUUUAUCUGGUUUUCAAAAUCAGAAACUAGAUCGCCCGAUCCUCGCAAAGAAACUAGAAAAAGUAAGUAUAUGAGCAUAGGGGCGGAAAUUAGGGGCAAAGAUGAGUGAUGGAUGUUCUUUCCAAGAAGAAUCCAAGAAGGUGAGAGUUGGCACGGUGGAGGCUAUUAAAAAUGUUGGACGGUUUGUAUUUUACGUAUUUAAAAAUUAUAGCGUAGGUAAGAUUAUGACAAUAAUCAUUAGAAUAUAUCUUUAAUAAUUAUCCUUCGUUAUGGGCUGGUUAAAAAGUUUACCAAACAACCAACUACUCGCAUCGACACGUGGAAAAGUUCUUUCUCGAAAGACAGAUCCAUUUCGACUGGCUUGUCCAGAAUUUCUACAAUGGAAGCAUCAUCACUGACAAAAAUGCGACAGGAAGCAACUCCAACCCAUUGACCAUUCUGAAUAAUGAGUGGUAGAGGUAUCCUAAUUGUAGAGCCACCACUCUGUUGGCUAAACCAUUCUGGGAUUUCACUUCCAGGUAUAAUAACAUCAAACAUUUGUCUUGAAUUUGCAAAUGCCUGCAUAAUGAAACUUCAGUCGCUUAGUAAAUAAAACCAAAAAUUCCCAAGUAUGAGAGGGAAAGAAAGAGAGAUUAAUUAACCUUGAGAUGUAUUUUCAACAAUGUUAAUGCAGUGAUGUUCUCAGCUAAUCUGUAGCAGUUAAUGGCUUUAAUGGAAGCUAAAUCCAAUAAAUUUCAUACUUUUGAUGGACUUGCAACUACUUCAAGUGAAGCACAACCAUCUAUGCACACUCUUGCUAUACUUGUUAGAAGCUCAGGCAAGGAUUUAAGCUCUUUGCAAUUCAUAACAUAAGAAGCUUAAGCUCUUUGAGUAAGAGACGCAGGUAUGCUGAUGAAAUUGUUACCACUAAGAUCAAGAUCUGUCAAGGAGGAUAGGCAAGAUAUAUCACUAGGAAUAUCUCCUUCACGAAGAUUGCAGUCCCUUAGCUCAACUCUCUUAAUGAACUCAAACUUGACUACGAAGGCAACAUCAGAGGCAUAGAACUUGUCCUUCCUUUUUGGGUUUCCUUGAAAGGAGAAGGAAGAUUUUGUUGUAACUUUGAUGGUCCCUUGCAUCCAUUGAAAGACAGAACUUUAAGAUUUUUCAAUUGAAAAAUUAAGGAUGGUGGUCCUCUUAUGCUUGUUUCACUUAAGUCAAGCUCUUCCAAAUAUUCUACUUGCUUCAUAUUCUCUGGCAAAUUUUCAACUUCACAACAACUAGAAAGAUUAAGAGUUUUUAGACAUUCCAUUUUCCCUUCGAUCUCCGAAAACCUUACAAGAUUCCAUUCCAAUUUUGGUUGGAAGACUCCUAAGACUUUUGCACCCUCUUAAAUUCAAAAGUUUAAGCCUCCUAAGAACUUCCAAGGAUGGAUGACUUCUACAAUUCUUGUACAACCUUCCAAAACCAGAAUUUCAAGAUUUGGGGCCAUUGUGAAGUCUGGUGUCUUGAUUAGGUUUAGGGACCCUUCAAGGUUGAUCACUUUCAACUUAUACAUAGGCUGUGAAAAACAAUAAUAAAUUAAAGAGAAAAGAGAAAAAAUAAGAAAACUUAUUUUUGUUGUUUAUUUUUAUCUUAAGCUAAAACAUAAGGAUUGGGUGAAUUAAUUUUACUCUAUUUCCCUUCCAUAAUUGUUCAAUGCUACUGAAAUGGUAAGAGAAGUGCAACAAGGUGGUCCGGUUGGAAGCUUAAAGGCAAGAGUCCUAAAGGAUAUAUUAUGUAAUCUAAAAAUUUUGUUUUCAUUGAAAGAUAUUUGAGAUCAUCACAAUUUGAAGGCCAAAAGACUUUGAGUAAUUUCAACUCUUUUAUUUUUGAGAAGACAUCAACAUUCAAAUUAAGUGUCUUGCUCGAUUCUCUAAUAACCAUGGACGAAACAAAAAACUUAGCUUCACAAAAGCAUUAAUACCUAAAAACUCUGUAAAUCUAAAUAUGGGCAUUAAGAUAUGACUCUUCAAGAAUUCUUUAAUACAUGAAAAAAUCUUUUGAAAAAUGAACAUACCCAUUUUGAACAAUUAACACGCACAAUUGACUCCGAAUUACCUAAAUCUAAAAGUACUAAAACUAUUUUCAUUUAUAUUUGGUGCACUUGCAAUGUAUAAUUUUAUGCAUUAUUAGUGAAGCAAAUGAAGAUGCAUAAUUAAGGAUGAAAUUACUUGAAUUUAUUUUAAUAAUAUUUAAUGACAUGUUAUAAUCUAGUUCAUAUUGUCAAUUUAUCAAAUAUAAACUUUUAUUUUUCAUAAAAAAGAAACAUCUCUCUCUAUGUUUUUUUUUUCUGAAAGAAUAAUGUGUUACUUGAUAAAUUCAUAAAUUAGCAUUCAAAUAUUAAGUAUUAAGUGUUUUUUUUUCAUUAUAUAUUUUUUACAAAAUAAAACUAAAUAAUAACAAUAUUAAUAAUACACAUCGAUAAAAGUAGAUAUAUACUUUCCUACCUUUUAUUGUGGAUGAUCAUGCCUUCAAUCAAUAAAUAGGUUUUUUUCUCAAAGCUAGUGAAUAUCACUUUUUAGGGAUUGUUAUAUAGAUGAAUUAGAAUAAGCUUUAAGUUUAUAUUAUAUAUUGGUUAGAGAUCCAAUAAAAAAAAUUAGUAUGUAAAUUUUGUUGAAUGGCUUACUGUGUUUUUCGUUAAGACACGAUGGAUGUCCUUUUUUCUCACAGUUUGUAACGUUUUUUUGGUUCAUUAACACAUUUUUCUCUAUUAUUUUUUCUUCUCAUUUCUUGCAACAAAUCGUGCAUCCAAAAAUAUGUGUGAGUUCAUUGACUUUUAUGAGAGAUUUUUUCAUAAGAACAUCAAUUCCAAUAUAUGGGAAAAACUCACAACCACCCAAUACUUUGGUUACAAGAUCUUUCUCUUCUCCAUUGAAGAAGCAUGCUAUAUCUAGAAAUAUAUUCUUCUCCCAUUCUUCCAAUCCACCAAAGCUUAUUUGAAAUCUAUUGAGAAUUUCUUUAUUAGAAUCUAGUUUAAGUCUUUUGAUUCCACUUCUCCACUGAGAAGCCUCUCUACCGCACAAAAAAGAACCCAAAACUUCAAGAGUAAAUACCACUAGCAGAAUGUACAUCAAGUUUAGAAAGGACUAAAUCGUAACAAUUUGGACUAAUUUGAAUAGAACUAAGAACUUAGGUAGUGAUGCCCCUAAAGGAAUAUUAAGAUAAAGUGAGACUGGAAGGUAAUCUUGUCGUGCACCCGUUCAUUAGUCCCGGAUUAUCCGAUGUGAUUGGAAGAUAUACUAGACCUAAUCUGUCAAAGCUGGUAAAUUUAAGAUCGGAAGAUAAAAUAGAGUCACUUGAUAAUUACAUGAUUUAUGUCAUUGGUCCAAGAUUUGGUGAACCGCACCGAAGUCAACCAACCCCCGUUAGUCAUUUGCUAGAUAGUCCCUCUAGUUUACAUUUCUUGUAAUUUAGUCCCUAAAGUAGAAUAUUUAAUUUUCUUGCAAACUUAUCUUUUAUGAAUCACCGCAAUAUAAAAUUGUAUUAAUAGCCACUUAGCCUCCAUUGUGUAUGCUAGUUAUUGGUCAAUCACCUGUUCAUUUGUGUUCAAUCCUUAGAAUACUUUAGCAUUCAUUGUAACAUUAUAAAUAUUAAAACUGACGUGUAAGCUUGCAAUAAAAUUGGGCUUUUAAAAUAGUUAUAUAAAUUCAGUGUUUUAAGCGCAUGCACGUAGCCGGUCAGUAGUCAAUCUCACCCCAUUAGCCACCAUGACAUGAAGCUGACUAAAGUGCUCCACUAAUAAAUCCAACCUUUUAACCAGCUUAGAAUCUAGAAAAUUGUGUGUACUUCCUGAGUCAACCAGGAUAAUGACGUUGGAGUGACCAAUACUUGCUAAAAGCUGCAUAGUGUUAUGUCUCUAUAAGCCUUGAAAGGUGUGUAAGGAUAAAACUGGGGCAGUGGGUUUCAUUUCCAGUUCUAACACUUUCAGUUGUUCAGGACAUUCUUAGAAUUCUUCAAACACUGGACUCUUGCUUCCACCCUCAUGAAGUUCCACAACCAGCUGAUAAAGUUGAGGCUUGGUACACUUAUGACUUGGGGUGUAUUUGGAUGCACACCGAAAGCAAAGUCCCUUCUUCCUUCUCUCUUCUAUUUCAGCUUGAGAAAACGGUUUGGUUUGGAAUUUCUACCUCGAGUUACUAUUUGGAGGUCCACUUGGCCCUAUCGAGUUACUGUGGUGAUGUUGCACCUUGGGACCAGGAAUUAAGGGACUAAGGUGACUUAUUCCCCUUACAUUCAAACUCUUCUUUGGGAACUUAGCCACGACACGUUUAACCUAUCGAGCUAAUUGAUAGCCCUGCACCUGUGUUUAAGGCUUGAACAACCGUAGAUACUGUCCUAUCUCAGAUUUAAGAUUGCAAGUGAAAACACUGAGGACAUAAUCCUCAGUUAGAUGUAACUAAUUAAGCAAACUUACAAAACGGUCAUGGAAAUGGUCCACUGACCCUUGCUCAUUGAGUGAAACAUGUUCUAACAUAGGGUCUAAGAAGGAGUUAGAUCUAAAACGAUCCCUCAACCCUCGAACAUAUAUCUCCCAGGUCAGGUGAUAUAUUCCUCCCGUCUUUGCACAAAAGUGAUGCCAAUCUAGGGCUUUACCUUCUAAGUGCAACAUUACCAUUCUAACCUUGGUCUACUCUAUUAUAUUUGCAGCUUCAAAGAAUUGUUCUGACUUGGACCACCAACCUCAAUAAUCUGUCCCAUCAAAUCAUGGGCAUUCUAGUCGAAGAGUUUUGUUGACAGAGUCCACAAGACCAACUUGAGAAAGAGUAUUCAUGUUUUCCAAAGCUGACACAGGUGAUAAUGUAAGUGGCUCUUUGGAAGGGAACCUAGGAGGAGAGCCUCCCAUAAUGCCCUUGUCUUGAACUCUUCCAGUUACACUGGUAGAAGCAUUUUGACCAAAAUGGUGUUCAAAAAGAGAGUGCAGCCCAGUUCGAAUCUCACCUUUGAUACUUUCAUGAAAAUCCUUUAACCGAGAUUCAAUCUUAGCGUCAAUUUAGCUAACCUCUAAUUGCAUCUGAGAGAGCUCGUGUUGCAGCACUCCCAUCUCUUUUUGUAACCUAGUGGUGACUCUAUCAUUUGCCAUAAGAACCGAAUUCAACUCUGAUACCUUUGUCAUGGGAAAAUCUUUAGGGUAGAAGAGAAAUAGGGUAGCAAGAGGAAGAAAAAGGAGUUGAGAGAAAUUAGAGAGAUAGAAGGAAAGGAGUGGAAAAGUCAAGGGAUAUGAGGAUGAAUUGUCCUUAGUAAAGAAGGAAAGUGAGAAGAAAAAAAAGGGGGAGAAAUAAAUAUUUUAUACUAGUGAGAAGGGAAAUGUAUUAUCUUUCAACUUUCUGUUUACUCUACCAAGCAAGUCAAAAGGUCUUUUUCUUGUUAUUUUUUAUUGGACUUUUUACAAAAAAAAUAAUAACAAUACUUGGAGUACAUAUUGAUAAAUUUAUAUGUUUCUUUUCCUACCUUUUAUUGUCGAUGGUCAUGCCUUCAAUCACUUCAGUAGCCUGAAAGUAAUCAAGAAGAUAAAAUUAAUGCUCUAAAUUGUACAAUAAAACUUUUAAAAAUUUACAUACAUGUUCAACAUUAUUGCAAUCUUUUGGUCGAAAUACAGUAAAUAAAAUAUAUUCUAAUGAGAGUAAUUCAAUAAAAUUAAACAUUUAUACUACAAAUCAUUAUUAAUAUUUAUAAUCAACAAAUGAAAAUUAUCUUAAAGCUGCUCGAUGUCACUUAAGGAUCGAUAUAUAAAGCAAUUAGACUAAGCUUUGGAUUUACACCAUUUAUUGAUAAAAGAAAAUUUUGUAUGUAAAUUUUGUUGAAUGGUUUACCGUUUUUUUUGUUAGAACAUGAUGGACAUCCUUUUCCUUCCACAAUCUGCAACGUUUUCCAGGUUCAUUAACACAUUUUUCUUCAACAAUUUUUCUUCCCAUUUCUUGCAACAAGGCAUGCAUCCACAAAUAUCGGUCGUCAUCAUCGACUUUUAUGAGAGAUUUCUUAAAGAGAACAUCAAUUCCAAUAUCUGGGAAAAACUCACAACCAUCCAAUACUUUCAUUACCAAAUCUUUCUUCUCCCCAUUGAAAAAACAUGCUAUAUCUAGAAAUAUAUUCUUCUCCCUUUCUUCUAAUCCAUCAAAGCUGAUUCUUAGUGUGUUAAGAAUUUCUCUGUCACAAUCUUGUUCAAGUCUUUCAAUUGCACUUCUCCAUUGAACUAUAUCUCUACCGCACAAAAAUGAACCCAAAACUUCAAGAGCUAAGGGGAGACCAUCAACAUAAUGUACAACAUGUUCAGAAAGUUGAUUGAAAUUAUCUUUUGGAGUUGUAUCACCACCAAAAGCUUUCAAAUUGAAAAGCCUUAGUGCAUCGUUGGUGUUCAAUGUUGUAGGCUUAUACACAUCAUCGAUUCGAUAAGAUUGGAGCAAAUGUUCAUCUCUUGUUGUUACAAUGAUCCUACUACCUAAACUGAACCAAUCACGCCUUCCAACCAAGCAUUUCAAGUGUUGUACAUUAUCAACAUCAUCAAGAACAACAAGAACUUUUUUGCUAGACAACCUGCGGCUAAUUAUGGCAUUCCCUUCAUGAACAUUGACAAAAUUGAAGCAUUCAUUUGGCAAGAUUUGAUAAAGAAGUUGUUUCUGUAAAGAAACAAGUCCACAGUUGUUUGAAACUUCUCGAAUAUCAGCAAGAAAGCUUUUACCUUCAAAAUGAGGUGACAUUUGAGUGUAAACAACCCUUGCAAGAGUUGUUUUACCGAUGCCACCCAUUCCACAAAUUCCUAUAAUGCGGACAUCGUCUUCCCCAAUAUUUAUUUUCGAAUACAACUGCUCCAAACGUGAACUAAUUCCAACCAACUCAUCAUGAAGAACUGGAUAUGUCUGACAUAAAUUUGCUGAUAUCUUCUUAACAAUGUCUCCAAUAAACUCUGAUUCAUGCCUACAAUGAAAUUAAAUUUCGAUGCUAUAUUUCAAAUGCACUUCUUCAUUUUUAGUUCAGUGAAUAAUGAAAUAUAAUAUAGUUGGAAGCAAACAAAAAGCAAGAAUAAGACAGCAAGAUCUGUUAUAGCAUCAAAUGACACAACUUGCUGCUUAGUUGAAAUAUGGGAAUUCUCAAUUAAACACAAAAUUAUAUAUAAAAAAAUGCAAUCCAAAAAAAAAAAUUAGUCAUUAAAAUUAGGAAAUAUAGAAGAAAAGAAAGAAAUACCUAUUAUGUAAAUGCCAUCCUUUGAUGUUAGCUACUUGAGUCAAAGCAUUUCGCCACUUUUGGAUCUUGUCUGUAUCUUCCUUGUACCUCUCUUGGUGUUUGGCGAAGGCUUCUUCAACUUUUCCUUUUUGUUUUCUUAAAUCGGAUGGAUCCACAUCGUAGAAAAUUGGAAAUACUUUAUGUCCGUUCACAUUUUUUUGUUGAACAAUCUCAGCAAGCUCCUCCAAGCACCAUCCUGAAAAGGUAUAGGUUUUUGAAAAAACGAUUACCGAGCACCAUGAUUGCUGAAUUGCAUUGAAGAGUUCAGGUGCGAUCUCUUCACCAGCCUCCAGCUUUGGAUCAUCUCUGAAGGUGGCGAUCCCACUCCUCUUUAGAGCAUCAUAAAGAUGAUCCGUGAAGUUGUUGCGAGUAUCUUCACCUCUAAAACUCAAGAAAACAUCAUAUUUCUUUCUAGAAAUGGAGGAAGAAGUUGACGGUAACGACAACAUGAGGAUGUAUGAAAGGAGAUGGAUAUCUCAAUCUGGUGUUCAAAAUCAGAAAAUAGAUCGCCCGAUACCCACAAAGAAACUAGAAAGAGUAAGUAUAUAUAUGAGCAUAGGGGCGGAAAUUAGGGGUCAAAAGAUGAGCAAUGGAUGUUCUUGCCAAGAAGUAUCCAAGAAGGUGAGAGUUGGCAAAAUGGAAAUUACGUAAUAAUUAAAAAGUUGGGCGGUUUGUAUUUUACGUAUUUAAGAAUUAUGUAGAAUUAAUUUAUGGGCCGGUUAAAAAGUUUACCAAACAACCAACUACUCGCAUCCACACGUGGAAGAUUUCUAUCUCCAGAGACACAUCCUUUUCGACCGGCUUGUCCAGAAUUUCUACAAUGGAUAACAGCUCUGGAGAUGAUAACUCUGGCAGGGCAGAAGUAGAAUUUUUUUUUAAGGUACAAAAUUAAUUUGUAACUUUUAUUAUAGUAAAAAUAUAAUUUUAUAAUUUUAACAGUUUAUAUCUUUAUAAUAUUUAAAAUAUUAAAUUAAAUUAUUAUAAUUUUUAGGAGGGUCAACGUGUAAUUUUAUUUUUACUAAUUUAAAAUUUUAAAAAUCUUAAAAAACUUAAAUAAAAAACUUUUCAUUUUAAGAGAAGGGAACCCUACUAUCCCCUAGAUUCACCUCUGUAUCUCUGAGAAGCAUCAUCAUUGAUAAAAAUGCAACAGGAAACUACUCCCUUCAUUUGUCUUGAAUUUGCAAAUGCCUGCAAAAUAAAACUUCAGCGCUUAGUAAAUAAAACCAUCAAAUUCCCUUCAUGGACAUUGAAAACUUUUGUAGCUAAAUACGCCUGAGAUUUUGCUCCUGAUUCAUCAUGUCUUAUCUGCCUGCCUUUGCCUUUCCAUUUAUUCUUUGAUAAAUUUCUGUUCUUCAUAUUUCUUCUAUUGAGAGGACAUUUGCUCCUCCAUAACUCUUAUUCUCUUCUGCAUGUCCAAAUAUUGCUAACUACCAGAUUGAUUAUGUUAGAACCUUUGAUCCAUUGGUGAUGCUUCGGCAUGGUGUUUAAUUUUUGGGGUUAUAAUACCAUGGAGGAGUAUUGGUAAAACUGAUGGUAUGAAAUUUGUUGGUUUUAAUUUUGUGGGGGAUAUUGUUGACCAACAUGCAUUAGAUCCUGGUUUGAUUUCUUAGUUUGCUCCAUAUUUGCUUCGAUACUCUGACCAAUGAGGUUUGUAACUUGAUCAUUGGCAAGGUCAAACUCAAUAAUAGGAGGAUCAUUAGGAUCUGGAUGUUUCAUGCUUGUCCAUGCUCACCGCACCAAUUGUUAACUAGUGAGGUGAACAAAAGGAAGAAGAUGUUGGCUUGAUGAAGGAGGGAGUGCGAAGGUUGGAAGGAAUUUUUGGCCUCGUGGAGGUAGUUCAGAGGUUUAGUGAGAGAAGUAUGUAAGAGUGGACCUACGUGAGUUGUUUGCAUGACCCUUUUAUAGUGAGGACAAACUUAGUUAUGUUUCCUAAGAUUGAUGAUGUGGAAGUCUAAUUUGAUAUCUUUGCAGUGAUGGUGAUAUGAUGUCUUAGGAUGAAACAUGUUAGGACAGCUAGCAAUUAAUUACUCUGGGUCUCUACAUAGUCCUCAUUUGUCUUAGUGGAGGUGCAUAGUUCUAAAGUUCAUCAGGUUGUGAUACGAGGACCAAUUACUGGUCCAUAGACUAGCUAUGGGUUUGCUAGGCAUGAACUAGAUGUGAGUCCGCGAUAUCGUUGGUUCCAUUAGAAGACACUUGUCAAACUAUUUAUGAGUGUUCUAUGAGGUUCGCGACACAAAUAAAACCAUUAAUGCACAAUGUGAAAAUUUUUGUCCAAACAAGUUUAAAUGAUACUUCUAUUAGCAGGAAUUAAAGCCGUAUAAAUAAUUCUAAGGACCUAUAUAUAAGCUACAAAAGGAAGCUAUUUAAAUACUAUUAAAGCAGGGAUUGAAUCACACCAAAACACAUUACAGACAUCCAAUGGUACAUUGUCAUGCUUUUUCUUUUUUUUUCCUAGUAAGUAUUCAUGUUUAAUACUAUGCUCGACUUACAUAUAGUUAAUAGACUAAAUUGGAAACAUAUCACAUUUAAUAUAUAAACAAGUAUCAAUUGUGAUAUUCCCCAAUAAAAAUGAAAUGGUGUUCUAUUUAGAGAAAUAGCAGCAAUCGAGCGUUCUCCACAUUUUUGUUACAAAGUUGAACCUACAAAGAAAAUAUAGAUGUAAGUUUAUACAUACAUAUAAUGUUGAGCAAAAAAAAAAAAGUUUAUGCAUAUAACAUAAAAUGUAUUAAAAAAUCCAUUAAACUUUACAAGUUUCAAUCAGGUACAAAAGAAUGAAUUAUAUGAAUAAAAAUUUAAAUGGUAUAAAAAAUUAUGUUCUACAAAUUCGAGAUACGUGUAGAAUAUGAGUUUAGUGUUUAACAUGUUCAUACACAAAAUUUAGAAUUAGUUAUAACGUUUCAAGAAUAUUACCAAAUCCUAUGUUGAGUAAAGAUGUCCAAAAUGAAUACUUCAAAUCAAAUAAAAGACGUGCAUAAAAUAGAUUAGUAUGUCUAAAAAAUAAUUAAUAGUCGAUUGAGUUUUAGCUCGAUUGAUUUCAAUAUUUUUGUCAAUACAGGUGUAAAAAUAGAACAUUGGUAAUGACAAUGUAUCACAAAGAAAAAGAGAGAAAAAUAAAGAACACAUAGAUUUUACGUGGAAACCCUUUCGGAAAAAAAUUCACAGAAGGAGAAGAUAAUACACUAUGCCGAAUUCGAAUGAAUACAAGAGGAGUAGACUAUGUCUAUUUAUAGACUUGUAAAACCAUAUUUUAAUAAGAGUGUAGUAAGAUUGAAAUGUCUUAUUCUAAUUAAUAUCAAAUAGAUGGAGUUUAAUAAGGUUUAAAAACCUUAUUCUAGAAUAAAAUAAAAGAAGUGUAGUUCUAUAUGGAUUUUACUUUUAUUUUAUUUUACCAUUGUAUUUUAUUUAAAUAAGGAUUCAAGUCACUCAAUUCUAACAAUAUCCACCUUGACACGAAUUCUCAAUGAACAAGUUCUUCAUUGCAAACUCUCAACGAACAAGUUCUUCACCUCUUUCAUAAAACCCCAUUAAAGGUUUAACUUCAACAAUGAACACCAACCAAGUCUAAGCAAUGCAUAGGAAGUGACUUAGUCAUCAUAUCUGUAGAAUUUUCAUGAGUAUUAAUUUUGCUCACAACAAUAUCACCACGAGCAAUAAUAUCAUGAACAAAAUGAUACCGGACAUCAAUGUGUUUUGUUCUCUCAUGAAACAUUUGAUCUUUUGUAAGGAAGAUGACACUCUGAUUGUCACAAAAUACUGUACUGAUUUGAAGGUCUUCAUUGAGUUCACUAAAGAGUCCCUUCAACCAAAUAGCUUCUUUACAAGCCUCAGUAAUCGCCAUAUACUCAGCUUCAGUGGUAGACAAAAUGAUUGUAAUUUGCAAAGUGGCUUUCCAACUGAUUGCACAACCUCUGGUUGUAAAGACAUAACCCAUGAGAGAUAUUCUUCUAUCAAGGUCUCCAGCAAAAUUAGCACCAAUAUACCCAAUGACUCCACAUCUAGUUCUUCCAAACUGUAAGCAAACAUCAGUAGUACCUAGUAAGUAUCUUAAAAUCCACUGAACUUCUUUCCAAUAUUUUUUACCAGGAUUCACCAUGUAUCUACUAACUUCACUGAUUGCAUAUGAUAAAUCUAGACGUGAACAAACCAUAGCAUACAUGAGAGAUCUCACUGCACUAGAGUAUAGAAGAUGUGACUUGUACUCAAUCUCAUCAUAUGAUUGUGGAGACAAAGCUGAUGAAAGUUUGAAAUGGGCUGCUAAAGGAGUAUUAACAGGCUUAGCACUCUGCAUAUUGAACCUGCAAAGAACUUUCUCAAUAUACCCCUUCUGACUUAGGUACAAUUUACUUGCUUUUUUUGUCUUUAAAAAUCUCUAUACCAAGUAUCUUCUUUGCUGGUCUCAAACCUUUCAUCUCAAAUCUUUCACUUAGUUGGCCUUUGACCUUUCUUAUCUCUUAUUUAUCUUUCGCUGCUAUCAACCUAUCAUCAACAUAAAUGAGUAGAUACACAAAAGAAACAUCAUUGUUUUUCUUAAAGUAAACACAACUGUCAUAGCUACUUCUUUUGAAAUCAUGAGAAGUCAUAAAGAAAUCAAACCUUUUGUACCAUUGUCUUGGUGACUAUUUCAAAUUGUAAAGGGACUUUUUUAGCAAGCAAACAUAGUCCUCUUUUUCUGAGACUAUAAAACCCUCUAGUUGUUGCAUGUAAGUAUCAUCCUCAAGUUCUCUAUGCAAAAAUGCAGUUUUUACAUCUAACUGUUCAAGCUCCAAAUCAUGCACGGCCACAAUACCAAGCAAAGCUUGAAUCGAACUAUGCUUCACAACUGGGGAGAACACAUCUGUGAAGUCCACUCCUGGAAUUUGACUGUAACCCUUUGUAGCAAGCCUUGUUUUAUAUAUGGGUUCUUCAACUCUUAGAGUCCCUUCAUUCUUUUUAAACACUCAUUUACAACGAACAAUCUUUUUACCUUUAGGAAGUUUCACAAGAUCCUAUGAUUUGUUUUUGUGGAGUGAUUCCAUCUCUUCUUGCAUAGUAAACAUCCAAUUUUCUAAGUUUUCACAGCUAACCGCCUCAAAAUAAUUAGAUGGCUAUUGGUUUGCAUCUAUAUCUUCAGCCACAUUUAAAGCAUAAGCAACUAGAUCAGCCUCGGCAUACUUCUUUGGGGGUUUAAUUUCUCUUCUAGUUCUGUUUUUGGCAAUAAAGUAUUAUAGCGAAGAAGCAACUUUAUUCUGAAUUUUUGUACUGGCUUGAGAAGUCGACUCUAUUGUAUAUUCUGGAUUAAUCUGAUACUCCACCUACUUUUGAUUUUCUUUAUUGGAAAAGUCUUUAAGAGAUAAGUUAGGUAGCAUAGUAGUUUCAUCAAAAACAACAUCUCUACUAAUCACAACAUUUCUAUUUUUAGGACACCAUAACUUAUACCCUUUUACACUAUCUUUAUAAUUAAGAAAAACACAUUUAAUGGAUCUCGGUUCCAAUUUUCCAUUAUUAACAUGAGCAUACGUACGACACCUAAAGAUCUUUAAGUCAGAAUAAUUAGCAGGAUUACCAAGCCAUACCUCUUGUGGAGUCCUUUUCUCAAUGGAAACGAAUGGAGAUCGAUUGAUCAAAAAACAUGCAGUAGAGGUUGCUUUGGCCCAAAACGACUUUGGUAAGUUGGCAUUUGACAACAUACAUCGAACCUUCUCCAUGACCAUUUUGUUCAUUUGUUCUACAAUGCUAUUUUGCUGUGGAGUAUGACAAACUAUCAAGUGUCUCACGAUCCCUUCUGACUUACAUAGUUAAUUAAACUCAUCAAAACAGAACUCUGAGCCAUUGUCUUUGCGGAUGUAUUUUAUUUGUUUUCCCGUCUGUUUUUCAAUCAUAGUUUUUCAAGACUUAAAUGCAGAAAACACAUCGCUUUUUUGUGUAACUCACACCCAACCGUUUGAUUGUAUCAAUUAAACGCAGUUUGUAGAGUAACUCAUCAUCCAUCACUACCUUAAUCAUCCUCCUUCUUCUUUCAAUUCUUCAUGUUAUAGUUUAGUUGUAGCAUCAAUGUUCUGUAGAAUUGUAAUGUAGGACAAGAUUUCCAUGAACUAAACUAUAUCAGAUGUUACACAAUACGAAAUCAAUACAAACAUGAAACAUAUUUGCUCAUGUGCACACACUUGUAUAUACGUGAUUUAAGUUAAACAAUAUAUUAGACAUGGCAUGAUUAAUAGCUGAUUAUAAAAUAAAGGUAUUUAGUUAGGACGCUUCUGGUUGGACAUGGAUCCAUGAAUUGAAGAAGGAAGCUUUGAUGAAGACAUUUCGUUAGCUAGUAACUAUGUAUGUUGGAAACCCUACGAAAUGAGAUGAAGUGGUGUGAGGCAAAGAGCUCCUAUGUUGACGUAUUUAUACAACUUUCUCAGCAUGUGAAAAUCCUACAUUUACCUAUACAUCUGGAAAUUGAACAGUAGGAUUCGGUAAAAAUCAAAUCGCAUAGUGCCUUAUUAAUUAUUUUUUAAAUUUAAAAAAAGAAGAAAGUUAUUGAGAUUAUUUAAAAAUUUUGUAAAAAUAAAAAAUAUAUUAUAAAAUUUUAAAAAUUAAAAAUUAAAUAUUUAAUUAUUGAUUUGACAUCCACAUGUAUGUCCACGACAACAAAUUAAAUGUUUGAUUAAAAAAUUCAUCCAGUUUGGGUGAUUAGAAAAUUAAAUAGAGGGCUAAAAAGAUUUGGUUUUUUUUUUUGUAAUGUUGGAAGCCUAAAUAUGUCAUUAUACCAAAUUAAUUCAAUCAAUUAAAAAUAUAACUAAACUAUAAACAAAACAAUUUUUAUAUGUAAGUCAAUCAUAAGUGAAGUGAUAAAUAAUUUGUAUUCAAGUUUUAAGUUGAUAUUGACAUUGUUGCCAGUGUAGGAGGAUGUGAGUUCAAGCAAGCUGAAGCGUGUCAUCCUCCUCUUUAAGGGUUAAGAAGAGAAUAUAAAUAGUUCUAGGCAUCAUAUCAAAAAAUAAUUUUCAGUUGACGUCAAAAUUUAAUUUCAUCCUCAUCCUUAUAAAAAACUACUUUUUUGAAAAACAAAAUUUAAUGAAGUAUUAAUAAAGAAAUGAAAAUGUAAAUGGUUUUGAAAAAAUUUACUAUUGCUAGCAAGAAGUGCAUUGCUAAUAGAGACAGAACACUAAGAAAUUGGUGCCUAAGUUGGUGGCCACUUCUUUAGGCACUAAACGAGAAAAACAGAAAAACAAGCGAAUAUGAUUACGCAAUUCAGUUACUCUACGUCUGUGGAGCCUAGCUCAGUUAAAAGUUUGUACUCUUUUAAAAAAUUACAAAGUGAACCCUAAUUGUUGGAAAAGAAAUCUAAUUUGAAAAUGGUUUUCUUGCCCAGUAGAAAAUUAAAAUUUUAAAAACCGACCCAGUUUGUGAUAUUUAUAGCAGUAAACCUUAGACCGAAAUUAUACCUAUGUUUUUGGUUAAGCGAAUCCUAGACAUUUUUCGACUUUCAACUAAACGAGUUACGUGAUUAUCAAGUGAAUUUUUUUAAAGAAAAUUAAAAAUGUCACGCAAGAGAAUUUAAUAGAAAAAUUUUAACAAGGGUAACGAUCGAUCCUGAAUUUUUAAAUUCAAAAACUAGAAAAUUAUGCUCCUAAAAAUAAAAAUAGAGGACUAAAUUUCAAAUGUAAAAGUAUAUAGAGAUCUAGUGUAUAUUUUAAUAUUCAAAUUUUUACUCUUUAAUUUGACACAAAUAAUAAUUAACCUAACAUGGAAUGUGGGUCGAGUCCAUACUAGUUUUGGUUAAAAGCCUAAAAAAGUGUUAUAUUUCUGUUUUUCCUACAAAACUUUGUUGUCGAGAGUUUAAAUUUUACAUUUAAUUUAUCUAUAUUACAAUGAUUAAUAUAAUAAUAUCUUAAUGGGUUGAGUAGAAUGGUUCAACAAGUACAAAGAUGAUGAAGGAAACUUUAACAUGUCCUUAACAAGUGAUGUGAAAGGCUUACUAGAAUUAUAUGAAGCUUCACAUUUACGUGUGCAUGGGGAAGAUAUACUUGAAGAAGCUCUUGGUUUCACCACCACUCAUCUAGGUUUAGCCAAAGCUGCUGGCGCUAUCGAAUAUCCCCUUUCAGCCUUAGUCUCCCACGUUCUACAACCCAUCCGCAAGGGCUUGCCAAGGUUGGAGGCUAGGCGAUUCAUUUCCAUUUACCGAGACGAUGCUUCACAUAACAAAACACUGUUGAAGUUUGCAGAGUUGGAUUUCAACUUGUUACAAAUUUCACACAAGGAUUUCAAGGCAAUAUAUUACUCCUUCAACAUUCAAUAUUAAUUGUUUAUCCUAAUUUAAAAGGACUAAUUGAUACCUAAUGAUGAACUAAACAUAGUUAGGCUAAUUUGAGUUUUGUUUCAGGUGGAGGAAAAGUUUAGACUUACCUACAAAACUACCUUUUGUUCGAGAUAUAUUGAUAGAAGCUUACUUUUGGGCACUGGGAGUGGAUUUUGAGCCACAAUACUCUUUUGCUAGGGAGAUAUUAGCAAAAAAAAUGGUCAUGACAUCAAUAAUGGAUGACAUAUAUGACGCAUAUGGCACACUUGAAGAACUUCAACUCCUCUCGAAUGCAAUUCAGAGGUUAGCAACUUCACACGAUUCAAUUUUAAAUUUGAAAGUUGAUUCAGUUAGUUCAUGUAAUCAUGUAUAAAAAACAUUACUCAAUAUGUUUGAUUUUGAACUUUUCUCUAAUUGAUUUUGCAGGUGGGAUGCUGAUUAUAUAGAUCAACUCCCAAAAUACAUGAAGUCAUUUUACAAGCCAUUGUUAGAUCUUUUUGGAGAAAAUGAGUAGGCAAUGAUUAAGCAAGGAAAAUAAUGUUAUGUCAAAUAUGCGAAAGAUUAUACAUUCGUACCUUAUCUCAUUUUUUAAAUAAUUUUACAUAAGCCGUAAAAAUUAGUAACCCCUUUCUCCUUUUCUCAUAUAUUAUAUGAGGAAAAUGACAAGUAGUGUUGGCAAUGAAGCAAGGUGGAGUGGGACUAUUCACCUUAACCCCAUCCAAUCUUUAUAUCUCCUACCUUGACACCACUCCAAACAUGAUUUUAUUUGAAAUUUCAUAUCCAAAAAAUUUUUUUUUCUCAACUUUACCCAACUCACACAAAAAUAUUAAAUAAUUUUUAUGUUGUAUUACUUUUUACAAUAUCAAAUAAAAUGCAUAUUAUAAAAUCAUAUAAAAAUUUAAAAUAUCUAACUAAAAAAUAAAAAAUUUAAAAUCUUAUAAAAUCUUAUAGAAGUUUAAAAAAUUUAUAAUUAAAAUAUAUAAAAUUAGUUAUGAAAUUAAAAAGGUAUUUUGGUAAUUUUUUAAGAUAGUGCAAGUUUAAGUAAAACCUUAUCUCUGCCCAAACUCUAAUUUUCAUAAAAAGAAAAUAUGUUUUAUAGGGUUGGAUCGAAACAUAUGGAUUUGGGUCAUUUUUAUUAUCCCUAAAUAUACAUAUAUGUUUAACAUGAUUAUAUUCCAUUUUAUAUAUAUAUAUAUAUUUAUAUAUGAAGGAUUAUAAGUUGGGUACUUAUAUACUCUAAACUUGAAAAUUUAUUAUGACCUAAAGGUAAUGACUUUUUUUCUUCUUCUUCCUUUUUAUAGUUUAAACAAUUGUGUGAAUGCUAUUUUGUGGAGGCCAAAUGGUACAAUGAAAACUUUGUACCAACAAAGGAGGAGUAUAUGAGGAACGCGGUUUUAUCUGUUGGUUAUAUCAUGUUAACCGUCACAUCUUUUAUUGGAAUAGGAGAUUUUGUGACACUUGAGAUUUUUAAUUGGGCAUCUAAGAACCCUAAAAUCACUGAUGCUUCUUCCGUUGUUGAUCGUCUCAUGAAUGAUGUUACUUCACACAAGGUACCUUUUUUUCCCGAAUUUUGCAAGAGUAUUUUCAAUAAGUUAUAUUUGAUGAAUAAAACUAAUAUAAAUAUAUAGUUUGAGCAAGAGAGAGGGCACUGUGCAUCAGCUUUGAAUGCUACAUGAGAGAACAUGCAGUUUCAGAAGAAGAAGCAUGUACUGAAUUGAAGAAGCAAGUGGAGAAUGCUGGGAAAGAUAUCAACCAGGAAAUGAUAUUUGGUCAGAUAUCCAAAGUUGUUCCAAGGCCGGUUCUUACACGAGUUCCCAAUUUUACGAGAUUGGAGAUGAGUACACACAUGCUGGGAAAAAUACAAAAGAUGGGAUAACUGUUUGCUCAUUGAUCCAAUCUCAGUCUCCUAUUGAGGAAUUAAGACUCUAUAUCAUCUAGCGAUCCCUUUCCUGUUUGUGUUGCUUUUAUAUGUUAUAUGCUUUUAAGAUGUUAUUUAAAUCCUAACAUCUCAAUAAUCCAUGGUGUAUAUUUAUGUUACUCUUUUUUACUAUGUUUUAUGUCGUAUUUUGAUAAAUUUUCAAAUCUCAAGAUUUCUUGAGACUUAAAGGGUUGGUGAAUGAAUCAAGGCGUUGUUAUUUAAAUGGGUUUUAUGGUUGUUCUUUUGGUGCAGUUCUGAUUGUGUCUCAACUGAUUUUUGUUUAUGAGAUUUUAGUGCAAGGGAUCAUGAGUGGUAGUUGUGUUGCAAAGGGCUAAUCCUUACAGUAUAUCAACAUGGGAUGAUGGUGAAUGAACCUUGGCUUUAAAGUUUUUUAGGUGUUAAAGAUGGUAAGUAUGUGACUGCUUAAGAAAUUAAAGGUAUGGGUUUUAAAGAAAAUGGGUGGAUGGAAGGAAUUGUGGGCAAUCAGCAGUGCAUUUUACUGGAGGAGGGAAGUGCAACUGGUAGGGGAUUUCUAAGUUUUUAGAAUGGUUUGCAUGUAAAUUUUGGAGUUCUAAAAAAAAAGAGAGUUAACUUAAAUCACUUUUGAGAUGAAUUUCAAUGGAAAUGUGAAAUUCCCAACUAUAUGUUUUCUAAAAUGAAGAAACAAGAGAGAGAAAAUCUAACUAUUUUGCAAAGAGAAAAAGAAGAAGCCAUUUUUAUAUUACCCACAUUGCAUCGAGAAAUUAUUUUAUGGACCUUUUUAUCACAUCAUCUAGGGUUUUUUACACAAAUAAUACAAAAAAAUUUUAAAAAAUACCAAAGUAAUACAACCAUUUUAUUAUGUACCAAAAUGGUACAAACAGUAAAAAACCUAGUCGAGGGCCUGCCACAGGCGGCACCUGUGUCAUGUUUUCCUGGGGCUCCCCAAUUUGUUUGUUUUUGUUGUUUAAGGUUUAUGAUGUGAUUGGUUUUGAUUUAAUUGAGAUUUAAUUUUAAAUUUAUUUUUUUGCAAGGUAUUAUUUGAUUAAAAAUAGAUAUUAAGAUAUGUUUAUAUUUAUCUAUAUUUUCAUUCAUUCAUAAUUUAAUUUUAAUUUUUAGGUUAUGUACAUUCUAUGUUUUAUUAUUUAUGUUAUGUACAUACUAUGUCUUAUUAUUUUAUCAUUUAUGUUAUUAUUUAUGUUUUAUUAUUUAUGUUAUGUUCAUUCUAUGUUUUAUUAUUUUAUUUAAUUUAUUUGUUAAGUGUAUUUUAUGUUGAUUAGAUAUAUUUUUUAUGAAACUUAUUUAGCAUGUUGUAAUGAUAUUUUUUUACAAAAAUAGUAUUAAAAAUAAAAUAUCGAAAAAAUAUUUUUAUGACAAAAUAAAAUACAAAAAGAAAUAAAAAAAUGAAAAUAGUAUAUUUACUGAAAGUAAUAAAAUUCGAAAAAAAGAAAAUUACGAACAAAGGGUCAAAAUAAAGGUUUUUUACUAAAUUUAUAAUAAAACACACUAAAAUAAUAUAUUUUAGACAUUAUGUACUAAAAUAAUAUAAAAUAAUAAAAUACAAAAAUAGUAUAUUUUUUGAAAGUAAUAAAAUCCGAAAAUAAGAAAAAUACGAACAAAUGGCCAAAAUAAGGGGUUUUUACUAAAUUUAUAUAAAAAAACACCAAAUUAAUACAUUUCUAAUUUUAUGUACUAAAAUAAUAUAAAAUAAUAAAAUACAAAAAUAGUAUAUUUUUUGAAAGUAAUAAAAUUCGAAAAUAAGAAAAAUACGAACAAAUGACCAAAAUAAGGGGUUUUUACUAAAUUUAUAUUAAAAAAACACACUAAAUUAAUACAUUUCAAACUUUAUGUACUAAAAUAAUAUAAAAUAAUAAAAUAUGAAAAUAGUAUAUUUUUUGAAAGUAAUAAAAUCCGAAAAUAAGAAAAAUACGAACAAAGGGCCAAAAAAUCGGGAAAACAUGGCACAGGUGUCGCUUGUGGCAAUGGCAUCUUUGGUGCUGCCUCUGCCACUGGCACCUUUGGUGCCGCCUAUGGCAGACCCUCGACCAGGUUUUUUACUGUUCAUUUUGGUACAUAAUAAAAUGGUUAUAUUAUUUUGGUAUUUUUUAAUUUUUUUGUAUUAUUUGUGUAAAAAACCUCAUCAUCUAUGGUCCCACCCAAUUAAAAGAAGACGCAUCAUCUUUGAUUCCACUUCUCCACUGAGAAGCAUCUCUACCGCACACAAAAGAACCCAAAACUUCAAGAGUUAAGGGGAGACCACUAGCAUAAUGUACAACAAGUUUAGAAAGAAUAACCUUUUUACCUUUUGGAAGUACAAUAUCCCAUGUUUUGUUUUUGUGGAGUGAUUUCAUCUCUUAUUGCAUAGCAAACAUCCACUUUUUUUAGUCUUUAAAGCUAACCGCCUCAAAAUAAUUAGAUGGCUUUGGUUUGCAUCUAUAUCUUCAGCCACAUUUAAAGCAUAAGCAACUAGAUCAGUCUCAGCAUACUUCUUUAGAGGUUUAAUUUCUCUUCUAGUUCUGUUUUUGGUGAUAGAGUAUUGUGGUGAAGAAGCAACUCUAUUCUAAAUUUUGUACUGACUUGAGAAGUCGACUUUGUUGUAGAUUCUGGAUUAAUCUGAUGCUUCACCUACUUUUGAUUUUCUUUAUUGGAAGAGUUUUUAAGAGAUAAGUUAGGUAGCAUAGUAGUUUCAUCAAAAACAACAUCUCUGCUAAUCACAACUUUUCUAUUUUCAGGAUACCAUAACUUUUACCCUUUUACACUAGCUUUAUAACAAAGAAAAGCACAUUUAAUGGAUCUCAAUUCCAAUUUUCCAUUAUUAACAUGAGCAUACGUAGGACAUCCAAAGAUAUUAAAAUUAGAAUAGUCAGCAAGAUUACCAAACCAUACCUCUUGUGGAGUCUUUUUCUCAAUGGCAACGGAUGGAGAACGAUUGAUCAAAAAACAUGAAGUAGAGGGUGCUUUUGCCCAAAACGACUUUGAUAAGUUGGCAUUUGACAACAUACAUCGAACAUUCUCUAUGAUCGUUCUGUUUAUUCGUUCUGCAAUGUUGUUUUGCUAUGGAGUAUGAUAAACUGUCAAGUGUCUCAUGAUCCCUUCUGAUUUGCAUAGUUUAUUAAACUCAUCAGAAUAUAACUCUAAGUCAUUGUCUGUGUGGAGGUAUUUUAUUUGUUUUCCCGUCUAUUUUUCAAUCAUAGUUUUCCAAGACUUAAAUGUGAAAAACACAUUACUUUUUUGCUUCAGGAAGAACGCCCAAACUUUUCUAGAAAAAUUAUCAAUAAAUGUUAGCAUAUAAUUAGCUCCACCUCUCGAAGGCAUUCUUGAUGGCCCUUACAGAUCAGACUGAAUAUACUCCAACAUCCCCUUUGUGUUAUGGAUUUCUCUGGUGAAUCAAACUCUCUUUUGCUUCCCAAAAAUGCAGUGCUCAUAAAACUUCAGUUUGCAAAUUCCUUGCCUAUCAAGAAGUACUCUUUUGCUCAAUUCUGCCAUGCCAUUCUCACUUAUAUGCCCUAGGCACAUUUGCCAAAGUUUAGUAAUAUCAUCAUCUGAUAAGGAAGAGGAAGCGACAGCUGCAUCACCAGUAACAGUAGAAUCUUGCAAAACAUAUAACUUGGUAGUCUUUCUCUGCCCUUUCAUCACAACGAGAGAACUUUUGGAAAUAUUCAAAACCCUAUUUUUAGCUGUGUAUUUGUACCAUUUUGAAUCAAGAGUACCCAACGAAAUUAAAUUUCUCUUGGAACAUGUCGUACAUCACUAAGUGUUCUAAUAACUCCAUCAAAUAUCUUAACUUUUAUUAUUCCAACACCUGCGAUUUUACACGAAGCAUUAUUUCCCAUCAAAACAACACCUUCAGACACUGUUUCGUAAGUUGUAAACCAAUCCUGAUUGGGACUCAUGUUGAAGGUGUAGCCUGAAUCAAGGAUCCACUCCUCGCUCACUUUAGAAUUGUUAAAAGAAGUGACUAGAAGUUCACCAUCGCUGUAGUCUUCUACAACAUCAGCUUUACUGGAAUUUUCUGUUGAUUUCCCUUUUGAUUCGCAGCUUCCCUUUUGAUCUUGUUCUCUAGCUUAUAGCACUCAGAUUUAAUGUGCCCUUUCUUCUUGUAGAAGUUAUAAGUUUAACUUUUGUUUGAAGACUUCGAUCUACCCUUAGAUUUACCGAGAGGAUUCCCACGAUCAUCAUCAGUAUUCCGAUAUUGUCUCUCACGAACAAUAAGACCCUCUCCCUGAGAGUCAAUUUUAACCACAAGAUGCUCCAUCUUAUCAUACGAGGUUAAAAAAUCGUAAACCUCAUCAACUGUGAGAGACUCGUGGCUAUAUAAAAUCGUGUCUCUAAAAGUUGAAUAAGACGGAGGCAACGAACAAAGUAGAAUCAACCUUAGAUCUUCCUUAUCAUACUGAACCUCCAUGGCCUCCAAGUUUGAAAGAAUUUCUGUAAACACUGUUAAGUGUUCGUGCAUAGACGCACCUUCCUCCAAACGAUGAGCAUAAAUACGCUGCUUCAUCUGUAGCUUGCUGACUAGAGUUUUUGACAUACAUAUUUAUUCCAGCCUCUUCCAUAAUACAAUAACGGUCUUCUCUUUCAUCACAUCCUGUAAAAUUUCAUUGGACAAAUACAGAUGUAACUGUGUUAACGUCGUUCGGUCCUUGCGCUUCUUCUCUUCCUCCGUGAAUGUGAAAGGCUUCUUAUCUACCCUUAGCAGAGCUUCUUCUAAGUACAUCUAUGCAAGAACUGCUUAUAUCUUUAUCUGCCACAACGCAAAUCUAGUGUUGUGAUCCAACAGCGUAAUUUCAUACUUCAAAGACGCCAUUACCGUAAUUGAGAUGAACAACCCAAAAGCUCUAAUACCAAUUUGUAAAAAUAGAAUGUCGAUAAUGACAAUGUAUCGCAAAGAAAAAGAGAGAAAAAUAAAGAACACACAGAUUUUACGUGAAAACCCUUUUGGGAAAAAACCAUGGCCAGAGGAGAAGAUAAUUCACUAUGUCUAACUCUAAUGAAUACAAAAGGAGUAGACUAUGUCUAUUUAUAGGCUUGUAAAACCAUAUUCUAAUAGGAGUGUAGUAAGAUUGAAACACCUUAUUCUAAUCAAUAUCAAAUGGAUGGAGUUUAAUAAGAUUUAAAAACUUUAUUCUAGAAUAAAAUAAAAGAAGUGUAGUUCUAUAUGGAUUUUACUUUUAUUUUAUUUUACCAUUGUAUUUUAUUUAAAGAAGGACUCGGGUCACUCAAUUCUAACAACAGGAGAACUUGGGUUUGAGUGCGCUAAAUCGCAUUAUUCUCCUAUUUAAGGGUUGGGGAGGAGCUAUGGAUAGUUCUAGACAUUAUAUUAAAAAAAGAAUAGAUAUGCUCCGAACCUAUAGAGAGAUAUAUAUUGACAAGUUAGUAGUUCAUUAUAAAAUUGAAACUGUUUUGGUUGUAGCCCUUCUUCCUCUGUCUCCUCGUAGAGAUUAAGCUUAUGCUUUUGUUUUACAAGGGAAGUGCCACCUAUUGAUCCAUCAUUAUCAGCAGAGUGUUGAUGGAUAUCUUUGAAAUUUGGAGAAGAUUGAGUGCUAAGGCUAUGUUGCUAUUUUAUUUCAUCCAAAUAUUUCUCAUACACUAUUUUAACACCACACUUCUUCACCUUAACACCGGGACCAAUUGGCUUUGUGAAAGACAGCUCAAGCUCAUCGCAUUCUUGAUCUGAGCAAUCUAUUGUUGAUAAAUUCUUGGUUUCACAUUCAUCUCCCAAGGAAAAUAGAUAUAAUUUUUCACGCGACCAAUAAUGAAGAAAAAGGUGAUCCUUCGUUAUAGGAUGGUUAUUUUGUUUACCUAACAACCAGCCCAAGCAGUCACUCUCAUCAACUUGUCUGGAAUUCUACAAUGGAUAACCGCUCUACAUGUGAUACCCGCUUCAUCUCUAGAAGCAUCAUCAUUGACAAAAAUGAAACACUCGAAAGCUCCAAACCAUUGACUAUCAUUUUGAAUAUUGAGAGGUAGAGGUAUCUUGAUUGAAGAGUCACCUAUCUGUCGAUUAAACCAUUAUGGAAUUUCACUUCUAGGUGUAAUAACAUCAAAUAUUUUUUUUUUGAAUUUGUAAAUUGCUGCAAAAGAAAACACUGGUCGUUUGGUAACGAGAACCAUAAAUUAUCAAGUAUGAGAUUCUAUAAGCGAAAAAUAAGAGAGAUCAAUUAACCUUCAGUUUUUUCAGCAAUGUUAAUGCAUUGAUGUACUCUGCCAAUCUAUAACAGUUAACCACUUUAAUGAAAGUCGAAAGCGCUAAAUUGGGUACUUCCAAUGGACUUGCAAGUUCAUCUACGUCAAACGAAGCACAACCAUCUAACCGCACAUCUUCUAUACUUGUUAGAAGCUCAGGCACUGAUUUAAGCUCCUUGCAAUUUGGCAAUCGAAGGGUUUGAAGCUUGGAAAGUUGAGUAAGAGUUGAAGGAACGCCAUUGAAAUUGUUACCACUAAGAUCAAGUAAUAUCAAAGAGGAUAAACCAGAAACAUCACUUGGAAUAUCUGCUUCACAAAGAUUGCGAACAUUGCAAUUUGACAAUCAAAGAUAUUGAAGCUUGGAGAGUCACAUAAGAGACACGGGUAUGUUGCUAAAACUGUUACCACUAAGAUCAAGUUUUUUCAAAGAGGAUAAACAAGAAAUAUCACUAGGAAUGUCUCCUUCCCGAAGAUUGCUACCCCUUAGAUUCAACUCUCUUAAACGGGACAGGAAGGCAACAUCAGAGCCAUGGAAUUCAUUCUUCCUCUUUGGAUUACCUUGGAAAGAGAAGAAAGAUUUCUUUGUACCUUAGAUAGUCCCUUGCAUCCAUUGAAAGAAAAAACUUCAAGAUUUUUCAAUUAAAAAAUGAAGGAUGGUAGUUUUGUUAUAGUUGUUUCACUUAAGUCAAGCUCUUCGAAAAAUUCUAAUUGCAGUGAACUAUGGCAAAUUUUCUAACUUUAUAUAACAGCCAGAAAGAUCAAGAGUUUGUAGGCAUCCCAUUUUCCCAUCAAUCUCUGAAACCUUACAAGAUUUGAACAACCGAAAGAAUUAAUGUUUCAAGAGAUUCCAUUCCAAUUUUGGUUGGAAUACUCCUAAGAUUCCAUCCAAUUGUUGUGGUCAUAGGUGGCGAUUAUAGUGGUGAGAGGUUCGUGUCUUUAAAGUGUAAGAGUGAAGGAAACAAUCAAGAUGUGUGUGAUUAAGUAGGUUUAUUUAGUAAUUGUAGAAAAUAGUACACACUUUUAACUGAGUUAGGCUCCACAGACGUAGGGGUAACUAAACUGCGUAAUCAUCUUCGUGUGUUUUGUGUGUUUUUUUGUUUUUCUUAUUUAGUACUUGAAGAAGUGCCCACUAACUUAGGUACCAAUUUCUUAGUGUUGUAUCUCUAUUAGCAACGCACUUCAUGCUAGCAAUAGUAUUUUUUUUUCAAAACCAUUUACAUUUUUAUUUCUUUAAUGAUUCAUUAGUUUUUGUUUAAAAAAAGUUUUUCAUAAGGGCAAGGAUGAAAUUAAAAUUUGACGUCAACUUGAUUUUUUUUUUAUAAUGGCUAAAGCUACUCAUAGUCUCUUCCCAACCCUUAAAAAGGAGAAUAACAUGCUUCAGCUCACUUAAACUCACAUUCUCCUACACUGGUGACAAUGUCAAUGUCAAUUUAAAACUUGAAUACAAAUUAUUUAUCUCGUCACUUAUUAUUCAAUUACAUAUAAAAAAUUGUUUUGUUUAUAGUUUAGUUAUAUUUUUAAUUGAUUGAACUAGUUUAGUUUAGCUAUACAAAAACUUGAUGACAUAUUUAGGCUUCCAACAUUACAAAAAUAAAAGUCUUUUUAGCACUCUAUUUAAUUUUUCGCCUCUCUUUAAUCCUCAAACUUAAGUUUAUUUUUUUUGUCAGAUCACAGCAAAAGUGAUCAAACGUUUAAUUUGCUAAUGUGGAACAAAUAAUUAAUUUUUAAUAUUUUUUGAAUUUUUAAAAUAUUAUAAUAUAUUUUUUAUUUUUAUAAAAAUUUUAAAUAAUCUUAAUAACUUUCUAUUUUUUUGGAAAUUUUUAAAAUUAAUUAAUAAGGCAUUAUGCGAUUUGAUUUUUACUGAACCCGACUGUUUUAGCUUUCACUAAAAUACUGCCAGCUCUACCAACUUGUUUGCAAGUCCUUGACACAAUAAUUUCACAUUUAUCACCCUUAAUAAUUGCGAGCACCAAAGCCAAUUUCAUUGCUUGCCCCAAAUAAUUGCAUGUGUUUUAGUUUAAUUACAAAUAUUCAAGCUUGUUGAAAGUUAUACUAAAUUCAAUUGCUUAAAAUGUUUGACUUAUUAAUUAAAAUUAUUAAAUAUAUAAUUACUUACUUUAUUCUAAUAAAUAUGACUAAUAACAAAGGUGGUAUGACAAAGAUAUACAUAACGUGGUGUUACAUGGUGCCAAAGAAAAUGCCCAGUUUCCUACCACAAAAUGUGCAUGGCAACAGUUUUCAUAUUUAGAUAUUGAUAAUUUAUUCAACGUUAUUUUUGGGCUACGAUAAUUACUUUGUGAAUUUCUAGUCUGUUAUGGAAGAUUAUACUGCUAUGAAGUACGAAUUAUUGGUAAUUGAUUUGGAUUGAAAUUUCUCAUUGCAAUCUCUUGGAUUAUAGACUUUGUUAUGGAUCGUGAUUCUUCUGAUGAGCUGUCAAGAGUCUAUUUUUACUUCAUAUGUCAUUAUUAUAUUGUAAUAAUCUUAUGGUAUUAUUGUUUUAUUGGGAUUGUAUUAGAUCUCCUAUUACAAGCAAGUCUCGAAAUCAAUGUCUAUAUAUUUGAGAGACUUACCUAGGAAAAUGUAUUGAUAUUUUAAGCACUUAAUCUGUUCUUAAGAGAAUAUUUGUGUAAGAGUGUUCUUAGAGUAAAACCUAUCGUUGUGGUUUUACUUGUUGUGGUCAUAGGGGGUGAUCAUAGUGGUGAGAGGUUCGUGUCUUUAAAGUGAAAGGAUGAAGGAAACAAUCAAGAUAUGUGUGAUUAGGUAGGUUUACUUUGUAAUUGUAGAAAAUAGUACAUACUUUUAACUGAGCUUUGAUCCACAGACAUAGGGACUGAAUCGCGUAAUAAUCUUCGUGUGUUUUAUGUGUGUUUUUGUUUUUCUCAUUUAGUGCUUGAAGAAGUGCCACCAACUUAGGCACCAAUUUCUUAGUGUCGUGUCUCUAUUAGCAAUGCCCUUCUUGCUAGCAAAAGUAUUUUUUUUCAAAACCAUUUACAUUUUUAUUUCUUUAUUAAUAAUUCAUUAAUUUUUUUUAAAAAAGGUUUUAUAAGGGCAAGGAUGAAAUUAAAAUUUGACGUUAACUAGUUUUUUUUUUGAUACAAUUCCUAGAAUUACUCAUAAUCCCUUCUCAACCCUUAAAGAUGAGGAUAACAUGCUUCAACUUGCUUGAACCCAGAUCCUCCUACACUGGCAACAAUGUCAAGAUCAACUUAAAACUUGAAUACAAAUUAUUUAUCACUUCACUUGUGAUUCAAUUACAUAUAAAAAUUGAUUUGUUUAUAGUUUAGUAAUAUUUUUAAUUGAUUGAAUUAAUUUGGUAUAUUGACAUAUUUAGGCUUCCAACAUUACAAAAAUAAAAGUCUUUUUAGCCAUCUAUUUAAUUUUCUGCCUCUCAUUAACCCUCGAACUUUCUUUUUUUGUCAAAUUACCUCAAAAUAGACGGAAAAAUUAUCAUCCCAAGUGAAACUUAGUUCACUAGAGUUGUGGGGGAGCUCACUAGUUAACCCAACGGAUUGAUUGACAAUAAGUCCUUCGGAACUAUGGUAAGAAAGGGGAGUCCAUCAUGAACUAUACAUAUUAGAAAAGAUUGCCAAAGUGCAUGGUCCUUUCUCAUAGGCCUUAUCAGUAGAUAGGCCUCACAAGUAGAAUACUUGAGUAUCUGUCGGGAAUAUGGUGCUUACAAUUUUCGAACAAGACACCUAGAAACCACCAAAAUCCUAUUGUAAGGAUAUAAGUUCGACCAGAGACUUAAGGUAUUAGCAGUCAAACCACCAUUUAGGAAAAUCGAAAGACGCAUAAAAGGCCAAUAGUUCAGAUAAGACGUUAAAGUCUGAGUAUAAACAAUGAGUUAAAGCAUUUUAUUUUCUUUUAAAGAUUUUACCCUAGUAAAGAAGGGACAGGAUAUGAAAUUUGGUAGUAAAGAAACUCACUAAGUUCAAUCGAACUUACAAAGGUUUUGACCUGUGGUUGCAGGAUCUGCAGAAUAAGGAACUCGAGGAGGGACCAAGUUAGACCGUGUUGGAUCAAUGAGCACUGUUAGAAAAGUGUUGUGCACAUAUGAAGAGGGUACCUUUAAAGGAGUCGCCUUGAGGUGGAACAUAUUGUAGUUAUGAAGAUCCAUUAGAGUUUGAGUUUGAAGAUGUAAACUUUUUUUUAUUUUAAGGAUUUUGUUAUAAGCAAAUAGUUACUACUUAAUAAAGUUUGUCUCGUAAUCUAUCAAGCUUACAAUUUUAUAUUUAGUCCAAAUCGGCCCAUUUGUGGCACACCACACCCGAAUUCGGUGGUUAGGUCGGGUGAGUGUGUCACAAAACGAAAUGAAUAGAAAUAGAAAAAUGGGAAACAUUCAGAAAAUGAUUAUGGUUUUCUCUGAAAUGGAGAAAUGGAAUCAUUUUGGAAAUGAAUGUGGGUUUCUCAAUAUGGAAAUAGAAAUAAAAAUGAAAAUGAGAAAUGAUACAUUUACAAAUGUACAUGGAUUACUUAGAAAUGAUUGAAAGAAUGAAUUUAUGUUUUUAAGUAGUUUUAGAGCCUGAAAAUGAAAAUAAAUAAUUCGAUCAUAGUGAACAAGUUGAGUUUUGAAAUAUCAAAUAUAUUUUCUCGAAAUUUAACAGGAGUAAGAUCGCCAUAAUUUUAUUGGGGGUAAAAUAGGAAUGAGAAAAUUAAUUAAUUAAAUAUAAAUAUUAAAGUUUAUUUUGGUAAUAGAAAAACAAAUAUUGGAUUGGAUCGAAUUAUAAAGUAUUGGAUUAAAAGCCUAGAAAGUACUUAUAAUUAGACUCAAUACAGAAGAGGCCCAAAAGCCCCUUAUGUAAUAAAAGAGGGACGACAAAGCCUAGUAUAUUUAACUAGGGUUGCUGCCCCCUACAUCUUAGUUGAACUAGGAUUUUGUUUCUCUAGUGAAAAUAAACUUUUACAACUCUACCAGGGUUCUACCUUCUCUUAUUAUAAAUAGGUGGCACCGAUAGCGCAGAAAACACAACUUUGAGAGAUUAGUACUAGGCCGAAAAAUAUAGAGAGUUUUAUUCUCAAUUAUUAAAUAUAUAUUUUUCUGAAAUAUCAAUUCUACUUGUUUCUAUCUGAGAAAAGAGAUUUUUUUUCACCCCAAAAAUAACAGAAAACUUUUUCUAGUUCCGUGUUUUGAUUCGAUUGGUUCAAGCCCACACUUGAAGCAGUUCAUGGUACGAGAAUAGCGAAGAAGAUCGUUUGGUUGAAAGUCAAAAAAUGUUUAGGAUUCACUUAACCAAAAACAUAGGUAUAAUUUCGGUCUAAGGUUUACUGCUAUAAAUAUCACAAACUGGGUCGGUUUUCAAAAUUUUAAUUUUCCACUGGGUAAGAAAACCGUUUUCAAAAUUUUAACCAAAAACGGUUCACUUUGUAAUUGUUGAAAAGAGUACAAACUUUUAAUUGAGCUAGGCUCCACAGAUGUAGAGUAACUGAAUUGCGUAAUCAUGUUCGUGUGUUUUUCUAUUUUUUCUCAUUUAGUGCCUAAAGAAGUGCCUACCAACUUAGGCACCAAUUUCUUAGUGUUCUGUCUCUAUUAGCAACGCACUUCUUGCUAGCAAUAGUAAUUUUUUUCAAAACCAUUUACAUUUUUAUUUCUUUAUUAAUACUUCAUUAAUUUUUUUUUUCAAAAAAGUAGUUUUUUAUAAGGACGAGGAUGAAAUUAAAUUUUGACGUCAACUGAAAAUCUUUUUUUUGAUAUAAUGUCUAAAACUAUUUAUAGUCCCUUCUUAACCCUUAAAAAGGAGGAUGACAUGCUUCAGCUUGCUUGAACCCACAUCCUCCUACACUGGCAACAAUGUCAAUAUCAACUUAAAACUAGAAUACAAAUUAUUUAUCACUUCACUUAUGAUUCAAUUACAUAUAAAAAUUGUUUUGUUUAUAGUUUAGUUAUAUAUAUUUUUAAUUGAUUGAAUUAAUUUGGUAUAAUGACAUAUUUAGGCUUCCAACAUUACAAAAAAAAAUCUUUUUAGUCCUCUAUUUAAUUUUCUGCCUCUUUAACCCUCGAACUUUUUUUUUGUCAAAUGACCCUAAAAUGGAUGAAAUUUUUUAUCAAAAGUUUAAUUUGCUGUCGUGGACAUACACGUGGAUGUCAAAUCAAUAAUUAAUUAAUUUUUAAUAUUUUUUGCAUUUUUAAAAAUUUUAUGAUAUAUAUAUUUUUUUACAAAAUUUUUAAAUAAUUUCAAUAACUUUCUUUUUUUUAAAUUAAAAAAUUAAUAAGGCACUAUGCGAUUUGAUUUUUACCGAAUCCUACUGUUCAAUUUCCAGAUGUAUAGGUAAAUAUAGGAUUUUCACAUGCUGAGAAAGUUGUAUAAAUACGUUAACAUAGGAGCUCUUUGCCUCACACCACUUCAUCUCAUUUCGUAGGGUUUCCAACAUACAUAAUUACUAGCUAACGAAAUGUCUUCAUCAAAGCUUCCUUCUUCAACUCAUGGAUCCAUAUCCAACCAGAAGCGUCCCUCAGCCAACUUUCAUCCUAACAUUUGGGGGGAUAUUUUCCUUUAUUGUUUAGAUACAUAUGUGUGUCUGCGCAUAAGUAAAUACCUUUAUUAAUGUUUAACUUAAAUCACAUAUAUACAAGUGGUUGCACAUGAGCAAAUAUGUUUCAUGUUUGUAUUGAUUUCGUAUUGUGUAACAUGUGAUAUAGUUUAAUUCAUGGAAAUCUUGUCCUAUAUUACAAUUUUGCAGAACGUUGAUGCUACAACUAAACUACAACAUGAAGAACUGAAAGAAGUAAGGAGGAUGAUUAAGGUAGUGAUGGAUGAUGAGUUACUCUACAAACUGCGUUUAAUUGAUACAAUCAAACGGUUGGGUGUGAGUUACCAUUUUGAAAGACACAUCGAGGAAGUAUUGCUCAAAAUUUAUGAGCAUGACUAUAAAGAUGACCAAACUCUCGAGACUACUUCUCCUCAAUUUCGAUUGCUUAGAGAGAAUGGAUUUGGUGAUCGUUGUGGUGAGUCCAUUUUCCUUCCUAUUUUUUUUUAUUUUUUUGAUUCAACAAAAUCGUCCAGCUCCCUUGCCAGUAACUUUAAUUGAUGAUCCAACCCAAUAAUAAUUGUUAGAAAUGGAAAUGACUUCUUUUAGGUUUCUUUUUCUAAAUAAUUAUUUUUUUUGUCUAAUUUGUUAGGGCCUUGUAAUCUAUUUUGGACUUUCCUCCUGCACAAAGGGUGUUUAAAUAAUCGGUUUGGUUAUUAACCGAACUUAAUUAUUAUUAACUGAAUUACCCGAAAGAUAAAAAUCUUUAACCGUUAACUGAACUGGAUUUUUUUUCAAAUACAUUAACUGAAUUGAAAUAUUUCAGUUAAUUUGAUCGGUUAACCUAAUUAAUUCGAAGCCUAUCGAGAAUUUCUUUGCUAGAAUUUCGUUAAGUCUUUCAAUCGCACUUCUCCAUUGAGCUACAUCUCUACCGCACAAAAAUGAACCCAAAACUUCAAGAGCUAAGGGGAGACCACCAGCAUAAUGUACAAUACGUUUAGAAAGUUCAAUGAAAUCAUCUUUCAAUGUUGUUUCACUACCAAAAGCUUUCAAAUUAAAAAGCCUAAGGGCAUCAUUAGGAUUCAAUGUUGUAGGCUUAUACACAUCAUCAACUCGGUAAGAUCGAAGCAAAUGUCGUUACAAUGAUUCUACUUACUAAACCAAACCAUCACGAUUUCCAACCAAGCAUUUCAAGUGUUGUAUGUUAUCAACAUCAUCAAGGACAAUAAGAACCUUUUUCCUAGACAACCUGUGGCUAAUUAUGGCAUUCCCUUUGUGAACAUUGAAAAAAUUGAAGUAUUCAUCAAGCAAUAUCUGGGAAAGAAGUUGUUUCUGUAAAAAAACAAGUCCACGUUUAUCUGAAACUUCUCGAACGUCAGCAAGGAAGGUUUUACCUUCAAAAUGAGGUGACAUUUGAGUAUAAGCAAUUCUUGCAAGAGUUGUCUUACCAAUGCCACCCAUUUCGCAAAUUCCUAUAAUACGAACAUCAUCUUCCCCAAUGUCUAUUUUCGAAUACAACUCCUCCAAACGUAAACUAAUUCCAACCAGCUCAUCAUGAACAUCAGUAUAGGUCUGACAUAAUUUCACUGAUAUCUUCUUAGCAAUAUCUUUGAUAAAUUCUGAUUCAUGCCUACAAGGAAAUAUGAUUUAAUUCUUUUAAAAAAAUUGUUGAAUCAUAAUAUAGUUUGGAGCAAACAAAAAGCAAGAACAAGAAAGCAAGAUCUGUUACCACAUCAAAAUACACAACUUUCUCUUUAGUUGAAAUAUUGAACUUUACAAUUAAAUAUGUAGUAACUAAAAUUGAGUUCGAAUUUUAUAUUUUUUAAAUAUUAUUAUUUCUUAUUUUUGUAAUUUUAUUAUUAAUUAGAAUUAUAGCUAUUAUUUAUUAAUAAAAGGGAAGGGAAAGAGUUAAAAGAGAGACAGAAAGACACACCCAGCGACAGGGUGAGCCAAUAGAAAGACAGAAAUAAAACAAAGAAAUUAACAAUAUUGUUAAUUUCAAUUCAAAAAAGAGUCUAGCUACCUAAAUACUGUUCCGACAAAACAAAUAGGAAUAUUGGAAAUAAACAUAUAUAUAUAUAUCAAUUCAAAAAAUAACAAUAUUGUUAGACACUAAAACUAGAAAAUAGAGAAGAAAGAAUGACCUGUUAUUUAAAUGCCAUCCCUUGAUGUUAGCCACUUCCCUCAAAGCGUUUGGCCACCUUUGGAUCUUUUCUCUAUCGUCCUUAUAUCUCUCUUCAUGUUUUGCAAAGGCUUCUUCAACUUUUCCCUUCUGUUUUCUUAAAUCGGAUGGAUCCACUUAGUAGAAUAUUUUAUGUUCCUUAUCCUUUUUUUGAUGAACAAUCUGAGCAAGCUCCUCCAAGCACCAAAUUGAAAAGGCAUAGGUUUUUGAAAAAAUCGAGCACCAUGAUUGUUGAAUUGCUUUAAAGAGUUCAGGUGCGAUCUCUUCCCCGGCCUCCAACUUGGGAUCAUCUCUAAAAGUGACAAUCCCACGCCUCUUUAGAGCAUUGUAGAGAUGAUCUGUGAAGUUGUUGCGAGUAUCUUCACCUCUAAAACUCAAGAAAACAUCAUAUUUCUUUUUAGAAAUGGGCGAUGGAGUUGAAGGUAACGACAACAUGAGGAUAUAUGAGAAGAAAAAGAUAUCUCAAUUUGGUGCUCAAAAUCAGAAAAUAGUUCGCUCAAUACCACAGAAAGAAACUGGGAACAAUGGGUUGAUGAGGAUAAGAAAGAGAAAAGCAGAUCUACAAAUAGAUGAGGGAUGAUGUUCUUUCCAAGAAGGUGAGAGUUGAUUUUAUAUCGGAUAUAUAUAAUAGUGCUAUUAAAUUAUUUGUAUACAAUUAUUGAAUGAAGUUAUCAAACAUAAACUCAGUGAGUCACACGGUCUGGACACACACCCAUGUGUGUCACCUGUGUGACUCUAAUAUGAAUUUAGUGAGUUACACGGCCUGGACAUACGCAGUGUGUCUCACCCGUGUGACCCCUACCUCUCAUUACCUACACACAGCCUCUCCCACGCCCGUGCGUCUACAAAUUCAAAGUCAAGGAGUUACUCGGCCCGCCACACAGCCUUCCACAUAGCCGUGUGACUCACACGGCCAGCGCACGCGCCCGUGUGCAGUCGACACUCCCGAUUCUGGCGAAGAAAAAAACACAGAAAAAGAGGGGUUUUGGCACCCACCUGUUACCCAAUGCUGAAGAAGCACCCAAUUAUAAAAUCCAAGCCUAAAACAAGUUCAAAACACUCAAUUCAAUAAAACUUCCACAAAAUACGCAAGCACCAACAAUCCAACUUCGUCGAAACUUUCGACUCACUACACGAAACAAGUGAAAGAUUACUUAUCACGGAUUCCUAGUACUCACUCAAUUCCUAAGUAAACGAUAGGCGUUAGGCAUCUUUUGAAUUCCUCCCUAAUGUAUCGAAACAACGCAUAACAAGUUAUCAGACCUCAAGACUUAUGAAAACCCCAAAUUCACAAUGACAGACUUUAUGAAAAUAUCGACUUAACUUACCUUGAAACACACCAGAACAAGCAAAAACGCGUCUAACGAAGCAAUUUAUACGAAAGAACAGACAAUAAAAGAAAAGAAUUAAGGAAAUAUGAACAGAAAAGAAAGAAAGAAAAAGAACAAUUUGGGAAAGAAAAAAAAUGAAGAAGAACGUCAAAUCCAAGAGGGAAGGACAUUUAAAUUUCAAAUCAAUUUUUACUGAAUAUCCAAAAAUAAAAUCAUUGUUGCAAACGCUAUAACUUGAACGUAGAAUUAGAGAGUAGACAGACAUUUAACCGGUGAACCAGCAAGUUUAUUUUUGACAUAAGCUGCACAAAACUAAACUUAAACAAAGAAUCCUAAGUUAAGGGUUCAAGUAAGAAAUUUAACAAAAUUCUGAAAUUUAUGUAACACAAACCUCAAACCUUUAGUGAGCAAACAAAGCACACAACCACAGAAGCAAACACAUUUUCAUUGACACAACUUAGCAAUUAAAACUCCAAUUUUGGAGCGUUACAAUGUUGCAAAGCUAGUUUGUAACAAGACAUAUAUAUAAAUUGAAUUCAAACCAUGCAUAAAAGUACAAACCAUAUUCGUUUCUCGUCUACGACUCUCGCAUUUCCUUUUUAUCGAGACAAUCUAACAUCAUCUUUAGCUAUGUACAAUAAUAUAAGUAUAGAAAUGAUAUUAGUUUUUCAUCCAAUCACAUUAAAAACAAAUAAUCAAACAUAUUUUGCAUUUUAUUCAUUUUAGUCAAAUACUCAUAUUUUCCAAUAUUUAAUAGCGGAUGAAAAUCUGAUUUCAUAUAUCCUUUCAUUAGAGACAUUAUACUUUUUAUCUAUAGCAUAAUUUAUUAAAAAUUUUCAAUUUAUUAAAUUCAUCCCUAAGGCCACAAAAUUAUAUUUAAAGCUUAACUUGAUUUCUAACUUAAACCUUAACAUGAUUUAAGUUUACUAACUAACAAUCUCUUCAAUUUCAAGCUUAAUUUUAUCAAUUAUACAUCAAUGAUAACUUGACAAUUAAAGAAAUCGAUGCAUGGGUAGCUAAACCAAACUCUAAUGAUUCAAAAUUCAUAAAAAUCUUAAGGAAAGAACUUAAUUACCUUGAUUAAUUUUGGAUUAAAAUGGAAAAGAAAAGAAAGAAGUUUUUCCUUCUUCUUCUUAGCUUGGGACGACCAAACACAAUAAGAAAGAUAACUUCAUCUUACUCUCCACACACUUUUAAAAUCUUAAUUAGAUUAAUUAAUCAUCAUUAAUAAUAUAAUUUUAAUAAGUGUUUUAAUUAAUCAAGUCAAUUAAGAUAUUUGGAUGUAAUCUUACUAUUGCACUAUCAUAUUUUGAUAAUGAUCAAUUUAUUUUAAGGUCCUUAGAUUAAUUAUUAAUUAAGUCCUCAAUUAUUUUCUAAAUUAAAAUUUAAUAGCGAUUAAACUUUUAAAAUUUACGGCCUAAACUUUAAUUAUUGAUUUUCUUGACUUAAUUACCGGUUCUUUAAUAUAUUUUUAUACUAACUUUGUCAAUACUUGUAUUCAUAUUUUCUAUCUCUAAGUGAAUAUAUAAUGAAAAAAUUUUAAUAAAAAAAUGAAACCAAUCAAAAUAUACACAUUUCAAUUAUAUAAAAAAAUGAAUUAAACGAUUAAAAUUUUAAAUAGAAUAUGAGCUCAUGUUCAAAAUGAGUAUGAAUGCAGAUUUUAAUUUUUUUUGGUAUAUAAUGGAAAUAUCAUAUCUCAAAUGCAAGUAAAUUUAGAAUGAUUACUUUAAAUGAAAUAAAAAAUAUAAACAACGUAGAUAUGUUAAAAAAAUUAUUAGGACAAGGUUGGUUAAGUAGCUUACCACAGUUAAUGCUUCUUCGACUGACCCAUUAUAAAAAGUGAAAAACUUUUGCAUCCGUUUUGGUUGCGGCCCUUCUUCCCCUGCUUCCUUGUAGAUAUUAUGUUUUCGUUUUAUGUGAGUAGUGCUACCUACUAAUCCAUCGUUGUGAGCAGAGUGUUGGUGGAUGUGUUCAUUGAGUGGUAUGGCACUGCAACUCUUUUAUUUCUUCCAAAUCUUUCUCAUACACUAUUCUAACACCACACUUCUUCACCUUGGCACUGCGUCCAAAUGGAUCUAUGAAAGACACCUCAAGCUCAUCCCAUUUUUUAUCUAAGCAAUCUGUUGCCCAUAAAUUAUUGGUUUCACAGUCACCAUAUUUGUCCUCCAAGGAAGAUGAAUAUAAGUUAUCACGAGACCAAUAAUGAAGAAAAAGGUGAUCUUUCAUUAUGGGCUCCUUAAGUCGUUUACCCACCAACGAGCCUGUCCAAUCAAUCAGUCGAGGAUUUUUACAAUAGAUAAAUGUUCGACAAUUGAUAACCUCGUCAUCCCUUGAAGCAUCAUUAUUGACAAAAAUGCAGCAAGAAGCAACUCCAAUCCAUUGACCAUCUUUCCGAAGGGGUAUCUUAAUUGAAGAGUCACUUUUUUGUUGGCUAAACCAUUCUGGGAUUUCACUUCCGGGCAUAAUAAUGUCAAACCUUUUUAUUGAAUUUGCAAAUGCCUGCAAAAUAAAACACAAGUAGUUCGGUAACUAUAACCAUAAAUUCUAAAGUAUGAGAUUUUGUAAGGGAGAAUAAAGAGAUUAAUCGACCUUGAGAUGUUUUUUCAGCAGUGUUAAUGCAUUGAUAUUCUCAGCCAAUUUGAAGCAGUUAAAGGCUUUAAUGGCAGCCGAAUUCACUAAAUUGCAUACUUUUGAUGGACUUGCAACUACUUGAAGUGAAGAACAACCAUCUAUCUCCAUAUUUCUUGUGGUUGUUAGAAGCCCAGGUAACGAUUUAAGCUUCAUGCAAUUUGAUAAUGCAAGCACUUGAAGCCUGGAAAGUUGAGUAAGAGCCAAAGGAAUGGUGAUGAAAUUGCUACCUCUAAGUUUAAGAUAACUCAAAGAGGAUAGACCAUGAAUAUCCGCUUCACCAAGAGUGCACAUGUUGCAAUUUGACAAAUCAAGAAACCAAAUCUUCGAGAGUAGAGUUAGAGAUGCAGGUAUGCUGAUGAAAUUGUUACCAAUAAGAUCAAGAUCUAUCAAGGAAGAUAGGCAAGAUAUAUCACUAGGAAUAUCUCCUUCACGAAGAUUGCAGUCCCUUAGCUUCAACUCUCUUAAUGAACUCAAACUUGACAACGAAGGCAACAUCAGAGGCAUAGAAUUUGUCCUUCCUUUUUGGGUACACCAGUUAAUAUAUGAUUUCCCAUCAUCUCCAUAUACAUCCAUAACAUUCCCAUAUUCAUUCUCAACCUAUAUAUAUACAUUUUAUUUUGAUAUUCUUUAAAUAUAUAAUAAAAAUAAAUUUAAUAAAACAUAAAAUUUUAUCAUAUAUACCUCAGCAAGAAUGAUGUUUCCUCCUUGGAUGCAAAUAGUUUCUCUUUUUUGACCAUAUCAACUAUCAAAGUUAUGGAAUUUUUCAUUUCAUUCUAAAAAAAUAAAAAAAUAAAAAAAAUUAAAGACAUUAUUUAUAUAUAAAAAUUUACUGAAAAUUAAAAGAAUUACCAUAAAAACAUCAUUUUUAGUAUGGAGAGAAACUCCAAGCAUGUUAUGCAUCCAUACAGGAAAGCCUCCAAUAAAAAAAAUAAAACUAUUAAUACUGAAAAAAAUAGUUAAAUAAUUUAUGAAAUAACAUAAUUAGUUAAAAUUUUAAAAUAAAUUAAUUUACCAAUAAUUUCACUCGGCACAAGUAUAAGAUCCAAUUCGAAGAAUUGCAUAUAAACCUUGGUCUUGAAUCACUUUAAGAAAUCGAAGAAGAUCAAGAUUUUCAUUAAAAUCAUAUUGAUGACGAGCUGGUUCAUGCGCAUUUCAAAAUACAUAUGUUUCAACUACAUCCAAUCCACAUUCUUUGGCUUUUCUUAUAAGAUCCAGCCAUAUCUAAUAAAAAUUUAAAAAAAAAAUCAAUCAAUCAUUCAGAUUCAAAUUACAAAAAAUAUCCCGAAUAACUCAAUUGUAAAUUAUUACCUGAGCAGUACUUCUCAGAUAAUGAAUCGAACCCAAAAAAAUAAUUCUAUGAUUUCCAUCAAUUAUGAUAGAUCUUGAAUCAUAAGUGACAUUAAGCUCGUUCGAAUAAAAUAGGAUGAAACAAAAAAUAAGAGAAAAACUAAAAUAGUGAAUAUAUUCAUUUUUUUUCCCAUCUACUAAAGCUAAAAAGAAGUGUUGAUUGAAAAAUCAGUAGAGUAUGAUAACGUAUUUAUAAGCGUAGUGAUUGAAUUCUAUCAAAUACUUGAUUUUCAAAAGAUAUUUACUUUGAUUUAUUUGCUGUUUUAAAUAGAUUUAUAUAAUCAGUGAUAUGAGAUUAAAUCAGCAAAUUGUGUUGAAAGUUGAGUUUUAGCUCUAUGUAACAGCAUUAAUUAAAUAUUUUUGAUAAUUACAUAAUUUUUUUUAAUUAUAAUUAAUUAGAGUAUUGCUUUCAUACAGCGGGAGUCAUAGGUAAAAUUUAUUAGAUACCGUCGAUCCCGGUGUCUAAUAAGUUUUUCUAUCCACCUUCUUUUAUUGAUUUUUUAUCUUUUUAUCCUAUUCUAUUUCUGUUUUCAAUUUUUAAAUUUUUCGUUCGAUCAAAAUCCGAUUUCACUUUUGAUUAUAUUUGAUUCUAUUUAAUUGGCAGAAUCAACAUGAGAUGUAUAAACGAAAAUUUUGUUUUUAUGGAAAUUCUCCAACUUGUUACGAAAUCGCGUUGAUAACCUCGACUCGUAUCCUAGCCUGUCUGAGAGCUAGAUUUGCCUCAAUUGUUUGCCUCUUGCCUUCAGCUUUCCUCAAGUUAGCUUGCUGAGCUUCUUGUGGACUCAUAUAUAAAAUUCUCGUUUAUUAAAACUUGUAGAGUUCUAGUUAAAUUAAAUUAAGAUUUCUUUCAUCAAGCUUUUUGAUGAAUAAGGAUUAUAUACCGAAAAGAAUAAGCGAGCAAUUAGUAAAGGGUAUAUCCAUAAUAACUUUUUACAUCGCUGGUAAAUGAUACGACACAGUCACGAUUCAGCUAUAAUAUUAUCCAUAAUAACUUUUCACAUUGCUAGUACACGAAUCAUAGUAGUUGCCAUCCCAAAGGAUUGUUAGUAGAUCAAUCUUGCUAACACCUGUUAGAGAAAACAGGAUGAAGUACUUCCCUGUGUAACACCAACAAUGGCUCUAAUCCGAAAAAGAGAUUGCAUUUAAAGUUGUUAGCAAACUCAUUCAUUCCUAGCUACCCACAAUGACCAUAACAUAGCGCCAUAGAAACAAGCCAUUUCCUCUUAACAUUCCAAACAUGCAGCAACAUUCAUACACAACAUUUCAAGGAAUCGCACACAUAACACCCCACCAUUGAAACAACACUCCCCAAGCUUUCCAAGAAAGGAAGUAAGAAAGAAAAAUAUGAUCACAGUUCCCUUCAACUUCAUUGCACCAACAACAAUUGAUGGAAUCAUUAAUUGUUAGAAUACCUCGAUCCCUUAAAAAAUAUUUUGAAGGCAUACCAUUCUGGAAUGAGAGCAAUAGGAAGCAUUGCACCUUUGAUGCACCAAUGAGCCCUCAGAAUCAAGAGAAAACACAAAUUUCUUUACAGUAAAUUUCCCUUUGCUGUCCACCUCCCACAUUCGCCUUAUUACAUUAAUCACUGGAUCCAUACAUAGCCAAUUUCCAUACCGAUGUUCCCUCAAGUAAGCUUUAAUCACACCGUGGUCUCAAAAUAGUUUGCUCAAGGACUGGUGUUCCAGAGAAGUCAUCCCUUGGAUUAUUGCAGAGUAGAAUGAUUUGUGAUAUGGUUUUGUCAAUAUGGGAUCUUGUUGGGGUUUUUGUAAGAGCGGAGGAAGAAAAACAGGAAACAAGACAAGACAGCAAGAUACAAGAAAAAAAUUUUACUUGCUCACAAAUGUGCAGCAAGGGAGCUUAUGGCUGAUAGCUCAUUUUUGCUCACUUAUUCAAUAAGAAAACAAUACAUUUAUAGUCAAAUACAUCACCAAAUACUACCUAUUACCAUUAAGUAGCCUAGUAACUUGAUAAGCAUUGCUUGUACACAUAAACAAGCCACCUAAACUAGUCAUUCAACACCUAAUGUAUCAAGUUGUCAUCAACUUGUUCAUUAUCAACUAGUUUGAUUACAAUGAAACUAAGGAGAAAACCUUGCUGUUACAGCAAGCAUACGUACUGCAGCAUGUUUACAAGCUGCAUGCACUUCAACCAAAAAUAUCACAGCAGCAUGGUUGGCCAAUUUUCAACAGAUCUUCUGUUAGCAUGAAUUGAAGCCAUUUAAGUAGUAUUAACUAUUAAGGGCCUAUAUAAACUACAAAAUGAAGCUAUUUAAAUACUAUUUAAGCAACACCAAAACAGAGUACAGGUUCCCAUGGCGUUUUAUUUAGCGAAAAUAGUCUGAUGACAAAGAUAAAAGAUGAUUAUAUUUCACCCUAUUACCUGCUUCUUCAUGCAGUGAAAAUAUAGAAGUAAGUUUAUACAUAUAACAUAAAAUUUAAUAAAUAAAUAAAUAAUAAAUUUCAUUAAACAGUACAAGUUUCAAUCAUGUAAAAAUUAAUUAAUUAGAUGAAUAAAUUUUUAAAUGUAUAAAACACUAUGUUAUCUUUCAAACAAAACAUGUCAUUCGAUACAAGUUGGUGUUCAACAUGUCUAUACUCAAAAUUUAGAGUUGAUUACAUAAUUUGAAGAAUCAUAUUUCAUACUCGUAUCAAAAUAUAUGUUGAGUAAAGAUGUUCAAAAUGAAUACUUUAAGUAACAUAAAAGAUGUAAAUAAGGUCGAUAAAAAGGUCUAAAAACAGAAUUUAUAGGGCAAGGCUAGUGAAGUAGUUUACCACAGUUACAGCUUCUUCCUCGAUCGGCUCAUUAUAAAAUUGAAAAAAUUUUGCAUCCAUUUUGGUUUUUGUUUUACAAGGGAAGUGCUACCUAUUGAAUCUAUUGAUCCAUCGUUAUCAGCAGAGUGUUGAUGGACAUCUUCAAGAUUUGGAGAACAUUGAGUGGUAUGGAUAUGCAGCUCUUUUAUGUCUUCCAAAUCUUUCUCAUUCACCAUUCUAACACCACACUUCUUCACCUUAACACAGGGAACAUCCGGGUCUGUGAAAGACAAUUCAAGCUCAUCGCAUUCCUGAUCUAAGCAAUCUAUUGUCCACAAAUUAUUAAUUUCACAUUCACCACAUUUAUCCUCUAAGGAAAAUGGAUAUAAUUUAUCACGCGACCAAUAUCUAAGAAAUAGGUGAUCCUUCGUUAUGGGCUGGUUAAAACGUUUCCCAAACAACCAACCACUUGCAUCGACACGUCGAAGAUCUGUAUCUCGGAAGACAGAUCCAUUUCGACCGCCUUGUCCAGAAUUUCUACAAUGGAUAACAGCUCUGCAGUUGAUAAACUUAUCCUGGUAAGCAUCAUCAUUGACAAAAAUGCAACAGGAAGCUACUCCAAUCCAUUGACUAUCAUUCUGAAUAUUGAGUGGUAGAGGUAUCCUAAUUGUAGAGCCACCUCUCUGUUGGCUAAACCAUUCUGGGAUUUCACUUCCAGGUAUAAUAACAUCAAACAUUUGUCUUGAAUUUGCAAAUGCCUGCAAAAUGAAACUUCAGUCACUUGGUAAAUAAAACCAUAAAUUCCCAAGUAUGAGAGGGAAAGAAAGAUUAAUUAACCUUGAGAUGUUUUUUCAACAAUGUUAACGCAUUGAUGUUCUCAGCCAAUCUGUAGCAGUUAAUGGCUUUAAUGGAAGCUAAAUCCAAUAAAUUGCAUACUUUUAACGGACUUGCAACUACUUCAAGUGAAGCACAACCAUCUAUGCACACUCUUGCUAUACUUGUUAGAAGCUCAGGCAACGAUUUAAGCUCUUUGCAACUUGAUAACAUAAGAAGUUUAACCUUGGGAAGUCGAGUAAUAGACGCAGGUAUGCUGAGGAAAUUGUUACCACUAAGAUCAAGAUGUGUCAAGGAGGAUAGGCAAAAAAUAUCACUAGGAAUAUCUCCUUCACGAAGAUUGCAGUCCCUUAGCUUCAACUCUCUUAAUGAACUCAAACUUGACAACGAAGGCAACAUCAGAGGCAUAUUUGGUCGUAACUUAGAUGAUGGUCCUUUGCACCCAUUGAAAGACAGAAUUUUAAGAUUUUCCAAUUGAAAAAUCAAGGAUGGUGGUUCUGUUAUCGCUGUUUCACUCAAGUCAAGCUCUUCCAAAAACUCUACUUGCUGCAAAUUCACUGGCAAAUAUUUAAUUUUAUAACAACUAGAAAGAUCAAGAGUUUUUAGAUGUUUCAUUUUCCCAUCAAUCUCCGGAAACCUUACAAGACUUGAGCAACCUGAAAGAAUUAAUGUUUCAAGAGAUUCCAUUCCAAUUCUGGUUGGAAGACUCCCAAGACUUGUGCAGUCUCUUAAAUUUAAAAGUUUAAGCAUCUUAAGCACUCUGAUUGAUGGAUGGACAUCUACUAAUCUGGUACAACCUUCCAUAAUCAAAGCUUCAAGUUUUGGUGUUGUUGUGAAGUCUGGCGUCUUGAUCAGGUAUUGAGACCCUUUGAGGUUGAUCAUUUUCAACUUAUACAAGGGCUGUUGAAGACAAUAAUAAAUUAGAGAGAAAACAUAAUAAUGCCCAAUUUUGUUUUUGUUUUUCUUUUUUUACCUUAAUCAAAGUUUAAUCAUUUAUAUUAAAAUAAGCUAAAACACAAGGAUAAGAUAAGUUAAUUCUUACUCUAUUUCCUUUCCAUAGUUGUUCAAUGUGACUAUAUGGUAAAAGAAGUGCGACAAGAUUGUCCGGUCGAAAGCUUGAAGGUAAAUAUCUUAAAGGAUAUCUUGUCCAAUCUAAAAGCCGUAUUUCAUUAGAGAGAUAUUUGAGACCAUCACAAUUUGAUAGGCAAAGAACUUUGAGCAAUCUCAAUUUUUUCAUCUUUGAGAAGGUAUCGUCACUCAAAUUGAGCACCUUGCUCGAUUCCCUAAUAACCAUGAGCAAAACAAAUAUGAGUUUCAAAAUAUAUAGAAACAUUCGAUAUCUAAAAGCUAUGUUGCAUCGAUAUUGUUUUUUUAAGUACCCACAUCCUACACUUAUAUCUAAUGCAUAUCUGAAUAUGGUAUUGAGAUAUGAUUGAACAUAUUAGACAAUAGUCUAUCUAACACUUACAUUUGACUUUGAAUUACCUAAGCCUAAAAAACUAGAACUAAUAUUUUGAAUUACGUUUGGUGCACUGAUGUGUAAUUCUAUGCAUUACCAGUGAAUCAAAUGAUGGCAUGUUAUAGCCUAGUUCAUUAAUAUUAGCAAAGACAAUAACAUACAUCUCUUUACAAUUUCUUUUGAAAGAGUAAUGUGUUUCUAUAUAAAUUUUAUAAAUAUAACAUUGAAAAAUUAAGUAUUAAGGGUGUGUUUCAUUAGGUGGAAAAGUGAAAAGAACAUAAAUUUUAAGUCUGCAUUUUGCAUCCUAAUGCAUAAAAAUCAAUCAUUUCAAAUUGAAAUAAUCAAAAUUAUGCUCUCUUUUUUUCAAAUGUUCUAUUUUUUCUUUCCUUCCACUUUCCACUAUAUAAAGCAAUAGUGAGAAGGGAAAUAUAUUUUCCAUUCAAUUUUCCAUCUUUCCUACCAAGCACACCUAUAGAAAGAAAAUUAUUUUUUCUUUUCCUUCAAAAUUUCAUCCUUCCAAUUUUUUAUUCACUAUACCAAGCAAAGCAAAAAUGUUGUUUUUUCAUUGUUUAUUAUUGGAUUUAAAAAAAAUAAUGACAAUAUUAAUAGAACAUAUUGAUAAAUUUAAAUGUAUGUUUUCCUACCUUUUAUUGUUGAUGAUCAUGCCUUCAAUAACUUCGGUAGCCUAAAAGUAAUCAAGAAUAGGCAAUAAGAAGACAAAAUAAAUGCUUUAAAUUGUACGAUAAAACUUUUGAAAAUUUACAUACAUGUUCAAUAUUACCACAAUCUUUUGGUCAAAAUAUAGUACAUAAAAUAUUUUGAACUAAGUAAAACAUUUUCUAAUAAGAGUAGUUCAAUAAAAUUAAACACUUAUAUUAUGAAUCCUUAUUAAUAAUUAUAAUCAACAAAUCGGUACGUAAACCAAUUAGACUAAGCUUUGGAUUUACAUCAUAUAUUGAUAAUAAAAAAAAUUGAUGUAAUUUUUGUUGAAUGAUUUACCAUGUUUUUUGUUAGGACAUGAUGGACAUCCCUUUCCUUCCACAAUCUACAACGUUUUCCAGGUUCAUCAACACACUUUUCUUCAACAAUUUUUCUUCCCAUUUCUUGCAACAAGGCAUGCAUCCACAAAUAUUGGUUGCCAUCUUCAACUUUUAUGAGAGAUUUCUUAAUUAGAACAUCAAUUCCAAUAUUUGGAAAAAAAUCACAACCAUCCAAUACUUUCAUUACCAAAUCUUUCUUCUCCCAAUUGAAAAAGCAUGCUAUAUCUAGAAAUAUAUUCUUCUCCCUUUCUUCCAAUCCAUCAAAGCUAAUUCGUAAUGUGUCAAGAAUUUCUUUGUUAGAAUCUUGUUUAAGUCUUUCGAUUGCACUUCUCCAUUGAAUUAUAUCUCUACCACACAAAAAUGAACCCAAAACUUCAAGAGCUAAGGGCAGACCAUCAGCAUAAUGUACAACUUGUUUAGAAAGCUCAAUGAAAUCAUAUUUCGGCGUUGUAUCACUAUCAAAAGCUUUCAAAUUGAAAAGCCUAAGUGCAUCGUUGGGAUUCAGUGUUGUAGGCUUAUACACAUCAUCGAUUUGAUAAGAUCCGAGCAAAUGUUCAUCUCUUGUUGUUACAAUGAUCCUACUCCCUAAAUUGAACCAAUCACGCCUUCCAACCAAGCAUUUCAAGUGUUGUAUGUUAUCAACAUCAUCAAGAACAACAAGAACCUUUUUACCAGACAACCUGUGGCUAAUUAUGGCAUUCCCAUCAUGAACAUUGAAAAAAUUGAAGCAUUCAUCCGGAAAGAUUUGAGAAAGAAGUUGUUUCUGUAAAGAAACAAGUCCAUGUUUGUUUGAAACUUCUCGAAUAUCAGCAAGAAAGCAUUUACCCUGAAAAUGAGCUAACAUUUGAGUGUAAGCAACCCUUGCAAGAGUUGUUUUACCAAUGCCACCCAUUCCGCAAAUUCCUAUAAUGCGGACAUCGUCUUCCCCAAUAUUUAUUUUCGAAUACAACUCCUCCAAAUGUAAACUAAUUCCAACCAACUCAUCAUGAACAACUGGAUAUGUCUGACAUAAUUUUGCUGAUAUCUUCUUAACAACGUCUCUAAUAAACUCUGAUUCGUGCCUACAAUGAAAUUAAAAUCCGAUAUGCACUUUUUCAUUUUUAGUUUAGUGAAUCAUGAAGUAUAAUAUGGUUGGAAGCAAACAAAAAGUAUGAAUAAGACAGUAAGAUACAUUAUAGCAUCAAAAUACACAACUUGCUCGUUAGUUGAAAUAUGGGAAUUCUCAAUUAAACAAAAAAUUAUAAAAAUAACAUGCAAUCCAAUAAAAAAAACAAUUUUUUAGUCAUUAAAAUUAGGAAAUAGAGAAGAUAAGAAAGAAAUACCUAUUAUUUAAAUGCCAUCCCUUGAUGUUAGCCACUUCAGUCAAAGCAUUUCGCCACUUUUGGAUCUUGUCUUUAUCUUCCUUGUAUCUUUCUUCGUGUUUGGCAAAGGCUUCUUCAACCUUUUCUUUUUGUUUUCUUAAAUAAGAUGGAUCAACAUGGUAGAAAAUUGGAAAUACUUUAUGACCCUUGUCAUUUUUUUGUUUAAAAAUCUCCGCAAGCUCCUCCAAGCACCAACCUGAAAAGGCAUAGGUCUCGGAAAAAACGAUUACCGAGCACCAUGAUUGCUGAAUUGCAUUGAAGAGUUCCGGUGCGAUCUCUUCACCUGUUUCCAACUUUGGAUCAUCUCUAAAAGUGACGAUCCCAGUUCUAUUUAGAGCAUCGUAGAGAUGAUCCGUAAAAUUCUUGCGAGUAUCUUCACCUCUAAAACUCAAGAACACAUCGUAUUUCUUUCUAGAAAAGGACGAGGAAGUCGAAAGUAACGACGACAUGAGGAUGUAUGAGAAGAAAAAUAUGUGGAUGUAGUUUUCAAAAUCAGUCGCCCAAUACCUCCGAAACAAUAAGUAUAUGAGCAUGAGGGGAGAAAAACAGAUGAAAUUUCGAGGGAAGAACAAAGGGAGUAGGUGAAUCUAUCAGUACAAUAAUAUCUUUGAAAAGAGAGUAGGUGUGGAAAUUCGGGGUCAUAGAUGCUCUUUCCGGGAAGACUCCAAGAAGGUGAGAGUUCACAUGCAGCCUACAAUUUUUCUGAAAAUUAAAUUCAUUAAUUUAUUGAGAACCAUAUAAUCUAGGCGAAACUCAUAGUAGAUGAUGAAUAGUAAACUCUAUCGAUACAAUAAAGGCUUUAGCCUUAACAAUAAUAAAACAUCAUGGCAUGUUAACAAUUAGUUUUGUCACAACUCAAGUACGAUAUAUUUAGAGUAAUUACAAACACUUAAUUUGAUAAGGAAAUCAACCUUGGAUGGUCUAAAGCAACGAGCAAAAAUUGACAAAAGAAUCAAACAUACGCCAAAUUAGAGAGGACGACAAUAAAAUCAUCUCUAAAAUCACUUGUAAAACUAAGAUUAUAUGCAUAAACACAAUUAUUAAAUAAUUAAAAAAAAUAUAUAGAACUUAACAACACGAAAAUAGAUCCUACAAUUAUCAUCAAAUAACGUGUUGGACGGUUUGUGUUUUGUUUUUAUUAUUAUUUUAUAUUAUCAUAUCUACUUUAUAAUCAGUAGCUUAUGUUACAUAUGUGAUUUUACGCAUUUAAUAUUUGAUUAAUUUUUUUAAUAUUAUACUUUUAAUUGAAGUAAUUAGUAUAAAAUAAUAUUUUUAUUUAAAUUAUUAAAUAUAUGUAAAAUAUAUUAAUUUAUCAAUUCAAACAAAUAUUAUAAUAAAAAGUUUUUAAAUAAUAAUUAAAUAAUUUUUAACAUAUUCCACAUAUAUUAUAGUUUUCCUUUAUGUAGCUAAUGCAAUGUAAUAUUACUCAAAAUAAUAACUACUUAACAUAAUUGUCAGCAACCUCUUGGCCUAUUUACAAAAGCUUGGUUUUGUAGGUACGAGAGCUUGGGUAUAAUUGUCAGCAACCUCUUGGCCUAUUUACAAAAGCUUGGUUUUGUAGGUACGAGAGCUUGGGUUCAAUCCUAAGCAAUCCUAUUUUCCUCCCUUAAAUAUAUAUAAAAAAACUGAGCACAAUAAACUCUAAUAAUAAUUAAGUGAUAAUUAUAAGGAUAAUUUUAAAUUUAGUAAUAUAAAAAAAUAAAUAUCUUUUUCAAACUCGUUUAUAUAUAUAUAUAUAUAUAUAUUACAAAUUAAGUAUUAAAAUUGUGUUUUACGUGUCAUAGCAUUUCACCACCAUUUGAUCUUAUCUUUUAUCUUCCUUGUACCUUUCUUGGUGUUUGGUGAAGGCUUCUUCAACUUUUUCUUUGUUUUCAUCCACAUCGGGGGCCAUAGAUGAGCCUUAGAUGUUCUUUCCGAGAAGACUCCAAGAAGGCGAGAGUUGCUGUUAACAUUUAUAGAGUUUUUCUUGGUUAAAAUGUGCCAGAAGUCCCUGCAUUUUUAUAAAAUUAAAAUUUAAUUCCUAUACCGUUAAUCACUAAAUUAUGGAUAAAUUUUUGCAGGUAUCUUCACCUCUAAAACACAAAAAAACAUAAUAUUUCUUUCUAGACAUGGAUGAGGAAUUCGAAAGUGACGAUGACAUGACGAUUUAUGAGAAGAAAAAUAUAUAUGGAUAUAGUGUUCAAAAUCAGAAAAUAGAUGGCUCAAUACCUCAGAAACAAAGUAGAAAUAAUAAGUAUAUGAACAUGAGGAAGGAGAAAAACAGAUGAAAUUUACAGGAAACAACAAAGGACUUGUCUAGGAAAUUUGUGUAUAUGUUUCCCACCUUUUACUUUUCCAAAUGAAUCUAUCUUCAUUAUAAUACCUAUGAGAGGGAGUCGGUAACAAUUAAUUAAGAGUUUUUUUUCAUUUUCUUAAAUCUUAAAAUCAAUGUUGAGACAUUAAUCAAGACUAAACUUGUCUCCUUUAAUGAUAUAAGUAUCACCUAAUCUACAAUCCUACAUGAAGGAGAAAAACAGAUCAAAUUUCAAGGGAACAACGAAGAUUUUUGUCAUCAAUUUCUCUAUACAUUUCCAUUUUUUCUUCCAAAUGAAAGCGCGUAGGUGUGGAAAUUGGGGGAUGAUAGAUGAGUGAUAGAUGUUGUCUCCAAGAAGAAUCCAAGAAAGAGUCGACAAAAUUGAGCCUACAAUAAUUAUAAGUGUUGGACCGUUUGUGUUUUACAUUAGCAUAUUUACUUCAUAAUUAUAAAGUGUUAACUAAUUGUGUUUUACAUGCUUAACUAGUUUCUUAUGUAACAUACAUCUAAUUACAUCUAAUUAUUUCUAUUUCAUUAAUUAUAUAUUUAUUUUAUUAAUUAGUGUAUUUAAUUAUUAUUUAAAGAUACAUGAUUAUUUAUUUAAAAAUGUAUAUUAUUUUAUGUAAUGUAAAAUAAUUAAAAUAUUUUAUUAGACUUAACACAUACUUUAGUACUUGAGUUUGACACUUUUUUAAUGCGAUACUUAUGUUAUUUUUUGGUCCAAUCAGGUAUUUGUAUUUGACAAAAGUUAUAUAUUUUGACACCCAAAACUAAUGAUGUUAAGUGUUUAAUUCGAGUUUUAGGGUUGGUUUGAUAAAAAUUAAUUGCUAAUUAUGUAUUUUCAUCAAACCAAUUCUAAAACCCGAAUUAAAUCACAUCCAUUGGACUGUAUUUGACAAAUUAAAUGCAAAAUUAAACAAAUCCAUAAUUAACACUAAAUUUAUUCUAUUAACAAAAUCAUGAAAAAUUCAAAGUUAAUAAUAUUAACAAUUAACUUUCAUCAAAUCAAUUCCCAAACCUGAAAUAAACACUAAAAGGUUAACAUCUUUUGUAAUGACCCAAAAUUCACGGGCAUAGGAAAAGUACAUUAUCGGGCCUCCGUCUUAGUAAACUGAGUCAUAAAUAAUUAUUAGAAGUAAUUAUGAGUUUAGUUGAGUGCUUAAUUAGGUAUUUAUUAGGUGAAUUUAGUCUAAUUAAGAAUAAUUAGGAAAAAGAACUAAAUAGAGUAAAGGGUAAAAGUUUAAUUAUAGAUCAAAAGAAAGUAUAAAGGAUCAAAAUGGGAAUUAAACCAAUUCAUAAGAAUGAGGCGGCAUAAGCUGAGUAAGAUUGAAGAUUUUUAUGUGAUAUUUUCUAUUAAAAUUUCAUUAAUAAUCAUUAAGGUUUGAUACUAAAUAAUAAAUUAUAUUAAUUAUUAUUAUUAUUAUUAUUAUAUUAUGAAAUAAGUUAAACAAAGACAAAUGGAUGGUAGUGAUUUAAUACAAAUGUAUUGAUAAAAGUAUAUACAUUUGUAAUAAUUAUAUUAAAUUAUUAGAUAGAUAUUUAUUAGAUAAAUAAUUAAAUUAUAAGAUUUUUUUGUGUGAUAAAUAAAAUAAAUGAUGAUAAAUGUAUGGUAUAGAUGAUAUUGUAUAUUUAUAAAUAAAAUAUAUAUGUACAUUUGUAAUAUUAUUAUUUGUUGUUAAAUAGAUUUUUAUUAAAUAAAUAAGAUAAUUGAUAAAUAAAUGGUAUAAAAUUUAUACAAGUGUAAUAAAAUAAAUAUGUACAAAUGUAAUUAAACAAUUGGUUUACUUAAUAUUUGAGCUUAAGAUAUUUUAUAUUGAUAUUAUAUUAAUUAUUUAGUAAUUAAAAAAAACAACAAAAGAAAUAAAGCAAAGUAAGUAAAAAUAAAAGAAAGAAAAAAAGAAACAAAAGAAGAACAGAAACAGAGAAUGAAACGAAAACAGGGGAAGAAAAAGGGAAAGAAAAGAAAAGGGGAAAAUUGGGAUUUUAAAGCUUCAAGUUUAAUUGGUAAGCUAAAUUUAGCCUUUUUCUCUUAAUUUUGAUGUUUUAGAAGCUUUAAAAUAAAGUUUUGUUGAAAUUAAGUGGAGGUUAUGGAAGUUCAUAGGUUUUUGAACAUGAUUCAUGUUGAACAAGUUGUUAAAUAGGGGUUUAGUUGAUAGAAUUUCUAGUUAGAAUCAAUAAAAGGAUUAAAUUGUAAACUAGGCUAUAAGUUUUACAUAGUUGGGAUUAAGUUAUAAGAAGUCUUAAAUUAGGGUUUAAUUAUGAAUAUUGAAUAGUUGAGUUAAAUAUGGCAAAUAAUUAAGUAGAAAAGAAAUAUGAAUUAAGCUAGAAAAGUAAGUAAGCUUAGUUAGAAUUAAAUUGGGAAUAAGUAGGAAUUGAAUAAAAUUUAAUUAUUAUUAUUUUUUUAUAAUUUAAUGCUGUAAUUAAUAGUGAAAAUAAUUAUUAUUUUCGUAGCUAACAAAGAACUCGAGGCAUCGACAUCGAAAGGAAAGGAGAAAGCUAUCGAGGACUAAAACGACAGAUUUACGGUUUGUAUUACUAUAAUUCAAAUUAUUUAUUAUUUAAUGCUAUAUUUAAAUUUAUAUGUAUGAUAAGUGAAAUAUAAGGUAAGUAUUAUUAUUAAGUUGAAAGAAAUUCAAUUGAAUGAUGAAUAUAUGUGUGGAAUUGAAAUGAAUAUUGACUUGAAAAUGGAAAAGUGAAUUUUGAAUUAAAUUGUGAUUGAAAGUGAAAAAGUAAAAUUGAAUUGAAAUGUGAAUUUGGAGACCCUAUUAACUAGUCGGGCUGAGUCGGAUAUAGUUGGCUUGCCAUAGGAUUGAAAGAGUUCAGGGAUACUUCGACCUCGAGUCGAUGAGACACUGGGUGUCACUAUAUUUCUUCGGAUAGAUUCGAUGAGGUACUGGGUACCAACUUUCUUUGGCUUCGCCGAUGAGACACUGGGUGUCAACUAUUGCUUCGAACUAUCCGAUGAGGUACUGGGUGCCAUACUGUAGCGUUUGGUUGGAUCCGUCAAAGUCCAAGUUUUGUUAAUAGGGUAAAUAAUGAAAUGAUAAACUGAAUGAGUUGAUCAAUCGAGCUAUUGAAAUGAAACUAAUAGUUGAAUUGUGAAUUGAAAUGUGAUAUGAGAUUGAGAAAUGAAUCUAAGGUUCAUGAUGUGUCCAAGUUCCAAAUUGUGGAUAUAUGAUAUUAAUUGAUGAAUUGUUAUUGUAGAAAUAUGAAAUUUGAGUUUAAAUUUGUAUGUAUGAUUUUAUGCAUUACAUGUUUAUUAAUAUUAUAAUUUGAAUUAUGGUAAUACUUCUGAGUAUGAAAUACUUAGCGUACAGUUGUUUCCGUGCGCAGGUCAUUAGAGUUCAAGGUCUAGUUCAGCAUCCAGAAAGAUCCCGACUCCAUCAAGAAAAUUUUGGUGAUGUAUUUCUUCUUUUUGCUUAAGUGGCAUGUACUAGGUGAUUGUACACGAGUCGUAUACAUAUAUAUAUGUUAAAUGAUCUUGGUUGUAAAUAAAUGGUUAUAAUCUUUUAGAUGAUAAAUAAAGUUUAAAGUUAUAAAUUAUUAAACUUAGUAUUAAAUCUUGAAAUGAAAUGAAAGAUAUGAAUUAGUUUUUUUUUACAUGUUAACUUUAACAUUUUAUAAUUAAAGUAGUAAAUCAAUUUAUUAAGCAUGAUUUAGUAGCGUUUUAAAGUAUAAAAUCAUUGAUUGAAAUAUUGGUAUUGGUUUGUUUUUGGUUUUAAGUUUGCAGGGGGUUUUAUGUAAAAAUAAGCAGAAAUACUGUCGAAAUUUUAAAAAAAUAAAAAAUGAAUGAAGCCAAUUAACAUAAAUUUAUAUGAAUUUAUGAUUCUUUUAUAUAUGUUCGUUAUUCAUCUAAGAAUUAUUUGUAAAUUGUCUGAGAUGUCCAGUAAUACCUCGUAACCCUGUUCCAGUGUCGAUUUAGGGUUAAGAGGUGUUACAUUGUUACUUUUGAAUACCAAAAUAUAUAACUUCUAUCAAAUAUAUGUAACAAAUUGAACAAAAAAAACAAGAGUACCACAUUAGAAAAAAUUGUCAAACUCAAGUACCAAAUUAUGCAUUAAAUUAUUUUAUUACAAGAUAUUGUUUAAUUAUAGAUUUCAAUAUUUAAAUUAAAAAUAAGAGUUUUGUUUGGUGGGAUGUUUUCUUACUGCUAGUGUGGUCCACUUUCCGACGAUGAAGAAUACAUUGGCAAAUUUGUGGCAUCCUUUAAGGUGUGUGCAGAUCUCGAAUAUGGGAGAGAAUAGAUAUUUGUUUAGAUUUUUCAAUAAGGUGGACAUUGAUAGGGUGAUUAAUGGAGCACCAUGGGCUUUCAACAAUCAUUUGUUAGUGUUCCAUCAUUUGGCUAUUAAUGAAGAUCCCAUGCAAGUACCAUUGAUUUUUCGUGGUUUUGGGUUCAAGUACAUGAUAUUCCCCUAGGAUUUUUCUUUGAAGCAGUGGCAAGAUAGUUUGAUAAUUUUAUUUGAGAAUUUUUUGGAUUAUGAUUUGAAGCAGAUUUCGAGAGGUGUUAGUCAAUAUUUGUAAAUAAGAGUUAAAUUAAAUGUGAGAUCCCCAUUGAAAAGGAGGAAGAAAAUUUUGGUUUCCUUAUCAAGUUUCAUAUAUACGAGAUUUCAGUAUGAAAAAAAUCACAUUAUUCUAUUUCAUAUGUGGCCUUUUAGGGCAUGGAGAAACUUUUUGUCUAGUUAGAUUUGUCACACCCCGAGUUUGGUGAAUCCGAAUUAUGGCAUAGAGUUGUAAAGAUUAUCUAUUUGACGUAUUAUAGUUCGCCAUGUUUGGUCUUUUGGCGAGUACGAUUGGGUGUAAUGUACCUGCCGCUUAGGAGAUUAAAUAUUUUUGUCUCAAAUUAUUAAGUGAUUCUAGUAAAGGAUACCGCCAAAUGUUUAACACCGUGGUUUGUCUGAGCAUUGUGCUAGUUAAGUUGAACAUGAUCUGGUUAAGAAUCAACUGGAUUGGCUGGUCAAAUAUUUAUUGAGAAAGGACUUUCAUUUAUGUUUCUCUUAGAACUUGUAGGCCAUUAAGAAGGACAGUUCUAAAUGUAUUAACAUCUGUUAAGUUCCCACACUAAAUGUAUUGACAUCUGUUAAGUUCCUGCAGGUUGAAUGGGUUAUAUAUAUGGGUGAGAAGGUCUAUUGAGAAUUCUUCUUCUAUUUCUUCCUUCAAUAUUGUUCUCUGUUUCUUCAAAUUAAGUGCUAUUUCAAUCUCUUCAAGUUAGAUGUUAAGAUGCUGGGAUUAGUUAGAGGUCACUCUAUCUCUUAGUAAGUAAUAUGGCUUUGCAUGUUAAGUUUUGAAGGAUUUAUGAUGUUAAGAGUUUACUGAGCAGUAGGACUAAAACAAGGUCUUGCAUGGGGUUUAUCUAUGAUUGAGAUGUUGAAAAUCUGUGUAUAAGGAUUUUAAUGGUGAAAUUGUGUUCUUUGAGUAGCUGUUGCUGCUAGGCCAAGAAAGAUGUUUGAGUUUAGAGCUUUGAACUACAGUUGGUGAGUAUCAGGUGAGUGUUUAUCUUGACUCUUGCAUGUUUACUGUUUAGAUAUAAACAAGCAUAAGUGAUAAUGAUAUCUUUGAAGAUUGUUAAGAAUGUGAAAAAUAAAUGAUGAUAUAUGUGGUUAUGAUGGAAUGUAUAAAACUCGGUGUGAAUAGAAUGUUGUUCGUAAGUAUAUAUGUAAGAAUCAAAUAAGUAUGAAUAAUUUGAGAAGUGGGGUUGGAGUAACAUUAUUUUGUGGUGCCUCUGGUAUGACAGGUAUAUUGCUAACUAGACUGAUAUAUCACAAUAUGAGUGUAUGUGUAAGAUCAUGUGGUGGAAACCCAUGACACUAUGAUAUGAAAACACCCAUGGUGUAUCCUCUAGUGAAACAUAGUCUGGAUUGGCAGGACACGAUACAUGAAGUGAAUAAGUCCGUGUGUUUGAGCCCAUGGCAAGAUGUGUUUGUAUGAAUACUCAUGGUGAUGCCUCCGUUAUGAUAAAAACUGGAUUGGCAGAUCACGACAUAAGGUUUAAGUAUAAGACCAUGACUAAGGAACCAUGACAUCUUCUGUGAAAGUCCGUCGGGACAGUAAACACGUGAUUCUAAAUUUGUCCUAUAUGGCAUAAUCAACUAAGCCUUUGUGGCAUAUUUUUUUUGGUCCUUGUGGCGUGUUCGACCAAGUCUUCUUGAGAAAUUGUUGAAGUCAACCCCCAUGCAGCAGCCAAGGUGACCAUGCAAGGUGGCCAUGCAGGGAUCGUGCUUUAACAGUAAACCGAAACUGCAUUGUUUCAUUUGGUUACUCAAAUGAACAUUUUGUAUUUUAGUUUGUUUUGAACUAAGUUGGUAACUUUAUUUUGAUGUAAUUAGGUGCUGAAUGACAAGUUUAGGUAGAAGUUUAUGUUUUCAAUCAAGUUUACCAAGUUACUAGGCAAUUUAGUGGUGUUAGGUAUGUUAUUAGGUGGCAACUUGUUUGUUUUGCUGUUGUUAUCUCAUAUAUAUGUAUUGGUAUUAUGCCUUGUAAAAAAGUAAAUGAAAAUUCAGCUCAUUUUCAUUCAAUUUUAUCUCUUUCUUUUCUGUUCUCCAUUGCAAAAUUUCUUUCUUCUUCAAUAGUUUAUUCAGCAAGGCUCGACACUUGCUGUGUAAGCAAGCUGAAACCAUCUUGCUAUUACCUCUUGCACCAACAAUUGGUAUCUAGAGCCGUUGUCUUAGUGGACCUGUUGCUUCAAACCAAGGAACCUGAUGGCUUCUUCAGGAUUUUCACCAGCAGCCCCACCAGUCUUCAAUGGAGAAAGCUUUCACAUAUGGCUGGUAAAGAUGAAGACUUACCUGCAGGCUUUUGAUCUGUGGGAAGUUGUUAACACAGAUGCUGAGCCAGCACCACUGAGGGCUAAUCCCACAGUAGCUCAGAUCAGACAACAUGCUGAUGAGAGGACCAAAAGGCACAAAGCCAUGUCCUGCAUUCAGAACUGUGUAUCAGAUGUCAUCUUUACCAGAAUUAUGGCCUGUGAGACUCCAAAACAGGCCUGGGACAAGCUUAAGGAGGAGUUUCAAGGCACUGAGAGAACAAGGCAACAGCAGCUGUUGAAUUUGAGAAGGGAUUUCGAGAAUUUGAAGAUGAAGGAAGAAGAAACAGUGAAGCAGUAUUCAGAUAGAAUUAUGGCAGUGGUUAACAGUAUAAGGCUCCUAGGUGAGCACUUUGAUGAGGCAAGAAUUUUGGAGAAAGUCCUCUCCACUUUUCCUGAGAAAUAUGAAGCAAAGAUAUCCUCCCUAGAGGACUCAAGAGACCUUGCUAGCAUCUCUUUGACUGAGUUAAUCAACACCUUCUAUGCUCAGGAACAAAGGAGAGCUAGCAGAGCUGAAGAUCACCAAGAAGGUGCAUUUCAAGCCAAGGCCAGAGAAGCCUCGAGCACCAAUGCUCAAAGAGGCAAAAAGCCUUGGAAAAGCAGGCCUAAGCCUGAUGCUGCAAGGAGCAAUGACCAGCCCCGCAGAUAUUGCAAGAAGCUAGGCCAUCCAAAAGACAGAUGUUGGUUCAGGCCAGAAGCAGUAUGCCAGCACUGCAAGAAGAAUGGCCAUGUUGAAAGGGUUUGCAAAAAUAGAACCAAGCCAAGGCAGAGCCAAUUUCAACAACCAAUGGUUGAAGCUCGAGUAGCUGAGGACAGUAGUGACCAAGAGGAGCAGGUCUUUGCUGUUUCUUGCUUAACUGCUGAGAAGAAAUUUUCAAAAGGUUGGCUAUUGGACAGUGGUUGCACUAACCACAUGUCACCAGAUGCCUCCUUGUUUAAAACCUUGGAUAGAAGUUGCAAAACCAAGGUCAAGGUUGGAAAUGGCCAGUUUAUAAAGGCUGAAGGAAGAGGAGAGGUGCUGAUAUGUACUCCUACAGGUAACAAGGUCAUACCAAAUAUGCUUCUGGUGCCUGAGAUUGACAGAAACCUUCUCAGCAUAGCUCAAUUGCUUGAGAAAGGUUAUUCUGUUGUAUUCAAGGAUAAAAAGUGCCAUAUUGCAGAUCCAAGUGGAUCAAGCCUUAUGACAGUCACAAUGACUGAUAAAUGCUUUGAGGUUCAUUGGUCAAAUGACUCAAAGUCAGCAUAUACAGCCUCUAUAGAUGACUCCAAACUCUGGCAUAGAAGGCUUGGACAUGCCAACUUCAGGUCAAUGGGUCGAAUGGCCAGUGAGGGCUUGGCUGAGAACUUCACCAACUCAGUGGAGUAUGAUGAUGUGUGUGAGGUCUGCCAGAUGGGGAAACAGGCAAGAUUGCCAUUUUCUACAAAUGCAGCAUGGAGAGCUACUGAAAGACUGCAGCUGGUGCACUCUGAUGUAUGUGGCCCGAUGAGGACUGAAUCACUCAGCAAAAAUAGGUAUUUCAUCCUCUUCAUUGAUGAUUUUACAAGGUUUUGCUGAAUUUUCUUCUUAAAACACAAGUCUGAGGUAGCUCAAGUGUUUGUGAAGUUUAAAACUGCUGUAGAGACAGAAACAGGUUGCAAGCUGAAAUCGAUAAGGUCAGACAAUGGCACUGAGUACACUUCAGCUCAGUUUCAAGCCAUUUGCAAUGAUGCUGGUAUCAAACACCAGCUUACAAAUGUCUACACACCUCAGCAGAAUGGGGUAUCAGAAAGAAAGAACAGAAGCUUGAUGGAUAUGGCCAGGUGCCUGCUGUUUGAGAAGAAACUGCCCAAGACCAUGUGGGCUGAGGCAGUAAACACUGCUGUCUACCUUCAAAAUAGGCUUCCUACUAAAGCUCUUGUAUCCAAAACACCUUUCGAGGCUUGGUCUGGUUUCAAGCCUUCCUUGGCACAUCUGAAGGUUUUUGGUUGCCUGUGUUAUGCACAAAUACCAGCAGCAAAGAGAGAUAAGCUCUCUGAAAGGGCUCAACCAGGUGUUCUAGUAGGCUAUAGCUCAGUUAAAAAGGGCUAUAGGGUGCUGGAUCCUUUGACAAACAAAGUCCAAGUGAGCAGAGAUGUCAUCUUUAACGAGAAGGCUUACUGGAAUUGGGAGAAGAGUAAACCAGAAGCUGCUUCAGAAGACCUGGUGCCUAAUCAAGCUGAACUCGAGCACCUUGGUCCUGAAAUGGAUGUUGAUGAUGUGCCUGUGAGAGGCACAAGGCCCCUAGAUGAGAUUUAUGAAAGAGCACAAGUUGCUAUAGCAGAACCUAGUAGUUUUGAAGAAGCUGAAGCAGAUGAAGGUUGGAAACAGGCUAUGGUUGAUGAAAUCAACAUGAUUGUGAAGAAUCAGACAUGGGAGUUGGUUGAAAAGCCUGCCAACAGAAAGACCAUUGGUGUAAAAUGGGUCUAUCGAGUGAAGCACAAUGCGGAUGGAAGUUUAAACAAGCUAAAGGCCAGGCUAGUUGUAAAGGGCUUCAGUCAAAGGUAUGGUCUGGACUACAUGGAAACAUUUGCUCCAGUAGCCAGACUCGAUACAAUCAGAUUGCUGAUUGCAGUUACUGCUCAGAACCAGUGGACAAUCCACCAAAUGGAUGCCAAGUCUGCAUUCCUCAAUGGAUUCUUAGAAGAGGAGAUAUACAUCGAGCAACCCCCAGGUUUUAUAAUUCCUGGUAAGGAACAUUUGGUGUAUAGGCUAAGAAAGGCCUUGUAUGGCCUAAAACAGGCCCCUCGAGCCUGGUAUGCUCGAAUUGACUCAUACUUGGUCAGUUUGGGAUUUGAAAGGAGUGCUAGUGAACCAACUCUUUAUGUUAAGAAGGAUCAAGCAGAAACACAGCUUAUUGUGUCUCCUUAUGUGGAUGAUCUCCUUGUAACAGGAGGAGACAAGACUAUGUUACAAGAUUUCAAAGGAAAAAUGAAGGAAAUGUUCGAGAUGUCAGAUUUGGGGUUGAUGACUUAUUUCCUUGGAAUAGAGAUACAACAAGCUGAUCAAGGAAUCUUUUUGGGACAAAAGGCAUUUGCUUUGAAAGUUUUAUCCAAGUUUUCAAUGCAAAAUUGCAAGCCAACAUGCACACCUAUGGCAGUUGGCAUAAAACUGUCGAGCCAAGAAGAACAUGAGCCUGUCAAUGAAUCAUUUUAUAGGAGCCUUGUUGGUUGUUUGCUGUAUUUAACAGCCACAAGACCUGACAUUCUAUUUGCUGUGAGCAUACUAUCAAGGUUCAUGCACUGCUGUAACCAGCAACAUUACAAGGCUGGGAAAAGGGUGCUAAGAUACAUCAAAGGUACCUUAAACCAUGGAAUACAGUUUAGAAGGGCUGAAGAGUUGAAACUGAUUGGCUACACUGAUAGCGAUUGGGCUGGUUCAAAGGAUGACAUGAAGAGCACUUCUGGCUAUGCUUUUACACUUGGCUCAGCUAUGAUUUGUUGGAGCUCAAGAAAACAAACAAUGGUGGCUCAAUCGACAGCAGAAGCAGAGUAUGUAGCAGCUGCCAAUGCUGUUAAUCAAGCUAUGUGGCUGAGAAAAAUUUUGAGCGAUUUGAAUCUACAGCAGAAUGAAGCAACUGUGAUACAUUGUGACAACAAGUCAGCAGUUGUUAUUGCUAAAAAUCCUGUCUUCCAUGGUAGGACAAAACAUUUCAACAUUAAACUCCAUGUGAUAAGAGAAAUGGAACAAGCUCGAGAGAUCGAGCUAAUUCAUUGCAGCUCAGAAGGUCAGAUCGCCGAUAUCUUCACAAAAUCACUUGGUACAUCGAGAUUUCUAAACCUAAGGAAGCAACUAAGAGUCUGCUGCAUAGAAGCUGAGGAGGAGUGUUGAAGUCAACCCCCAUGCAGCAGCCAAGGUGACCAUGCAAGGUGGCCAUGCAGGGAUCGUGCUUUAACAGCAAACCGAAACUGCAUUGUUUCAUUUGGUUACUCAAAUGAACAUUUUGCAUUUUAGUUUGUUUUGAACUAAGUUGGUAACUGUAUUUUGAUGUAAUUAGGUGCUGAAUGACAAGUUUAGGUAGAAGUUUAUGUUUUCAAUCAAGUUUACCAAGUUACUAGGCAAUUUAGUGGUGUUAGGUAUGUUAUUAGGUGGCAACUUGUUUGUUUUGCUGUUGUUAUCUCAUAUAUAUGUAUUGGUAUUAUGCCUUGUAAAAAAGUAAAUGAAAAUUCAGCUCAUUUUCAUUCAAUUUUAUCUCUUUCUUUUCUGUUCUCCAUUGCAAAAUUUCUUUCUUCUUCAAUAGUUUAUUCAGCAAGGCUCGACACUUGCUGUGCAAGCAAGCUGAAACCAUCUUGCUAUUACCUCUUGCACCAACAGAAAUGAUGACUACCGGUCUUCUUUAUGGUAAGUCCUGGAUGUAUUCUGGGUAUGUUGUGAUAUGAUCAAGUUAUAUCAUUAAAAAUAAUAACCUACUUGGGAAGACAAGGAUAAAUUACUCAAGAGUUUUCCCGAUUACAACCUUGAGGACUAGGUUCUUUCCAAUGGGGGGGACUAUUGUUGUAAACAACAAGGACAUUGGCUUAAUAGAUCAACAAGAUUCAACGGAUGCUGGGACUAAGCAAUUGGGACAAAGAAAUCCAAAGAGAAUAACACGUACAAUGAGGCCACCUAACAAAUAUAAUGACUUUGUAAUGGAUCCACAUUAGCAUUGACUUAAUGAUUUUGUUGUGCGAGAGGAGUGGGUAUAGGUAGCAAGAAAGGGAAGGAAAAUGGCAUGUGUAUUCUGUUGCAAACUAUCAAUUUCUUCUCAUCCACUUCUCUAAUUUUCUCAUCUCAUUCUUAUGUUUUUCCUUCAAUUUUCCAAUGAUGGAACAUAAUUAGCAAUAAAAACUUCAAUUACUCUUGGUUUUCUUCUUAAUCUAGUGUUUAUUUAGCUAGUGAUUAUUACAUAGUUUAAAAUUCAACACUUCAGCAAAAUAUGUUUUUUAAAAUAUUUAUAUUAAUUAUUUAAAAAUAUUUAAUUUUUUAUGUUAUGCACCAAUAUAUUAACUUUUUAAAAUAUUAUUUAAAAUAAUUUUUUUUUCUUUCUAUUUAUCCAUUUCAGAUUAAUUUAAGUUAUACAAAGCUGCUUGAUAGUUUUCACUUGGCCAAGUUAAAGGUCUCGUUGCUUUUUGACUUGUAUUGUUGUGUUCACUUCGUGUUAGGUGGCUGUGUUUGCAACUGGUGUUGAUUCAUCUGCUACUGAAACAAAAGGAACUGUUUUGAUUCACUCUGCUGAGCAGGUAAAUUAUGAUAAUUUUUUAAUUCUUUUUAAAAAUAGGAGAUCGUAUGAAAGAAGCAACCGAUUAGAAGGCAAAUUGUUUUGAAUGCAUUCCUGUUAUUUUAAAAUCUGUGGUUUUGGGCAAUAUGGGCAUAAUGAUUUUCUUAUCUCACGCUGUCCGUCUUUACAUUUUGUAAAUUGGUAUAGGGUGCUUUUGUUGGUCAAAUAUUCUAAAUGUGGAAGGCUUCUCUUUAUGUUUUUUUUCUUACAGCUAGAGAAUUACGCAAAAACUGAAGAAGCUAAGGUUGAGGAGUUCAUUAAAGCAGUUGCUGAUUCUGGUGCCAAAGUUAUCGUUAGUGGUGGAGCAGUCGGGGAAAUGGCAUUGCAUUUCUGUGACCGUUACAAGUACAUCAAGCUUCCUUCCCAUAUUUCCAACUCUUUACUUUGCUCUUUCUUGUUUUGAUUUGAUAUUAAGCCCAUGAUGUUGACUAUGUUGUGUUGAUAGAUUCACCUACUUUUUGGAUUCAAAAUUAUUUCAAUUAUUUUGCUCUCUUGGUCAACAUCUCUGAUACGUGAUUUUAUUUGGGCAGGUUAAUGGUCUUGAAAAUUAGCUCAAAGUUUGAACUACGACGCUUCUGCCGCACAACAGGCACUUCUGCUCUUGUGAGCAUUCUAUCUAGAUUAUGUUAUAAGAAAAAAGAUCAUAUCUUUUGAUUGCAAUCUAAUGGGCCUUUAAUUCUUCUGACAGCUGAAACUCAGCCAACCAAAGCCAGAUGAUUUGGGAUUUGUUGAUUCAAUUUCAGUUGAGGAAAUCGGUGGUUCUCGGGUAUGUUUGAAGAGGUGGAUUUACUUAUAUUUGGUUCCUAGUCCUUGCCUCACUCUAUUUUGCCUUUGCCAAUUUAAUGUAGGUUACUGUUGUGAGAAGUGAAGAUGGGGGUAACAAGGUUGCCACUGUGGUUCUGCGAGGAAGUACUGAUAGUAUAUUGGAUGAUCUUGAAAGAGCUGUUGAUGAUGGAGUCAAUACAUAUAAGGUUUUUUUUUUUUGCUGAUCUUUUUCUUUGAAUGCCAUAUAAACCUCACCUGCUGAAAUUGUCUUUUCCAUUUUUUCUGGAUGUAAAUUCCGAGGAAAGAAUCAUUAUCCCAUUCUUAAUGCCCAUUCAUUUUUGGUCAGGCAAUGUGCAGGGAUAGUCGUAUAGUACCUGGAGCUGCUGCUACAGAAAUCGAGUUGGCGAGAAGACUGAAAGAGUUCUCCUUCAAGGAAACAGGGUGAUUUGUUUUUUCCGUGUGCUCUUCUUAAUGCAAAAUGCCAUCCUGCAUGUGUUGUUUCAUAUUUAAGCUGCAAGUUUAUGCAUUACACUUGUAUGAAUGACAUGAACACAUUUGUGGCGUGAUGGAAUUCUACCCAAGGUAGUCAGUACCACACUGGUUGGUACGACCGGAACCGGUGCAAAACCGACCAUCAUGAUUCUACCUGCUGAACAACUAGGUAUUCAGGCAUAGUGCUGGAGAGGUGUCAAAUGAGUCAACUUCUGCAUUGUUGGCUGUCAAGUUAUUUAUAUCUUGCAUUGGUCAUGUUCAUUCUGAUAGCUGUGUUGAGAAUCUCCUACAGGUUUUUGGGAUUUAUUGUAGAUUAGAUGAGUACUAGAAGAAGCUAUUAAUAUUAACUACGGGAUAUUUUGCAGAUUGGAUCAGUAUGCCAUUGCUAAGUUUGCUGAAAGUUUUGAAUUGGUACCGAGAACCCUGGCAGAGAAUGCUGGACUCAAACCAAUGGAUAUUAUUUCUAACUUGUAUGAAAAGCAUGCAUCUGGGAAUGCUAAAGUGGGCAUCGACUUGAGGGGAGAUGACUCUGAGGAUUGUGUUUGCAAGGAUGUCUCAACCGUGAAUGUUUGGGACCUUUAUGUCACUAAGUAAGUCGCUAUUUACAAUUAUUUCUGGCUCAGUUCUGUUCUCUUUUGCAUCGAAAAUUAACCUCUGAUUCUUUUAUAAUUUACAAUUGUUGACUUUUUUUGUCAGGUUUUUGGCUCUCAAAUAUGCUGCAGAUGCUGCCUGGACUGUGUUGCGUGUAGAUCAGGUAAUUUACUAGAGGCAGAAAGCUUGAAAAUGAAAAUCGCACUUAAAAUAGUUUGCUGAUGGGAUUAGAUUCUCAUGCAAAGCUGUAUUUGUUGCUUAGGAUCGCAUAUGUAUUUCAUUUUCCAAACAUUGUCUUCCACUAAGCUCAGAAAUGCCGUUGAUUCAAUGUUUGCAGAUUAUCAUGGCGAAACCAGCUGGAGGUCCAGCGAGGAGAGAUCAACCGGCAGGAAUGGAUGAGGACUAAAUCUUGCAUGGUAUGAUUGAUUUCCCAUCUCUUGUAUCUCACCACCCAUAAUCGGACUUUGUUUAGGCAUCUAUUUUUUUAUUAUUAUUUUUUCUUUUUAGAUCCUAAAACGUGAUUGAAAGAAUUUUGCAUGUGAUUUUAGAAUAUUUACAGUGGGGAGUAGUGGUGAUCUAUGUUUUUAGUGUAUUACCCUAACCUAUAUUAGGGCCUGGGGUAGGGAGUUAGAAGAUCGUCUCAUUCAUAUCUUUCUCGAUUUUGCAUGGAUGUUGGUUAUAUCAUAGCCUAUUUUACACGAACCCAUUCAUUUUCUCUUAGUACCUAUAUUUAACACUUAUGUUUGAUACAUAUCUUAUUGGCAACCAUGCAAUCUUUGACUUUUCAAAGAUAUGGGUGUCAGGAUAUUGGCACCGAAAAUCUGAGCAUUUAAGGCACCGAAAUUGGGUUGAAAUUUGGAAUGGAAUAAUUGCAAUUUUGGUCCCUAAUUGUAUAGGGACUUUGCAAGUUAAUCCUUGAACUUCAACUAUAAAUAGGCCUAACUAUUUCUCAUUUUACACAUCCCACAUAUGCCAUUCUCUACUUAAGGCAUUGUUCUCUCUCCUUAUUUGUAAAUUUUCACUUGUAUUUUGGAGUGAAAUAUAUUUGGUAGUGCCCGAGGACGUAGGCAAAAUUUGCUGAACCUCAUUAAAAUUCUAAUGUUCUUUAAUUUUGCAUAUUUUGUGAGUGUGAUUGUAGUGAUUUAUUGUGCUAUUAAAUUACGAUAGAGGGAUAUUCUAGCUAGGAAAGACCUGGUACUUAAGUGAUCCUCGCGAUCCACCUCUCUUUCCUGAGAAUUGAACUUAGUGUGAUUUUUUAGUACAAUAAUUUCACUCUUUUACACGCUUCCGCGCAACAUAUCUAGAUAUGUAUAUAAAGAGAUUAGAUUAGUUUCGACUGAAUAAGUUUGUUUGAACAGACUUUAUAAAAGGGAUUACAUCAGUUUCGGUCAAAUAAAUUGAUUCGAAUAGACUUUUAUGCAUUCCUAGUGAGGGAGGAUUGAGUGAUAACUUCAAUUAUUAUGUAUUAAAUGGACAAAUCUAAUUCAGAAUAAAACUUGAGAUUUAGUUAUUUCGUGCAAUAAAUUUGUCUUUAAGAACAUUUAUUUCAGAAUUUUGAUUGUAAGGUUAUAACAUUCUCGCUGUAAAAUAGAGGUGAACAUUUGAUAAUUUCAUUCUAAUCAUAAUUGUGCACCAAUUAUAAAGUCAAAGGAAAACUGCGCACCAGUCAAAUGGAAUUUCCUUCAAUCUAUCCUCUAUUUAAGUUAGAGGAAAAGAUGGUCCAGAUGAGAUGAUACUUGAAAAGUUUAAUGUUGAAUUAAAAUGAAUUCAUUAUUCAUGUCACGUUAAUAUCAUUAAAUUAUCGCUUUAAUCAAUAUUUGCAAUAAAAAAUCCAUAAUUUGACUCAAAAUAAAAUGUUGAGGGUUAAAUUGUCGAAAAGAAAAAAAUAAGGGUCAAAUUGUUAAAAUUUAUGAACUCGAAUAACCUGCCUAGUUUAAAAGGUUUUAUUGACAUUACAAUUAGAUUACUAUUUUACAUUUUGAAAAAUCAAAUUGAAAAAAUUUCAUUUAAAAUAAUAUAAUUUACAUUACAUUAUAUGGAAAAAAAAACAACUAAUUAUAUAUUAACAUAAUCUAUAUCAAAUUUUAAUUCUCAAAAUUCAUCCGAGCAUAUAAUCUCCCUAAAAUUUACAUUUUUAGACUUUUUUUUAUUUUUAAAAUUUUAAAUUAGUAAAUAUAAAAUUACACUUUAAUUUUUCUAAAAUUGAUAAAAAUUUGAUUCAAUUAUUUAAAAUUUAUAAAGAUAUAGACUAUUAAAAUAGUUAAUUGUAUUUUUACUAUCGUAAAAAUUAUUAUUUAAUUUUGACUUCUCUAAAAAUUCUCAAAAUUCGUCCGAGCAUAUAAUUGCGUAAGUGUCUGCUUCCAUUUCAACUUGAUAACCUUUGCUGGUCCUUCACUUGCACGAUCCUUUGAGCAAACUUUCUUGUUUUUAUUGGUCUAAGGGAUAAACAUAAAACACCAAGAUUAUUUUUGUUUCAUUGAGAUAAUCUAUAUCACUGGUAUAUUAAUUUACUUCAAAUCGAGAAAUUUUUCUUAAUAUCGUAGAAAACACAAUCGUUGAAAAUCUUGCUCACGUUAAAUAAAAAUAAAAAAUGAAUCUAUUGAAUUUUAAAAAAAUAUAUUGGAUAUGAAUAUAUUUCUCACAUAGAAAAAUUUUUCCAAUUAAUUAAAAGAGUAUACUUUAUAUUCAUAUUUGAAUAAGUGUUAAAAAUAAGUAAAGAGUUGGAAUAAUAUUAUUUAUACUUCAAGCCAUGAAAUUUAAAUGCUACUUUUAUUAAAAGGAAUUAAACCUAUUUAAGUACUAUUAAGGACUUAUAUUUAAUCUUUCAAAUAUAUAAAAACAAUUUUGAUAUAUUAAAUUGAGCACAUAAAUAGAUCUCAAAUAAAAAUGAUGAUUUUUAAUUCAAGUGAAAUUAGAAUCUAAUCCUCAUUUGAGGAUUUUCACAUUUUUAUUACGUGCUUUGUUAUGGAAGAUAUUCUUUUUUCUCCGCAUUUUUGUCACAAAUUGAUUAUGUUUACUUCAGCUUACCAAUAAAAUAUAGAUGUAAGUGAAUAUAUAUAUAUAGUGAAAUAAAAAUUUAAUAAAAAAUGAAACUAAUGUAGACAUUUCAUGAAUUAGGAAAGAAUUAAGUGACAAAUUUUUAAUGGUAUAAAAACCUAUGUUAUCAAUAUUUGCAAUAUGCAUAGAAUAUGUACUCAUGUUCAAUAUGAGUAUGAAUAAAGAUUUUAAUACUUCUUGAUAUAUAAUAGAAGGAUCAUAUCUCGUUAGUAAAUAAAUUUAGAAUGAUUACUUUAAAUGAAAUAAAAGCUACAAAUGUGUAAAAAAAAAAUCAAUAGGAGGUUGGUUAAGUAGUUUACCACAGUUAAUGCUUCUUCCCCUAUUGGCGCACUAUAAAACUGAAAAAUUUCUGCAUCCGUUUUGGUUGCGGCCCUUCUUCCUCCGCUUCAUCGUAGAUAUUAGCUUUUCGUUUUAUGUGCGAAGUGCUAUCUGUUGAUCAAUCGUUGUGAGCAGAGUGUUGAUGGAUGUGUUCAAAAUUUGGAGAAGAUUGAGUGGUAUGGCACUGCAACUCUUUUAUUUCUUCCAAAUCUUUCUCAUACACUAUUCUAACACCACACUUCUUCACCUUAAUUCCGUAUCCAAAUAGAUUUGUGAAACGCACCUCAAGCUCAUCCCAUUUCUGAUCUAAGCAAUCUGGUGCCCAUAAAUUAUUGGUUUCACAAUGACCAUAUAAUUCAUCCUCCCAGGAAUGUGAAUAUAAUUUAUCACGCGACCAAUAACGAAGAAAAAGGUGAUCUUUCAUUAUGGGCUCGUUAUAUCUUUUACCCACCAUCCAGCCGCUCCCAUCAAUCUGUCUACGAUUUCUACCUCGAAAAAUAGAUCCAUUACAACUGGCUUCUUCAGAAUUUCUACAAUAGAUAAAUGCUCCACAACCGAUAUGCUCGUCAUCCCUUGAAGCAUCAUUAUUGACAAAAAUGCAGCAACAAGCAACUCCAAUCCAUUGACUAUCUUUCGGAACGGGUAUCUUAAUUGAAGAGUCACUUUUUUGUUGGCUAAACCAUUCUGGGAUUUCACUUCCGGGCAUCAUAAUAUCUAACUUUUUUCUUGAAUUUGCAAAUGCCUGCAAAACAAAACACAAGUCGUUUGGUAACUAAAACCAUAAAUUCUCAAGUAUGAGAUUUUGUAAGGGAGAAUAAAGAGAUUAAUCGACCUUACGAUAUUUUUUCAGCAGUGUUAAUGCAUUGAUAUUCUCAGCCAAUUUGAAGCAGUUAAUGGCUCUAAUGAUACCCCUAUCCUCUAAAUUGCGCACUUUUGAUGGACUUGCAACUACUUCAAGUGAAGAGCAAUCAUCUAUACGCAGAUCUGCUAUACUUGUUAGAAGCUCUGGCAACGAUUUAAGCAUCUUGCAAUUUGAUAAUCCCAGUAACUUAAGCCUGCUAAGUUGAGUAAGAGCCAAAGGAAUGGUGAUGAAAUAGUUACCCCUAAGAUAAAGAUAACUCAAAGAGGAUAGAAAAGAGGAUAGACCAUGAAUAUCUGCUUCACCAAGUGUGCACAUGUUGCAAUUUGACAAAUCAAGAAACGAAAGCUUCGAGAGCUGAGUAAGAGAUGCAGGUAUGCUGAUGAAAUUGUUACCACUAAGAUCAAGAUGUAUCAAAGAGGAUAGACCAGAAAUAUCACGUGGAAUAUCUCCUUUACAAAGAUUGCAGUCCCUUAGAUUUAGCUUUCUUAAUGAACUCAAACCUGACAACAAAGGCAACAUCGGAGCUAUGGGAUUCGUCCUUCUUCCUUGGAUUACCUUGAAAAGAAAAGGCAAAUUUGAUCGUGACUUAUAUGAUGGUCCCUUGCAUCCACUGAAAGACAAAACUUUAAGAUUUUUCAAUUGAGAAAUGAAGGAUGGUGGUUCUUUUAUGGAUGUUUCACUCAAGUCAAGCUCUUCCAAAGAUUCUGCUUGCUGCAAAUUCUCUGGUAAAUAUUCAACUUUGAAACAACCAGAAAGAUGAAGAGUUUUUAGAUGUUCCAUUUUCCCAUCAAUCUCUGGAAACCUUUCAAGAUUUGAGCAACCUGAAAGAAUUAAUGUUUCAAGAGAUUCCAUUCCAAUUUUGGUUGGAAGACUCCUAAGACUUUUGCAGUCUCUGAAAUUCAAAAGUUUAAGGCUCUUAAGCACUCCGAUUGAUGGAUGGACAUCUACUAAUCUGGUACAACCUCCUAUAAUCAAAGCUUCAAGUUUUGGUGCUGUUGUGAAGUCAGGUGUCUUGAUCAGGUUUUGGGACCCUUUGAGGUUGAUCAUUUUCAACUUAAACAAGGGCUGUUGAAGACAAUAAUAAAUUAGGCCGAAGACAUAAUAAUGCUAAUGUUUGGUUUUUUUUACCUUAAUCAAAGUUUAAUCAUUUAUAUUAAAAUAAGCUAAAACACAAGAAUAAGAUGAGUUAGUUCUUACUCUAUCCCCCUUCCAUAGUUGUUCAAUAUGACUAUAUGGUAAAAGAAGUGCCACAAGAUUAUCUGGGUGGAAGUUUGAAGGCAAAAAUUUUAAAGGGUAUCCUGUCCAAUCUAAAAGCCGUAGUUCAGUAGAAAGAUAUUUGAGAUGAUCAUCACAAUUUGAUACGCAAAACACUUUGAGCAAUCUCAAAUUCUUCAUCUUCGAGAAGGUAUCGGCGCUCAAAUUGAAUAUCUUGCUGGAUUUCCUAAUAAUCAUGAGUAAAACAAAAAUGAGCUUCAAAAUAUACAAAAACAUUUAAUAUCUAAAAGCUAUGUUGCAUCGAUAUUUUUUUUAUGUACCCACAUCCAGUACUUAUAAGUAAUGCGUAUAUAAAUAUAGUAUUGCGAUAUAAUUGAAUAUAUUAGACAAUACUUAAUCUAACACUUAUUUCACACUUUUAAUUACCUAAGCCUAAAAAACCUAGAACUAAUAUUUUUAUUUAUGUUUAGUGCAUUGAUGUGUAAUUCUAUACAUUACUAGCGAAAUGAUGGCAUUAUUUGGAUUUACUUUUGAAAACUUUUAAUGAUAUGUUAUGGCCUAGUUCAUAAACCAUUAAUAUUAACAAAGACAAUGACAUUAAUUUUUUUAUAAUUUCUUUUGAAAGAGUACUGUGUUUUUUUAUAAAUUUCAUAAAUAUAAGAUUGAAAAUUUAAGCAUUAAAAAUGUGUUUGGUUAGGUGAAAAAGUGAAGGGAUAUGAGAAUAAAGUAUGCUUGGUAGAAAAAAAAAUGAGAGAGAUGAUCAUUUACGUGUAUGUUUUCCUACCAUUUAUUGUCGAUGAUCAUGCUUUCAACCACUUCGGUAGCCUAGAAGUAAUCAAGAAUAGACAAUAAGAAGAUAAAAUAUAUGCUCUAAAUUGUACGAUAAAACAUUAUCACUAUAUUUUGGUUGGAAUAUAGUAAAUAAAAUAUUUUCUAAUGAAAGUAAUUCAAUAAAAUUAAAGCUACUCAAUGUCACUUAAGGAUCAAUAUAUAAACCAAUUAGACUAAGCUUUGGAUUUACAUCAUAUAUUAAUAAAAGAAAUUUUUGUAUGUAAUUUUUGUUGAAUGAUUUACCGUGUUUUUUGUUAGGACAUGAUGGACAUCCCUUUCCUUCCAUAAUCUACAACGUUUUCCGGGUUUAUCAACACAUUUUUCUUCAACAAUUUUUCUUCCCAUUUCUUGCAACAAGGCAUGCAUCCGCAAAUAUUGGUUGUCAUUACUGACUUUUAUGAGAGAUUUCUUAAUGAGAACAUCGACUCCAAUAUCGGGGAAAAACCCACAACCAUCCAAUACUUUUAUUACCAAAUCUUUCUUCUCCCCAUUGAAAAAGCAUGCUAUAUCUAGAAAUAUAUUCUUCUCCCUUUCUUCCAAUCCAUCAAAGCUAAUUCUUAGUGUGUCAAGAAUUUCUUUGUUAGAAUCUUGUUUAAGUCUUUCGAUUGCACUUCUCCAUUGAACUAUAUCUCUACCGCACAAAAAUGAACCCAAAACUUCAAGAGCUAAGGGGAGACCAUCAGCAUAAUGUACAACAUGUUCAGAAAGCUCAAUGAAAUCAACUUUCGGCGUUGUAUCACCGCCGAAAGCUUUCAAAUUGAAAAGCCUUAUUGCAUCGUUGGGAUUCAAUGUUGUAGGCUUAUACACAUCAUUGAUUCGAUAAGAUCGGAGCAAAUGUUCAUCUCUUGUUGUUACAAUGAUCCUACUCCCUAAAUUGAACCAAUCACGCCUUCCAACCAAGCAUUUCAAGUGUUGUAUGUUAUCAACAUCAUCAAGAACAACAAGAACCUUUUUACUGGACAACCUGUGGCUAAUUAUGGCAUUCCCAUCAUGAACAUUGAAAAAAUUGAAGCAUUCAUCCGGAAAGAUUUGAGAAAGUUGUUUCUGUAAAGAAACAAGUCCAUGUUUGUUUGAAACUUCUCGAAUAUCAGCAAGAAAGCAUUUACCCUGAAAAUGAGCUAACAAUUGAGUGUAAGCAACCCUUGCAAGAGUUGUUUUACCGAUGCCACCCAUUCCGCAAAUUCCUAUAAUGCGGACAUCGUCUUCCCCAAUAUUUAUUUUUGAAUACAACUCCUCCAAAUGUAAACUAAUUCCAACCAACUCAUCAUGAACAACUGGAUAUGUCUGACAUAAUUUUGCUGAUAUCUUCUUAACAACGUCUCCAAUAAACUCUGAUUCGUGCCUACAAUGAAAUUAAAAUCCGAUAUGCACUUUUUCAUUUUUAGUUUAGUGAAUCAUGAAGUAUAAUAUGGUUGGAAGCAAACAAAAAGUAUGAAUAAGACAGUAAGAUAUAUUAUAGCAUCAAAAUACACAACUUGCUCCUUAGUUGAAAUAUGGGAAUUCUCAAUUAAACACAAAAUUAUAAAAAUAACAUGCAAUCCAAUAAAAAAAACAAUUUUUUAGUCAUUAAAAUUAGGAGAUAGAGAAGAUAAGAAAGAAAUACCUAUUAUUUAAAUGCCAUCCCUUGAUGUUAGCCACUUCAGUCAAAGCAUUUCGCCACUUUUGGAUCUUGUCUUUAUCUUCCUUGUAUCUUUCUUCGUGUUUGGCAAAGGCUUCUUCAACCUUUUCUUUUUGUUUUCUUAAAUCGGAUGGAUCAACAUGGUAGAAAAUUGGAAAUACUUUAUGACCCUUGUCAUUUUUUUGUUUAACAAUCUCCGCAAGCUCCUCCAAGCACCAACCUGAAAAGGCAUAGGUCUCGGAAAAAACGAUUACCGAGCACCAUGAUUGCUGAAUUGCGUUGAAGAGUUCCGGUGCGAUCUCUUCACCAGUUUCCAACUUUGGAUCAUCUCUAAAAGUGACGAUCCCAGUUCUAUUUAGAGCAUCGUAGAGAUGAUCCGUAAAAUUCUUGCGAGUAUCUUCACCUCUAAAACUCAAGAACACAUCGUAUUUCUUUCUAGAAAUGGAUGAGGAAGUCGAAAGUAACGAUGACAUGAAGAUGUAUGAGAAGAAAAAUAUGUGGAUGUAGUGUUCAAAAUCAGUCGCUCAAUACCUCCGAAACAAUAGGUAUAUGAGCAUGAGGGGAGAAAAACAGAUGAAAUUUCGAGGGAAGAACAAAGGGAGUAGGUGAAAUUUUGAGUAUAAUAAUAUCUAUGAAAGGGAGUAGGUGUGGAAAUUCGGGGUCAUAGAUGCUCUUUCCGGGAAGACUCCAAGAAGGUGAGAGUUCACAAAAUGCAGCCUACAAUUUUUC